CCUAUGGAUAUGGUUCAAGCAACCUUCCACCUCCACCUUUACCUCCACAUAUGCCAAUGGGAUUUGCUAGGCCAGCUCCUUUACCAACUCAGCAACCACCUCCUCAGCAGCUUCAGAACCAGCAGUCUCAGCAGCAGCAGCAGCAGGCAGCUGCUGGUGGAUAUUAUCGGCCUCCAGGUAUUGGAUUCUAUGCCCAAGGUCAUCAGUCAGCAACUCCACCUGUACCCCGGCAGUGAGCAGUCAUUGUGGAAAGAUUAGACCUCUUUUUGUAUAUUAAUAGGACAGUAUUGUUAAACACUAGGAACAACUAUCUUUACUUUUACUUUCCUUUAGUAUACCAGCUUACCCAGGAAUCUUCCUUUUUCUUUGAUUUUUUUUCUUUUCUGUCACUCCAUCUGCAUAUGAGCCAAAUGUUACUAGGUACUUUGUGUAUUAUUAGCUUAUAUGGAAGGUAGCAUUUUGUAGAAUUAUUCAUUGCUUCUGCCUUCUUUUUUCUGUUGAAGUAGGCUUUGUGUCCCACUAGUGCCAUAAAGGCUAUUGGUGGUCUUAUUGGCACAUACCACGGUAGGGUCUUCAACUGGGGUGAAGUCAUAACAAGGUUUGUGGUAGGGGAACCUGUGGCUGGAUUGAAUCCUUCACGAAGGAAAUGCCCCCUUCCCCCAACCAACAUAGGGGGCUAGCUUUGCUUCCAUUGGUGGCGGGCGGGUGGGUGGGUGAAGGGUCCAAAGGACAUGUAGCUGGGGGCAAGUAACAAAGGAAGAGUUUCACGGAAAUCAAGAUAAACUGGACGCUACGGUGAGAUGUGAAAACACUCGAUCCCAUUCUGACAUCCAAAUGUGGAAUCGUCUUUGCAUCAUUGUGUACUGAGAUUGUUGGUGAGAUGUGGUUCAAGCUUGGUUUAGUUUUUUAGUCUGAAGUUGUGUUUGAACUUUCAUUUGCUUGAUGAACUCAUCAAACUAAUAUAAGCUUCUGUCAAGGUGAGCUCAAUGUGCUGCACCACUUGAUUACUCUCCUGGUAAAAAUAAAUUUAUGCUUAUAGACCCAAGCUUGAAAAGUUCAUUGACAACCAAAAGUUUUUCAAGCUUUGGCUGAGCUGGUGUGAAUUUAUGUAGCGGACUUUCUGAUAUCCUUGGUUUGUGUUCGGCUCAUCCUCUGCAUCAGCAACGCUAAUUUCCUUCUUGAAUUGCUCUUUUCUUUUUGCAAUUUUUUUCCAGAAGAACUAAACAACUAAACAACUUAUCAAAACUUUUAUUGGUAUUUAAUUGAUGGUAAAAGGGGCACAUAAAUUAUGUAACUAAACAACUAGAUUUUUGUGCAAGGAAAAAUGGGUCACUUAUGUCCAAUUACUCUGGGGCUAAGAUUAGAAGGGAGGAUUUGGAUUAUGUGACGAAUUUCAUAUGAAUAACUGAGAAUCUUCAAUAUCUAAACCUUCUCUAAUUGGAUCACUUUGUUUGGGUAAAAAGGAAACUAAUGGAAACUAAAUAGUUGGAAUAAAAUCCUAAGUAUCCAAGUCUUCUAAUUGCCCGUGUCUUUUAGUACAAGGGAGUAAUAAUUCCAAGUCUAUAUGGCCUGCUAAUAAAAAAAGGAAAAUUUGAUUUAACACUUGCAUUAAAAAACGGUCAAUAUAAAUUAUCUACAAGAAUCAAACUUUUUCUUUAGAAAAGGUAAAUUUUAGGUGUAAAAUACAAACAAAUUUCCUUGUGAUUUGAGCAAAAUUCAUUCCAAUCUACUAUAGUUCAAAAAAAAUCAUAAGACCACCUUAUAGUACUGAUGUGAAAAAUGGAUGAAAAUCAUUCAAAUCGACAUAAAGAUUUGAAACAUAUUUAUUGCCCUUCUUCUUAUUACUCCCUCCGUCCCACUUUGAUAGUCCUGUUUCUUUUUUCACACAGUUUAAGAAAAAGUAGUUAACUUUAUUGAAAAAGUAAAUUUAAAUUGCUAUUUUUCUAAUAUACCAUCACAUUAAAUAUGGUACAACUUUAUGGAAACUUGAAUUGAUGGUAAAAAAAGAAUCAACUUUCAUUAAAUGUGGUAAGUUUAUAGUAACAACUACUUACAUUGAAUAAGGGUAUUUUAGAAAAAUUAAAAUAUAAUUACAUUAUUCAAUUGGAAAGUGGACUAUAAUUUGGGACAGAUGAAAAAGGAAUACAGGACUAUCAAAGUGGGACGGAGAGACUAACACUUUUCCUUUUCUUCACUUUUUCAUUUUAUUCACCCUCUCUCUUUUUUCUUUUCCUCCUUCCUCAUUUUCUGGUCAAAACGUUCAAGCGCCAUUGGUAGAAUCACAAACCUUCACGGCCGCCAAUAUCAACCACUAUCCACCGUCAACCAGUGGUAAAAUUUUGUAGAAAUAUCAUUAAAAACUUUAAUUUUCGUGCACAUCAUGAUUUCAAAGUUAAAUUUAAAAAAUGGUUGAAUAAAUGUGAUCCUCCUACAAAACCAAAUGGGUCUAUCUCUUUUUGUCUACCAAAAUUCCAUGUAGAAAAUCUACUAAAACAAUCCUUAGGACCCUUGGAACAACAUUAUACCACCAAUUUAAUAAGGGAAAGGGUGGAUGAACAUGAAUCCAAGCAAAUCAACGCCCACUUUUAUUUAUUUAUUUAUUUUGCUUUCUUUCGGCAGCUACAGUGAUGCCAAAGCAACAAUGAGGACAAUGACGAUGAAACUCUUCACGAUUUGGAGGAAGAAUCUUAUUUCAGCAUAAGAAAAGGCAGAGAGAGAGAGAGAUCAGAUGGGUUUAAAUUUGGUGGACAAAUAGAAGAAAGCAAGUGGAAAAAAGAAGAAAGGAAGAAGCCAAAUAGAAGAAAAGAUCUAAAGAAGAGAGGAAGGAGCAAAAUAGGAGGACAUGCAAGAGAGAAAGGAAAGGGGAAAAUACUGUAAAAAAUGAAAUUGAAAAAAAAAAGGAAACGACUGGAAAAAGAGAAGGAGAAGUGAUACAGUAGAUAAAUUAAAAAAAAAGAAAAAAUUAUUUAAAAUGUCUCUCAUAUUCCAUAAAAUGAAUCUUUUUGUCAUUCACUUCUAAAAUGUUAAAUUUACGUCAUUUGCAAACUUAAGUUGAUAAAAUUUGGUUACAACCUAUGUUUUUUACCAUUAUUUAUCUUGAAUUUGUCACGUGAAUCAUACAUCGUCAUUUUUCUAAGGUAAAAUGAUUAGAUGCUAUUUAUAGUUAAAUGAAUCCAUGUUCAUUUUUACCCUGAAAAAGGCAGAUUUUAAUCUAAACUAUAUUCAUUUUUUUCUCUAAAAAGGAGUAAUCGGACCCAAUUCAUAAGCAUUUUUAUUACUAAAAAAAAUGAAAUCUAACAUUUUUGUACAUAAAAUAUGACUGCAUAUAGGUCACAUGGAGAUUUUAGGCUAAGAAAUGGUUAGAAAUUUAGUUUUGGACCAAAAUUUGUUAACUUGAAUUUGUAAGGGAUGUAAAGCUAACGUUUUAGAGUGAAACGAAAUGUGAGGAACAAUUUAAAUGGUUUUUUCAAAAAAUAAAAUAAGGAUACUCUUGGAAAAAAGUUGACUAUUUUAUGAAAAAAAUCGUGUUUGAUAAUUUACACUUGAAUAGAAGCCAAGUGGACUACACUCUUUCUUGAUUUGGAUGGUUUCCAUCCAUUUUCUAUUCAUCAGUUAGGAAUCAUAAACGGCACUUGUAGAAAUGUCCAAACCACGGAGGAUUGGGCUAACUUUACCGCAAACCCCAAUGGGUUUCACGUAUUUACCCUAAACAUUAUGAGGAUUAUUCUUUUUUGUCAUGUUGAACGCUGGAUUUUAAUCAAAGUAAGGUAUGUUCAUAGGAAUUAAAAAUUUCUAUUUUUUGUUAUGUAAUCAUAUUUGAUUCCUUUCUUGACUGUGUGGGCACGCUAUAUACUUAUGAGUAAAUGGAUAACAAUUCUCAAUAGAAGAGAACAAGUGACAUGUGUAAUUUAUCACUCUAAUUGUCAAUGAUGACAGGUAUAAUAUUUGAUGCUUAAUUAAGAGUUACUCUAAUGAUUCUUAAGGCACCAGUGGUUCUGGUAAUUUUUUUUUAACCUUCCUACCCCUUUUCACACUUUUUCUACCUCCAACUAUUUUAUAUAGGAUUCAAGCUCUGAACAUAACAACGGGAAAGACUCUAACAAUUCUUCCUUGGCCGGUUUUGAUAAGUUGUUAUUGAAUAUUUAUCUUGUAUUUGUUACUACUUGCAAAGUGAAUAUUUAGCUUCUAGAUGCAAAUACUAUGGUGACUCGGCCACGGACCUUUAUGGUAUUUAUUUACAUAUGCUGAUACUGUGAAAACGUAGGGAUAAAAAUUUCUAGUUGGCCGUGUUGAGGGUUUUAGAUAUAUUUUUUUUUCAUGGUGGCAUGUUCCUUUGUGUGUUGGUUCAAAUGGAGAAGGAAGAAAUUUAAAACCACACAAAUCAGAGGCUUACAUGCUAUAGAAAAUUUAUCAAUUGAGCGAGAUCAGUAAAAUAGAUUAUAGUGUUAAAUAAAGAGAAAAAAUACUAUUUAAUUUUCAUGUGAGCAAGAAGGAUGAAUUUUAAACGCUAUUAAGCAGUUAAAAUUGGGGAUUUAAAAACCCUAUAUCUAAAGAAGAAUUGGAGGAGUCAUUUCUUAUCAAAAUUUGUAGUAGUAUUGAAAUAUAACUGCGUUCGAUCUUGGAUUUGAGUUCUCAAGCCAUUUUGAAGAGCAAUCGCAUAUAGUCAAAUAAAGUAGGUACCUAGUAUUCACAAAAUAAUUCACAUGCAUCCGUUCUUUUUUCCUUGUUUGAAAUGGCUUGGUAACAAUGUAGGUUCAAGAGAUAUCACAUUCAAGGUUGAAUGAUAAUUUUAUGUGAAAGUAUCGAGUUAUUGACAAUAUGUUGCGAAUAAAACAAAUUAUAAUGAUAAAAUUCUUAAUUUUCUACUGCUAUAUGUUUCAAAUAAAACAAAUUAGAAUGAUAAAAUUUUAAUUUUCCACUAUAAUUAAGAUGUCAUACUAGAGAGAUUGAAUGGUAUGCACUAGGGAUGUCAAUAGGUCAAGAAUUAUUUAGAUCUACUCUAGGCACAUCAUAUUUCUUAGAUUUGGGUUUAAUUUUUCAAAUUCAGACCAUUAAGCCAAAUAUAGAUCCUAUAAAAGAAUCGUGAGUUUAGGUAACGUCUGAUUCACCACUUUGAGCCAUCAUUUUCCUAAACUUAUGCCCAUAACAAAACUUGUGUACAAUACAGAUUAGCGAACCAAGAUUGUUGGUAGAACAACGCCACAAUUCAACAUGAUUUUAUUUCCAACCUUAGUCUUGUAUGGAAGGAGGUAAGUUGUUUUCUUGAUAGUUUGUUGCUGGAAAAUUUUCAGCUUUAUGUGUUUGGUUCGAUCAUUAGUUUACAAAGUAAUUUCAAACACUCGGUUGGAGUCAUAAGUGAUGGUAGUCUUGCCAUGUUCAAACGGAGGCCCAUCAUUCUUAGCACCCAAAAAAUCAGAUAAAAAUUGCCGAGUGAGAGUUAUGCAUUCCCCCCUAAGCUUAUCCUUAUGCUUUAUGUUUGCAUAAAAUUGAUGAACAAGUCCAGGAUAAUAGUCAAUAGGUAAAUCCAACAUUUGACUGCAACCAAACUCAGCAAACAAGUCACAAACGUGAUGUACAUUAUUAAAAUUAGCACCUAAGUCCACCUCAACUAACACAGAAUUACCAAUUCUAUCCCAAUACAAUUGCUCAUUUUUGGCACUCAAGAAAUGAGAAUUGUCAAACUGAGGUGGAGUUGUACUAGAACUACCUCCACUCAUGGUUGGCCUCACCCGUUUUCGAGAAGCGGGAGCCCCACUAACAUUUUUGGUACGCGGAGGCAUGGUCAAAAUCACCACAAAAUAAAGAUGUACCCCUCAAAAUCAAUCCAAAAAUAUUUGCAGAUAAUCCGCCAAAAGAAUACCCCACAAACCCCCAGUAUACCAAAUCAAUAUGCAAAAUGCAACUAAGGAGCUUGAAAAUACACUACAAAAUACUGGAAAAUUCCCAUGAAGGUCAACAAGAUGUCAGCCAAAAAUCACAAAAAAAAAAUCCACCAUUGCAACCUAAUAUCACAAGCAAAGCUUCAGUUCAGCCCUAUAAGUAGCCUUAAUCAAUCAAGAGGAGUAAAAGCAACCUUCUAACAUUUGUAGAAUCAACCAGAAAAUGCCUAGCUAAUAUGUCCAAAAAUUACAAAAAAUUUACUUAGUACACCAAGAACAUGCAUUGGCUAUUUCAACAAAUUUAACCCAUGAAAGUGUGUUUAAAUGGUGCAAUUGUGACGCCCCCACUUCUCCCAAGGGUGAACCCAAGGGUAUCUGCGGAACGCCUGCCCAACUCUCGCCAGGACUCACUACAAUCUAUAAUUUAAAAGCUAGAAAUACUUCAAAUAUUUUCAAUAUACAUUUAAAGUACUCCAAAAUAUUUCAUACUUACCAAUAGUUAACUUUCAAACUUAAAUACAACCCAAAAGAAUAUGUACUACAACCAUCUGCUAUAACACAACUUAAAGUCUCUAAAGAAAACAACUUAGUACUAUUCGCAAACACUUUCGGUCUUGAACCCUGUUAAGGAAAACAAAAGCGUGGAAUGAGCUAAACAGCCCAGUGAGGUUCUAAAACUCCUAAGCAUUUCUAAUAAAUCAAGUAAUUUAACCAUAAUAUAUAUAUCGUUCAAGAUUUCACAUUGGCACAUUAAAAUGAGACUGACGAGAAUAUGAAGAUUUGGAUUCCCUUCAAAUUCAAGGAAAUUCAAUUGAUGGUUGAUGAUGUAAUCGGGUUCAAGAAUCAUUGAAGAUUUGUCAUGCUUAUUUCUUGUUAUUUAUUUAAGUAAGUUUCCAGCAAUACUUGUUAGUUAGUCUUGAGUUAUUAAGAGAAAUAAAGGCUAAGGUCAUGUUGACUAUAGUUAAGCCAAUUGAGUCAGUUAGUUUCCUAUUUUAAUUGAAUUAGAGUUUUAGGAAAGUAGUUAAUUGCUUUCAAAUUUAUUUAGGAAGUUGUGUCAAGUCAAAUAAGGAAGCUUGUAUUGUUUCCAAGUUUAGAUUAGGGUUUUGAGUCUUGUAAGGCUAUAAAUAGUCAACUUUAUUUAACUAUUCAGAUACAUGAGAUUGAAGAUGAAUUAAUAAAAAGAGAGUGGUCUCCUUUUAUGAAGUUCCUUGAUGGAACUUGAUUUUCUUCUUGAACAGUAUCAAGUAUUUAGUUUGGAUACUUGUGGUGUUCAAGGCAAGAUGAUCACAUCAUCUUGUUCUUUCAAGCCAAUAACCAAUCCACCAGGUUUUUAGAGACGGGUUCUCUUUAAGUCUAGUAAGGUAGUUAUUGUUCCAUAACCAGUAACCAAUCCACUAGGUUUUGAGAGACGGGUUCUCUUUAGGUCUAGCAAGGUAGUUAUUGUUCCAUAACCUGGUCAAGAUAGAUCCUUCCGCUGCCUAAUCGACUUGGUUCGUCAAGACAGGUUCUUGCUAGGUCGGGUUCGUAUCAUCUGGUAUCAGAGUUUCAACUCUUGAUUCAGGUUAAUAUCCUUUUCUUUUCUUUUUUUUCUAUUUAUUUUUCUACCAAAACCCUUGCCGCCUUUUGAUUUAAAAGAAACAAAAAAUAAAUUUUGAUUCUUAUUUUCUUGAUUUUAUCACUUGAGUCUAACCUAUCCCGUGAUUGAUCGAGGUUAGAAUUUUUUGAUGUGAUUACCUUAUUGAAAACAGGUUUUUCAAGGGUUUAACUCCCAUUAAAUUUCUUCCAAAUGAAGUCGUAACCUUGUGUUGAGUUGUCAAAAGAAAAAAAAAAUUUCGGAACUGUUCGCGGCGGUACUAUUCAUUGACACUGUUCAUGACUGUAGCAGUACUGUUCAUCCGACGCUACUGUAGCAGUACUGUUCAUCCGAAUUUUUUUUUUUUUUUGACCUUGUGUUUGUUUCUUGUAGUUGGUUUGGUAAUUUCUUGAAGUUCUUGGAUUGCAUAGUGGGUUCUUGAAAAACAAAAUCUUUAUACUUUGAAAACCCUAAAAAUCAUCAUCUUGAAUCUUGAAGUGCGGCUACCUUAUUUUCUUGAAUUGGCAAGUUAGAAAAACAAAAAAAGGAAGAAAGAAGGAAAAAAAAAAGGCAGCCUUGCCUUGAAUGGUUUCCAAAUCUUGAUUGAUUUCCAAAUCUUGAUUGAUAUCUUGAUUGAUUGCCAAAUCUUGAUCGAUUUCCAAAUAUUUGUUGACUUCCAAAUUCUAGCCAAGUACAAUUGGGUGAAGAUAUUCUUGACAAAUGGAGCAUGUGCAAUGGUUCGCGUUCAUAAUCAAGUUGAGUUGGCGACAUGGUUCUUUGAUUGCAUUUAUCAAGACAUUCUCCGAGUUACUCCUUUGUAAGCAAGCACUCGAUUUGAGGACAAAUCGUCUUUCAAGAAGAGGGGAAUGACGAGAACAUGAAGAUUUGGAUUCCCUUCAAAUUCAAGGAAAUUCAAUUGAUGGUUGAUGAUGCAAUCAGGUUCAAGAAUUAUUGAAGAUUUGUCAUGCUUAUUUCUUGUUAUUUAUUUAAGUAAGUUUCCAGCAAUACUUGUUAGUUAGUCUUGAGUUAUUAAGGGAAAUAAAGGCUAAGGUCAUGUUGACUGUAGUUAAACCAAUUGAGUCAGUUAGUUUCCUAUUCCAAUUGAAUUAGAGUUUUAGGAAAGUAGUUAAUUGCUUCCAAAUUUAUUUAGGAAGUUGUGUCAAGUCAAAUAAGGAAGCUUGUAUUGUUUCCAAGUUUAGAUUAGGGUUUUGAGUCUUGUAAGGCUAUAAAUAGCCAACUUUAUUUAACUAUUCAGAUACAUGAGAUUGAAGAUGAAUUAAUAAAAAGAGAGUUGUCUCCUUUUAUGGAGUUCCUUGAUGGAAUUUGAGUUUCUUCUUGAACAGUAUUAAGUAUUUAGCUUGGAUACUUGUGGUGUUCAAGGCAAGAUGAUCACAUCAUCUUGUUCUUUCAAGUCAAUAACCAAUCCACCAGGUUUUUAGAGAUGGGUUCUCUUUAAGUCUAGCAAAGUAGUUAUUGUUCCAUAACCAAUAACCAAUCCACUAGGUUUUGAGAGACGGGUUCUCUUUAGGUCUAGCAAGAUAGUUAUUGUUCCAUAACCUGGUCAAGAUAGAUCCUUCCGCUGCCUGAUCGACUUGGUUCUUCAAGACAGGUUCUUGCUGGAUCGGGUUCAUAUCAGAGACAUUUAUCAUUUUACAGAAAUAAACACACAUUAAAAGGAUACGGUGUUCACGUGGAACUGUUUCGGUCAGCUUCACCUUAUAACUCCAAUAAUUUCUCCGAUUUAUCUGGCCAUCGCCUUAUUCCUCCAGUGGUAAUAUUCGAGUAUACCGAUACGGUGGUCCAGGAUUCCAACCUACCCGACCGAGUCUAGUCUUGGCUCGAGCAGGUUAGCAACCAAGGGCAGGACCCAGUUUAGCUAAGAGUGUACAACAUGCGCAAAUAAUUAAGUAAACCGGUAAACAGUAGAAAUUCAUGGUUAAACGGUAGAAAUUUAUUAUUUUCGUAGAUCGAGUGUGAUAAAGUACGCACUCGCCUUAAAACGGUGGAAAAUUACAUAGGAGCAAUUAUAGAUAACACUUAACACUCAAACACACAAGAAAUAUGUGGUAAACAUGUAGCAAAACUAUUCAAGUCACAAACACCUACAAGAAACACUCACCAAUUCAAAAUAUGUGAGUAAAUACAAAUAAGAUAUUUAGUAGUCGGCUCCGAGAUUCUCUUCAAGAUCCUGUUGAGCGUCUGAAGAAAUAACAAUUAUCUAUCACUUACCAAUACUUACAAACCCCUUGCCAAAUAAGGAAGAAUGUACACUUGCGUAAUACUAAGACAAUGUCUUAAAAGAGCUUCAUUCUAGUGAAAUUCAAGAUUCAAAAGUGAGAGUUCAAAGUCACAAGGGAUAACUCGUAUCCUCCAUGAAACCAGAUUCAAAACGAACUAUCAAUAGCAAAAGGAAAUGAAAAGUUCUUAAAAACUCAUUUCCUAAGAAAUAAAAAAUUUUCAGCUUUGCGCAACAAACUUGGUAAAAUCUGAUCUUGAGUUUGGUACGUCUAAAAAUGGAAAACUUUAUACCGUUGGAAACUAGAUCCAUAGUACUAAAAGUUUCUAGAACACACUUUUUUCAAGGUUCCAAACAGAAAGCAUUCAUUUUUCAGCUCAAAGUUCCAAUUCCAAGAAGACAGGUUUGAACCAGUCUUGGUUUUCUUGUAAUCUUUGGAAAUUCGGAAAAAUUCACAGAAAGUGAACUAACCUUUAAAAUUUGUAACACAAUAAGAGUCCCAUACAAAGUUUCAAACACCACAAGCGGAACCAAAUUUGGAGUUUCGAGCAACAAGAUACAACAGUUGGAAGGUGGUUGGUUUUUGUACCCUGUUUAGUGAUUUUCCAGAUUUGAAGAGAAAUCUUUGGGGCAUUAUUUGAGUAUCGAAAUGGCAUUGAAAUCGCACCAAAUCUAGUACACUUAAACUUCCAUAUAUGAACUACUUCUCUAUCAAAUUUUAUACAAGAACUCCCGCGGGAAGGCAGUUAACGAAACAACCAAAGUUCGUGAAAUUUCCAAAACUAAUCUGCCACCCUAUCUCUCUUUCUCUUUUCAAAAGUUUUGUACAAUGAAAUCAGCUCCAAAUCGAUCCAUUUUUGAAACCAAGGUUCUAGAAACAUUUAUUAAACAAUUGAUGGUUAAAUGACACUAAAAUUUUUGAAAUAUAACCUCCCAAAACAAGUUUGACCAUUCGGUCAACAAGAAAGGAAAAACUUCCAGUUUUCCAGCUUUGUUGCACUUUUAAAAUCAGACCAUAUCUCACUCUGUACAACUCCAAAUUGAGAUUCGUUUAUGGUGUUAGAAACUAGGUUCCAUAUACUACAAUUCAUCAGAAGACAUCAUUUUGAAAAUCUUUUCACAAGUGGGACAAAAUCAAGCCACAAAAUGCAGCUUCCAGUUUCAUUCGUAUGAACAGUCGAAACAGAACAGCUAAUUUUGCCAACUCACUGCGGUUCACUCAAAAUGAACCAGUAGGAGAUUUUUAUACCGUUGGAAAGAUAUGAAUGUCUAGUUUUGAAUGCCGUUCACAGCACUCAAUUUUGACUUUUAUACAAAAAUUUAUGUUCGAACAAAGAACACUGUCCGAGAACCCCUGCUAUACGUUUUUUCAGAUUUGAUUCUUGCCAAAACUCAAGUUUUACGCAACCAAAUGAAACGAUUUUUGGUAGGCACUUUCUACACACACUAUACAACCUAUAUCCAUCAAUUUCACAGUCAAUCAAGCGUAAAAUUUUUGAAACUAAAACAGAACAACAUGAACAGAAAUUUUGGACUGCACCUCUUCCUCACGGUUUCUCUCUUUCUUUUUCCUCUUCUAGUUUCUUCCAUUAAAACUCAUCACAAACACACUAACACACACAUAAACAUCAUGGCAUCCCUCAUAUAACCAAGGUGGGAGUUCAUAGAGCUCACUUCAACCAACCAAAUCCAAGCAACAACAACAAUAAGGAAGCUACAAGCUUCAAAACCAAGAAAUAAAACAAGAAAGCAAGAGUUUUGGUAGGAGAUAUUUAUACCUUCAAACACAAGAGGAAACCCUAGAAUUUUGGUGUGAAAAACUCCUUAAAACAGCCCCUAACCAGCUGCCCCUCUCUUCCCUUCAAGCUAGAGCAAGAACCCAAGGAGGUUAAUGGUUGGAUGAUGAAUUUCAAGCAAGAUUGAAGAGCAAAAGUUGGAGUUUUCUCCUCCCUUUUUGUGUUGCUAUGGCUGGCCAAAAAUGAGAGAUGGUGAGGGAGUGUUGGUGGUUUGAAUAGUGAAACUUGGAGAGAAAGAAUGAAGAAAAGUAGCCAUUAAGUUUUGUGAAAAAGUCAAAUUUUCAAUAGUGACUCGAUAGGGUUUCGUACCACCAAUUUCUCUCGGGUUUGAUACACUCAUGCACUAAUCCUCCAAGGUACUUCCUUUAACACUGUAAUUACUCACUCUUACUAGUCUAAUAUUAAUUUCUCAAAUCUCCAAAUAAAUCGCGCAGUGCGACUUUCGAGAAACUAUUGACGCGCGCGCGGUAAAAGUUUAAUUUAAACUUACUCACAUCUAAUCCCUCAAUUAACUUUUCUUAGUCUACUAUUAAUUAUCCUUAGUUCUCCAAGACUAAUGUACUCUCGGAUCGAAUUUACCUCGAAAAAUGUGUAUUCGCUAUUUCUCGCCAAACGAGCCGUAGAAAAAUUAAAUUUGCUAACGAAACGUUUUAAAAUUAUAAAAGGGACAUUUUUGCAUACAAAUGGACUUAAAACGGAUGAAAUAAAUUAUUUGGGUAAACGGGUGAUUAAAUACUUAAAUAAGCCAGUAAAAUAAAAUAAAAAUAAGAAGAAAUUUGGGUCCUCACAGCAAUAUAAGUACAACUUACCCUUGUGGGCAAAAACAACAAAAGCCCUGUGAUUUCAUGCUUCAAUUUGAACAAAUCGAUGAGUUUUGAAAGGCUAGGUUUUGAGCACAAAAUUUGAAAACACACAAAUUUCUCUAGGUUUGUAGCCUUCAAUCCGAUGUUGUGACACCUGCACAAGUUGGAAGGACUGCAUAAAUCAUUGUUAACACAAAAAAGUAGAGAAAAGGUGGUGCAGGGAAUGUUUCAUUGAGAGGAAAAGAAAGAAAACAAGGGUAAAGAAGAAAGAAAAGGAAAAGAAGCAAGAAUGAAGAAGCCAUGUAAAAUUUCUUCUUUAAACGACGAUGUCCGGCGUGGGACAUCACACCGGUCUUCAUGCGGGACAUCACCAGAUGGUUAAGCUGGUGCUAUUUCCUCCUUUUUUCUUGAAUCUGUCAAUGUCUAGCAUGAAGUCCAAUCUAAAGACUGGCACUGGUCAUUACUUCUCCAUUUUUUUAAAAAAAAAACUGGAAAUGAAUCAAAUAUAAACUUGCAAAACAAACAAAAAUAAAAUCAGGAAAUCAUAGAAAUAGCAUAACACAAGAUGACAAGAAAGUUAAAAACUUAUAAAGGAAUUCAGGUUGCCUCCUGCAAGCGCCCAGCUUAAUGUCUUUAGCCAGAUAGAGCUAAGCCAAUUAUUCUAAAAAGUGCACUAGCUCCACCAUCCCGACUUGAUCACCCUCAAAAUAUAACUUCAAAUGUUGACCAUUAACCACAAUUGCCACAUGUCUAUCUCUUUGAAUCUCUAUACUACACAUGGACCAACUUAGGUAACAAUGAAAGGACCUAACCAUCGGGACUUUAACUUGCUAGGAAAUAAUUUAAGAUGAGAAUCAAACAACAAGGCAUUUUGUCCAACUUGAAACUCCUUCCUAAUGAUAUGCUUAUCAUGCCAUGCCUUUGCUCUUUCCUUGUAGAUACGAGCAUUCUCAUAAGACUCAGGUCAAAUUUCAUCUAGCUCAUUCAGGUGGAGCAAUCUCCUUUCACUAGCAUUUUAAGGUCAAAGUUCAAUGUUUGGCCACCCAAUAAGCUCGAUGCUCCAACUUCACUGACAAAUGACAUGACUUCCCAUAGACGACUAAUUGAUAUGGAAACAUAACCAAUACCAUUUUAUAAGUAGUCUAGUGUAUGCAUCAUCGAGCUUAAGUGCCUAAUCUCUCCUAGACGGAUUCACCAUUUUUUUCAAAAUUUACUUUAUCUCCUGAUUGGACACAUUUGCUUGAUCAUUAGUCUAGGAAUGAUAUGUAACACUAGCAUGGAAUUUCACUCCAUACUUAGCCAACAGUACCUGAAAUUGACCAUUGUCAAACUGAACACCAUGGUCACUUGAAAUCGCAUGAGGUACUCCAAAGCGUGUAAAAAUAUUUAUCUUGACAAAUUUCACCACACUUUGGCUUUUGUUGUCAGAGAAGGCCACCAUCUCUACGCUGCAACCAAAAUGUAUGAAUUACCAUAUAAAGGUGGAAGUAGUCCCAUGAAGUCCAAACUCUAGAAUCGAAAGGUUCAACUUCCAAAAUCCCCGUCUGUGGCAUCUCUUGAUGAUGACCUAUGUUACCCAUAUGCUAGCAUUUAUUACACAUCAAUACAAAGGUCCUGGCAUCCUUGAACAGUGUCGUCCAAAGGAAUCCCAAUUGUAGCAACUUAGUUGUAGGUCUUUCUAACCCAUGAUGACCACCACAAGGAGACGCAUGGCAAUCUCGAGAAUCAAACUCAUCUCCUCCUCCGGUACAUAUCUCCUUAUGACUUCAUUAGCACACUUUUGAAAUAAUAGAGAAUCCUCCCAAAAGUAAUGUUUUACCUCAACAAGGAAUGUCUUCUGUUGCUAAAAAGUCAAAUUAGAGGGCAUAAUAUUAGUAACAAGAAAAUUGUCAUAAUCAACAUACCAAAAUUGUGACGCCCCCACUUUUCCCUAAGGCGAACCAAAAGGUAUCCGCGGGACGCCUGCCCAAUUCUCACCAGAACUCAGUACAAUUCCAGUUCAAACUUAAAGUACAAAACUAACAAUGAAAUCGGAAUAAAGGUACGAAGUCAUUCCCAUACAUAAAUAUUCAAUCUUACAUCACAAGUUCAAGAUACAUCCCCUUUCCAAAAUAUACAACUUCCCAAAAGGAUGUUUAAACAAAAUACAUUCCAAAAUUUAAGUCCAAAGAGCCAUCAAGUAGGAAUAUCCAUAAUUCCUUCCAUUUCGGUUCCUGUUAAGGAAAACAAAUCUAACGGGGUAAGCGGAUGCUCGUGAGGCCAGGAAAACAUGCAAAACACAUAUUUCACAUAACAAUAACACUUGAACAAGAAUGAAAGCUGUAACAUUCGAGUAAUUCACUUUCAACAAUAACAUACACUUGAUAAGGAUACAGGAGCUCUCAGGAGCUAUAUUGCACUUGCACGAUCCAAAACCUCCUCGAGUUGACACUCCGUCAAUCGGGUAGGUUAUACGUCCGCAGAUAUUACUUGUUCUUCCCUGUUCACCGUUACUCCCCCUGCUCCGGGCUUGCACUUCUUUUAUAUAAGGCGAUAUUACUUGAGUAUGCCAAGCGAGAUCUUUCCAGUAGAUCAUGCUUUUACAUUUUUCCCAUGGCUCACCAAGGUUCCCGACCAACCUCAUGCCGGCUCGAAUCGAAGGUCGGCCAAUGAGAUUUGGGCGUCCCCCACUAUUACCACUAAGAGUCGAGGAGAUUCACUCCAACCGACAUAUGCAACCAUAGCAUAAUUAACCAUUGAAACACUUCACUUAAAUAUUCACUUCAAGUAAUUCACUUCAUGUAAUUCAAGUACACUUCACUUAAAUGAGAACGAGUGCGAUAAAGUACACACUCGACUUGACAUUUUUAAAAUAUUCAAUCACUAAUAACAAUUAAGCACAUAACAAUUUUUUUUUCCGCACACUUGACACUCACCAAUCAAAAACAAGGGAGUAGUGCUCAAUCAAGCGUUUAGGCGUCCGCUGUUAGGUCCUCUUGAAGGUCCCCUUGAGUGUCUGAGCAAAUAAAAAUUUACUAUCACACACUAUCACUUAUAAACCCCUAGCUAUCAAGGAAGAUUGUACCCUUGUACAAUACUAAGAAAAUGUCAUGAAAGAGAGCCUUAAUUACGUGUAAAUCAAGGCUCAAAAGUAGGGUUUAAUAACACAAGAAAAAACUGAUUUUUCCACUUUGAAAUCGAGUGUAAAACAGUCAAUCAAUAUCGAAGGGUAGUGAAGAGUUCCUAAAACUCAUUUCUCCAACAAGUUCGAAAAAUUCAGUUUUAAGUGUCAACUUUGGAAAAUCAUAUCUUGCACUCAGUAGGUCCAAAAUUGGAAAACUUGAUACCAUUGGAAACUACUAGAAGACACUUUUCUAAGAUUAUGAGCGGAAGACAUUCAAAUAUUAGCUUAAAGUGGCUGACUUAUACUUACUAGACAGUUUCAGUCUUAGUUUUCGGUAAACUUUAGAAAUUCAGUAAAAUUCACAGAACGUGAACUAGCCUCCGAAAUUCGUAACAAAAUAAGAAGUCCAAUCAAGGUCUCAAACAGAACAAAUGGAACAAGAAUCGGAGUUUUGAGUGUUAAGAUAUAUUAACUCAAAGUUGGUCAAAAUAAGGAUUGUUCGGUCCAUUUUCUAGAUUUGAAGAACAAUUUUGGCACAUCAUUUGUAUAUUGAAAUGGUCUUAGAAUGGCAUCAAAAUUGGUACAAUUCAACUUCCAUAUGAGGACUACUCCUCUAUCAAAUUUCAUUUGAAAAUUCACACGGGAAGGUAGUUAACAAAACUACCAAAGUUUAAGGAAUUUCCAAGACAAAUCUGUCUUCUUGCUUUCUUUUCUCUUUUCAAACAUUUUGCACCACGAAAUCAGUCCCAUUUUGGUUCAUUUGUGAAACCACGGUCCAAUAAACAUUUCAUAAGCAGUUCAUAGUUGGUUGACAUCAAGAUUUUCAAAGCAAAGCAUCUCACAAACAACCAAAUCAGUUGGCCAGAAAAAAGUAGGGUUUUCCAGCUCUGCUGCAGUUUACAAAUUCACCAUAUCUCACUCAAUACAGCUUGGAAUUGAGAAUGGUUGGUGGAAUUAAAAACUAGAUUCAAAAGGCUACAUUUCAUCUGAACAAAUCAUUUUGAAAUUCAAUUUGCAAAGGAGAGAAAAUAGAGUCACAAAUUGCAGCUUCUACCUUUCUCUCGGAUAGGCUAACAGAACAGGGAAGCCAACUUUGAUCAAUCACUACAGAUGACUCAAUUCGAAUUAGAAGGUGCAUGAUAUACCGUUAGAAAACGACGGAUGUCUAGUUUUGAAUGCCACUGACGGCACUCAAUUCCAACAUCCGGACGGAGAGAUAUGUUCAUUCAAAAAACACUGCCAGAGGACCACUGAUACACGAAUUUUCCAGAUUUGUUCUUGCCAAAAUUAAAUUUUUAUCCAACCAAUCAAAUAAUUUUUGGUAGAAAAUUUCUACACACCAUACACAACAUACAUACAUCAGUUUCAAAGUCAUUUGAGUAUAAAAAAUUUGAACUAAAUGCACGGCACAAAUAGGACAGAUUUCGGCCGGUCUUCCUAUGCAAUUUCCUUCGGUUUUCCUUUCACUUGUCUAACUAACAUCAUCUUGUUUAACACAUAAUUAACACAAACAACACUUAUUAUCAUCAUAUCAGCCCAUACAACCAAGGUGGGAAUUCAUAGAGCCCACAUCAACCAUUCCAAUUCAAAUAACAACAUCAAUAAUGAAGCUACAAGCUUCAUAGCCAAGAUUAAACCCACUAAAGCUAAGAUUAAGUGAUUGGAUGAUUACCUCCUAAUCCUUGAGAGAAACCAGAAAUUUUUACACUACUAGAGCCCCAAGAAAACCAUGAGAUGAUGUCUUUCUUCUAGUUUAUGUGAAUGUCCAAGUAGUUUAGAAGUUGGGUGCAGGAUUUGAGCAAGAUCGAAGCAAGAUUGGAGUGAAAUGAGAAGAGCUUUCUUCUUCCUUCUUUUCUUUCUUGUUUAGUUGGCACUAAGGAGUGAAAAAGAAUGGUUCGGUGUGUCAUGAAGCUUCCUUGAAAAGCUUGAGGUUUUGUGGUUAAGAUUUGAGCAAAAGUCAACAAUGAAUAGUGCGUGCGCGCACGCGUGUGUUUCGUAUCCGUUUUCUCUCGGGUUUGUUUUACUUGUACACUAAAUCUCUAAUGUACUUCCUUUAACAUUAUAAUUAUUCACUCUUAGUAGUCUAGAAUAAAUUUCUUAAAUCUCCAAUUAACCGCUCCGGCUCGAUCUACGCGAACUUCCAAUUCGCGCGUGAUAAAGCGAAACCUAAAAGAAAUUCUUGUAACGAUAAUAUAAGUAACUAAUACUAGGGUAAUUAAUCAUAAAAAUAACUAUUUUAAGACUAACGCAUGAGUUCUCAAAUCUCCAAGGUCACUGCACUCUCAAAUCGAAUAUUGUCUCCAAACGUGUAUUCGCUAUUUCUUACUAAACGAGCUUCCGAAAAUUAAAUUUGCUAACGGGACGUUUUAAACAUAUAAGUAAGGCAUAGUUCCAUGUAAAUGGUUUUAAACUGGUUGAAAUAAAUUAUACAGAGAAAAUAAGUGAAUAAAUAUUUAAAUAUGCCAGUAAAUAAGAAAAAUUAAGAAAUUUUUUUUUCGAGUCCUCACAUCCUUCCCUCCUUAAAAGAAUUGCAUCCUCGAAACUCACAUUUAGGACAAUAUCAUUUCCUUAAUAGUUAUACUUAUCAAAUCAAUUACUAACCUACACUCUCCAAUCCAUAUCUCACAAUUUCUAUUCAUCCAAUUAGCAAUCAAACUUUGAUUUUUCCCCCAAUAGAUGUUUUAACUUCCAAAUCAUAGAGUAACUUAAUCAACCUCAUGUCUACCUUACUCAUGAAUUUAGGGUUUUCAAAAGAAUGUGUCAUAUCAUAGUUAUUUCGAAUCUUAGCUAGUUGGAUUAUAUCUCCAAUGAGCUCUCUUAGGCCCUUCUCGACAAUGGACCACCGGAAGGCGCCCCCGAAAUGACUUAAUAUCACCAUUACCUUCCAUACCUUACAGUUAAAGUAAAAGCUCAGAUAGGUCCUGUGACAGCCCCACCUCCCCCUGGGGUGUACCCUAGGGUUUAACGGAUCGCCUGCCCAAUUCUCGCCAAGACUCACUCACUCACAUCAAAUAAAAUAGGAUGCAACCUCAAUAAUAAACGAAAUAAUAGUUCCUAGAUUUGGCACAUACAACUACAUUCAUUUCUAUCUCAACCACCCAUACAAUCCCAAAUACAUCAAAAGAUUUAAGUUCUCAAUACAUUCAACCCUAAUCGAGCGACUAGUGCGAGUACAAUUAUAAAAUUCAAAAAACAACUAGACUACGCUAGUCUGUACCAGUCUCACGCUUUGCUCGUACCCCUUGUAAGGAAAACAAAUGGCAUGGAAUGAGCUAAAAGCCCAGUGAGGUUCCAAAUAGCAAGUUGACCAUUAUUUAAAAGUGCAAGUAUCACGUAGCAAAAUAGCGAGCAUAACAAGUGUAUAAAAGUAGCAUUAACACUUUAGGUAGCAAAUCUCAAAAUGAACGAGUGUAAAAUUCUUUUCUUUUAAAACGAAAUAAUAACACGAUAAGUACUAAUCAUUCCAAAGUAUAAGGAUACGGAUGGCUCUCAGGAGCCAAAUUCCAUUGCAUCACCAGUGACGGGAACCAAUUCCAGAUUUCUAAGCUUCCGAAAUUCCAACAUUUGGGUGACCAAAUCAAGUUAUUUUUCAAUGAAAAUUUUUACACACUCAAUAUAACAUGUAAACAACAUAAACAAGCCAUUAGAAUAUCAAAAUUUCGUACCAAAGUGCUCGAACAAAGCAGGGGUAAAAUGGUCACUUUUGGUCAUUGCACCAUCCUUGAGUUUCUAUCAACAAUCCAACAUUAAUCCACUAGUUUAGUUUAAACACUAAAUAAACAUUAUUACCAUCAAAACACCACAAAUCAGUCCAUAUAUCCAAGAUGGGAGUUCAUAGAGCCCACACAACCAUUUUUUCACCAUAAACAAGCUACCCAUGAACAUGCAUGAGUAUAUAAGGGCACUAGAACUUCCAUAAACCAAGUUUUGAAGGUUAGAUCAUUACCUACUUCACUUGGUGUGCAAGAACAGCAUUUUCGGUCCUCUCCUUGGCCAAGAAAACCGUGAAAAGCUCCCCCUUUUUGUAGCUUAAGAUGAUCUUCAAGUAAUAAGCUAAGUGUAGUUAAAUUUUGGUGCAAAAUGGUGCAAGUUUUGUGAGGGAAAUGGAGAAGAAAAUUGAAGGAGCAAGCUUGGUUCUUUUCCUUGGAGUUGUACGCUGGAAAUGGAGCUAGGAGAGAGGGAAUUCUGAUCUGAAAUGAAGCUUCCAAAGGAAGCUUUAGUGUGUGGUCCAAAGUUGUCCAAAAGUCAACCUUUCUGUGCUCGAUUCCUCUCGAGUUUAUUUCACUAGUGCACUAGACCUCCAAUACACUUAUAUUCAUAUAAAUAUUAUUCACUCUUAAUUGUUCUAAAAUGAGGGUCUAAAGUCUCUCAAUUAAAUCCCGCGUAUGAAAACGCGUAUUUCCAAAUUAAGCGCGAUAAAGCGAAACCUCCAUGAAUUUCUUAUAACGAUAGUACUAAUAACUAUCAAUUGAGUACUUAAACAUAAAAUUACCUAUUUUAGGACCAUUGUGUAAGUCUCCAAUUUUUCAAACUUAUUGUACUCUCAAUCGGUUAAAAUUCCCAUACACGUUUUCACUAUUUUCACUCAACGAGCUUUCAAAAAUUAAUUUUUGAAACAAGUCACUUUAAAAAUAUAAUGAAGCUAUAAUUCCAUGUAUUUAGGUCUAAUAAGGUUAGAAAAUAUUAUUCGGGGCAAAUAUCCAAAUAAAUAAUUAAAUGAGCCAAAAAUAAAGGUUUAAAAAUAAGAAUUUUUACGAGUCUUCACAUCCUCUUCCCCUUAAGAGAAUUUUGUUCUCGAAAUUUACCUUGAUCUGUGAACAGGUCGGGAUACUUUUCUCGGAUUGCCUCCUCUACUUCCCAAGUGGCUUCCUUUAUUCCAUGAUUCCUCCAAAGCACUUUCACCAAUGGUAUUCGUUUAUUUCUCAAUUCUUUCACCUUUCGAUCCAGAAGUUUCACCGGUCUCUCCUCAUAGGUCAAGGUUUCUUCAAUUUCAAUACUCUCCGGUUGCAAAAUGUGAGAGGGGUCUGGAUGAUACUUCUUAAGUAUGGACACAUGGAAUACAUUAUGGAUUCGAGAUAAAUUCGGUAGCAACUCCAACUUGUAUGCCACAUUCCCCACGCGCUGGAUAAUCUUAUAAGACCCUACAAAUCUCGGUUGUAGUUUAUUUCCCCUUCCAGACAUCAAACUCACUUUCAAAGGUGUAAUCUUGAGAAACACUAAAUCUCCAACAGUAAAUUCUAGAUCCUUUUUCCAAUUUUCGGCAUAGCUCUUUUGACGGCUCUGGGCGGUUUGGAUCCUCUGGCGUACCAACUUUACCUUUUCAUUAGCUUUCUCAAUCCAAGAUACUGUAGUCGGGUUUAAAAUCUUUCUUUCACCUACUUCAUCCCAACAAAUUGGAGACCUACACUUCCGACCAUAAAGGGCUUCAUACGAAGCCAUUUGUAGAGAAGAAUGGAAACUAUUGUUAUAAGCAAAUUCCACUAAAGUUAAAUAUUUACUCCAACUUUCUCCAAAAUCUAGAACACAGGUCCUCAACAUGUCCUCAAGAGUUUGAAUUGUCCUCUCAGAUUGUCCGUUAGUCUGAGGAUGAUAAGUAGUACUAAAGUUCAGUUUUGUCCCCAACACCUCUUGCAUCUUUUGCCAGAAUUUCGAAACAAAUUUUGGAUCUCUAUCCGACACAAUACUCACAGGUAUACCAUGUAGUCUGAUGAUCUCAUCCAUGUACAUCUUAGCUAACUUUUCUAAUGGGUAUUUCAUAUUAAUCGGCAGGAAAUGAGCCGAUUUGGUCAGUCCAUCCACUAUCACCCAAAUAGCAUCAUGGCCUCUUUGUGUCCUUGGUAAUCCGGAUACAAAAUCCAUAGUGAUGUUCUCCCAUUUCCAUUCAGGUAUCUCCAACGGUUGUAAGAGUCCCGACGGUUUCUGAUGUUCGGCCUUAACCUGUUGACAAACCAAACAGGUCUGGACAAAAUGGGCAAUUUCCUUCUUAUUCCCUCCAGGGUGUACCGUAAACUUUGAUCGGUGUGCCUAUUCUAAAAUUUCCUUCUUAAGUCCUUCAUCCUUUGGCACUACUAUCCGAUUCCGAAACCUCAAUACACCAUUUGAUCCCAAGUUAAAAUCCGACUUAUCUCCCCUUUUAACUAUUUCCAACCAUUUUCGCACUUCAGUGUCCUUUUCUUGAGAUCCCUUGAUACGUUCGAACAAAGUGGAAUUCACUACAAUAUUCUCCAAAAUGACCUUCCUCGAUUCCAGUCGAGGAUUCUAAUAACUGACUUCUUCCAACAAGUGUAGUUCCUUAAUCAUCAAUCCAGCCAUUUGUACUUAACGGCUCAAAGCAUCGGCCACUACAUUGGCCUUCCCGGGAUGGUACUUAAUCGUAUAAUCAUAGUCCUCCAGAAAUUCCAUCCAUCUACGUUGCCUCAAAUUUAGUUUCUUUUGUGAGAAUAAAUACUUAAGACUUUUAUGAUCAGUAAAAACCUCAAAUGUCACUCCAUAAAGAUAGUGUCUCCAUUUCUUUAAAGCAAAUACCACUGCUACCAACUCCAAGUCAUGAGUCGGAUAAUUCCCUUCAUGUGGUUUCAAUUUCCUUGAGGCAUACGCUAUGACUUUGUCAUUUUGCAUCAAAACACAUCCCAAUCCUUCCUUAGAGGCAUCGGUGCAAACCACAAAACUAUCCUUUCCAUUGGGUAGAGCUAAUACUGGGGCUUUGGUCAAGUCUCUUUUCAAUUCCUGGAAACUCUCUUCACACUUAGGACUCCAAAUAAACUUUUCACUUUUCUUGGUCAACUCAGUCAUGGGUCCAGCAAUUCUAGAAAAAUCUUGGAUAAAUCUUUGGUAAUACCCUGCAAAUCCAAUAAAACUCUGAACCUCAGUAGGGUUUUCCGGUCAUUUUCAUUUCGAAACAGCUUCAACUUUAGCUGGAUCCACUUUAAUCCCAUCUUUAGAAAUUAUGUAUCCCAAGAAAGUCACUUCCCUCAACCAGAAUUCACAUUUACUGAACUUAGCAUAUAAUUGGUGUUCCCUCAAAGUCUGUAAGACAAUUCUCAAAUGUUUCUCGUUGUCUUUCACAUUCUUAGAAUACACCAAAAUAUCAUCAAUAAAGACCACCACAAAUUGGUCCAAAUAAGACUUAAAAAUCCUAUCCAUUAAAUCCAUGAAAGUAGCAGGUGCAUUUGUUAACCCAAACGGCAUUACGGCAAACUUGAAAUGCCCGUGUCUCGAGUUAAAAGCAGUCUUGGAUAUAUCCUUCUCCAAAAUUCUCAAUUGAUAAUAACCCUGUCUUAAAUCCAACUUCGAAAAUACUACCGCCCCUUGCAAUUGGUCAAAUAGCUCAUCAAUGUGGGGCAAUGGGUACUUAUUCUUGAUCGCAACAUCAUUCAAGUCUCUAUAGUCUAUAUACAGUCUCAAACUCCCGUCCUUUUACUUAACAAACAAAACCGGGGCUCCCCACUGAGAAUCACUUUCCCGUAUAAAAUCCUGUUCUAACAAGUCUUGCAGUUGCAUUUUCAACUCUUUCAAUUCAACUGGUGCCAUCCGAUAUGGUGUCUUAGAGAUAGGUGCUAUUCCCGGAGUCAUAUCAAUCUUAAAAGCUAUAUCCCGUUCCGGGAGUAAAGACUCUAACUCUUCAGGAAAUACAUCUGAAAAUUCUUUUACUACAGGCAUGUCUUCCAAAUUCACCUUAUCACUAGGAGUGUUGAUUAAAAAGGCCAAGUAGCCUUGAACUCCUUUACUUAAUAAUUUUCUAACCCGAAUCCCUGAUAUAAGUGCAGACGAAACCAAUUUACCCCUUACAUCCAAUUUUAGGGUCACCUGCCCUGGAAUGCCCAAUUCUACAAUUUUUGUCCUACAAUUCAGCUGGGCGUCAUAACAGGCUAGCCAAUCCAUCCUAAAAUCACAUCAUACCCCUUAAUUGCUAAGCCUAUCAAAUUGACCAACAAUUUUCGUUCCCCGACACAGAUUUCACAAUUUCUAUACACCAACUUAGCAAUUAAACUUUGAUCCCCAGUAGGUGUUUUAACUUCCAAAUCAUAUAGUAACUUAAUUGGCUUCAAAUCUAUUCCACUCAUGAAAUUAGGGUUUACAAAAGAAUGUGUUGCACCCGGAUCAAUUAAAACCCUAGCUAAACGGUGAAAGAUUGGAAUUGUACCUUCAACCACUUCAGUCGCCUCAGGUACCUGUUGGUAGUCCAGUGCAUAGACCAUAGCUGGCACUUUCGGUCGACUUCCCCCAGCACUGGUCUACUUGGAGGUUGACUUUUCUGGCCUCUGGGUAUUACUUCCCACUUUUGGCGCUUUCGAACAAUUCUGGACCUGAUGUUCGGCACUACCACAAAACAAACACUUCCCCGACUUUCUCCAGCAGUCAUUCUCGGAGUGGUUGGAUUUACCACAGUACCCAUAAGUAACUUGAGAAAUCACCGCCGAACCAGUAGAUGGCGCUCCCCUAGCUUAGGUCGGUCCACUACAACCUAAAGCUCCCCUCGAGGCCCCAGCAGUCCUUGUUCCUCCCGCUCGUCUUCCCAUUUUGGAAGGUUACGUAUUCUUACUAGCCUGCCCAGAAGUAUGGCUGGAAAAAUUCCUUUUUCUAUUGUGAAAGUCCCUCACUUGUAGUCUUGCACUUUCAACCCUCUGUGCCUUCUCUAGAGCCUCAGUAAAUGUAGAAAAUUUGAGCAGCGGCCAGGUCCUCCUAAAUUUUCACAUUCAACCCCUGUACAAAUCGUCUUAUCCUCUUCCAUUCAUUAACCACCAGCUCAGGGGCAUACUUAGAAAGGUUAGUGAAUUUUCCUUCAUACUCUGCUACAAUAAGGAUUCCUUGUUUCAACUUAAUAAAUUCAUCCUCUCUCUUUUCUUGGAUCAAGGGUGGAAGUAACUUUUCAUUAAAUUCUCUCGUGAAGUUCUCCCAGGUCCAAGGGGUUUGAGCUCUUUCCCAUUUUCCUUUUAUCACAUCCCACCAAGCACGAGCUACUCCCUCGAAUUGGAAAGCAGUAAAAUUCACUCGUCUAUCCUCAGUGUAGUCUAGAGCGGCGAAUAUGUUGGUCAUCCUCUCUAACCAAUUCUCUGCUAUCUCAGGAUCAGGUUCACCAAGAAACUUAGGUGGGUUGAACUUUAAGAACCUUUCUAAGGCUCUAUCCUCUCCUCUAUACUGUCCCCCAGGUUGGUUAAGUGGUCCAGGACCUUGUCUAUCAGCUAAACGUUCUAAGAUAUCAGUCAUCUUAUUAAUGGCAGUAGCCACUUGAUUUUUCUCUACAUUUUCCUGUCCCUGGGUCGGUCCAGUUGCGGAUCCCUGGUCAUCCCUAUGAGGUUGGGCUUGUCUAGUCCCUCGCCCACGGUCUCGACCACUUCUCAGCCCUUUGUCGCGCCCCAUUUUUUAAUAAGAAUGAGUGAAGUAUGGUUUGAAAAUCGGUGAUGUGUGUGAAAAAGAAAAAGGCCAUGGAACUUUGAAAUGCGAUGGUUUGGCCAAAAUAGUAAUCUAAAAAGGUUUUGAUAAGAGUGUAGAAAUCGCUAUUUGGUAUCGAGUUAGGGUGUACCAAGUCACCCAAAAAAUAUGGAUUUAAAAAUGUAAAAAAACCUUUUUGGAGUCAAUCUACAAUAAAUUAGAGAAAAUGGUUCGGGGGUCGCGGUUGAAGAAAGGGAAGGCAAAAACAAUGUCUAAGGCACCCUCUCAACCUAACUUAAGCUAGUUACAUGAUUUAGUCACGAUUUUCCUAAUUUCUAACCAAAGAUGUAUCGCAUUUGGAUGUGACUAACAUGGAUGCAAUCCUAAAUCUAAUGAUGAAUCGAAAGGGACAAAUAUCUCUUAGAGGCUUGAUCGGACUAGAUCACAUGAGUUGUGAUAGCCAAGGAUAAGCCCUCCAAGAGGUCACGAAUAAAUGCAAAAGAAUGCUCGAGUAAUAAUGAGGAAAAAUGAGAGUGCACGAAAAUGUCUUUGAGUGUAAAAACGAUUGCUAGGUGCAAGUGUGCAAAAUGCAAGGGUGCAAAUGAGUAUAUAAAAGUGCAUGUGUACAAAUGAGGGAGGGUGUAAAGUGCAGGUGUGCGAAUGAGUAUGUAAAGUGUAAAUGUGCAGACGUGAGAGAGUGUAAAGUGAUAGUGUGCGAAGUGGGAAUGUGUAGGAUGAGAGUGUGUGAGGUGAAAACAUGAAAAAAUGAUAGUGUGUAAAGUGAGAGUGUGCAAAUGGUAAUGUGCCUUGGAAAUGCAUGAGCCCUAGAGGAAUGCAAGCAAGACAGGUACGAGGAGACCCUAAAUUGUGACUUUUGAUUUGCCUUUUGGUUAGAAAAAAAACGAGCGUGCUAAGGCUAGGUGUAGCCAUACUCGUCCGUUUCCCUUACUAGAAGGGUGACUCCCUAGCCUAUACAAGCACAUGAGCCAGUCUAAAAUGAGAAUGUAAUCCUAAAUGUGUAAGGGAAAGGUUAGGGGAGCAUGCAGAAGUGAGAAAUACUAAAAUGAAAAUAUGCAUGAAGUUGCAGUGAGGCAUGCAGAUAUGACAUUAGCGAAAGGGGGACGGCCCUAUUGGGUCUAGCAUUGGACUAGCCCUUAACUGACGUUCUCUCACAAGCAUUGGACAUUGUAAGAGCUCGAGGGAGAGACCAUGACUAGCAUUGGACUAGCCAUGGUAACGUGCAUUCCAUCUAUAUAAUCAGAUAUAAUGAUAAAAGCAAAUAGACAUGCAAAGCACCUAGUUUCACAUAGCACGUAGCACAUAAGCAUGCUUAUCUAGAUGCAGAACCCUAGGGAAGUGGUAACACAUAGCACAUAAGCAUGCAAAUCACACAAGGCAAACAAGCCCUAACUAUUACAUUAGGGGGGCCCUACUACAAUCUAAAAGGGAAAAUAAAAUAAAUAAUUAAGAUAAAUACCUAACUAUUACAAUUGUGGCAUUCAAGUGCCUUUCAAAUUAUCAAAAUUGAACUAUAAAAAUGAAUAUACAAAACUAAAGCCAAUAAAUAAGUAAAUGAAAUAAUAAAUAUAAAACACUUUCAAGAGGCAUGCAAUUUAAACACGUAAAGUCACAUAGAGCACAUAGAAUCAAAUAAAGUAAGAAAUAAGGGAUAGGAUGUACCUCCCUUGAGUUGGGGCUCUAAUGAAGUGAGAUUACUUAGUUACCCUCCAAAAUAAAAGAAAAGGUCAAGGCAUCACAAAUAACUAUGAAAUUGAACCAUUAAAAACAUUUAAACGACUAAAACAAUCCAUAUUCACUAAAUAAGGACUCAAUUGGAAGCAUUAACCAAUCAUUCAAGUCCAAUUAGAACACUUUGGGAACCUCAGAGGUCCAUAAGUAAUGAAAAGGUCAAGUAAUGGUUCAAAUUGCAAUUACUCUAGGACCUAAUUGCAAGAAGUUAGAACAUAAUUGGGCCCUUGGCAUUGGAUGGAAACAUGUGAAGUUAAAGUGCAAUUUUGGAAAGCUUUGCAUGCAUGCAACGAAGGCUACCAGCCAUUUGAAACUUUCAUUUGCUUCUGCAAUUCGGCAUUUACAAACUCAACUCACAAACACAAUCAAAUCCGAUUUGAACUAAACAAACAAAACUACCACCUGAACCUUUCAUUUUGCAACAUGAAACUUCUAAAUUUAAACACAAAAAAAUCAGAUAAAGGGGCAUGCAAAUCAGGACAGUUCAUGGGUUUUAUUCCUGCACUUUUCUGUUGCAAGCUUUGCAGCUUCAAUUCACGCAAAUGAAAUGCCGAAAGAUUGCAUAAUAAAUCAUCAUUUAGUAACCAAACCUACACACAUCUCCGAACAUCAGUUUUAACAUCGAGGAAACAAAAAAAUGCAGCAAAAUAAGCAUCAACAUUCACUUGAGAUGUCGAACCAAAACAUUCAAGAAAACAUCUUAACUCUCGGACCAUCAAACAAAUAAGAUACUAGACAUCGGCUCAAGAAGUUUUGAGACAGCAUCAUGCAGCCCAUGAAGAUGUUUUUCUUUCUUAUUGCUGUUUCUAGGUUCUGCAAUUUUCUAUGUUCAGCAAACACACGACAACAACAGCAUUUUCAUCCGUAAACCCAACAUCCAAACCAUCAUUUGAUCAUGCAUUAAAUCAACAUCGUACCAAGAUAACACAAAAAUACAAAGCUUUAGCCCAUAUCACGCAAUUCAGAUCGACAAGCAGCAAAAAAAUGGAAGCCUCGGCUUGUGAAUCGCAACAUCAACUUCGUAAUCCUUACAUCAGUCUACCCCAACACCAACUCAUCAAGUAAAUAUGGAAACUUCAUCCUAAGACUGAAAAGACUGACUUCCAACAAUCAAAACCAUGCAAUGGACAUUAACAAAGAGAUCACAAGCGUCGAACUCGCACCAGUGAAACCCAGCAGCGGUUUUUGAGGGCAAAUUCGAAGACUUUAUCAAUGUUUUCUGUAAACGAUUUCUGAACGAAACCUUCUCCCCUUACUUCCUAGUUGGUGCAGAACUUGAAAAUUUCUUGAAAUAAUCAAAGACUGAAGAAAUAUUCGACCUGAAACAUGGCUUAUAAUCAGCCUUUGUUGUAAAAAUUUCAGCUUUUCAUUCUUUUCUCUCUUUCGAAUCUCUCUUCCAACCCUCUCUUUUGAUCUCUCUUCCAGCCCUUGUUUCCAGGUCCUCUCCUUACUCUGACCUUGCCCAGAUCUUUUCUUAACAGAUUCUCCUUGCUCUUUUUCUUUUCUUUUCCUCCCCGAGAGCUCCUUCCUAGCUCAUCUCCUUCGGUUCUUUCUUUUUCUCUGCUCUUUCUAUUCAGCCCAGCCGCCAACUCCUCUUAGCCGUCACACACCAUUCUCCCUUCCCCUGUUGUUUCAGUCGUCCUCUUUUGCUCUUCCUCACAAUCUCAGCUCUUUUUCUGUUGCUUUCUCCCUACCUCUCUCUCCGUUUUUUCUCUCUGUCUUUUUCAAUCUCCGCCGCCCUUUAUAUCUAGGCUCUCUCUCGGUUCCUCUCAGCCUUCUCCUUUCCUUUAGCCGUCAUCUGAUCCCUUUUCUCUUGCUUGGUUUCUUUCCUAAUACCCUAGCCGCCCAAAGCCCUCAAUCUUUUUAUUUUCUUUUUUGAUUUUUGUCCCCUCAAAACUUCCUAAACCAACCAAGUGUCCUAACACCUCACCUUCUAGGUGUUGUGUUGUCAAAGACACAAAGAGACACUUGUACCACAUGCAAGCUUAUACCUAUUCACACAUUUUCCUUAUUAUUAUUUUUUUUUGUAUUUUUCCUUCAAAAAUUAAUUUAGGUGAACAAACAAAAAUUAUUUUUCAAAUUGAAUCCAAAAUGAUUAAAAUAACUUUUUUUGUGGAAAUUUUCUUUUUCUGAAAUUUAAUGCUAAAAUGUCUUAAAAAUAAAAACUAAGAGACAAAAAAUGAAUAAUACUUAACAUUUAAUCAAUGAAAAUAAAAAUAAAAUUGAAUUAAAAAUUUGGUGUCUACACCCUUCCAUUAUCCUAGGUAUGCCUAGUGUAAGGAAUAAAUCAAUUAGGCAAGAAAUACUUAAAGUAAGAACCAAUUACAAAAACAUUGAAAAUAACAAUAAUUUACAUUCAUUAACACUUCAAAUUCAUACAAUUAACAAGUCAUGGGGAAGAUCACAAAAUAUAGCACACAGGUGCCACAAGAGUACUUUUAGUCACAGAAGACUAAAGUAAAAGCAAGUGCCUCAAAAGUAGGCCACACAGUCAUGCAAAAUACAAUGGCCUCAGCACUUAGCGUCACCCCAACUAAUUCUAGCUAUACUAGUCAAAAGGGUCAAAAGAAAAGUCAAUCAGUCUAGACCUAGUCCACAGUAGGACUAUCAGGAGGAAUCUCCUCCUUAGGAUCUUCCUCCGGAUCCUCCUCCUCCUCAGGGUUCUAGACCACAUCCAUCACCUCAUCCACUAGCCUAGUAGUAUCAGCCAAGAUCCCGGAAGCCCUAUCACGGACCUCCUCCCUCAAGCUAGUAAGUCGAGCCCUAGUACUCUGGAGCUCCUCACGAAUAAUGGCAGAUGUAGCCACCUCGCCCUCAAUAACCUCCUCGAGCUCAGCGAUCCUCUCACCCUGAGUACCUACCAUCUGUCUAAGCUCGUCCACCUCUGCCUGUAAAUUCCGGUUAAGAUCCACUAACUGACGAUGCUCAUCGUCCAAAGCAAGCACGAGGUGGUUUGGGUAGGCAAAUGUCACCCUACACGAACACCGAGGAUACCUAUCAUAGGGUGAGUAGCGCACUCGAGCUCCUCCACUAAGAGCUCGGUAGUAGAUAGGCCUAGGAGGUACUACAUGACCAUUCGCAUGGCCAUUCCUGUUAGCUGCCGGGGCUCCAUUUCCAUUUUCCAUCCCUGCAAAAAUAAUAACACUUUUCGGGUUAGAAUCUUAAUCACUACCUAGUUCGGAUGUCCCUUUAGGGUAUGCCUAACUUAGUCACUAAUUCGCCCAAGUAUCCCUUAAAGUAUGACUAAGUCAUUCUGUCUCAGAUCUUAAGAAUAGAGUAUCUAGUAUGUCUCCCAUAUAGAUCUCCAACCUAGUGCUCUGAUACCAACUGUGACGCCCCCACUUCUCCCUAAGGUGAACCAAAGGGUAUCCGCGGGACGCCCGCCCACCUCUCGCCAGGACUCAAGCAAUUUUCGUUCGAGUUUAAUGCAAUACUAGACAUCACAACCAGAUAAAAAAAAUACAAUCAGUGCGGAAGCGUUCAAACUUAACAAUAUUUAACAAUUAGCCAAUCCAUACAUCAGGUUUCCAUAAUACAGCCCAAAACACACAAUGGCUAUAAGGUCUAGACAAAAGAAUUGAAACCCUAUUACAAAAGUCCUCAAAAGUACAUAAAAGGAAGUUUCCUCCGAGUCUCAUUCCAAGCCCAAUCCUGUUAAGGAAAACAAAUCUACAGGGUGAGCGAAACGCUCGUGAGGCCAAGAACACACAUGCAAGCACAUUGCUCAAAUAACAAUCCCAAUUUACAAGUCAAGUAAUAAUAUUUCAAUAAUUAACAAUUUACUGGAAAGAUAACCAGAAACAAUUCAAGGAUACUGGAGCUCUCAUGAGCUAUAUUCCACUUGCACGAUCAAUAACCUCCACGAAUUGACACUCUGUCAAUCGGGUAGGUUUAGUCCGUAGAACUCCACUUAACCUGUCCCCUUUCACCUUACAUACCCCUGUAUCGGGUCCGCCUGUCAUUUAUUUAAGGCGAUACUACUCGAGUAUGCCGAGCGAGAUCUCUCACAAGAUCAAACUUUCAUGUUUUCCCCAUGGUUUACCAAGGAGCCCGACCAAGCCCAAGCCGGCUCGAGUCCAAGGAUGACCAAUGGGGUUUUGGGCGUCCCCCAUAUAUAUUUAAGUGUCGAGGAGAUUCACUCCAACGACAUAUGCAGCCAUAGCAUACUAUUUCAAGUCAUUCAAACAUGUGGUAUAUUCAAGCAAUUGACAUAUGCAAGUAUUCAAGUACGAGUUAUUCAUUUCAAGCGAGAAUGAGUGCGAUAAAGUACACGCUCGUCUCAAAUUUCAAAAUCUCAAGUAUCAAUAAUAAGUAAACAUGUAUCGAGUUCACAGAAGUUUAAGUAACACACACUUGACACUCACCAAGUCAACCAAGGAAAAAUGUUACUUGAAUUUCAAGCGUCCACCGUAGGAUCCUCUUGAAGGUCCUCGUGCGAGUCUGAGCAAUUAAUAAGGAUCUAUCACUCAUAAACUCUAAUAAAUGAAAAGAUCGCACUAGUGCACAUUCCAAGAAAAUCUCGUGAAAACGAACUCCAAUCACUCGUAAAUCGAGGUUCAAAGACGAGGUUUCAAAACACAAGAGCAAUCGAGUUUCCGUCUUUGAAAUCAAGUAUAAAACGUCCAAGUGAUAUCGAGGGAAAAAGGAGAAUUCGAAAAACUCCAUUUCCCUUAAGUUUUGGAAAUUUCAGUUUUGAUACGAAUUUUUGAAAAAUCGUAUCUCACUCUUUACACAUUCAAAAUUGGAAAAUUUGGUACCGUUGGAAUCCUAUUUGAAUGUACUAAAAUUUAUUAGAAGACACUUUUUCAUGAUUCUAAAUGAAAAGUAUUCAAAAAUGGGCUCAAAGUCACCAUUUCAGGGUACUUAGGAUUGUGUCGGGGUUAGUUUUUCGCUAACUUUGGAAAUUCGGUAAAAUUCACACAUUGCCAACCAGCCUCUGAAAUUUGUAACUCAAUUAGACUUGCAAGUAAGGUUUAGAACAGAACAAGAGGAUCAAGAAUCGGAGUUUUGAGCACCGAGAUACGAUAGCUCAAAGUUGGUGAAAAACCGAAACUGUUAAGCCAAUUUUCCAGAUUUAAGUUCCAAACUUUGGGACUUUAGUUGGGUAUCAAAACGGACUCGGAAUGGCACCAAAUUUGGUAUGAAUAUACUACCAUAUAAGGGCCACUCCUUUACCAAAUUUCAUAGAAAAAUAUGUACGGAAAUCAGUUAACGAGACCGUUGAAAUCACAAGAAAUUCUAAGGCUAAACUGCCUUUGAACUUCCGUUUUGCCGUUUCCAAACAUUUGGUGAAGAAACAUCUCAAACAUGGUCCAUUCCGGUAGUUAAUGUCUAAAAUAUGUCCAGAGUACAUUUGAUAGGUGAUUUACACUAAGAAACUUCGGAUAACAAGUCCCAAAUCAUUGUUAGUUUCAAAUCUGUCCAAAUGCAUGGUAUUCCUUCACAAUACCAGAUUCGAAUUUUGAUCAUAAAUCACUCAAUUCAACUCAGAAUUGAGCAUGGUUGAUGGAAUUGGAAAAUGGACUCAUAAGGCUAUAUUUUCUGAGAAGAAACCGUUUUCAAAAUCUGUCCAUAACUAGCUCGUUCGUGAGCAUCAAGUUACAGCUCAUGUGCUGCCUUCUAGGAAGCAACGAAACAGGACAGCAAAUUUCAAACGAAUGGUUUGGCUUGCUCAAGUGGAACCAGGACAUGCAUUUUAUACCAAUGGAAAUCUGGGAAUGUCUAGCUUCCAGUGCCAUAAACGGCACUCGAUUCCGACAUCGGACCGAUGAGUUAUAGCCGAAACAAGAUGACUGCCUGGGCAGUGACGGGAACCAAUUCCAGAUUUCUAAGCUUCCGAAAUUCCAACAUUUGGAUGACCAAAUCAAGUUAUUUUUCAAUGAAAAUUUUUACACACUCAAUAUAACAUGUAAACAACAUAAACAAGACAUUAGAACCUCAAAAUUUUGUACCAAAGUGCUCGAACAAAGCAGGGGCAAAAUGGUCACCUUUGGUCAUUGCACUAUCCUUGAGUUUCUAUCAACAACCCAACAUUAAUCCACUAGUUUAGUUUAUGCACUAAAUAAACAUUAUUACCAUCAAAACACCACAAAUCAGUCCAUAUAUCCAAGGUGGGAGUUCAUAGAGCCCACACAACCAUUUUUUCACCAUAAACAAGCUACCCAUGAACAUGCAUGAGUAUAUAAGGGCACUACAACUUCCAUAAACCAAGUUUUGAAGGUUAGAUCGUUACCUACUUCACUUGGUGUGCAAGAACAGAAUUUUUGGUCCUCCCCUUGGCCAAGAAAACCGUGAAAAGCUCCCCCUUUUUGUAGCUUAAGAUGAUCUUCAAGUAAUAAGCUAAGUGUAGUUAAAUUUUGGUGCAAAAUCGUGCAAGUUUUGUGAGGGAAAUGGAGAAGAAAAUUGAAGGAGCAAGCUUGGUUCUUUUCCUUGGAGUUGCACGCUGGAAAUGGAGGUAGGAGAGAGGGAAUUCUGAUCUGAAAUGAAGCUUCCUUUGGUGUGUGGUCCAAAGUUGCCCAAAAGUCAACCCUCCUUCGCGCGCUCACGCGCACGUUUUGUGCUCGAUUCCUCUCGAGUUUAUUUCACUAGUGCACUAGACCUCCAAUACACUUAUAUUCAUAUAAAUAUUAUUCACUCUUAAUUGUCCAAAAAUGAGGGUCUAAAGUUUCUCAAUUAAAUCGCGCGUGUGAAAACGCGUAUUUCCAAAUUUAGCGCGAUAAAGCGAAUCCUCCAAGAAUUUCUUAUAACGAUAGUACUAAUAACUAUCAAUUGAGUAUUUAAACAUAAAAUUACCUAUUUUAGGACCAUUGUGUAAGUCUCCAAUUUUUCAAACUUAUUGUACUCUCAAUCGGUUAAAAUUUCCAAACACGUUUUCACUAUUUUCACUAAACGAGCUUCCAAAAAUUAAUUUUUGAAACAAGUCACUUUAAAAAUAUAAUGAAGCUAUAAUUCCAUGUAUUUAGGUCUAAUAAGGUUAGAAAAUAUUAUUCGGGGCAAAUAUCCAAAUAAAUAAUUAAAUGAGCCAAAAAUAGAGGUUUAAAAAUAAGAAUUUUUACGAGUCUUCACACUUUGUGGUCAUUGCAAGGAAACUGUGGAACUUUCCAAAUUAUGUAUGACUUUAGGUGGAAAAGCUUGUUUGGAACGUUACACACUAUAUUAGAAACAUUCAGGCAUCUUCUAAAUGAAAUAAUUUGAAUGGCAUACCUGUGUUGGUAGAAGUAUGUACUAGAGAUUGUUUUAUCAUCUCUUUAUCAUGCAUCAGUUAAGAUUUUUCCUGAUUCAUAGGUAUUUUACCAAUUAGUUGAACUUUGACAAACCCAUAACUAGCAAAUAGUAGCCUAUGUUACAUGGACUCAGGUGCGGGGGUUGGAUAUGGGUGCGUGUUGAAGUGUCAGAUAUGCAUAUUUGAAAAUUGUAAAAUUCGGAGAUAUGUGUCGAGUGCGCUCCUUAAACUCAUAGAUGGACAAGAUUUUUAGAAAUAUUUAUUAUAAAAUUUAUGCACAAUGAUGUAUAAAGUGUAUUUUGAUAAAAAAAAUUUUCAAUUAAAUGUGCAAUUAGGUUGAAAAGAACCACAGGCUUGGUUAGAAAGUUAAAAUUUUCAAGUACGGGUGGCUGAAAAUUGUAUUAAAAAGUGUAAAAUUGUAAAGAGAUUAAGUUACUUGUUGAACAGGAUAAUUAAAGUCAAAAUACAGGGAUUUAGUUGCAAAAUAAAUAUCAUUGUCAAACCCUAUAUUCCUCAUUGCUCAUUCCUCAUUUCUCAGUCAGCCGUCACCUCAUAUUCAUAGCAUUAAAAACGAAUCAAAACGGAGCUCCUCUUCUCCAAAAACAAACUCUUAGAUGCCAUCGUUGCUACAAUCCCAUAUCCGCCAAUGGAAGAGAAUCAACAGCCCGUAUGUAUCAAGUGAAAAUACAGCAGGUGUCGUGAGUAUUUUUCUAUUCAAAUCUCUAGCAGCUUUCUCCUCCUUUCUUUCUCCUCCACAGAGCCAGCCUUCUUCCUCUUCCACUCUCUUACCAUCUUAUGUGACUUCUUGUCCAUCUCUCCUCCGCCAUCAACAUCAUAUCUUGCACAUCUCACAAUAGUCAGCGUAUCCAAAAAUUUUUUACCAUGUCAUCCGUGCCUGUACCCGUGUCGUACCGUGUUGACACGGGUGCUUCUGGGGAGAAUGGCGAGUCCGUGUAACAUAGAUUGUAGCAUCUAACCAAGACUUCAGCUGUAUAUUAGGGGAAAAAAUAUGUUGUGGAAAAAGUUAAUAUAAUUACUAUUUGGUUGUCAAAACGAAAUUACGAUUUAAAACUUGUCCAUCAAAUGUUGCUGAGAAUAUCUUGACGUAAAAAGAAGAAUCUUGAUUAUGUACUUGUUGUGCUGAGCAGCUCUAGUUUCGAUUGUUGCAGUAUGAAGAACUGUUCCCUGGAUUAAUCAAUUGGAUGGAACAACCAAAAAUUGUUUUGCUUAUCUUUGUUUCUGCAAAGAUUGUUCUCACUGGAGCAAAGGUAUGGUAUUCUCAACUCUUUUUUAAGUUUUUCGUAUGGUAUCAUUUUUGGUAUUCUAUUCUGGCUGUCCUCUCUCUCUAAAUUUGAUAUCUGCAUUUCAUUUUCAGGUUAGCGAUGAGACUUAUACCACCUUUGAGAACAUAUAUCCUGUUCUUACUGAGUUCAGGAAGAAUCAGCAAUGGUAUGAUGUUUGAUUAUGCCUAAUUACCUAACGAUUUUAGUGAUUUAAAUGUCUCUGAAGUGCUUUUUUGAAUUACCUUUUGGAUUAUUGUGUGGCAAACCUAGGUCGUUGUGAUAAGCUGGUUGUGAAUUAAAAGAGAUGACAAAAAUCAUGUUUGAUCGGGGAUAUAGGUCCUUGAAGUAUUGAUUGUACUUAUAAAGUGCUUUUGUGAAUUACCUUUUGGAUUAUUGUGUGGCAAACCAUAGGUGGUUGUGAUAAGCUGGUUGUGAAUUAAAAAGAGAUGAUAAAAAUCUUGUUUGAUGAGGGAUGUAGGUGCAUGAAGUGUUGACUGGGUACUUAUAAAGUUUUCCCAAAAGACAGAUUUUUCUACAGGAGUUGAACACAACUGUUUUCGUUUUGCAUAUGUUAAUUUAGCUAGCAUAAAAUCAUCUAAGUGCAGACACACUUAAGAUUGGGGUGAAACCAAGCCAUUUUGUCUCCUGAUUCUUUAGUUGACAUUGAGAAGUCAUUUACCAAAGGGAAAUUAAAAAAAGAAAAGAGGAACAGGGGUGUCUUGGUAUUGAACCAUUCUAAACUUGGAAAAGGUUAUGUUAGUUCAAGGAUGCUUUUUUUAUUUUAUCAGAUAGUAAUAUAUACUUUUAUCGAGAUCUGCCAUGCGGUUCUGCUAACAUAACUCUGCUUCUUGCCUCAAAUCUUGGUGAAUUGGUUACUCCAUAUUGACACUAUGUUGUUUGUAGAUAUUCUCUUUUAUUCUUUUCCCUUCUGGGUAGUAUAAUAAAUCAGAUUUUCAGCGUGAAAGUCUGAAAGUAUUCAUAUGUUUUCUUAUAAUUGUGGAAAGUAAUUCUUUGGGAUUUGAAAAGCUCCCUGCAGCAUCUCCGCCUAAUAUUGCGAUUCCUCAAUCCUGCUACUACUAUACUUUAUAUGGUGUCUCAAGUGAAUUGAGGAAUCUAUCAUUAGGCAAUACUGAAUUCAAAAUUUUGUUUUUUGACGCACGUAGGUGUGCUGUCUACCUUUAGCUCCAAAUCAUUCCUCCUAUGCUUUUAGGAUUUUUCGGUGACAAGGUAGAUACAAAUUUUUUAUUUUUAUUUUUUUCUAUCUACUUAUUUUUGUAUCUUUUGAUCUAUAGUUUUGGAAAUAACAUGUAAAAACUAUCUCUUCCUACUUAAAUUGAUUUGCUACUCUUCCUACUUAAAUUGAUUUGCUACCAUGUGUUGCUGUGGCAAAGAUUUGAGCCCAGUUGGGUGGUGGUGGUGAUCAUGGGAAUGAUGAAAAAAUCAGACGGAUUCCCAUUGAUUACUUUUCGUGAGAAUGAUAAAAAACAACCAGCUAUUUCUGACCCCACAGCACCACCAUCACCUGCUGCCCAUCUCCUACCCAGCUAAUCUACAUAAUUAAUGGUUUUUAUGCAUGUUAGGUAGCAUUUUUUUUUUUUUUUACUUUUUCGUUUUGAAAUCCGUAUUAGCACUGAACAGAUGACAUGAUGCAUCUGGGUGCAAUGUUCCGGCAAUUUUUCAGAAAUUGAAAGAGAAGGCCUUGUGAUGUGAGAAAUAGAUAUUUGCUACUCUUGAUGGGUAAUUUAUCUACCCACCUGAUGAUUUUCUAUCCACCAAGAUCUCUGAGGCCUGCUGCUCUUUUAAAAUUUGCUUACAAAACUUCUGCACCUCAAUUAGCUCCCAAGUUUCCUUGAAUGGGCUUGCCAUAUGCAAUAGAGAUGCUAAGAGUCUUUACCAGGGAAACCUACAUAUACAUCUUAAGAUCAUUAUUUUGUAUCUCACAACAUAUGUAUACUAACAUAACCAGCUUAAAGCUACAUUGGCAUGAAGUUAUCAUCUAACAACUUCCUAAAAGAAAGAAAGCACAUGUUAGAUUUAUGGCGCUCAGGUUUAGUCGAAGUAUGAUUAAAUUGUAUGUCAAAGACUCUGAACUUUUAAACUCAGAAGAUUGUGUUGAAAUCAGCCUAUAGCCAGAGCUCCAACAAGCAUGGUUUUCCUGUUUGUCUAGUUUCUCAAAAAGAUUACCAUGACAAGAUGAAAUCUGUUGCACCACUUAAUUAUGCAGGCUCCCUUUACGAACUAAUACCAAUCUUGCAGGAUUGUAGUUACAUCACGCUACCACAAGUUUGCUGAUAUAUUAAGUCCAUUCUGUUGGUGGCCAUCCCAUUCAGUUCCCCUCUUUACCAUUUUGCUCACUUCGUGUUUGGCAUGAAAUUAUUUCCUGGAGCGUUACUAAUUCUGUUUGUUAUUUCUAAAAAGCAGUUCUUUCAGCACCUCCAAAGUUGGUGUACAGUAAACUAGUUCUGCAGUAUGCCUCCUAAUUUUCUCCUUUUAAGUAGUCCAGGUAGUUUAAGUUUUCUCUUAACAUGAAUAUUCUGUUUCAGCUUCACAAGGAAACUUUUGGUGGCAGUUGCAGAGAAGUGGGGUAGUCAUGUUCUUGUUAUUGAUAAAGUUGCACCCCCUAAUUGAAAGGUUAGGUAUACCAUUUGUUAGCUGAUCUUGGAGUUAACAGCUAGAUUGGUGUCUAGGAAUUCUGAAUUCUCUACGUGCUUUCUUUACUGGCAAAAGGGAGUGGUUUUCAUUUGCUUAACAAUGACUUCUAUUUCUGAUAGGUCAAGAUUGUAUUUUAUUUGCAGAAUGAAACUGUACGCAGAGAAAGGAGCUGGAUAGUUCUCAUCACUUGAAUAAGAAACCUAAAAUUCUAAGAUCCCUAGACUCCUGCAAGAUGUUGAUGUGUGUUGCUUGUAAACUGCUGUUUCCCAAUUACCAUAAAAGACUGGGAGUUAGUUUAAACUGUUUAAAAAGAUAAGAUGCUAAUCACCUUUUGCAGAAACAUUCUUUUCCUUUCCACCUUUAAAGAUCAGCCUUUCUUAUCAUAUUUUUUCCUAGUUAUAGAAGGAGUAUGUUGAUGAACUUGGAAGAUCUUGUUUAUCUGCCCGAGGGACCAAGCAGCAGGGCUGUUGGGUGCCCUGAAAGUUAUGGGGUCCCCUUAGAGCAUCCAAUGGCUCUGAAUAUUGCAUAGUUGCCAGGAUAUCCCAUCCUUUGUUGCCCCUCCCCCUCUCUUUGUCCAUUGUUCUUGAUGAGUUUUUCCCAUCUCUCUAAUAUUUGGAAUUUUAUGUGUAGAUUUUUGUAUAAUCCAACUUUAUCCUGAAUUGUAUUCUGAUCUCAAAUUUCUGCUCAUUUAAGCUGUAUGUAGUUAAUGAUCUUCUGCAUUUCAUUUUAUAUCAACUCUGGCUGAUUGCCCUUAUCAAUCAAAGCUUGGAUAAUGAAAAUUUUUAAGGUCCUCUCCUCUAAAGCAUUACUCUCUCCCUUCAUUGUGCUGCACCAAAAGAAAACAAACAAGAAUAAGUAAGCAUUGUUGCUGGGAUGUGCUUAUAUCUAGAUCGCAUAGGCUUGGUGAUAAAAUUUAGAUUCUGGAGACUGAUAGGAAAUUAGGAAUCAUAAUGGUUUAUUGAAGCUUGUUAUGGUUUUUUUGGGCCGGAGAAACUUGGUGAUGUCUCUUUAAUCUACCUUAUAAAUUCUUAUUUAGAAAUCUACCAGUGCCUAGAUUUUAGUUGCUCAAUUAUAGUUGCAUUUGGAUUAGAUUCAUUUCGAUUGAUAUUUGACUUGCUGAAAUGAUGAUAUUCUUUGUGGCAUUGCAACUAUAAUUUUUCUCUUUUCGCCAGAAUGAACCGACAGGAAGGAUUUUGGAGCUUUCCUUUCUUCACUUAGCUAUGUCAGAAAUAGCAGUUCUAGGGACAAGGCAUCAGAUUGUCAUCGAUGAGGUGUCUUCUUGCCCCUUCCAUUGUGAAUUAGAUGCGUAUUUCAGAGCAAGUAGCCAUCUUGUAUUCAACUGACAUUCCAAAUCUAAUUUUAUAUUUUAAAGAGAUCAAUCGUCUGUUCAAUAGUAUCAAAUGAAACUCAAAAGCAAACCUUUUUUUUCAAGUUAGAAAAAAGAAUUGCAAGCCCAGAUGAAAAAGAAAAAGAAAAAUCCAAAUUACAAGUAGAAUUUAAGAAAGUGGAGAGGAGUUAUGUUUAAGAUACCAGAAAUGAAGGGAGGUAAAUGUAAUUUAGCAUUUGUUGAUAUAGUAUUUACCGGCAGGUGCAGAUAGGCCGUCCUUAUAGGCUAAUUAGGGUUUCAAGGCAAUGGAUUGCCCCAGUCUCCUGCCCUGCCUUUAUAAGAGUAAUAGAUAACAAACAAAGAUAAGGUUAAGGACUGAGGAGCCUCGGGAUUUGAUUGCUGCUUUCCGAGUUUGUUUGUAGAUCUUUACUUUUUUCUCUUCUCUUUUGGGUAGUAUGAUAAAUCAGAUGUUCAGUCUGAAAGUCAAACUAUUCAUAUGUGUUCUUAUAAUUCCAGAAAGUAAUUCUUUGGGAUUCAAAAAGCUUCCUAACAUCUCAUUUCCGCCUAAUAUUGCAAUUCUUCGAUCCUGCUACUACUAUGCUAUACGUGGUAUCUCAAAUGAAUCGAGGAAUCCAUCGUUAGGCAACACUGAGUUCAAAAUUUUCUUUUAUUUUUUGCACGCGUGAGUGUGUUGUCUACCUUUAGCUCCGAAUCAUUCCUCCUGUGCUUUUAGGAUUUUUCGGUUACAAGGUAGAUGCAAAAUUUUUUUAUAAUUUUUCUAUCUACUGAUUUUCGUAUCUUUUGAUCUAUAGUUUUGGAAAAUAACAUGUAAAAACUAUCUUUUCCUACUUAAAUUGAUUUGCCACUAUGUGUUGCUGUGGCAAAGAUUUGAGCCCAGUUGGGUGGUGGUGGUGAUCAUGGGAAUGAUGAAAAAAUCAGACGGAUUCCCAUUGAUUACUUUCCGUAAGAAUGAUAAAAAACAACUAGCUACUUCUGACCCCACAGCACCACCAUCACCUGCUGCCCAUCUCCUACCCAGCUAAUCUACAUAAUUAAUGGUUUUUAUGCAUGUCAGGCAGGAUUUUUUUUUUAAAAAACUUUUUCGUUUUGAAAUCCGUAUGAACGGAUGACAUGAUGCAUUUGAGUGGAAUGUUCCGGCAAAUUUUCAGAAAUUGAAAGAGAAGGGCCUGUGAUGUGAGAAAUAGAUAUUUGCUACUCUUGAUGGGUAAUUUAUCUACCCACCUGAUGAUUUUCUAUCCACCGAGAUCUAUGAGGCCUGCUGCUCUUUUAAAAUUUGUUUUACAAACUUCUGCACCUCAAUUAGAUCUCAAGUUUCCUUGAAUGGGUAAAAUUCCAUAUGCAAUAGAAGAUACAAAGAGUCUUUACCAGGGAAACCUGCGUAUACUUCUUAAGAUCAUUAUUUUGUAUCUCACAACAUAUGUAUACUAACAUAACCAGCUCAAAGCCUGAUGAUAAAAUUUAGAUUCUGGAGACUGAUAGGAAAUUAGGAAUCAUAAUGGUUUAUUGAUGCUUGUUAUGGUUUUCUUGGGAGGGGGAAACAUGAUGAUGUACGUCUCUUUAAUUUACCUUACCAAUUCUUAUUUAGAAAUCUACCAGCGCCUAGCAUUUAGUUGAUUAACUAUAGAUACAUUUGAAUUAGAUGCAUUUAGAUUGAUGUUUGGCAUGUUGAAAUGAUGAUAUUCUUUUUUCUUUUUUUUUUGGGGUCGUUAAGAAAUUUAUUGAUACCCAAUCGAGAUACAAAACUACAAGGGGGCAUACCCCUGGAAUUACAAAUACAAUAAACAAAUCAGUAAAAGGCUAUUAAAACAUUAACGUACUAGAACAUCUCAACGAUUAUUAAGAAUGGUGUCAUGUAAUAACGAAGUCCUUUGAAGCCAAAGGUUUGUGUUAGACGACUUAACUCUACGUAAAGGAAAAAGCUUACAUCCAAGCAACUCAAAAAUCUCCUUUUGGAUUGUCUUCUUGUCUUGCAUACAUUUUAAAUAAGUUUACCGUUCCUCUCUCCAAAUGCAAUUUGUCCUUAGCAAGACUGCUCAUACCAGCCCAAUCUUCAUGCUCAUGCCAAAAAGAUCCAUUUCCUUGACGAAACAACAGCUGCAUUUUAUCCUCCACCAUUUGACGAAACCCCAACAUUCUCUUCCAUAUCAAAGAAUCACCUUGUUUCAACUGUGUACAACAUGGAUGAGGGACAUGUGAACCAUAUCUUGAAGUAAAAAUUCUAACCCAAAGCGGCAAAGACGUUCUAAAUUUCCACCAGAGUUUAGAGCUAAAGCCUGCCAUUAUAUCUGAGAGACUUUGAACGCCUAGGGCCAUUUUUCUUGUGUUGGACAGGAGACUUUCUGCCAAGAUAUCCAAUGAUGUUUAUUAGAGCCUUCAAACUCCCCCCCCCCCCCCCUUUUCCCUCCCCCCGCCCAAAAAAAGAAGAAAUCAACCAUAAUCUUCUCAAGCUGGCGACUGAUUGCCUUAGGAGGCUCCAUUACUGCAAAGAUGUGAAUUGGAAUUACACACAAUACAUGUUUGAUAAGAAUCAAUCGACCUCCACAGGAGAGGAGCUAAGUUUUCCACCCAGCAAGCUUCUUAUUGAACUUAUCUACAAUGAUGUGAAAAUAAUCAACUUUCCUCCUACCCUUGUAAAUAUUACAUCCCAAGCAGACAAAAAGGUAAAUUCUUCUUUGUGAUACCAGAGAUGUGGGUAAUAGAACGACAAAGUCUAGCACUAGCAUGAUCCGAGAUGACAUAAAAACUCUUAGACUUAUUUAUUUUUUUGUCCAGAACCCUUCUGAUAGAGGUCAAGGAAAUCCAUCAAGUGCUUUAGAGAACGCCUUUCCCCCUGUAAAAAUAAUAAUGUCAUCUGCAAAACUGAGAUGAGAGACUGAUAGAAAACCAUUAGAAACAUAGAAUGGAGAUAUACGGCCCUCUGAUGCCAUGAACUUAAUCCCUCAACUCAAAGCCUUCGAUACCAAAAUAAAAAGGAAAUGAGACAACGGAUCUCCUUGUUGGAGCACUCGGCUAGCUUUAAAAAGCUCAUGAGGCUUACCAUUAAGCAAAAUGGAAAAACCAACUAGCUGCUAAAUGAUUUUGAAUUAGGGCAAUGAGCCUGUGACUAAAACCAAACUUAGCAAUCAAAUCAAAGCAAACAAAGAAGGUCAACUAACUCAAUCAAAAGCUUUCGUCAUAUCGAACUUAAGAGUCAUACUAUGGCCUCUGAUUUUCUUAUCAACGGAAUGCACCAACCCUUGAGCCAAUAAGAUAUUGUUGGCAACAUACCUUCCUUCAACAAAAGCCAACUGUACAUCAAAAAUCAAGAAAGGCAGCAAUGGUUUAAGUCAAUUGUACAAAAUUUUAGUAAAAAUCUUACUUAGAAAUGCACAAAGACUAAUAGGCUGAAAAUCAGCAAAUGAGGCGACUGUAUCCUUCUUGUGAUGCAAUCCUAGGAUCAACUUGAGCUCAAGUAGCGAUUGAAGCUAAAGGAAGAGUACAAGCCUAAUUCUCGAAGCUGUUUUAUGUUUAAUGCUUUAGUCAUUUGUUUAGUUAAUUUUCCAGCAUUCUUAGUUGUUAAUUUGGGUUAGUUUAAGUGUUAGUUGAGUCGAUAUUUAGAAUAAAGUGGUUAAGAUCUUGUGACCUUAAGUCCAACCGAUUAGAGUUUUAGGAAAGUAGUCAUUUGUUUUCAAAUUUAAUUAGGAAUCUUGUGUCUUGUAGAAGGUUAUAAAUACCUUCAACCUUGAACAUUUUUAUCAUCAAGAUUAAUAAGAGUGAUAUUUUCCAGCCAACUCUUGGUGUGAAGAGAGAGUUCUCUCUUAGUAGAAGCAAUCCCUUGAAUACUUUAGAGUUUCGUAAGCAUUCAAAUUUAGCUUAUUAAUUCAAGAUCACGUUGAAUUGUGAUGCAUUCUAUGUCAUAAAUUUGAUUUUUUAAUUCGAGUAGUUACAGGUUGAAAUUAUAUCAACAUGUGCAUGACUUCUAGAAUUGAUUAGGGUCAAAUUUUUUCCGCUACCAAACCGUAGGUAUUAAUCGUUUAGGUCCAGAACUUGUGAUUUAUGGAUUUCAUCUCUAACGGGUUCAUAUCAUCUGGCAUCAGAGCUAGUUGGCAUAAGAUUACUAGCAAUUGCUUUUGGAAUAGGAACACUAACCCAAAAAUCAUUAACAACAUCAACUAAGUCGGAAGAAAUGAUGUCCCAACAAUGUGUGAAGAAUAAACCAAUGAAACCAUCUGGCCCAGCAACACUUUGAAAACAGUUUUUUUUUUUUUAUUUCUUGCACUGAAAUUUGCUCUAAGAGCUUACUAUUCAACUUUGAAGAAAUAACCUGAGGAAUACAAUUAAAAGUCUUUCUUGAGCUGCCAUAUCAUGAUUUGGAACAUCCUGAUUAAACAAAUCUUGAAAGAAAGAAAUUGCAACUUGACUAAUUUGUCCUUCAUCAUCUAUCCAAUAACCAUCACAGUACUUAAUUUUAUGAACAGAAAGACGAGCUUGUCUCUAAAGCAAAGAGGCAAGAAAAAAUUUAUAAUUGGAAUCACUCUCUUUGAAUCAUUUGAUGCGGGCUUUUUGAUGCCAAAAUAUUCUUCCUGUGCCAAACACUGUGAAAGUUCAGCUUGAGCCUUACUCCAUUCGACUCGGUUAGAAUCAGCGGAAUAUUGUUCAUACAUCUCCUUUUUACUCCUAAGAUUCUCCCUUGUCGUAGCAACUUUAUCAAAAACAUUGCCAAAAACAUUUUUAUUCCAAUCUCUGAGACAAAAAUUAAGCCUGCAAAGCUUCUGACAAAAAGGAAACAUCCAUGUAUACUCCAUUGAAAUUUCCCAAUUGUUCUUAGCUGUAGACAAAAAAGAAGAGUGAUGAAUCCACAAAUUAGAUUCCAACAUCCAUGUAGGGCCACCCACUGACAUCACACUUAAUUGAAAUAGCAACGGCCAGUGAUCUGAUUAACAUAUGUUCAAAUGAUGAAUCCAUGAUUGAGAAAAUUGACGCUACCAGCUACUAUUACAUAGCACUCUACCCAAAUGCUUCCAAAUGUGCACAGCAUGCCUAACUCUAGUCCAUGUACAUUUACUACCCACGGCCGAAUUUGUAUUAAUGAACAGCCAAGAUAAAAUUGUUAAAAUUCACUACUGCUUGCAAAUCCCGAGGCGCACGGCUAUAGUGUUCCUCCAAAGACGAUAUAACAUUUAAGUCCCCUCCAACUAUCCAUGGGCGAUCACCAACAUAUGAAGCAAUAUGAGACAAACCAGCCCAUAAGCAAUGCCGUUCAACUCGCAUACACUUCGCACAAACAAAGGUAGCAAAUGCAGCUUCACUCCAAGAAUCAUGGGAUAUAGCAAGGUGUAUAAACUACACAUUAUUAUUGAUUGAGGAAGCAUGGAAACCCGACUUCCAAAAAACCCAAAUUUUAUUCGAUAUAUUAAACAAACCAAAUUCAAACCCCAACUUCUAUUGAAAUUCUAGAAAACAAGCAGCAUCAAUCAUAGGCUCUAAAACUACUAGCAAAGAAACACUAUGGAUAUGAAGCAAUUUUCUAAGAUGCCGCAAAGAAGAGCGACCAGCAAUUCCUCUAAUAUUGGUGACUACUAAUCAUUAUGACAAGAAAGAGGUGAGUUCUUGAGGAGCCUUAGAGGCUUGAAAAGUAAGGACUAUUCUUGGCAAUCUCAAAUACCUCCUUUGCCAAGGUUUUUAGCUGUGGGGUGAAGAGGCUGAUUGUCCUUAAUUGGCAGUAUUCUAUUGGAUAUUUCAUCCCGGAAGGCUUUAAAAACCUCUAGCAAUGUGGGUGAAACUGAAGCUUGAUUUGGCAUCUCAUCUGAAUUUGAAAACGAAUCUCCUGUAAGAUCUGUAGAAGGCUUGGACCGACUGUCAAUGCAUGAUCAUCAAUCACUCAAUAAGACAAAUUAUUGUGGGAUGGAAUAUGCUCCAAAGAACAAAGAGACUGAUGUUGAUGAUGAGAUGGGGAUACAUAGAUUGUUAGGAAAACAGUAAUAACUACAACAACAAAAAACGGCUUUGACGUGAAAAUUCACUUUUCUUAAGGAAAUUUUCCCCCACUAUUCUACUACUGGGUUUGCAGCAAUUCCCUCUAAGAAUAACAAAGCCAACCAGAAUUUCUGCACAGUAGUAUGCAGAAAUUCUCCCAAAACGGUUUAGAGAAUAUUUUUUUGAACGAAAUAGAAGAAUAAUAAAACAGAAGUAAAGGUAAGGCCUCUGUUAUCUGGACACUAUUAUUUAUAACGUUCAGAUACCCCAAAAGAAAUGUCAUGCCUUUUGGAAACGUAUUUCUUCAUGAAUAGGUGCCUUUUGGAAACGUAUUUCUUCAUGAAUAGGUACCUUUUAGAAAUGAAUGGACACUUAAUGGUUGUAUGCGUUGUAUCACCAGAUACAACCCUUAAAAGGAAACUGUUUAGUUAAGAAGAAAUAUUAAAAUGAAAUUAAUUUUUAAUUAAUUUCAAUUCUUAAGAUCCAAGUGCCCCAAGUGCCAAAGUGCCAAUCUUUUGACCAUUAAAUUUAUAUUUUAAUUUAAUUGUCAACAUGACAAAUGCAUGUGUAAUUUUGAAGUUUCCCUCCAAAAUUUUCUACAAUCCAAAUUGAAUUGAAUAGGUGUGCGCUUGAUUAUAAACCUCUUCCAUUCUUCACGUACUUUCAAUGUGGGAUUAUCACUAACUAUAAUUAUUUCCAACAAUCCCCCACUUAGUUAGUGAUGAAUCAAAGUCAAAACAUUUUAAAACUUAUGCAUCAAAUAGGUGUCUUUUGACUUAAACCUAUUAUUAGUAUAAUUAUUUCAAAACCUUGUUGAAAUUGAUGGUAAUUAUAAAUUUUAAACCACAAUUCCUUUAUAACAUGAUCAGAAAUAACUAUACACAUAAAUCUUACUUAUUUCUCGUAAAACGUUUGCCGUGAGCUUUAGCACCGUAUUGUGGCCUUGUGCUACUUCCUGAUUCUUGAACUCUUAAAAAAGUUUUAGUCCAAACUUUUGAUAGAAGCGGCACCACCUCUUGAGUUCAUAUAGGUGAAGUCGACUUUAUAGUCUUUGAUUAGACUUCCUUGUUCUUCUACCGAACAUAUGUACUUCAUUAAGAAUAAUAAUUAUUAUUCAACCUCCCAUUCUCUUAAGUACUUAUCUAGUUACCGGUACUUGCUACCUGUCAAACAAUAAUUUGUUGUUACCUGUUAAACCUUUAGAAUUGCUUACCAAUAAGAAAGGUUAGGUUACUAUCAUUGCUGACAAUUUUAGAAUGGUCUCAGACCCAUAGCACUGGUAGUGCUUUUGAUCAUAUCUCUUGAGAGUCCUUUAGUUAAAGGAUCAGCAAGAUUGUUACCAGACUUGACAUAGACAACUGUUAUAAUUCCAUCAGAAAUUAAUUGUCUUACAUAUUCAUGUCUCAAAGCAAUAUGUCUAGAUUUACCAUUAUAAAUCUUACUAAAUGCCCUAGACAUAGUUGCUUCAUUAUCGCAAUGCAAAGAGAUGGCUGACAUCGAUUGUGGACACAACUCUAUAUCUAGCAAUAAAUUCCUUAGCCAUUCUACCUCUUUACCUGCUGCUACUAAUGCAACAAACUCAGACUCCAUAGUCGAAUGAGUAAUACACGUCUGUUUCUUAGAAGCCCAUGAGAUAGCUCCUCCGCCUAUUUUAGAGAUCCAACCAGACGUUGAUUUAUUAUCAUUUUAACAAGUACCGAAGGAAACUUGUUAUAAUAUAAUCCAAAAGACUUUGUCUUUUUAAGGUAACCUAGUACUCGCCCAAUUGCUCUCCAAUGGUUAGUACUAGGAUUAUGAGUAAACCUAGAAAGUUUAUAAAUAGCGAACGCAAUAUCAGGUCUAGUACAAUGCAUAGCAUACAUCAAACUACCAAUUGCACUUGCAUAGUCUAAUUGACUAAUAGAUCUUCCCGAAUUUUCUAUUAGUUUAUUAGAAACAUCAAAUGGGUUAUUAGCUUCUUUUAUUCCCAAAUGAUUAAAUUUGGAUAGAGUCUUGUCAAUGUAAUGAGAUUGACAUAGAGCAUAACCCCACUAUGUUACUUAAUUUUGAUUCCUAAGAUGGUAUCAACUUCUCCCAUAUCUUUCAUUUUAAAUUGGAAGGUUAAGUACUUCUUAGUUCCAUUGACUCCUUGCAUGUUAAUCCCCAUGAUUAACAUAUCAUCCACAUAGAGACAUAGUAUUACACCAUAAUCUUUGGUAAAUUUAAAAUAAAUACAUUUAUCUGCUUCAUUGUGUUUAAAGCCAUUUGAUAAAAUUACUUUAUCAAAUUUCUCAUGCCACUAUUUUGGAGUUUGCUUUAAACCAUACAAGGAUUUAACUAAUUUGCAAACUUUCUUUUCAUUUCCAGGAAGAACAAAUCCUUUGGGUUACUCCAUAUACACUUCCUCAUCUAGAUCUCCAUUUAAGAAUGCUGUUUUAAUAUCCAUUUGAUGAAUGUAUAAAUCAUAUAUGGAUGCUAAAGCAAACAACACUCUUAUAGAAGUAAUUCUUGCAACAGGAGCAUAAGUGUCAAAGUAAUCAAUUCCUUCCUUUUGUUUAAAACCUUUUGCAACAACUCUUGUUUUGAAUGUUAGUAAUGAAUCAUCAGUGUUAUGUUUUCUUUUAAAUAUCCACUCACAUCUUGCAGGUUUACAACCAGGAGGUAAAUCACAUAACACCCAUGUAUCAUUUGACAUAAGAGAAUCCAUCUCAUCAUUAAAUGCUUCUUUCCAAAAAGCUGAGUCCCUCGAAGCUAACGCUUCUUUAUAAGUUUUAGGAUCCUCUUCCAAAUGUAAAAGUAUAGGUAUUUUAUUGAAUACACCAUUCCUACUACCUUCAACUAAAAAGACUAAAGAUUGUAAAUAAAUAUAAUUCGGAUCCAAAUUCUUCUCUUUUCGUGCUCUCUUACUCCUCCUAGGUUCACUAGGAGUUUCAACUAUUUUCCUUUUAUUAUCAUUUCUAGAAGUAUUAGGAUCCAUAGUCAUGUUUUGUGGUAAUAUAGAAUCUGGUUUAGAAGCUGAAUCACUUAGAAAACUUGUUUCUAAAAACUCAACAUCUCUAGACUCCACUAUUGUAUUUGAGUCUAAAUCUAAUAAUCGAUAUGCUUUAGAAUUUUCAGCAUAUCCCACAAAAAUACUCUUUAAGGUACUUGGUCCUAAUUUUGUUCUCUUAGGAUCAGGAACCUUAUAAUAGGCUAUACAACCCCAUACCUUCAAAUAAUUUAAAUUAGGCUUUCUUCCUUUCCAUAGUUCAUAUGGUGAAACCUUUGUCUUCUUUGAAGGUAUUCGAUUAUGUAUAUGACCAGCGGUUAACAAAGCCUUCCCCCAAAGGUUAAAUGGUAAUCUAGCAUGCAUAAGCAUAGCAUUAACCAUAUCAACCUAUGAGGACUCGUAAUUUAUUUUAUUUUUAUUUAAUUAUUUUAUCGAUUUAUUCACUUAUUUAUUGGUUUACCCCAAAAUAGUUAUUUUUAUGAUUUAUUACUCAAGUAUUAGUUAGUUAUACCAUCGUUAUAAGAAUUUCUUAGAAAUUUCACUUUAUCGCGCACAAGUCGAAAGUUUGCGUUUUUGCGCGCGCGACUAAUUGAGGGACUUUGGACAUUUAUUUUUAGACUACUAAGAGUGGAUAAUAAUAGCGUUAAAGGAAGUGUAUUAGAGGUUUAGUGCACAAGUGAAACAAACCCGAGAGGAAACAAGCACGAAAUGGGCGCAUACGCGCACUAUUGGAGAGUUGACUUUUGUGCACACUUAAAGCCUCACCUACCAAUCUUCCUCAAGAAGCCACAACACUCUCUAUUCUCUCUUUUCUCUCUCAAGGCAGCCGAACAUACCAAGGAAGAAGGAGGCCAAAAGCUUCAUCAUCUCACUUCAUUUUCUUGCACCAAAUCACUUCAAAUUCAUACCACAACCUCAAAACAACUUGGAGAUCAUCUUGGACUAGGAAGAGGGCUUCAUUCUCACGGUUUUCUUAGAGCUCCAGUGACCGAAAUUUUCUGGUUUAUCAUCAUCUAGGAGGUGAUCAUCAUCCAACCUUUGAAUCUUAGUUUUAGUAAGCUUAAUUUCAUUUAGAAGCUUGUAGCUUCAUGUGGGUAACUUUGGUUGGUUGAAAAUCAUGUGAGUGGGCUCUAUGAAAUCCCACAAUGAACUUGUUGGACUGAUUUGAUGAUUUUGGAUGUUAUUCAUAUUGAUUAAGUGUUAAUCUAGUGGAUUUAAGUUGAAAGAGUGGAAAGAAAAUCCAAGGAAAACAAAAUGGAGAAAGGGCCGGAUCUGCCCUGUUCUUGCCGCAACCUUAGUGCAUUUUUUUUUUGGUUAAAUUGCCUUGAUUUUAUUGUAGAUAUGUUGUAUAGGUUGUGCGGAAACUUUUCACGAAAAAUCACUUGAUUUGGUUGGCCGAAAGUUGCAUUUUCGAAAUGGUUUCAAAGCUGGAAAACGUGUACAGAGGUGCUCUGGCAGCGAAUUUUGAAUAAUCAUAACUCUUUGCUCCGAUGUCAAAAUCGAGUGCCGUUUAUGGCAUUAGAAACUAGACACUUCCAGUUUUCUAACAAUAUAAAAUGCAUUCCAGGAUUCAACUUGAAUGAACCGUACCAGCUUUUCAAAGUUACCUGUCCUGUUUCACUGCUGUGUUAGAAAACCUGUUAUGUGCUGUGACUUGUUGCUCCAAUAUGAGCUAGUUAUGGAUGGAAUUUAAAAAUGAUUUCUUCUGAGAAAUUGUAGCCCUAUGAAUUUAGUUUCCAACGCCACCAAUCAUGCCCAAUUCCAAGUUGAAAUGAGUGUGUUAUGGCCGAAUUACCGACCUGCACCAAAGAAAGAAAACCCUAAUUUUGGGCUAGCCAAUGGCUUAUUUCGAAUUGGGACUUGUUAUUUUGAAACUUUUGGUGUCAAUCACCUACCAAAUGUAUUUUGGAUGUUUCUUAGACCUUGUCUUCAUAAAUGAACAGGAUUUGAGUCGAUUUCAUUGGCCAAAAGUUAGAAAAAAAGGAAAACGGAAGUACAAGGCAGAUUUGCCUUAGAAAUUCUUGGAACUUUAGUGGCUUUGUUAACUGACCUUCCGUACGAAUUUUUGCAUGAAAUUUGACCUAGGAAUAGCCCUUAUAUGGUAGGACAAUACUACCAAAUUUGGUAGCAUUCCAAGUCCAUUUCGAUGCCCAACUGAAGUCCAAAAGUUUAUGUUUCAAAUCUGGAAAAUCCUUGUUCAGCGAGAAAUUUUCAGCAACUUUGGGCUCCUAUAUAUUGGCGCUCAAAACUCCGAUUUGUGUUCCAUUUGUUGUAUUCUAAACUUUGAUUGUAACUCUAAUUGAGUUCCAAAUUUUAGAGGCUAGUUCACAUUCUGUGAAUUUUACUGAAUUUCCAAAGUUUGCCAAAAACCAACCCCGAAUCUGUCUUGAGAGUCCAAAUCAGCAACUUUAAGCUGAAAUUCGAGUGUCUUCCAUUUUGAAUCAUGGAAAGGUGUCUUCUAUAAACUUUUAGUACUCUAGAAGUAGUUUCCAAUGGUACCAAGUUUUCCAAUUUUGGACCUACAAAGAGCGAGAUAUGAUUUUUCAAAGAUCGCACCUCAAAUCUGAAAUUUCUGAACUUAAAGGAAAUUGAGUUUUUAGAACUCUCCAUUUUUCCUUCGAUAUCGCUUAACCGAUUUACACUUGAUUUCAAAGAUAAAAAUCAUAUUUUCCUUGUAUUAUUAAACCCCACUUUUGAGCUUCGAUUUACGAGAAAUUUAGGCUCAUUUUCAUGAUAUUCUCUAAGAUUGUAAAUGAGUGCAAUCUUUCUUGAUAAUUAGGGGUUUUAAGCGAUAGUGCGUAAUGGUUAAUUGUUAAUUGCUCAGGCACUCAAGAGGAUCCCACUGUGGACACUUGAACCCUCAAGUGGGCAUUACUUCCUUGUUUUUGAUUGGUGAGUGUCAAGUGUGUGAAAAAGUGUUACGUGUUAAUUGUUAUUGAAAAUGCGAUAUUUUGAAAAUGUUGAGUCGAGUGUGUACUUUAUCACACUCGUUCUCAUUUAAGUAAAGCGUACUUGAAUUACUUGACAUGAAAUACUUGAAUUACUUGAAGUGACUUGUUAAGUGAAUUAAGUGAAGUGUUAAGUGACUAUUUAUGCUAUUGCUGCAUAAGUCGAUUGGAGUGAAUCUUCUCGACUCUUAAUUGAAAUCGUGGGGGACGCCCAAUUCUCACUGGCCAACCUUGGACUCGAGCCGGCACGGGUUUGGUCGAGCUUCUUGGUGAACCAUGAGAAAACAUAAGCUUGACCUAUUGAGAGGUCUUGCUUGGCAUACUCGAGCAGUUUCGUCUCAAACAAACGAUAAGCGGGCCCGGUACAGGGGUAUGUAACGGUGAACGGGGACAGGUUAAGUGAAGUUCUACGGACUAUAACCUAUCCGAUUGACGGAGUGUCAAUUCGUAGAGAUUCUUAACCGUGCAAGCGGAAAAUAGCUCCUGAGAGCUCUUAUAUCCUUGAAUUGUUUCUGUUUACAUUUUCUCGCCCGAAUUGUUAUUUACCUGAAUAUUACUGUUUUGCUUGUUAAAUGGGAUUGUUACUUGGACAACGUGCUUGCAUGUGUGUUUCUUGGCAUCACGAGCAAUUGCUCACCCCGUAGAUUUGUUUUCCUUAACAGGAAUGGAUCUGAGGUGAAACUCGGAGGAUUCAUUGGAAUGAACUUUUGUAAUAGGGUUUCGAUUGUAAUCGAAUGGACAUCUUUUGGGCAGUUGUAUGUCUUUUGAAAAAUUGAUGUAUUUUAUACUCGUGGUGUAUGACUAGAUAUUUGGUUAUGGAAGCGACUUUUCUUUAUUAGACUUGUAUUAAUGGUUAUGUAUCGUUAAGCUUGAAUCGAUUUGUCUUGAGUCCUGGCGAGAGCUGGGCAGGCGUCUCGCAGAUACCCUUUGGUUCGCCUUAGGGAGAAGUGGGGGCGUCACACAACCAACGUUCUAUUUUUCCUUUCGGCUAAACCAUUUUGUUGAGGGGUGUAUGGCGCACUUGUUUGAUGGAUCAAACCAUUUUCUUCACAAAAACCAGAAAAUUCAUUUGGAAAAUAUUCGCCUCCUCGAUCACUUCAUAGGAUUUUAAUUUUCCUUUCUAACUGAUUUUCAACCAAAGUCUUAAACAAUUUAAACAUAUCAAAUGUUUGAUCUUUUGUUCUCAGUAAAUAAACAUAUGUAAAUCUAGAAUGAUCCUCUAUAAAAGUUAUGAAAUAUCUAUUUCCACCCCUUGUUAAAUAACCAUUCAAUUCACAUAUAUUAGAAUGUAUAAUUUCAAGCAAUUUAGAAGUUCUUUCAUUCUUUGGAAAAAGUUUCUUAGUCAUUUUUGCUUGUAAACAUGUUUCACAUUUUUCAAAAUUGUCAUUUGUACAAGAUAUCAAUCCAUGUUUUGACAUGAACUUGAUUGAACUAAAAUUAACAUAUGAAAAACGAGCAUGCCAUAAAUUAAUAGAAGACUCAAUCAAAUAAGCAUAAAUAUUAACUUUAUUGAUACUUAGUUUGAACAUGCCAUUACAUGAAUAUCUUUAGCCAACAAAUACAUUAUUUUUGGAUAGAAUUACUUUUCCUGCCUCUAUGACAGCCUUCAAUCCCUUCUGGCAUAGUGCACUUGCGGAAACUGGAUUCUUCCUUAUGUCGGGAACAUGAUAAACAUUGGUCAGAACCAACGUUUUGCCAGAGGUAAACUCCAAUUCAACCGUCCCCUUUCCAAGCACAUCAGAUGUGUUAUGAUUUCCCAUUAACACAACUUCAUUUGGAGCAGCAACUUGAUAAAUUUUGAAUAAAUUCUUGUCAUUGGAUACAUGAACAGUAACACCCGAAUCAUACCGCCAAUCAUUAGAUUGGCAAUUUGUCAAGUUGCAUUCAGUUACCACAUUGAUGGAAAGUCCACCAAUCAUAGCAACAAUUUUAGCAUUGUUGGGAAGAGAAUCUUCAACAACAUUUGCCUUCUUUUGUCCAGCACUUGCCUCUGUCUUCAAUUUCUUGUAGAACCUGCAUUCUUUUUUAAAAUGCCAUUUCUUUCCAUAGAAAAAAACAUGACUUGUCUUUCUUAUUAUUUGCAGAAUUUUCAGAAGACCUAUCUCCAUGUUUUCUCUUAUUACUGGACUUGUUUCUGCCUUUUCCAGAUUUUUUAUUAGCGUUAGACUCAAUAUUAUUCACCUUAGUACCAGAUUCCAAAGCAAAUUUAUUCUCCCCGAAUACGAGCUUCCUCUUCAAUUCGGAUAUGCUUUGUAAGUUGGUGUAUGGUGAAAGUUUCAGGAGUGUGCAGUAGUUUCUUCCUAUAAUCAUUCCAAGUGGAUGGUAAUUUUGCAAUCACAACACCCACUUGAAGUUGAUCUGACACUUCAAUACUUAAAUCCUUUAAUCUAGACACUAACAGAAGUAAUUCAUCUACUUGAUUCAUUAUAGACUUAUUGUCUAACAUUUGAAAUUCAAAGAACUUCAUAGUCAAAAAUCUAUCUGUACCUUAUUUUUCAAACAUGUAUUUGUUCUCCAAAGCCUUCCAAAUCUCUUGCAGUGAUUUAAGAGAACAAAACAGAUCAUAUAAACGGUCUGACAAGGCAUUUAAGAUGAAGCCCCUACAGCGAACUUUGUCUUCCUCAUGUUUCUUGCGACUUGCCUUGAUCUCAUCAGACUCGCCAUCAGAUGGUUCAGGGAUCUUUGGCAGAUUAUCAGCCAACAGAUAUGCAACGCCCAAUUCCAUGAGAAGAAACAACAACUUUAUUUCCAGCGAGUGAAAUUGGUGCCAUCAAAACGAUCCAACUUGAUCAUAUCAGACUUGAAAAAUUUGUUCAGAAGAUUAUCUGAACUGGUGCCCUCCAUGUUGACGAAAUUUCCUUAAGAUUGUUAGGAAAACAGUAAUAACUACAACAACAAAAAAUGACUUUGACGUGAAAAUUCACUUUCCUUAAGGAAAUUUGCCCCCACUAUUCUACUACCGGGUCUGCAGCAAUUCCCUCUAGCAAUAACAAAGCCAACCAGAAUUUCCACACAGUAGAAUGCAGAAAUUCUCCCAAAAACGGUUUAGAGAAUAUUGUUUUGAACCAAAUAGAAGAAUAGUAAAACAGAAGUAAAGGUAAGGCCUCUGUUAUUUGGACACUAUUAUUUAUAACGUUCAGAUACCCCAAAAGAAAUGUCAUGUCUUUUGGAAACGUAUUUCUUCAUGAAUAGGUACAUUUUAAAAAUGAAUGGACACUUAAUGGUUGUAUGCGUUGUAUCACCAGAUACAACCCUUAAAAGGAAACCGUUUAGUUAAGAAGAAAUAUUAAAAUUUAAUUAAUUAAAAUUAAAUUUAGUUCUUAAGAUCCAAGUGCCCCAAUUGCCAAAGUGCCAAUCUUUUGACCAUUAAAUUUAUAUUUUAAUUUAAUAGUCAACAUGGCAAAUGCAUGUGUAAUUUUGAAAUUUCCCUCCAAAAUUUUCUACAAUCCAAAUUGAAUUUAAUAGGUGUGCACUUGAUUAUAAACCUCUUCCAUUCUUCACAUACUUUCAAUGUAGGAUUCAUCACUAACUAUAACUAUUUCCAACAUAGAUGUCUUCAGGCUCAAUUAUUUUUUUAAAAUUGUUCUGCCAAACCUGAACCAACAUUCUUGUCACACAUAGAACCAAUUAUCAUCACCGAUCCAAAUUCUUGUCUUUUGCUCCAUCUUAAUAUCAAUUUCCACUAGAAUGUGGGCCACAUAUGGGCGUUUGAGGGACAAAGUCACAUCAUCAAUUUUGAGUAGCCUACCUAAGAGACUCCCUAAUUUGUGUAAGUAUCUAGGAGAGAAGAAAGGCAAAGGCAAACCUGACAGGUUAAUCCAUACAGAUGCUAGUGAAGAGUCCUGGUCUGGACUGACAUCAAUUGUCCAUUUUGAUAAAACCAAGGGCAUGUCAUCGAUGUACCAAGAUCGACGACACCAUAGUCUAGCAAAAUCUUCAGCCAAGACAGACUGAAGAAGAAUAUGUUUUCGAUCUAACAAGCCUAGAAGGCAAUCACCCUUAAAGCCUAAUGAGGUAAUUAACUUUCAGAUUAUCACCAUUGAUGGCUUUCCAGCUGCAAAUCUUUCCACUAAAGAAUUUGAGAAAGGCUGUGGAAUUGUAAGCAUGUCCUGACGAAAAAGAUGUAAAGAUGGUUCACCCAUAUCUAUUGCAAUGCACUUUGACAUCAGCAGCAUUAGAUGAUGAAGAAAGACCAAAAAGCACAGCAGCAAAAGAUCGUUUUCCUGGUGUUGGUGGUUGUUCAGUUGGCGACUGAUCUCAAAGUGGCUGAAGUGCCCACCAUUGGCAACGGAUUCCUAGUGUUCAAAAUUCAAAAAUCAAAAUAGCAAGAAGAAGGGAGCUAUAAUCCAUAUUUAAGAAACCUUUUUUGCUAUCGAUACCCAAAUUGCUUUGCUAUUCUAUGGGAAAAAGUAUGAAGAGUGAAUGACUAAUUUUUAUAUCUUUAUAUAGUAAUUGAACUAUUUGUACUAGUGAAAAUUUCUCAUAUUCAAUUCUUUUUCACCAACCAAUUGCUGAGUAGUUCAAUUGAAUAAUUGUGUAAAAAUAGCUCUCUUAACAAUGAGCUAAGUUUUCAUAGAAUAUGAUCUCGCAAUAUUUGGUAUUCUUGUGCCUGUCCAAUGCAAGUAUUUAAGUCAUUGACAUUGUUGCAUGUUUGUAAAGAGUCAUCCUUAGUUUCAGUUUGGUGUAAUCUGAAAAAAGCUGUGAUCCACCUAUUCAAUAAAUAGUGUCUAUUUCAAAUUAUCUCAACUUUAGGUCAUCCGUUGUUCAUAGAUGCAACUACAAUAGUGUAUUCUAAACCAAUAUCUCUAGGGUUUGCAUAAAGAUAGAUUUGCUGAAGCUGCUUCCUUCUUGGGUUUAGGUGGGAAUUGGUGAUUACAAAAAUUUCUUCCCAAAUGUUAUGUGCAUCGUAACAGCCCCACAUUCUCCUAAGGCGAACCAAAGGGUUCUGCGGGUUGGCUGCCCAACUCGCGCCAAGACUCACUCAUAUGAUCGAAUAAAAUACUUCCAAAGUAUUUAAAAUAGCAAUUCCACAACUUAUAACAUAACUAAGUUCAACUUACAACCCUACUAACAAAAUACGAUCCAACAUCCUUAAGAUACAAUCAAAGUUCAUCUUACAAGCUUCCAAAAUAUCGAAUUCACAAUUUAACAAUCCAAAAUAAGAUACAAAAGAAACAUGGCCACACCCUAACUGACAGUGGCUUCACUCGGGUUCUCAAUUCCUGUUAAGGAAAACAAAUUGGAAAGAAUGAGCUAAUACCAGCGAGUUCCAAAAAGCAUACAGUCACAUAGAGCAGUUCAAAUUACACUUCAAGUUCACAAUUCAAAGCAAGUAAGGAAAGCAAAUUAACAACAUCAAGGGGUAGGAUAUGGAUGGCUCUUAGGAGCCAAUGUCCACGAAUCUUGAUCUUAUUUCACGUAGUCGACGCUCCGUCGACUUUCAAGUUUUAUCACUGUGUAGAACUCCACUUACUUGACUCUCCUUCCAACGACUCCCCCUACCGAACCCGAAAUCUAAAACACUUAAAAUGGGUAUUGCUCGAGUAUAAUAUAGUUUUCACUUCAAAAGGGAUAAGUCUAAAUGCCAAGUCCAGUGAAUAUAAAACACUCUCCUAUGGCUCGUCAAAUCUCCUCGACCAAGUCCCAUGACUGGCUCGAAUCGACAGACUCACCUAUAGGAUUUAGGAAUUCCCAAGAAUUAACAUGCACAAUCAAUCACUGAUCGUCGAUGGGAUAACAACCUAGGCGACAUCACAACACUUCAAUAAUUCAAAACACUAUUCAUCUCGGUCACAACAUCAAGUUCACAUCUAAGUCACAUUUGCAAAAUCAAGACAGAUAACAUACAUGAAACUCACCAAUAAAUCAAAGCUCAGAAUCCAAGUUAGGAUCGAUAUCACAGUUUUCAAUCACUACUAUAAACACGUAAAAAGAGACAAUAAGUUUCGCCCCCAACAAUUUGCGAAACUAAACCAAAUUCACUUGAACUCGACACGUAAGCUCGAGUUAUGAAAAUAAUAUCUAUCUAGAAUAGUUUUCCUCAAAAUUCGAUGCAUGAAAGCACAAAAUCAAGGGCAAAACAGUCUCUAGUUCACCAUUGCUGCCCGGAUAAUUUUUAGCCCAAAAAUAGUGAAAUAAAGUGACUUUUAACCGUUAAAAUUCCUAACUUUCAACAUACAAUCAUAGUUUAACAUAAUACCAAGUCACUUGAGUGAAAUUUAGUCAAAAAGAACACAAAAAUGUCAAAAAUGAAGGUGGAAAAUUAACCCUUUUCAUUCGGCUAGCCCAUCGAAAAUUUUUCAAGAAUUUCGCCAACAAAAACUCACUCAAAUCCAUAUGGGUUUCAUCAAUCAUUAGCCCUUGGUUAUCAAUAGGAAAAUUUCCAAGUAAAUCAAACCCACAAAUCAAGAGCUAUGUUGGUAUUUUAACUACUAGAACAUCUAGUGGUAUAAUUUCAAGAAAAUUUCUAGAUCUACCAAAGAUCUUACUUAAAUCAAAUGAGUCUAACAUUUUCACGGCUAGAAAUUAACGAUUAAGGGUAAUUUCUUGUUCUUACCUCAAAAUCUAACUAGAUCUAGUGUGAUUCAAUCUCAAAACUUCCUUCCAAGAUUCCCCCUUCAAGUUUCCUAAAGAAAAGUCAAAUCUUCUAGCUUGUUUGGGUGAUUUCUUCCACAAAUCCACAAGGAGCAAGAUGGAUGGUGUCCUUUCUCUCUUGGUCUCUCUCUCUCUCUCCCUUUCUCUCUCGAGCUCUCUCUCUCUCUCUCUCUCGGCUUUCUCUCUCUCUCGGCCCUUAAUAAGAAAAGAAGAAAAAAAAGAGGAAAAAUUGUGGUGGGUGAUGGGUUGUCAAGUGAUCUUCAAGAGCAAGAUGGAGGAGGAAAUGGAGAGCUCUCAAGUCUCUUUCUCUUUCUCAAAUUUCGGUUGGCUCAAGGAGGAAGAGAGAGAAUGAACUCUCAAGUCUAGUUUCUUCCUUUAAAAUGUAGUAGGGACCACCUUACCUACUCGUUUAUGUGUUGUAUUCUCAUGCGACAUCAUAUCCUUUAUUAGAUUUCUCUCAACCUACAUUAUCCAUUCAUUUUUCUAUUUCUUUAAAGUCCUUACAUGCUUUAGAUUUCAUCUUAAUACUACAUUCCACGUCACCACUCCAAAGUUUCACACUUAAUGUUAACCAAACGAUAACCGGGCAAUUAAUAAUAAAAAUUCAACUAAGAUAUAAAAUGACAUUUUAAUAGAUGAAAAUACCAAAAAUUAGCAAACUCACAUAAUAUAAAUAUUUUCAUCAUUAUUAUUUAUCUUUCGAAAAUAGUAAAAAAAAAAUUUUUUAGAGCCCUCACAUCCUUGCCCCAUUAAAAGAAUUUUGUUCUCAAAAUUCUCACCUUUCUAAACGAACAACUCAGGAUACUUUUUCUGCAUCUCUUCUUCUGCUUCUCAAGUCACUUCCUCGACGUCAUGAUUUCUCCAAAAGACUUUAACCAAAGGAAUUUUCUUAUUUCUCAAGUCCUUUACCUUUCGAUCAUGAAUCUUCAUAGGAUGUUCUCAUACGAAAGCGACUCAUAUACUUCAAUAUCUUUCAGUUGUAUCACAAGAGUUGGAUCCGGAUAAUACUUCUUGAGCAUAGAGACAUGGAAAACGUUAUAGAUUUUAGACAUACUAGUAGGCAAAUCCAAUUGAUAUGCCACUUUCCCAAUUCGUCGGAGAAUCUCAAAAGGUCUAAUGAAUCUUGGUUUUAAUUUCUUCCCUUUCUUUGAUACAACUCCUCCUUUUAAGGGUUUAACUCUUAAAAAGGCCUUAUCCCCCACUUCGAAUUCCAAAUCUUUUCUUCUAUUAUCCGCAUAACUCUUUUGUCUAUCCAAAGUUUCACACUUAAUGCUAACCAAACGAUAACCAGGCAAUUAAUAAUAAAAAUUCAACUAAGAUAUAAAAUGACAUUUUAAUAGAUGAAAAUACCAAAAAUUAGCAAACUCACAUAAUAUAAAUAUUUUCAUCAUUAUUAUUUAUCUUUCAAAAAUUGUAAAAUUUUUUUUAGAGCCCUCACAUUCUUCUCCAUUAAAAGAAUUUUGUCCUCAAAAUUCUCACCUUUCUAAACGAACAACGCAGGAAACUUUUUCUGCAUCUCUUCUUCUGCUUCUCAAGUGGCUUCCUCAACGUCGUGAUUUCUCCAAAGGACUUUAACCAAAGGAACUUUCUUGUUUCUCAAGUCCUAUACCUUUCAAUCAAGAAUCUUCAUAGGAUGUUCUCAUACGAAUGCGACUCAUAUACUUCAAUAUCUUUCGGUUGUAUCACAUGAAUUGGAUCCGGAUGAUACUUCUUGAGCAUAGAGCCGUGGAAAACGUUAUGGAUCUUAGACAUACUAGUAGGCAAAUCCAACCGAUAUGCCACUUUCCCAAUUCGUCGAAGAAUCUCAAAAGGUCCAAUAUAUCUUGGUUUUAAUUUCUUCCCUUUCUUUGAUACAACUCCUCCUUUCAAGGGUUUAACUCUUAAGAAGACCUUAUCCCCCAUUUCGAAUUCUAAAUCUUUACUUCUAUUAUUCGCAUAACUCUUUUGUCUACUCUGGGCGUUUUGGUGCCGAUCUCGAACUAUCUUUACUCUUUCAUAUGCUUUCUCAAUCCAGGGUAUAGUGAUCGGAUCCAAAAUCUUUCUCUCCUAUUUCAUCCCAAUAGGUCGGCGAUCGACAUUUUCUUCCAUAAAGUGCUUCGUAAGGUGCCAUUCGAAUUUGAAGCAUGGUAACUGUUAUUAUAUGCAAACUCGACCAAUGUCAUAUGGUGACUCUAGUUUUUUUUGAAUUCUGUUAUACAUGAUCUCAACAUAUCCUCCAAAGUCUGGAUUGUCCUCUCUGGCUGUUCGUCCGUUUGGGGAUGAUACGCUGUACUCAAGUUUAAUUUGGUCCCCAAUGUCUCUUGAAAUUUUUGCCAAAAUCGGGAAACAAAAUUCGGAUCUCUAUCAGAAACGAUACUUACAGGAAUUCCAUGUAACCUCACAAUUUCAUCCAUAUAAAACUUUGCUAGUUUCUCCAAAGGGUAUUUCAUAUUCACCGGUAGGAAAUGUGCAGUCUUAGUAAGCCGAUCUACUAUCACCCAAACUGCGUCAUGCCCCUUUUCACUCCUUGGCAACCCUGUUACGAAAUCCAUGGUAAUACGUUUCCAUUUCCACUCGGGUAUCUCUAAAGGUUGUAAAAGUCCCGAAGAUUUCUGAUACUCAGCAUUAAUUUACUGGCAGACAAGACAUGUUUGAACAAAUCUAGCCACUAUCUUUUUCAAGCUAUCCUACCAAUACAACCUUUUUAAAUCUUGGUAUACCUUAUUACUCCCAAAGUGUAUCGUUUACUUAGAUCCGUGCAUUUUCUCCCAUAUUCCCUUCUUAUUUCUUCAUUACCAGGCACCACGAUUCGAUAUCGAAAUCUCAGUACUCCUUCAGGCCCUACUUUAAAAUCCUGAAUUCCCUCUUUCUGUGCUUUCUCCAACCAUUUCUGCACCAUAUCAUCCUUCUUUUGUGCCUCUUUAAUGCAUUCUAACAAUGGAGACUUUAAUGCCAAAUUCCCAAAUACAACCUUUGGUCCCUCUAGGCGAGAAUUCCACUCGCUCACGUUUUUCAACAUACUCCACUCGAACCAUUAACCCUGUCAUUUGAGUUUUUUGACUUAACACAUCUGCUGCUACAUUGGCCUUCCCAGGGUGAUAAUUCAUAGUGUAGUCGUAAUCCUUUAGAAAUUCUUCCCAUCAUAUCUGUUUCAAAUUUAACUUCUUUUGAGAAAAUAGAUAUUUAAGACUCUUAUAGUCCGCAAAAAUCUCAAAUGUCACCCCAUAUAAAAAUGUCUCCAAAUCCCUGAACAGGUUGCGAAAAUCAGCCAACUUCAAACUAUUAUAUCUUGUUGCUCAAAACUCCAAAUUUAGUUUCGCUUAUUGUGUUUCAAACUUGAUUUGGAACUAUUGCUGUGUUAUAAAUUUCAGAGGGUAAUUCACUUUCUGUGAAUUUUACCGAAUUUUCAAACAUUGCUAAAAAACCAAGACUGGUUAUGUCCUGUCUUCAUGAAACAGUAACUUUGAGCUGAAAUUAGAAUAGUUUCUGGUUAGAAUCUUGGAAAAGUGUUUUCAGGGAAGUUUUAGUACUUUGAAUCUCGUUUCCAACGGUAUAAAGUUUUCCAUUUUUGAACUUACAAAACUCAAGAUCUGAUUUUCCAAAUAUGGUCGCGCAAAGCUGAAAAUUCCUGAUUCCUUAAGAGAUGAACUUUUAAAGAAGGGUAAAUUCCCUUUUGACCCCCUAAACUAUACCCUGUUUCCCACUUUAAUCCCUAAAUUUCAAAAUGGGACACUUAAGUCCCCCAACUACUGAAUCCGUCCCAAUUAAGUAUAACCGUUGCCGGAAUCCACAGAAUUAUCAGGCUUUUCCGAGCGUGUAAAACAAGCGCCACUGACCAAGGGCAGGGAUGGAAAUUCAUAGAAAAUAUAUAAAAAGAAAAAAAUUUAUUUAGUACAAAGGAGGGAAACUUUCCCUCUUUUUAUCAAGCAGAAUCGAGUCAUAUAAUUGACCCGAUCCAAUUCAUAAAAGAGACGGGUUGUGCCCUAAGUACCGAAAUAGCUGGUAAUAACUUCUUGGUCGAGAGCCGGCGGAAAUCUGAAGAUAAGAAAGAAGACAAAUGAGAGAUGGUUAGGGACACAUGCAACUGUGGAAAACAAGCAUUGAUGAUGACAUCAUGGACUGAUUUAAACCCAGGAAGAAGGUUUUGUCGAUGUCCAAAUUACAGGGUGAUUCCAUUUCCAUUAUAUCUGUUUGCACUUCUUCCUCUAUGGUUUUGAUUUGUAUGCAAUGCACUUAAGUAAACUUGUAUUUACUCUCUCAAUGGUGUUGUUAAUGCAGGAAUCGGGGGGAUGCAGGUAUUGGGAUUGGGUGGAUCCUGAGAUGUGUCAAAGUUCGAAGGAUAUAAUCCCUGGACUGAUAAGAACCAAAAAAAAAUUGGAGUCUGAGAUUGAGAGGUUGCAAGAGAACUCAAAGCUGCAGGAAGCAAAACUAAGAAGGCUGAAGAUGUACUUGUUUCUUCAUUGGGUUGUUGCUAUUGUAUGGAUCCUUUUGUUCAACUUUGGGCCAUAAAGGUCAUCAUUGGAGUUUGACAAGAAAAUGUCCAUGUAUGUGGGAAAAGAAGCAACGAUGUAGUAGAGUGCAACAUGCAAUGCAAGGGAAAAUGGUGCUAUGUAAUUGGGAUGGAAAAGAUGUAAUUUUGUCUCUCUUUAUAAGCUACGGUUUCUGGUGUAAUGUAGCUAUGCUUGAAGAAGCAGUAGGGACUGACAUGCUGUUUUGUUUGAACUUUAGGGACCUAAGUGUCCCUAUGUAAUGAAGUAUUGUUCAUACAUUCUCAGUUUUAUUUAGUUGAGGGACUACAGUGUCCCAACUUAUUGAACUACUUUUGUCAGCGGAUGAUAAACCUGUAAACAUUUGUAACACCAUCAACUGUUUGACAUAAUAAAUGCAAUUGAAAAUGAGCUGAAUUUGAUCAUUUAAGAAGAAGGCAUGUUUAGCCUUACACCAAAAGACCAGAAGUUCCACAAAUUUACAAAACAACAGCUAGAAUUUCUUGCCAUUAACAAACAGCAUUUGCCAUUUACAAAACAUCAGCUCCCUACAAAGCAACAAAAAUUCACAAAACCCAGCUAAACAUAGAGCUGCACAUUGCGAUUUACAACUUCAAACUAUUUUGGAGGCUGAUUUAAAUUGCCUAACUUUGCAGCUUCAUUUGCAUUCCCAUGGAGCUGCACAUUGGCAAUGGCAGUUGAAUGAUUCACGUGGCUUGCUGCUGCCUGCAAUAUAGAUAGAUUUACACACAUGUUCCCCCUCCAAGUGAAGGGAGUUGGUUGAAGUCGUCCGGUGACACAGCUAGUAGAACCAAGCUCUUCUGUCUACCUAUCAUCAAUGUAUGACUCUGGUGCUCUCACUGUUAUCCCUGGACUGUGUGAAUAACUGAAGUCACCAGUAUUGGAGUUCAACUACAUGUCAUGAGAUAAGAAGUAGUUAAUAGGAGAGUGAACAUUUUCACAUCUCACACAGCAACAAACUGAAAUUUCAUAGUACUUACAUGUCCAGAUUUAGUACUUUUUUUGCUGUCUCAUAUGGGUUGAUCAGAGAAUCAGUUGCAGCUCUGUUGAGUCCAAGUUCUCCAGUCAUGUCCAGUGAGUUUCUAAAGGUCCAUUGCCUCAGCUUGCAACCUUUCUUUGAAUGGCUAGGUUUCCUGCAAAAUGAGCAUUUUCUUGUGCCCUUGACUGGUUGUUCUCCACCAAUUUUCUGUUGAGUCUGGCUUUGAGGAGCAGCCGUGCAGCUCUCUUGUGUAUUUAAGUGAGUGACAUUAGAAGUAGUUGGACCAGUACUGGUAUGCCUUGUUUCAUUUCUGAUGGCAUCUGUUUGUUGUGUGCUGGUCCCACUAGUUUCCUUAUCCAUAUGGCCAUCUGCUCUUAUUUCUACUGGAGCAGUUUGCUGAUUUUUUUCAGGGCAGCUCCUCCUAUUAUGGCCGUAUUUCUUGCACAGACUACAGCUCAUCUUAGUGCCAACCUUGCUAACUUUGUGAGGUUUAGAUGGAUUUACACAUGACUGCCUAUUCCUAUCUUCAUCUAGUCCCUUUUUCCUCGCCUUUUUUGGCCUUCCAGGUGAUUUCCUAUAUUUUGAAGGCUUCAUUGGUGGUAAAUCUACUGGGGCCCACAAAUUAGGACCAUUGAUUGGAUUCAACACAGGUUCAUAACUCUUUAUGUAUGUACUCUUCCAGUAGAUGCAUGCUACAUUUUUUUCUGGCUUGUCAUGUCUCCUAUAAAUAGCAGCAACUGCAUGGCCACAUGAGAUUCCCCUCAGUUGCCAUUUUCUACAAGUGCAGGUCUUGCUUCCCAAAUCAACGACAAACUGGUCACCAAAAGGACAACAUAUCUGAUAUUUCAUUGUGCCAGCAUAAUAGCAGAUGCACAUGCAUUGCUCUUUCUUGGCCUUCUCAAGAAUAUAAAAAAUUGCUAGACAUAAGAGACCUGACAAAUAAAAAGGCAAAUUAGAUAUUGAACAUAGGGUAACUAGAAAGAAAUGCUGAUAAACAUAGUAAGCAAGUAGCUUAACCUUCAUGUUUGGACAUUGUCUCUCUAUUCCUCUCCAUUCUCUUCAACAAAUAUAAGUAAAUAGUUUGCAACAUGCCUAUGAUAGGCAGUGAUCGUGCCUUUAAAAUAACUGAAUUAAAAGAUUCACACAUAUUAUUAACCAGUAUAUCGCAAUCCAAUCCAGUCUUGAAAUGAGCCCUUGACCAAGUGUUGGGGUCCUUUUCAUCCAACCAUGCAUAUGCAUCCUUUGAUUCUUGCUUCAUCAUCUCCAUUUCUGCUUUGAAAUGAGUCAUAUAUGAAGCUCUUGCACAUCUUCAAAGCCUAUCUUUAAGAGCAAGACCUCUAUGCAUUUGCUUGAAAUUAAUGUAAAGGUGUUGGACACAACACCUAUGCUCAGCUUGUGGAAGUUUGUCCCUAACAGCCUAAACUAGACCCUGUACAACACAACACAACAAUCACAUAUGCCAUAUUAAUAUCAAUAGUUUAACAUAAAUAAUUAAUGGAUAACAAAUUAAUAAAUACUACCUUCUGUUUGUCAGUCAUAAUGCACUAGCAACUAGAGUCUGAAAUUUUUAAAUCUUGUACAAGCAAUCCUAAAAACCAACUCCAGUUAUCAUAAUUCUCCACCCCAACAACUGACAUUGCCAAGGGAAACAUUUUGUUAUCACCGUCCAUUCCAACUGCUGUUAAAAGCUGUCCACCAUAUGGACCUUUUAGGAAGCAACCAUCUAACCCAAUCCACUUUUUACAACUAGCUAAAAAAUCUCUCUUUAUUGGUUCUAAGCACAUAUACAACCUUCUAAACCUAGAAACACCAUCUUCAUCUAUAUCAGUCUCAACAAACACAGUAGAUCCCGGAUUUACCCUCCUCAAUUCACCACAAAAUGAUUCCAACAUGGUGUACUAUUUUUCAUGGAACCCCUGAAUAGUGUCUCUAAUUUUUCUAAGUGUUCUAUACCUUUGUUUAAGGCUGAAAUCAACAUUUAACUCCUCAGUUACUUUGGUCAUCAACUCAUGCACUGUCAUAGAUGGCGCUUUCCUUACCUCAUCAACAAAUAGUUUGCUAGCCAACCUAGAUGUCAUGUUUUUAUUGUGGAACACUCUUCCACAAGUGUACUCAUCACUAAGUGUUUUUAUCUAAAAGGUAUUCUCAUCUUGCAUUUUAGACACAAAUAGCUGCCAGUCACAAUUUCUGCAUUUCACUCUCACCCUCUGUGUAUCAUUUUUCUUGAAUUACAUAUCUCUCCCAUCCAUAAUUGCUUGGAUUCUUACAGCCAACUUGAAUAUAAUAACUGAUGUGAACUUCUGACCAACUUCAAACUUUGGUUUCUUCAUGUAUGUUUGCUCAUUAAAAACUGGAAAUUUAGGCCUAUUUGUCUUACUAUUCCCACCUUCAUCGGAUUCACUUUGACUCUUCAAUUCAAAUGAACCAUCCGAGUCAUAUUCUGAUUCAAUGUCAUCAAUGUUAAUCAUAUCAGGGUCAUCCUAGUAGUUCAUUUCAAUGGGUAGGUCUCUCUUCCUUCCUGGCUUCUUCUUUCUUUGCUCACUGCAAUGAGAAGGACCAGGUUUAUUGCAAUGCCAAGGGCCAACUGAAUGUGCACCUAGGUCUCCUCCAAAUGUUUGACCAAUUUUGAUAGUUUCAUCUAAUAUGUCAUUGUCUCCCCCUUGAUCCUCAUAGUCUGAAUCUGCCAGCUUCUCAUCAACAUUGACUCUAUUUUCUUUUUCUUCUUGUCUGGCAGCAUCACAUGAUGUUUCCCCUACACCACCUUCAUUGCUGGCUGCCUUUUGUGCAUUUUCAUUACAAUUUUUACUUUGGUCAUCUUCUUCUCUGACUUGUGCAUUUGAAGUUUCAUUAUAGCCUUCAACAUCUUUUGGUUCCUUUGCAGCAUCACUCCUAUUGUCAGCUUUCUUUUCUACCAAAUUUUCAGUUUCAGUCGCUUUGCUAUUCACGUCUUCAUAUUCUACUUCAUCUUCAGCAGCAACACUAUAAAAUUCCUCACUUUCUGGUUCAACAUCAGUACCUUUUGCCGGAUUGUCUGCAGUUUCUAGUACUACUUCAAUACUUUCUGGUUCAACAUCAAGGCCUUUUGUUUGCUUGUCUUCAGUUUCUGGUGCUAUUUCAAUACUUUCUGGUUCAACAUGAAGACCUUUUGCUUGCUUGUCUGUAGUUUCUAGUGCUACUUCUAACCCAGUACUAUUAUCUAAACCUUUAGAAAACAGAUUUGGUACACUCGGUGUCCAGUUGCUACUGCACCCUUUUGUAGUGUCUGGGAACUUUGCUGGUUGAAUGUUAACAUUUUCUUUACCAUCUUGUUGCACUUGAUCAGUGUCUAUACCCUUUUUUAUGAUUAUAACAUCACUGUCUCUAUCCCUUUCGGCUUCAUCUCCCUUAGCUUGAUUACAUGGUGCUGCAGCCUGUGGACAACCUUGUGAAACAACUCUAAGAAACACUUCUGCCAUCCUAUGUGGUGGUAAUGUGUUCACCAUCAUCUCACAAUCCCUAUCACACAUACAAAAGACCAAGCAUUUAUCCAAUGUCAUCCCUAGUAGCAGAUAAUACAACCCAAAAUGAUCUUCUGCAUCAUACCCAAGACGGACUCCACAUUUGUCUAGAGUUACUAAUGACCACAUUUUUGGGUUGCAUCUAUCUAUAAAAUUAACCCGUCCCCCUAUAUACUGUCUGUUAGGAGAGUCUGUGAAAGUUUCUUGAUGGUGUAACUUUAAAGAGAAAGGUUUAUGCAAAAUUUCACUAUCACCAUUUCCUGGUUCAAAGAAAAAAAUUUAAAUUCAAUAAUUAAUUUUUUUACACCUUUUACAGUGGAUCGGGGACCACAAUGUCUGAAAUACAAGGGACAUUAGGGUUUGGACAGCAUAAACAUUGCCUUAAAAAAGACCCCAAAUCAUCAAACAACAUACUUUAAACAAUUUUGUCUACCAUACUUUAUCAGUAACAUAUAACAUACAGAGAUCACUCUGACCCUUUUUACAUUCCACAAUAUCAGUACAAAACCUAACCGACAACAUGGCACAAUAAACCAACUACUAUAUACGCUAUUAUCCAACAAGCAAACAAUGACAUUUUAAUAUCGUUUCUCUUACCGGGAGCUGCCUUUCUCUUCUUGUUCUUCAAUGGCGACCUCAUUUCUCCAUCACCCCUCUUCAAUGUCGAUCUUGACUUUCCUAUUUCACAAUGCCAGUCACCUCUAAGUCACAACACAAGAAUGUCAAGGCUAUAUGUGAGAGCCCGUAAUUUUUCCCAUUUUCUAGGUUUUAUUAUCUGUCAUGGCUUGUUUUCUGUAUUUUCGUGAUAAGGAAAAAUUCUAGAUCUUUUUAAGGAGCAGAUAUAGUUUUUAGAUGAUUUUUCUAGUAUCGAAUAGGUUUUGAGAAAUUAAGAGUGUAUACCGGACGUGGGACUCACUAGUGCGAAAAGUUUGAAAAAAUUCGGCCAACUAGGUUAAGUUUUGGAUACUGAAAUUAAUUUACCGGGUGUUAAGAGAUAAGUAGAGGUUGCAAUUUGGAUUGGUGUGAGAGGAAACAAAGUGAUAGACUUGCAUUAAUGGAGGUGACAAGUGUCACCAUUGGAUUGGUCCUUAAGUAAGACUACUAUUCCUUUUCUUACCAUUGACCAAAUAAAUAAAAAAAAAUAACCAAAAAUUCACCAUUUUCUCUUCAUCUUGGCCGAGCUCCUUGAGCAACAAAAGAAAGAAAACUCUUCAAGAUUUUGGCUUCAAUCAACUUACUCAACCAUCCAACCUUGAUUUUGCUCCAUAAAACCACUUAAGGGAGUGAUAGUGAAGUGUUGUGUGGAGUUAUUUGGAAAGCUAAGAGGACUUGUUGCUCUCUCUCUCUUGUUUCUAAGGUGAGUUGUGAAGAAUCACUCUCCUCCCUUUAUUGAUGCUUAAAUCAUGCUUAGUGGUAGUAUGAGAUGCAAUAUUAUGGAUUAUUUCUUGAUUUGUGGUUGAAUUGAUGAAGUUUUAUAAUUUUUAGAGAUUUUUCUGUUUUAAUAUGAACAUGAUUGUGUGGCUAUAUAUGAUGAUUGGAAAUGAUGUUUAAGGACUCUAUGAGGUGGAAAAAGUGGUUAAUUGCAAACAAUUUCUGUUUUGGAAGAAAUCUUGGAAAGUUAGGGUUUAUGAUGAUAACAUUCUGCCCGGUUUUGUAGCUCCUAGUUAGAGGCCGAAUUGGCCUUGACUUAAAACAUGAAAGUUGUAGGGAAUGUUAUUUUAGAGGUUUUUGAAAAAUUUCAGGUCAAUCGGAGUAGUGUAACUUGAGAAAAGUCGAAAUUACCCUUGCUGUUCUGGUUUUACCCGAAUUAGAGAAUUGCUUCUGUAAUUGGUUAUUUUGGUUAGGAAUGCUUCCUAAUUGGUUGUUGAGACCCUCUGAUGAAAUGUAGCCCUGUUUCUUAGCUUUCAGCUGGUUUUAGAAUUUCUGGAUUUGGACUUGGAUAGCCUGAUUUAUGAUGUUUCCGCUAGAAUACGUUCUGUGAAUCUGUUUUUGUGAUUCUGGUGUAGUAUCUUGCAUUUUUGACCUGGUUACAUUCGAAACUGGGUUGAGUGACCUUCUCCAAUAUUGUAUCCCUAUCUCUUAGCUUCGAAACGGUGGGUCUUGCACCUUCAUCCGAUAAUCGUACUGUCUUUGGUGCCAUUACCGCAAAAUGAGGUCGAAAACUGUUUUUUUUUCAGGGUUACAACUAGUUUCAUUUCCGGAUUUUCUGGUUUUCCCUAAUGCUUGUAUAUGCUUAUGGAACCCUAUUGGGGUCGUAUUUGGCAUUGGUUUAUGACUCGUUAUCGAGUCUCAUUGUACUUGUUUGCAUGUUUUAGGGCGUGACGGUGGUUCACGACGUUCUUUUGACGGUAGUGCAUGAAACACCAUUUGCAAGCUUGGUGAGUGUACUAGUCACUUAUGUGUUACUAUAUAGCUUUGAUACUUGAACUUGAUGAGUUGAAUGUUAAUUGAUUGAAGUGAGAGCGUACUUUAUCACUCUCACUUAUUGUUUCUCUUGUUAUUGGAAUGUUACAUGAAAUGUUACAUGAAAUGAAAGUACUUGAUUUGGUGUCGAUUGGACGAGUAUCCAACGACUACAAUUGUUAUCUUUGAGCUCAACCCCAUUGGUAGUUGAUUGAAUCGAGCUGGCGAGGGCUUGGUCGUGCCAAUUAAUGAUCCUUGGGGAAAGUGUUAUAUGGAAUCUUGUAGUAAGAGAGACUCUCGAUUCCGGUAUACUCGAGUAAUACCACAGUGCAAGUGUUUAGAGUUCGGGCCCGGUAGGGGGAUGUUAGGUGGAUGGAAUGGAAGUAAAGUGGAGUCUACGGUUGGUUACUUUUGAACAUUGACGGAGAGUCAAUGAGAUCCGAUCAAGAAUGCAAACGAGGAAAAGGGCUCUUGAGAGCCACCCGUAUCCUUUUAUCCUCAAUAUUGACAUGUGCCUUGGCUUACUUUUGAUGAAUUGAAAUGAAAAGCUUUAUGCCUAUGUGAACUUUGUUGCUUGGGUAGUAUUCUCACUGGGCAAUUAGCUCACUCUAUUCCUUUUAUUUUCCUUACAGGAAAAUAACUACUUUUGGACUGCAAUUGAUAAUUGGUUGCCGAAAUGAGCUAGUUGGACAUAUCUUUUGUAUAGCUCAUUUAUUGAAAUCCUAAAUGUACUUUUGGGUCUGUUUCUCUUUUGAUUUGGCAAACCAUACAUGUAUCCACUUUUGAAUACUUUUGUAUGCAACUUUGGAUUGUAAAUACUAAAGUUCAGGAUGUGAAUGUUUGCUUGGUUUUUGGUUGGGUUCUGACGGGUCGGUUACUAUUCAUGGCCGACUCCGGAUUUCAUUUUUUUAUUUUGGGUUAUUUUGCCAUUUUGACUUGUUUACGUACGUUUGUAAGUUCCGGAACGCAAUAGAUCGCUCUAACUGCACCGUUAGUCCUGGCGAGAGUUGGGCAGGCAGUCCGCUAACCCCUUUGGUUCGCCUUAGGGGAAGGUGGGGCUGUCACACUAUAGAUUAGUAGAAAUUUGCUAACUUCGUUCACACCCUCUCUCUCUCUCUCUUCAAAUCCAUGGUGAAGAAGACAGAAACAAAGCUGUUUCCCUCUAUUUUCUUUUCCUCUUAUACAUAACGAGCGAAAUUACAAUUAUGUCCUGGCCAUUUCAGUUUUCAUGGCGUAUCUAGUCUCACUAACAGCGCUUGUUUUGCACGCUCGGAAAACCCUGAUGAUUCUGUGGAUUCCGUCAACGGUUAUACUUAAUUGGGACGGAUUCAGUAGUUUGGGGAUUUAAGUGUCCCAUUUUGAAAUUUAGGGAUUAAAGUGGAAAAUAAGGUAUAGUUUAGGGGGUAAAAAGGGAAUUUACCCUUUAAAGAACUCCCAACUCCCUUUCGAUAUUGAUAGACCGUUUUAAACUUGAUUUCAUGGAUGAUACAAGUUUCCCUUGUGACUUUAAAUCCUCACUUUUGAAUCUCGAUUUCGAGGGAUUAAAGCUCUUUUAAGACAUUGUCUUAAGUUUUAAGCAAGUGUACUUUCUUCCUUGAAUGAUAAGUGGUUGUGAGUAUAUGUGAGUGAUGGUUGAUCAUCAUUUCUUCAGACGCUCAAGAGGAUUUUGAAAGGAAUCUCAGAACGGACAACUAAAGACUUUAUUUGUUCACUUACUUUUGACUUGGUGAGUGUCAAGUGUAUGAAUUGUUGUAUCUACUUGGUUAAUCUUGCUUGUAUACAUGAACAUGAUUUGAUGAGAUGAGUGUGUACUUUAUCGCACUCGUUCUCCUUUAUUUGACUCGUUACUUGCCUUACUUGAACUUGGUUUUGUAUUAAACUUGAACUUGAAUGUCGAUUGGAGUGAACCUCAUCGACAAAAUUAUACUUGUACUCGUGGGAGACGCCCAAACUCAUUGGCUAAUCUUGCGACUCGAGUCAACAUGGACUUAGUUGAGAAGUUUGGCGAACCAUGAGAAAACUAGAAAGCUUGAUCUUUUCAAAUCUUACUUGGCAUACUCGAGUAGUAUUGAUUUUUUAUGCGACGUGCGGACCCGGUAGGGGGUGUAACGAUGGACGAAAUUUGGUGAAAGUGGAAUCUACGGAUUUGAUACUUGCUCGGUUGACGGAGAGUCAACGUGCGAUAUUUGGAUCAAGGCCUUGGCCAAACUGUGUGGAAUUAGCUCCUGAGAGCUCCCGUAUCCUCAUUGGUUGUGCUUUAUUGUUAUUCGUGAAUUACUUGAACUUUCCAGUUAUAUUUUUGUACAAGUGUUAUUGUUACUUGAACUUAUGCGUUUGCAUGCUUUUCUUGGUCUCACUGAGCGUUAACUCACCCCCGUAGUUUGUUUUCCUUAACAGGGAUUCGGAUUAGAGAUGACUUUUGGAGAAGUUGACUUGAUUACCUUUUGAUUAGAAUUUUGGAUGUAAAUAUUUAGUCAACUUUAGAUGCUUGUAUUUUUGAGGAAAUUUGAUGUACCUUUUGGAAACUUGCAAUGUAAGACUUGAAUGGUUAUAUAAGGAAGUGACUUUUAUUUAUAUUGACUUUUAUUAUUGGUUGAUUACCUUUAAAUUUAAAUUUAUCUCGCAUUGAGUCCUGGCGAGAGUUAGGCAGGCGUUCCGUCGAUACCCUUGGUUUCGCCCUAAGGAGAAGUGGGGGCAUAACAGUUGGUAUCAGAGUCUAGAUUUAGAGAUUUAUUUGAGAGAUGUUUUAGAGACUUUACUCUUGAGAAUAGGGAUGGGAAAACUUAGUUAUACCUCAAGUUGAUGUUUGAGCAAAGUAGUGACUUUAAGUUUCUAACCUUAAGUUUUGUGGUUGUUUUGUAGGUAUGGAAAACGGUAAUGGAGAUCAUGCGACUAAUGGUAAUGGAGCUGCUAACGGUCAUGUGGAGUCUCUUAUAUCCAUCCGAUAUCGAGUUAUGGGUGGAGGACCCCGUGUCCGAUAUUCGCCUUCCACUAGGUUCCUUUGUUGUCCUUAUAAGGAGACACGUGCCUACCCUAAUGAUCUUGUGCUGUCCAUUAAUGAUGAGCGCCGACAGUUAGUGGUUACUAAUAGGGCAUUAUUUCAGGAGAUCAAGGAGCUGAAUGCUAUGGUGGAUGCCCAGGGUGUUAGGAUAUUGGAGCUCGUGGAGACGGUAAUAGAUGAGCUGGCUAGGGCGAGACCGCUCGUGACGAGUUUCAGAAGACUAGGGCUCGACUAGUUAGGGUAGUCGAGGAGAUCCGGGAUCGGGCCGUUGGAAUUUUAGCUGACACCACCAUAUUGAUAGAGGAAGUGAUAGACGCCGUUGAGAGUCCGGCACAUGAGGGCACUCCUGAGGAGGAGCCUUUCGAGGAGGUCCAGACUAGCAGUUCGGAUGCGAACUAAGUUAGGAUUGUUGAAUCUUUUGACUUUUGUAGUUGGGAUUAAUUGGAGUGAUGCUUGUAAAGCUCUUGAUUUUUACUGCAUGUUUGAUUGUACUUUUGUGGCACUUGUGUGCUAUGUUUUUGUAAAUGCCCCAUGACUUACUGAUUAUAUAUGAACUUUUAAAUAUUAAUAUAUGCCAGUUAUUGUUAUUUCUAAUAUUUUUCAUAUUGGCUUUUAUUUUUAAGUAUUCUCUCACUUAAUUAUUUUUAUUCUUGCAUUUAGACAUAAUUAAGAUCUUGAACGACCGAAAAAAUGGUAGGGGUCGAGAGCGCGGGGUCAGGCAACCCUAAACUCAAAGGGAUGAUCAAGGAUCGGCUAUUGGACCGAGCCAAUGGCAAGUAAACGAAGGGGAUAACCAAGUAGGUACUGCUAUCAACCGUAUGAUGGAUAUCUUAGAACGGUUAGCAGAGCGACAGGGUCCAGGACCUGUUAACUAACCCGGGGCUCAGGAGAGAGAGAAAGAUAGAGCCUUGAAACGAUUUUUGAAAUUUGCUCCGCCUAAAUUCAUUGGGGGACCUAAUCCCGAGGUAGAGGAGAAUUGGCUGGAACGAAUGACCAUUAUAUUCACCGCCUUAAAUUAUACUGAGGAGAGGCGUAUGAACUUUGCUGCUUUUCAAUUUGAGAGUGUAGCACGUGCUUGGUGGGAUGUGAUAAAGGAAAAAUGGGAAAGAGUGCAGACCCCUUGGAUCUGGAAAAACUUUACAAGGGAGUUUAAUAAGAAGUUUCUCCCAUCCUUGAUUCAAGAGAAAUGGGAGGACGAAUUCAUAAAACUGAGAUAGGGGACUUCUAGUGUGGCUGAAUAUGAGAAAAAAUUUACUAAAUUUUCUAGGUACGCCCCAGAAUUGGUGGCCACUGAAAGGAGAAGGAUAAGGCAGUUUGUACAAGAAUUUAAUGUAGAGAUUCAAGAGGGGUUGGUAGCAACCCAAAUCUCUACUUUCACUGAAAUCCUAGAGAAAGCGCAGAGAGUCGAAAGCGCAAGGUUGCAAGUUAAAGAUUUUCAAGCCAAGAAAAGAGGCGCUUCUAGUCACUCUCCUGGACAAGCAAGUAAGGGUACCCUACCUACUAAAAUGGAAAGAGGAGCGAGAGGAGUAAGGGCUGCUAGAGCACCAAGAAGGGUUUUAUCACGAGGAGGUAGCAAUGGGCAAGGCCAAGCGAGAGGAACACCUCCUAGUAGACAGGCCGUGGCUCCUCAAGUUGUUUGUAGCUACUGUGGUAAGCCUAACCAUAUGAAGAAUGAAUGUUGGAGGAAAUCGAAAAAGUGCUUGUACUGUGGUAGUGCCGAGCACCAACUCUUAAGUUGUCCAAGUGUGCCGAACGAGGGAGGUAGUGCUCAACGGCUAGAGAAGUCGGCCUCUAAGCAGUCUAGUGCUAGAGGGAGUCGACCUAAGGUGCUGACUAGAGUUUACGCUUUGGACCAUCAACAGAUCCCUGAUUCCACUGAAGUGGUUGAAGGUACGAUUCCUAUGUUCCACCGUUUAGUUAAAGUUUUGAUUGACCCUGGUGCAACACAUUAUUUUGUAAAUCCUAAUUUCAUGAGUGGAAUAGACGUGAAACCAAUUAAAUUACCUUAUGAUUUGGAGGUUAGAACACCUACUGGAGAUCAAAAUUUAAUUACUAACUUGGUGUAUAAGAAUUGCGAGAUAUGGGUUGGAGAGCGAAAACUAUUGGCCGAUUUAAUGAGUUUAGCUAUUAAGGGGUAUGAUGUCAUCCUAGGAAUGGAUUGGUUAACUCAUUACCAUACUCAGUUGAAUUGUUAGAUGAAAACGGUAGAGUUGUGUAUUUCGAGAGAGGCAACCCUAAAAUUAGAUGUAAGGGUUAGACUAUCCUCAUCUGCCCUCAUUUCAGGAAUUCGAGUUAGAAAGAUGUUGAGUAAGAGAGUUCAAGGGUAUUUGGCUUUUCUUAUAAAUACUUCUAGUGAUAAGGUGAGGUUAGAAGACAUGUUCGUAGUAAAGGAGUAUCCGGAUAUUUUUUCCGAGAAACUAGAGUCCUUGCCACCGGAAAGAGAGAUAAUCUUUAAAAUUGAUGUGACUCCAAGAGUAGCACCUAUCUCUAAGACGUCCUAUAGAAUGGCUCCAGUUGAAUUGAAAGAGCUGAAAUUGCAAUUACAGGACCUUCUAGAGUUAGACUUUAUAAAGAGAUUCCCCGUGGAGAGUUUCGUUGUUGUUUGUUAAAAAGAAAGAUGCGAGUUUAAAAUUGUGUAUAGACUAUCGAGACUUGAAUGAUGUUACCAUCAAGAAUAAAUACCCUUUACCCUACACUGAUUAAUUGUUUGACUAAUUGCAGGGGGCAGUAGUGUUCUCAAAACUGGAUUUCAGGCAGAGUUAUUAUCAACUAAGGAUUUUGAAAAAAUAUAUACUUAAAACUGCCUUUAAUUCGAGGUAUAGGCACAUUGAGUCUGCAGUGAUGCCGUUUGGAUUGACCAAUGCUCCUGCAGUUUUUAUGGAUUUAAUGCAUCGAAUCUUUAAGCCUUAUUUGGAUCAGUUUAUAGUGGUGUUCACUGACGAUAUACUGGUGUAUUCUAAGACCUUGGAGGAUCACAAGAAACAUUUGAGAAUUGUCUUGCAAAUCUUAAGGGAACAUCAGUUGUAUGCGAAAUUUAGUACAUGUGAAUUUUGGUUGAAGGAAAUGACUUUCUUAGGUCAUUUAAUCUCCAAAGAAGGAAUUAAGGUAGAUCCGACCAAAAUUGAAGCAGUUUCUAAGUGGAAGCAACCAGAAAAUUCUACUGAAGUUCGAAAUUUCUUAGAGUUAGCAGGGUAUUACCGGAGGUUUAUCAAAGAUUUUUCUAAGAUUGCGGGACCCAUGACUGAAUUGACUAAGAAAAGUAAAAAGUUUAUAUGGAGCUCUAAGUGUGAGAAAAGUUUCCAGGAUUUAAAGAAACGUUUGACAAGGGCACCUGUAUUAAUUUUACUUAUAUGGGGUGACGUUUGAAGUUUUUACCGACCACAAGAGUUUUAAAUACUUGUUUUUUCAAAAAUAGUUAAAUUUGAGACAACAUAGAUGGGUCGAGUUUUUAGAGGAUUAUGAUUGUACGAUCAAUUACCACCCAGGGAAAAUUAAUGUGGUAGCCGAUACUUUAAGUCAUCAAGUGCGAGUAGCAGGAUUGAUGAUCAAAGAAUUGCACUUGUUGGAAGAGGUUAGUAAUUGGAACCCUCGUCUUGAACCAAGAAAGGUAAUCCUUCGGAACAUGAUCAUGAAAUCCACUCUGUUGGAUUGUAUCAAGGAGGCACAAGAGAAGGAUUCAAAAGUACAAAAGUGGUUGGAGAAAGUUAGAAAGGGAGAAAAGUCGGAUUUUAAUUUGGGAGUAAGUGGUGUACUAAGGUUUCGAAAUUGCACAGUAGUGCCAAAGGAUGAAGGGCUAAAAAGGAAAAUUUUAGAAGAAACGCACCGUUCUAAGUAUACGGUACAUCUUGGAUGGAAUUAAAUGUACCAAAACUUGAAGAGCUUGUAUUGGUGGGAGAACAUGAAGAGAAAAAUUACUCGGUUUGUACAGACUUAUUUAAUUUGCCAGCAGGUUAAAGCCGAACAUCAGAAAUCAUCUGGUCUAUUGCAACCUUUGGAGAUACCCGAAUGGAAAUGAGAGAAUAUCACCAUGGAUUUUGCAUCUGGAUUGCCAAGAACACAAAGAGGUCACGACGCCGUUUGGGUGAUAGUAGAUAGGUUGACCAAAUCUGUUUAUUUUCUACCGAUUAGUAUGAAGUACUCCCUAAAGAAGCUAGCAAAGCUAUAUUUGGAUGAGAUUAUAAGACUACAUGGGAUACCAGUAAGUAUUGUAUCUGAUCGAGACCCUCGAUUUGUUUCUCGAUUCUGGCAGAAGAUGCAAGAAAUACUAGGAACUAAAUUGAAUUUUAGCACUACCUACCACCCCCAGACUGAUGGACAAUCUGAGAGGACAAUCCAGACCCUUGAGGACAUGUUGAGAUCAUGUAUUUUGGAUUUUAGAGAGAGUUGGAGUAAGUACUUGACACUGGUGGAAUUUGCUUACAAUAAUAGCUUCCAUUCAUCCGUUCAAAUGGCUCCAUACGAAGCUUUUUAUGGUCGAAAAUAUAGAUCUCCUAUUUGUUGGAAUGAAAUAAGUGAAAGAAAGAUUUUAGACCCAACUGUAGUACCGUGGAUUAAUGAGGCGUACGAAAAGGCGAAGUUAAUACGCCAACAAAUUCAGACACCUCAGAGCCGUCAAAAGAGCUAUGCAGAUAACUGGAAGAAGGAUUUGGAGUUUGCAGUUGGAGAUCAAGUCUUCCUUAAGAUCACUCCACUAAAAGCAAGUUUGAUAACAGGAACAGGAAAGAAGUUGCAACCUAGAUUUAUAGGACCUUAUAAGAUUCUCCAACGUGUGGAAAACGUGGCCUCUAAGUUGGAACUGCCACCAAGUUUGUCUCGAAUUCAUAAUAUUUUCCAUGUGUCUAUGCUCAAGAAGUAUCAUCCAGAUCCCUCCCAUGUACUGCAACCGAAAAAUAUCGAUAUCGACAAGGCUCUGACCUAUGCGGAGAAACCAGUGAAACUUCUGGAUCGUAAAGUGAAGGAACUAAGGAAUAAGUGAUCCCUUUGGUAAAAGUUCUGUGGAGGAAUCACGGAAUAGAGGAAGCAACUUGAGAAGUAGAUGAGGAGAUUCGAAAGAAAUAUUCAGACCUAUUUCCAAACCAAGGUAUGAAUUUCGUGGACAAAAUUCUUUUAAGGGAGAGAGGAUGUGAAGACUCAUGUUUUUAUUCUUAAUUUAGCCAUUUUUAUAAUUAUUUGCUCUAGUGUUAUUUAAUUAUACUAGUAUUGCAUGAAUUUCCUCUUGAAUUUCGGUUUAUCGCGUUCGUGUCGAAAGUUUCUCGAAAGUCGCGCCGGUACGACUAAUUGGAGAUUUGAAGAUUUAAUACUAGACUCAUAAGUAUGAGUAAUUACAGUGUUAGAGGAAUUACUUUGGAGGAUUAGUGUAUAAGUGUAACAAAUAAAAGAGGAAGUGGUAGUACACAAUACUAUUUCGUUACUAUUGAGAGUUGAUCUUGUGUACCAACUUAAAGUUACUUUUCCCCAAUCUUCCUCCAUAAGAUUCACCACUCAAAAACUUCCUCACUCUCCUCAACCUCUCGGCCGAGCCUAAGGAAGAAAAGGGGAAGAGAAAGCUCCAUUCUUUUAGCUUCAACCUUGCUUGCAAAUCCUCAACCAAACCACACAACUCUUGGAGUUUCACUCUAGCUUGAAGAAAGGUGCAUCUUUGUGGAGUUUUUUGGUGAAAUAUUGGAUGAAACUCUCACUUACAACUAGGGUUAAAAGUUUGGAGAGGUAACCAUUUCCUUCUCCUUUAACCUUUCAAAUUUUGCUAAGAUUAGAGCUUGGAUUUCAUGGGUUUGAAACCCUAGUCAAGUUUCUAGCCUAGUGGACUUGAGAAAGCUUUUAUCUUGCUUUAUAUUCUAGGCUAACGGUCUUGAGGUGACCUAUGAGGUAGCUGACUUGAGGAUAUUGCUUGAUAUUUGUUAUUUAUGUGUAUUAUAGCUUAAUAUUGGUUGGAUAGUGGAGAGAAAUUUGGAAGAAACCGUGAGAGUGAGCUGGCCGAAAUUUCUGUUUUGUUGUCCUGCUUUGAACUCAAAUUUUUGUGGCUUAUUUGGUUGCUAAACUGAUUGAUAUAUGUUUUAUUAUGUGUGUGGAAGUUGGCUUUCAAAAAUCAUCUCAAAUGGUUAUAUAAAACUUGAGUUUUGGAAAAAGUUUGAAAUCUAGAAAAUGGUUACCAGGGUAGCCGGAAAGGGGUACUUUGUCUGAACAUAACUCUUUGUACAAAAAUCAAAAUUGAGUACUGUUUGCGGCAUUUCAAACUAGACAUUCAUAGAUUUCAAACGGUAUAAGAAUCCCCUGCUAGUUCAUUUUGAGUAAACUGUAAUGAAUCGGCACAUGGGACUGACCUGUUUUGCCUGUCUGCCCGAGAGCAACUGGAAAGCUGCAUCUUGUGGCUCGAUUUUGUCUCACUUGUGAAAAGACUUUGAAAAUGAUGUCUUCUGAUGAAUUGUAGUAUUGUGAAUCUAGUUUCUAAUGCCAUAAAUCAUUCUCAAUUUGGACUUGUGUAGAGUUAGAUAUGGUCUGAUUUCAAAACUGUGUUGAAGCUUAGUGACUGGAAAUCCCUGAACAGGUUGCGAAAAUCAGCCAACUUCAAACUAAUAUAUCUUGUUGCUCAAAAUUCCGAAUUUAGUUCCACUUAUUGUGCUUGAAACUUGAUUUGGAACUCUUGUUGUGUUAUAAAUUUCAGAGGCUGAUUCACUUUCUCUGAAUUUUGCCGAAUUUUCAAACAUUGCUAAAAAACCAAGACUGGUUCUGUCCUGUCUUCAUGAAACAACAAAUUUGAACGGUUUUUGGUUAGAAUCUUGGAAAAGUGUCUUCAGAGAAUUUUUAGUACUUUGAAUCUAUUUUCCAACAGUAUAAAGUUUUCCAUUUUUGGACUUACCAAACUCAAGAUCUAAUUUUCCAAGUAUGAUCGCGCAAAGCUGAAAAUUUCUGAUUCCUUAAGAGAUGAACUUUUAAAGAACUCCCAAUUCCCUUUCGAUAUUGAUAGACCGUUUUAAACUUGAUUUCAUGGAUGAUACAAGUUUCCCUUGUAACUUUAAAUCCUCACUUUUGAAUCUCGAUUUCGAAGGAUUAAAGCUCUUUUAAGACAUUGUCUUAAGUUUUAAGCAAGUGUACUUUCUUCCUUGAAUGAUAAGUGGUUGUGAGUAUAUGUGAGUGAUGGUUGAUCACCAUUUCUUCAGGCGCUCAAGAGGAUUUUGAAGGGAAUCUCGGAGCGGACAACUAAAGACUUUAAUUGUUCACUUACUUUUGACUUGGUGAGUAUCAAGUGUAUGAAUUAUUGUAUCUACUUGAUUAAUCUUGCUUGUAUACGUGAACAUGAUUUGAUGAGACGAGUGUGUACUUUAUCGCACUCGUUCUCCUUUGUUUGACUCGUUACUUGCCUUUCUUGAACUUGGUUUUGUAUUAAACUUGAACUUGAAUGUCAAUUGGAGUGAACCCCAUUGACAAAAUUAUACUUGUACUCGUAUGGGACACCCAAACUCAUUGGCUAACCUUGUGACUCGAGUCAACAUGGGUUUGGUCGAGAAGUUUGGCGAACCAUGAGAAAACUAGAAAGUUUGAUCUUUUGAAAUCUUGCGUGGUAUAUUCGAGUAGUAUUGCCUUUUUAUUCGACGUGUGGGCCCGGUAGGAGGUGUAACGGUGGACAAAAUUUGGUGAAAGUGGAGUCUACGGAUUUGAUACUUGCUCGGUUGACGGAGAGUCAACGUACGAUAUUUGGAUCAAGGCCUUGGCCAAACUGUGUGGAGUUAGCUCCUGAGAGUUCUAGUAUCCUUAUUGAUUGUGCUUUAUUGUUAUUCGUGAAUUACUUGAACUUUCCAGUUAUAUUAUUGUACAAGUAUUAUUGUUACUUGAACUUAUGUGUUUGCAUGUUUUUAUUGGCCUCACUGAGCAUUAGCUCACCCCCGUAGUUUGUUUUUUUUAACAGGGAUUCGGAUUGGAGAUGACUUUUGGAGAAACUGACUUGAUUACCUUUUGAUUAUAAUUUUGGAUGUAAAUGUUUAGUCAACUUUGGAUGCUUGUAUUUUUGAAAAAAUUUGAUGUACCUUUUGGAAACUUGCGAUGUAAGACUUGAAUGGUUAUAUAAGGAAAUGACUUUUAUUUAUAUUGACUUUUAGUAUUGGUUGAUUACCUUUAAGUUUAAAUUUGUCUCGUAUUGAGUCCUGGCGAGAGCUAAGCAGGCAUUCCGCCGAUACCCUUGGGUUCGCCCUAGGGAGAAGUGAGGGCGUCACAAUUUGUCUGGUCAGCUUUAAGAAACAGUUGAUUGGGUACUGGUUAAAAAUGGAAAUCUUUCAUGGCAAAAAGUUGGGAUUGAUGAUUUGCUGCUAGAUUUUACGUCAAGAACAAAGAAAUUGAAACAGGGUUUGGAUUACUAAAGAGCAUAGGAUGACCCUUUGCCAAAAAUAUCAUCAGUAGGGUAACUCAAUCUUCAACUUUUUCUUUGUUUUUUCAAUGAUUAAGUACAUAUUCUAGAAUGUUAAAGGUGUACAUAAUGAUGUCAUCAUGGCUAGACUUAAACAAUUGUAUCAUUUACAUGAUUUUUUUAUUUACAUGAUUUUUAUCUUUUAGCUCUAUGAGAGCCAAUGAUCGAAGUCUCUAAUUCAGAGGUGUGUAAGAUUACAUUACAUUCUAACAAGCUUUAGCUAAACAGAGGUGAGGAUUUGGAUCUUCUUUGAUUAAAAUUUUUCUAGGUUAUAGCUCAGUCAUCUAAUUUUGUAGCUAUGCAAAUGUCUCGUAAUGUGCUUGCAUUUCCUUUUUGAGCGAUUUUUGUACAUGCUGCAUGUGAGGAGAAGGAUCAAAUAGUUUUGUGGGAUUAGUUGUCAAAUAUAAGUGUAGUUUCGGGUCCUAUGUUCAUUGUGGUAGAUUUUAAUGUUAUUUCUAGUCCCCUACAAAUUUUGGGUAGUAGGCUAUUUCAACUUUCGGACUUGCAUCUUUUUUUGCAAUUUAUGGACUUGGUUGCAUUAGUUGACGUGGGUUUUUCUAGGUCAAAUAUGCAUGAUGUAACAAUCAUUUUGGCCAUGUUAGGGUGUGGAAAAAGCUAGAAAGGUUGCUAGUGAAUCAAGACUAGCUUGUGUAUACUCAGCUGUUCAUUUAAGCAAAGUGUCUUCUAGCCAUUCUUCAUUGUUGAUUUUUUUAAAAUUGCUGGUAGAUUGCUUCAUGAAGUUUUUGGUUCAUUAAUGCUUGGGUAUUGCAUCCUAGUUUUAUGGAUGUUGUGAGACAAGCUUGGUCAAUGCCUAAUGUUGCUCGUCCAACUAUAUUAUUGAUAAGAAAAUUGAAGAAUGUCAACCAACGCCUUCGCGCAUGGAAUAAAAAUGUACUUGGGAAUAUUAUGGAUGUGGUCAAGUUGGCAAAGGAAGAUGUACAAAACAAAGGGGAUAUUUCUUGAAGAAAACUUCUUCAAAGUCUCAGAUGGCAUUGAAUUAGCACAAGGUGUCCUACGGCUAGCUUUAAAUAGUGAGAUCAAUUUUGGAGAUAGAAAGUGCAUGUCAAAUGGCUUAAAGAAGGAGAUGCAGAUACAAAACGUUUUUUCAUGCUUAUGUGAAACGGAAGCAUCUUAAACUGUAGAUUCACUACUUCGAGGAUUCUCAAGGACAUUGAUUAGAGGUGGCAAAUGAUGUUGAGAAGAUGGCGGUACAGUUCUUUUUUGACAUAUUAGACCCAGUUGUUGCUAUGCAACAAGGAACUGCUUAAUGUCACCUCAAAAAUUAUUUCAAAGAAGGACAUUGACUGUCGCACUCCAAAUCCACAGCCUGAAAAUUAUUUCAACAAAGGACAUUAAUUGUCACGCCCCGAACCCGCAGGCCCAAGACACGAUCAGAGUCUCAGUAGUCUAACUAUUUGUGCUCUGUCAUUGCUAGCCCAAAAUGGAUAUUCUAUGUUGGACUUGAGUGCUUUGGCUCUACUUGAAUAUUGGUCCAUAUGUAACGACCCCACUCCUCCUAGGGCGUAUCCCAAGGUUUAGCGGACCACCUGCCCAACUCUCGCCAGGACUAGCUCACUUAUUUCAAAUAAAAUAAGGUACAACCUAAAAAAAAAAGAUGAAAUAACAGUUCUCAUGCUUGGAACGUAUAAAUACAUUCGUUUUUAUUUCAAACAUUCAUACAAUCCCAAAUAUAAUAAAAGAUUUGAGUUCCAAACGAAUUCAACCCUAAUCGAGCACUAGAGCGAGUACAAUCGCCAAAAUUUAAAAACUAGACUAUGCUAAGUGAAUGUAUCAAAGUGGCGAGCAUAACAAGUCAAGAAAAUGAGCAAUAACACUUUGUAUAGCCAAUCAUUAAGUAUUCACAUGUCAAGUAAAAGGAUACAGUCGCUUUUGCAAACUAGCUCCACCAUAGCUUGAUCAAGUAGUAGUUGACACUCCGUCAACUUUCAAGUAAAGUAACCAGUCCAGUAAUACACUACUUAACUCCAAUCUCCGUCCACCAAUCAAAUCUGUGAGAACCUGUGGAUUUUCUUAUUUUCUAGACUUUAUUUUAUUUAAUUGCACGCUUUUCUGCAUUUUCUUUAUUAGAAAACUUUUCUAGAUAAUUUUUAUGAGUAAAUAUAGUUUUUAGAUGAUUUUUCUAGUAUCGGUUAGCUAUUGAGAAAUUAAGAGCGUAUACCGGACGUGGGACCCGCUAGUGCGGUAAGUUUGAUAAAAUUCGGUCAAUUAGGUUAAGUUGUAUAUACCGAGUUUAAUUUAUCAGAUGUUAAGAGAUAAUUAGAAGUUACCUAGAUGGAUUAUUAUUGGAGAGACAAAAGGAUAGAGAUGUAUUAAAUGGAGUGACAAGUGUCACUUGGAGGUUAAUUCUUAACUUAGUCAAUUUUGACCAACUUUCUUGCUUUACCAAUUUAAGUAAAAAUUUUCAAAAAUCAUCCUCAUUUUAAAGCUUCCUUGCCCGAACCUCUUGCUCCAAAAAAGAAAGGAAAAACUCUCCAAUCUCUUGCUCCAAAUUUGCUUAAUCCAACAAACCAACCAUUUAAUCUUGCAUUUACUCCAUAAAAACCCUUAAGUGAGUGGUUGUGAGGUGAUUAGUGAAGUUGUUUGGAGGAUUAAGGUGCUAAGUUGCUCUUGUUCUUGGGUUGUUAAGGUGAGUAACUAAGGGACCUUUCUUGCAACUCAAUAAUGCUUAAUUAUUGACAUGUGUGAGGUGAAGUGAUGAUUUUAGGUGUUGUUUCAUGACUUUUGGUAGAAUUUGGUGCAUUUUCUAUUUAAUCAUGAUUUUUUCUGUUUUCAUAUGAUUACUAUUGUGUGGCCAUGUAUGAUGGUUGAAAAUGAUCUAGAAUGAAGCUAGAAUGCGUAAAUUGUGGUUGUUUGCGGAAAAUUUCCGCAUUGAACGGAAAAAUUCGGAUUUAGGGUUUCAAUUCAACCAUUCUGCCUGGUACUGUUCCUUAUAGUUAGAGGCCGAAUUAGUCUUGGGUUAAAACAUGAAAGUUGUAUAGAAUGAUAUUUUAGAGUUUCCUACAAAAUUUCAGCUCAAUCGGAACAACGUAGCCUGUGAAAAGACCCAAAUACCCCUAUUACUCUGUUUCUAUCCGAAACUGAUAAUCAGCUUCUGUAAUUGGUUAUUUUGACUGGAAAUACUACUGAUUUGGUUGUUGAUGUCUUCUUAAGAAUUAUAGCCUUAUAUCUUAGUUUUCAAAUGGCUUUGGAAUCACUUGAAUUGGAGUUGUAUGUGCUGAGAUAUGACUGAAUGAAUCAGGACUGCCACAGUAAACUUCGAACUGGAAAAUCUGGGGUUGUUUUGGUAAAUUUGACCUAGUUAGGGUGAGAACUGGACUAAGUAGUCUUCAUCAAAGUUGCAGAUCCCUAUCUCAGCUUCGAAAUUCCAUAAGAUUCAUCUUAAUCCGAUAAGCGUCACUUAGGUUGCGAUCGAAACACCGAGACACGUCAAACCUGCUUUUAGGCCUAUUGUCUUUCAAAUUGGUUUUCGGUUGCAUUAUUAACCUUGUGUUGUAAUUGACUAUAUAUGAAGGGUAUUGUGACCCUAAUUAGAUGUUUUUAAUAUCUUGUGAAUUAUAUUUGAGGUUGUGGUUGAUUUGGAUUGAAUUUGGUGUUGAAUUGUAGGGUGAAAAGUAAGAAAAACAAGGGGAAAUGCUGUUAAAAUUUUUGCAGGACGGAGCAGUUCUGGGAAAUCUACAAUAUCUGGAUGUCGAAAUAUCAAAAUUGAGUUCCGUUUAUUUUUUUUUAAACUAGAUUCAUAGGGCUAUGAACCGUGUAAAUUUCAGUUUCUGAUUUGGUCUGUGGGAUUUAUGGUGAUUUUUCAAAGUUAACCGAAAUCGUAUACUUGCUCUGCCUUUUUCUGGUUAAGACAGCAUUUUGAGGCUCGAAUUUGAUUGGCUUGUGAUCUGAAUCUUCUAAAUAUGCCUUCUGAGAAAUUUUACCCCUUUGAGUCUAUUUUCCAACGGUGUAAAUUUUACCAAUUUCGGAUUUAAGAAUCCUAAGAUAUGAUUUUUCAAUCAGGGGUGUGCAAAACUGAAAAAAAAAAUCUGUUUUCUUGGAAUUAUUCUCACUUUCAAUUUCACCUUGAGAUAUGAGCUAGUACAUCAUUGUAAGUAUGAUUUUGAGAGGAGUGAGGGGUUUUGGGGUCAUGUAUGUCCUUAGGACCAACCGUUUUCUUUUAUUCUUAAGCCGUCUUUUAUUUUUCGUACUAGUAUAUAACUUUGAGAUUCAUCUAACUAGUAAUCGAACCUCAUUUGUGCAUCCUAUUUACUCGAUUUUGGAUGAAGAAAUGUCAACUGUUUUACCUUUGUUAUUCUUAGGGUUUCACGGUGAUUAGGCCACUUUGGGUGGAAAUUUUUGGAAGUACCUGUACUUGAACUGGUGAGUGUACAACUCCCCUCACUUGUUGCUUAACUUGAUUUCUGCACUUACAAUCUGUGAUCUGAAUGAUUGUACUAUCUGUUUAAUCUGUUUGAGAUGAGGGUGUACUUUAUCACACUCGUUCUCUUGUCUGUCUGUAUGCCUCUUGACUAUAUGUAAUCUGUUAUCUGUAUCUGAAUCUGUUAUCUGUAUCUGAGUCUGUUCGGACGUCGUUUGGAGACUGGUAUCCAACGACCUUUCUGUGACCUCUGAACUCAACACCUGUGGCUAGUUACUCAAGUCGGGCCGGCAAGGGCCUGAUCGAUUAGAUAACGAACCACGGUAGUCUGUUUCAGGAAUCUUUGGGUAUUGAAACCCUUAAUUCCGGUAUACUCGAGUAUUACCACUUCUGUUCUGUUCGGCGUUCGGGCCCGGUAGGGGUAUGUUUGGUGGACGGAAAUUGGUGUAAAGUGGGGUCUACGGAUAUGUUGGUUCUAUGUACGUUGACGGAGAGUCAACAGGUUCGGAUCAAGUACUGCAAAUGGAAAUCUGGCUCCUGAGAGCCACCUGUAUCCUUCCUAUUUGAAUCAUUGUGUCUAACUACUUUACUUUACAUCUGACAUGUAUACCUGAUUUGUUAAACGUGAAAUGCCAUUUUACUGCUAUAUGUCUGGUACCUCAUUGAACGCAAGCUCACCCCUUUUUGUUACCUUUGUUUUCCUUACAGGGUUCCAUGUUUUGAAACCAAGAUUUUUGGAAGAAAAGAGUUGAGCUAGUUGUAGGACUUCUUUUGUUUAUGCCCCUCUGUAACUGAAACCCUAAUUGUAUUUUAUAUAGCGUGAAUACUCUGGCUUGUAUUUAGUUCAUUGGUUCUAGACUCCGAUGUAAAUAUAUGUAUAAGUGUUUAAUCGACGUCGCGUACUUCCGUAUGGUUUGGUAAGCUCUGUUUAACCCUUGGUGGUCUCCAAUUGUUCGUUUUCGUUGAAUUCUCACGCGUACUAUAUAGGGUUUGUGUGAAUCGACUCCGUAGUCCUGGCGAGAGUUGGGCAGGAGUUCCGCCGAACCCUUUGGUUCGCCUUAGGGUGAGGUGGGGCUGUCACAAAUCCCUUACCGGGCCCGAACUCCAAGAUAAACACUGGUGGUAAUACUCGAGUAUACCGAUUAGUCGAGAAGAUAACACUCCACUCGACAAACUAGAGACCUAGGGUUCAUUAUCUAAUCGACCAGACUCUUGCCGACUCGACUCGAUUAACUAGCCACCGGGUUUCUGGAAUUCCAGACAGUAUUCAGAUCAUAUACAUGUAUAUCAAGUCAAUUGUAACCAAUGACAAAAGAAUAUAUCAUAUUAGGGCAAGUGCGAUAAAGUACACCCUUACCCGACCAAACCAAUCAAAUAUUGUCCAAUCACAUUGGUAACGCAUUUCAAGCAAGUAUCAAGCUCAAUCAUGCACUUGGAAUCACUCACCAAAGACUUAGUGCUUUUCAAGAUCACGCUCAGGUGCAACUCCUUGGUUGGAGUCCAAAUCUGCGAUAAAAUAUUAUUUAAGAGUUUGAAAUCAACUAGGGUUCGAAACAUAGAAGUUUCGCUUAAAGAAAAUUAAGUAAAAGAAACUCAUUUAAGUAGUGUUCAUGUUACUUAUCAAAUUCUAGAAAAUUCAUGCUCGCUCUUUUAGUUUUGAUAAAGAAGCGAUUAACUUUUGAAUUCGCACUUGGUAUGAAAAAUUGAAAAAAUCGUAGUUAUAAGGAUCGUUAUUUUCACCUUUUAAAGGGUACAAGUUUCAGUAAAAUUUCAAUUUAUAUACCUCUACCAACGGAAACAUGAAUACCAUAGACAAUCCAAGUUCACUUCGACCUCAAAUCGUCGCUAAAGUUUCAAGUUCACUCGCAUAUCCUUUGAGUGAAAUUUUGGGCAACAUUUUCCCUAUUUUCUUACUUUUCCCAUUCAAGUACAACUUGAAUUUACAAGCCAACAAACCUCCAAUCCAACCAUAAGUGAUAACCAACAACAUACAUCUAUUCAAGGCCUCAAGGCCUCAAAAUCAACCAAACAAACCAAAUAAUAAACUUAUCACCAUGGAUAUCAAAACUGGAAACCAGUUUAAAGAAGAAAUUAUAAGUGGCAGAUUUGUCAUCCUUCAGUGUUUUGGUCAUAACUGUAGUUAGGUAUAUCGGAUCUAGGUGAAUUUGAUGGCGUUUCAAAGUUAAGACAUAAUCCUACAACUUUAAUGAAGGCAUCAAACUCCAGUUCAAACAUUAUCAGGGUCAAAAUUGACAAAAACAGAGACAUAAAAAUUCUAUCGGAGCCAAAACAGGAUAACUAAACAGUUUUGGUAAAAUGGCUAUAACUUGGUAUAGAAAAAUCAAAAUUGAGCUCCAUCAGCGGCGUUUAAAACUAAAUUCAUAGAGGUUUCCAACGGUAUAAAAAUCAGAUUCUAGUUCAUCUUCUACAACUAUCGGUAAGCUCAGGAAAUUGACUAAAAUUCACCACCAAAUGUUGGAAAUCCAACUUUCAACUCUAAAAAGUAACAAUCAUGCCACUAAUCACUUCACCAAUUCCAUAUCCAAGCUCAAUAACAUCAUUUACCAGGUAAACAACAAUAAUCAAAACUGAAAAAUGCAAACUCUAGCUGAAAAUUUCACUAUACCACCAAAAACUAGAAAAUCAACCAUAGCAAGCCAAGAUUAAAAACUUCUCUACCAAACUUAGCAAGAUUAAGUAAGAGAAAAGGAAGUUUUAGCCUUAUACCUUCCAAAAGCCUUCUUGAAAGUGAAGAACCAACCACUAUCUCCCAAGAUUUCCACCACUCCUAACUUCCUAAGCACCAAGAUAAAACUUUAAUAGGUUUAGUUUUGUUGAUUUCACUCAAACAAGGCUUGAUUCAAGGUUGGAAAUGGAAAACUUUCUUCACUCUUUUUUUCUCUCUUGCUCUCGGCCACCAAGAAGAAAUAAUGAGGAAAUUGAGCCAAAAUGAAAGAUAAGAAGGUAGGAAAUUAACUUGGUCAAACUCUCUUGGAUGGUCGCCACUUGUCGCAACAAGAAAGUUUCUUAUUUUUUUUCUUUUCUCCCUUUUCUUUUGGUCAAGGAUUUCGGCUACUUUAAGGGUUAAUUAGGAGCUGAUUAGCUCAAAUAAAAAAAAGAGGAUUAAGACAAGAAAGUAGUGGUUAAGUGGUGUACUCGAUCGGUAGCAAACGGUACAUGUCGGUUCAAACCGAUUUUCCUUAAUUCUCGCGUACUUGUGUUUUAACUUAUGAUUCACUAACUUAUUAAUAGCACUUCUAAUCACACACUUCCUCUUAUCUAAUACUCACUCUUAUCCACCAAAUUUAGUACACACACCUCACCAAUUAAUCACACUACAAAAAUACGCCCUAACUAUAAAAGUAAAGGUAAAACUCUUGAUUCUAUUAUUUAUUACAACUAUAGAGGGAGUAAUUUAGUAGUAAAGAAAUUAUAAAUUAACUUAUUUAAAAUAAAAGGAAAUUUUAAAGAAAAUAUGAAGAAUUCUGCAAGUCCUCACACUCUCUCCCCCUUAAAAGAAUUUCGACCUCGAAAUUUAUACCUUUAUUCGUAAAUAGCUCAGGGUACUUCUCUUGCAUGUCCUUCUCCAACUCCCAGGUUGCUUCCUCCACCUCAUGAUAUUUCCAUAGAACGUUAAUCAGGGGAAUCUGCUUAUUUCUCAAGUCUUUCACCUUUUGAUCUAGUACUCGAAUAGGUCGUUCCUCGAAGGUUAAAGACUCGUCAAGUUCAAUAUCCUCUGGCGGUAAGAUCAUCCGAGUGAUAUUUCUUAAACAACGAAACAUAGAACAUCAUGGAUUCGCGAUAGACUGACGGGUAACUCCAGUCGAUAAGCCAUCUUUCCUACCCGUUGAAGUAUACUAAAAGGUCCUAUGUAUUUUGGUUGCAACUUUUUCCCCUUUCCUACCUUGAUCUUUCCUUUCAGUAGAGUAACCCUAAGAAAUACCUUAUCCCCUAUUUCAAACUCCAAAUCCUUACUCCGAUAAUCAGCAUAGGUCUUUUGUCGACUUUGGGCCAUUUGAAGCCUCUGACGUAUCCUUUUUACUCUUUCAUAGGCUUCCUCGACCCAUGGUAUUGUUGUCGGAUCUAUAAUCUUCCUCUCUCCUACUUCAUCCCAAUAAAUCGGUGAUCGACAUCUUCGUCCAUAAAGUGCUUCAUAUGGGGCCAUUUGAAUAGAAGAGUGAUAACUAUUGUUAUACGCGAACUCAACCAGUGUCAGAUAUUGGCUCUAACUCCCUCCAAAAUCUACAAUACAGACUCUUAACAUAUUCUCAAGAGUUUGAAUGAUUCUCUCAGACUGUCUAUCGAUUUGAGGAUGAUAAGCCGUACUAUAGUUCAACUUAGUUCCUAGAGUCUCUCGUAACUUCUGCCAAAAGUGAGAUACAAAUCUAGGGUCUCUGUCUGAUACUACAACUUCGUCCAUAUAGAGUUUAGCAAGUUUUUCCGAAGAAUAUUUCAUAUUCACUGGUAGGAAAUGUGCGGUUUUAGUUAAUCGGUCUACUAUCACUCAAAUCGCAUCAUGACCUCUUUGAGUUCGUGACAACGCUGAUACAAAAUCCAUCGUUAUGUGCUCCCAUUUCCAUUCAAGUAUCUCUAAAGACUGUAACAGACCUGACGAUUUUUUAUACUCAAUUUUUACUUGUUGACAUGUAAGACACUUUUGCACAAAUUGGGCAAUCUCCGCCUUCAUAUUAACCCACCAAUACAGACUUUUAAGAUCUUGGUACAUCUUACCGCUACCUGGAUGCACCGUGUACCUAGAGUGGUGAGAUUCUUCCAAAAUCUCGUUCUUCAGUUCUUCAUCCUUGGGUGCAACGACGCGAUUUCGAAAUCUUAGAAUCCCAUCCGGAUCUAGGUUAAAAUCAGGUAAUUCUCUUUUCUUCACUUUUUCCACCCACUUUUGUACCGUUAGCUCUUUCUUUUGACCCUCUUUAAUUCGAUCCAACAAUGUCAUAUUCAUCUCAAUAUUUCUAAAGAUAACUUUCUGCGGCUCAAGACGAGGGUUCCAUUCACAUAUAUUUUCUAACAGGUUCCACUCUUCCACCAUUAAACGUGCUAGUUGAGUCUUCCGAUUUAAAGCAUCUGCUACAACAUUGGUCUUUUUUGGAUGGUAAUUAAUGAUACACUCAUAAUCUUCUAAAAACUCCACCCAUUGACGUUGUCUCAGAUUUAAUUCCUUCUGGAAAAAUAAGUACUUAAAACUCUUAUGGUCUGUAUAUACCUCAAAUGUCAUCCCAUACAAAUAAUGCCGCCAUUUUUUCAAAGCAAACACCAUAGCUGUGAGUUCUAAAUCAUGGGUUGGAUAGCUCUGCUCAUGAAAUUUUAACUUCCGAGAAACAUAGGCAAUUACAUUUCUAUUUUGCAUUAAAACACACCAUAAUCAUUCUCUCAAAGCAUCGAUAUAAACUGUAUAGCUAUCCUUUCCAUUUGACAAAGCCAACACUGGUGCCAUAGUCAAUUGAUUCUUAAGCUCUUGGAAACUAGUCUCACACUUAAUAUUCCAAAUAUAUUUUCAUUGUUUCUUUGUCAAAUUCGUUAGGCGUCCCACAAUUCUUGAGAAAUUCUUUAUAAAUCGCCGGUAGUACUCCACUAGACCCAAAAAUUUUUGAACUUCAAUAGGAUUCUUCGGCCAUUUCCAUUUGGCAACAGCUUCCACUUUAGCUGGAUCUACAGUAAAUCCAUCUUUUGAGAUUAUAUGGUCUAGAAAUGUCACUUUCUCUAACCAAAAUUCACAUUUGCUAAACUUAGCAAAUAACUAGUGCUCUCUCAGGAUUUGCAAUACUAUUCUCAAGUGUUGCUCAUGUUCCUUCUUUGUCUUAGAGUACACCAGGAUAUCAUCAAUAAAUACCACCACGAACCUAUCCAAAUAAGGUUUAAACACCCGAUGCAUUAAAUCUAUAAAUGUAGCUGGGACAUUGGUUAAGUCAAAAGGCAUCACUGCAAAUUCGAAAUGUCCAUAUCGAGUGUUAAAGGCAGUUUUUAGCACAUCUUCCUUUCUAAUUCUCAAUUGAUAAUAUCUUAAUUCUAUAUGCAUUUUUAUGCAUAUAGACCAAAGUGGUGUGAAUCAUUUCUAUUACAAAAUGACUUAUUUUCUCCUUGGAGGGCUGAUUUGUUAUUAUUUGCAACAAUUGAAACUCUUCACACAAGCUCGGCAUUCCUAGUAGGAUAUUGUCCAUCUUUCAAGCAAGCUACACUGUUUACUUUUGGUUGCCUUAAGCACUUUCUGUACACUUCUCCCUUUUUUGUUUAUUAAUCACUUUGACGCCUUACUAAAAGUUUGCACUUUACAAAUCAUCUAGAAAAUUGUAAUGAUAUUUAUUGCUACUAAUAUGAAUGAUAAAGCACUCAUAUCAUCGUAAUACUUGAAUAACUGAUAGUUCAAUUUAUUGAUUGUUACAUGGGGCUGAAGACUUUUGUUGUCUGCCUAAUUGACACUAUAUGUAGCUUUAGUUUUACGUUCUCUUUUUGGGCAAUAAGCCAAUUGAAAAUAGCUUUAUAGGAGUUUUCUACCCUUGCUUUGGUCUUUACUAAGUUAAUCUCUUUUAAUAAUUGAGUUUUGUGGUAGAUAAACCUAAGCUAGUUUCUUUUUCUGCCCAAAGUGCAUGAUCAAUACAUUUGAUUUUAUACUCUCUUUUGGUUAGUCAACUAGCUAAGGGAACUUCAUGUCUACUGCACUUUGCUUUGCAUAUACCUGUCUAAAUUUUGGAUGACUUUCUGGUCCUAUUUUGGGUCUCUAGUUCUACAUGCAAUUGACUAUUAUCUUGGAUAAUAUCCAGAUCAUGCCUUAACAGAAAUGACUAUCCCAUGCUUCAACCCAUACAUUGCAUGAUUCUUUUACAGAAAAUCAGUGUGGAAUUUUAAAAUUUAGAUCUUGGAUUGGAACUUAUAGUGCGCUCCUUGUAAGUUAUGCAGCUCCAAGUUGGAAAUUUUGGCAUCAUGGUUCUUGAUAAUGCACUGAUGUUUGAUAGUUACAUCCUGCAGACUGCAUGUGAUUCUCUUUUCUUUCAUAUUUUUCUGUUCUCUCACAAAUAGUUGAAAGUGAAAGAAUCUUAAUUAUGUAGUUCAUGUUUUUGUGUUCUAAUUUGAUCAUCUGAUCUUUCUGUUAUAAUUCAACAUGGAUGUACUAUUUUUUGAAAUAAGAGAAACAACGGUGAGAAACUUGGUCUAGUCCAUGGUACAUCUCAUUGAUUUUGACAUACGAGGCUUGAUAAUCAAUUUUGGUGCAACAAAGGCUAUUAGUCAAAUUAAGACUUCUGGAAUAAUAUCUAAACUCCUUGCCGUUAUUUGCUCUUGCUAUGCUAAUGAUGAAAUAUCAGAAGGAACUUUUUGGGUUGACUUUGAUUUUCUUGCAUUAGUUACUGCUAAUUAGGAAGGUCAGGUUUUAUUUACUUCUGAAACUGUAAUGGAUGCUAAGAUCUCUGAAAAAUUCAUGUUGCAGGUGUAUUUUGUCGCAUGUGAGAAUACGACUAAUGGAGGAGUUAUGAGACCUGAGCACAUUGGCACAGCUUCAAGAUAAGAUAAAAUUUGCUGCUACUGAUCUGAAUAGGACAUCCGGCUACAAGGAGAAAAUUUGUUCCCACCAAGGUAAAAUACUUAGUAGCUAUACCAUUAGGCAGUUUCUGAUAUAGUAUUAUACAGCCAUGUGACAUUAAAUCAUGUUAGAUCUUCACAAAUACUAAACUAAGUGUGAUGCCUCUGCUUGUAGCAUUAGUCUAUAUGCUUCAGACUAGGAAAUCUUGUUGGUUUAAGAACUUGUUAUGGUUGACCAACGUUAGUGUAGUACAUUUCUGGAACUCUAAAAUCUGAGAUUUCAAUUUGGGGGUAGUUUUUUUCCUGCCAGUAUUUGAAAUGUGGAAUGUUUCUGUAGGUUUUCUAUUUUAGAGAAAAAAUUGAAAGGUCCACUUGUCAUUUCAUUUUUCUGGUUGGAAUAUCAAGCUCUUGGUGUCCACUAAUUAAAUUAUGUAAGUAAGAUUUUUUUAAAAAAAAAUUUGAUCUUCCAAUGUAAACAUGUUUGACUUCAAUAUAGCUUUUUCUAGAUGAACUAAUGUCAUUUCAAAGUGGCCAUGGGGCUGAAUCGCUCUAUAGGAUUAAGAAUUAAUGAAAACUGUCUUCACUUAUGAGACGUCAUUUAUCUUUGUUUAGACAACAUGAUAAAAUCUACUUGAUAAUUUUGUUUUAUUCUUUAUCUUUUGGCCGCUAUACCUACUGUAUUUGUCUUGGCAGUUGCAGAAUUUGUUGUCUGUCUUGAUUUCUUUUAUAAGUUGUUUUAUAUUUAAAAAACAGUACUCUCAAAAAUAGAAGAAAUGAUUUUGUGAUUUCUAUGGCUAAGAAACACUUAAAGUAAAGAAAUAGACUCGUUUCUUUUCAUUUCUAUUUUGUUUCUAUUCCUUGUAAUUUUUUUUUUCUCUCCUCCUGUUGAAUCAAGUUUUAGUUUCUCUGUGUUUAAUCUUGUGAAUUCAUUGUUUGAACUUUCUUAUUCACAGUUAUUGUUGGCAAAGUGGCAAAUAACAACGUUAGCAAUUAUAAUUUAGAUUGCUUGAGUCGUGCUAAAUAGCACUGUCCUAAGAAACUAUUUCAGGGUAUUGAAAUGUUUUCCCAGGAUUAAACAAGCCUUCCUCUUGUCGUCUGACAAGAAGGAUUAGAACCAGCAAAUCCUUUUAAAACCAGCAAUAGAAGAAGAAAAGAAAAAGAAUAAAGAGAUGAGAUGGGGUGGAGAAAUAUUAGAAGUCUAGUGUUCCGUGGUCACGAUGGCCUUGGUAGUGCUUGGUAUUUAUAGGCUUGAGGAGUGUACGUCAGAUGCAGGGAAACUUUAUCCAUUAAGUGGUUGAGAAAAUCUUGGGCUAACGGUUGAAGUCAGCAACCAGCUAAGGAAACGUGCUUGGGUUUAGAGAUAAGAUAUGAUUUUCCACUAACAAAGGAAUCUGCUGGAGUCUUGCAAAAAAAUUAGGAAACGUGGAAAAAAUUGAUAGUUACAGAGAAGACUCUCAAUCAAGUCUUCUGACGUUGCUAACAGCUAAUAGGAUAUCUAUUGACUUUAUCCCUUGAAGCUUGCAACGGAAAUAAGAAAACUCAUGAAACCAAUCAGGAGAUAACUUUUGAAAGAGUCAAACUUCUAACCAACCAAUAAUUCGUUUGAUGAAAAUCUGAUUCACUUCACUAUGCACAUAGAGCAAAGAAAACAUGGAAAAAAUCUUUUGAAAUAUUAUUUACAACAAUCUCCCACCUAUUUCAAAAGAUUUUUGGAUAAGAAAUAAGAAAAGAAUCUGCUGGAUUUGUUUUGGGUUUAAUGCAAUUAGUUUGGUGUCUUUUAGACUAUGAACCAAACUUAGAUUAAUAAGACAUGAUUUACAGAUUUGUUGGUGAAAUGUGAAUUUCUAUGAACCAACAAUUCUUGCUAUAUAACAGCGGUCUUAUCAAUCACAUUGUACCCCAUAAUUUGCUGUUCAUUGCGGUUUUGUGCCUUUAGGCCAUGCGUCUGCCUGGGUUUUCAUGAGAGCUCUAAAGAUUUGGCCAAAAAUCUUAUAGGAGCGGUCCUACUCCACUCUCAUAUAGGUGAAUUUAUCAAGUGUAUACUGCUAUAGAUACACCUCCCUAAAGGGAUAUAAAUUCAUGAAGAGUUUUAAACUCAACCUCACAACUACUAGGAGUCAAAGCACUUAUCUCAGUAGGGAAUAUAAUUUUUAGUGCUUCACAGUCAAUAUUGACUUGUUAUUACCCAUAUGUACCUACUUCAUGGGAUCACCAAUCACAUAGGUUGGGUUACCAUCUCUAUUGACAAUCGUUGGCUUAAGUCCCAUUUCUUUUGUAGUUUGAAGAAUCAAUUUUCUUCCUACAGGUUUAGUCAGAGAAUCGGCCAAAUUCAACUCUGACUUCACAUAAUCAAUGGAAAUAAUUCCAUCUCUAAGCAGUUGCUUUACGACAUCAUGUCUCAAUCUCAUGUGUCGACUUUUACAAUUAUACGAUUUAUUUUUAGCAAUAGCAAUAGCCGUUUGACAAUCACAGUGUAUAGGCACAGGAGGCGACAUAUCUUUAAUUGGUGGAAUAUUGGUUAAGAAAUUUCUUAACCAAUCUGCCUCAGAACCAAUCAACUCCAGAGCUAUGAACUCCGAUUCCAUAGUUGACCGAGCAAUAAUUGUCUGUCUAGCUGACUUCCAUGCUACUGCACCACCACCAAGGGUGAACACAUAUCCACUAGUGGAAUCAAAGAUCCAAUUAGCAUCACUGUAACCCUCUAAUACAGUGGGAAAUCCACUAUACAGGAUACCAGAAUUCAUGGUACCUCUCAAAUAUUUCAUUAGUCUGACUAAUGCAAACCAAUGCUCACGAUUGGGAUUGUGAGUAUAUCUACUCAGUCUACAUACAGCAUAAGCUAUAUCCGGUCUAGUGAAAUUCAUCAGAUGCAUCAGACUCCCAAUAAUUUGAGCAUAUUUAGACUGAGCAAUUGGGUCACCAUUAUUUUUCUUUAAUUGAGUGUUAGCGUCAUAAGGAGUACUCACAGGUGUCACAUCAUAAUUUUUAAACUUCCUAAGAAGUCUCUCUGUAUAAUGUUCUUGUGACAACAUUAUACCAUCACCUCUCCUUAUGAUUUUAACACCCAAUAUCAUUUUGGCUUCACCCAAAUCUUUCAUAUCAAAAUUAGAAGACAAAAAAUAUUUAGUACUAUUUACAAUACUUAGACCGGUACCAAAUAUAAGCAUGUCAUCUAUGUACAAACUAAUUAUCACAUAUUGAUCAUUCAUAACUUUGACAUAUACACAUUUAUCCACUUCUACAGAUGAGAAUCCAUCUUUCAUCAAUACUUGAUCAAAUUUCUCAUGCCACUGUUUAGGAGCUUGUUUUAGGCCAUAAAGAGAUUUAAUUAGUUUACAAACCUUAUUUUCUUAUCCAGAUACAAUACAUCCCUCAGGUUGAAACAUAUAAAUUUCUUCUUCUAAAUCACCAUUUAAAAAGGCUGUUUUGACAUCCAUUUGAUGAAUAAUAAAUUUAUGGAUAGAAGCUAAAGCAAAUAAAACUCGAAUAGACGCAAUUCUUGUUACUGGUGCAAAUGUAUCAAAAUAGUCAAUAUUUUAUUUUUGAGAAAAUCCUUUUGCUACUAAACGAGCUUUGUACUUUUCUAUAGAGCCAUCAGAGUUAUAUUUUCUUUUAAAAAUCCAUUUGCAACCAAUUGGUUUUGCACCAGGAGGUAAGUCCACCAAACUCCAAGUUUUAUUUGACAAGAUAGAAUCAAUUUCAGAUUUAAUUGCUUCUUUCCAAAAUUUACAAUCAGGGGAAGAAAUAGCAUCGGAGUAUGUCAAAGGAUCAUUAUCAUCAAGAAAAGUUUGAAAAUCAUUUCCAUAAGAAAAUUCUUUUCUUGGCCUUUUACUCCUUCUUAAUUCCUCAUUCGGAAUUAUUUCUCUAUUUAUUUCAACAGGUGCAUGAGAAAUUUUACUAGACAAUGGAAAAAUAUGUUCAAAGAAUUCAGCAUUCUUUGUCUCAAUAAUUGUAUUACAAUCAAGCACAUCACUUUUUAAAACAAGAAAUAUAUAUGCAGCACUAUGUUUAGCAUAUCUAAUAAACAUACAAUCAGAAGUUUUAGAACCUAAUUUUCUUUUCUUAGGUUCAGGCAACAAUACUUUAGCAAGACAUCCCUAUACUUUUAAAUAUUUCAAAUUUGGUUUAUAACUUUUCCAUAACUCAUAAGGAGUUUUGCCAGUUUUCUUAUGAGGUAUCCUAUUUUGUAAGUGACAUGCAGAUAAAAUAGCUUCUCCCCAUAAAUUAUCAGGAGCAUGAGAGCUAACUAAUAUAGAAUUCAUCAUUUCUUUUAAUGUUCUAUUUUUCCUUUCAGCUACCCUAUUAGAUUCUGGUGAGUAUGGUGGUGUUAUUUCAUGUAUAAUGCCUUCACGUUCACAGAAAUUAUCUAAGGCUAAAUAUUCACCUCCUCUAUCCGAUCUAAUUCUUUUUAUCCUUUUAUUAAGUUGAUUUUCUACUUCAGUCUUGUAAGAUAAAAAGGCAUUAUGAGUAUCAUCUUUAUUUCUAAGUAGAUAAAGCUUAGUGUAUCUAGAGUAAUCAUCUAUAAAGGUAACAUAAUAUUUUUUCCCACAUCUAGUCAUAGUUUGUUUUAAGUCACCUAAAUCUGUAUGAAUUAAACUUAACAGUUCAAUUUCUCUUUGGACAGAUACACAACUUCUCUUUUUUAAUUUUGUUUCUGCACAUAUCUCACAUUUAUCCAUUUUAUCAUUAACACCAGAAAUCAGGCCACAAGAUUGCAGUUUAUUUAUAUAACUCAUAUUAACAUGUCCUAAUCUUGCAUGCCAUAAAGAAAUUGAAUCAAUAAUAUAAGCAGAAGAAGAAGCAUUCUCAUUAAUCACAUUGGAAAUGUUAAAUACAAAGAGUCCCUGAUUACAAUAGCCCUUCCCCACAAAUACAUUAUUUUUUGUCAUUAUAAUCUUUCUAGAUUCAAAUGACACUUUCACUCCGACUUUUCCUAGCAAUGCUACGGAAACCAGAUUUGCUCGAAUGUUGGGCACAUGCAGUACAUCAUUGAGAGCCAAAGUUUUUCCUGAAGUGAGUUUCAAGAAUACUUUGCCCUUACCCAGAACAUUAGCAGUUCGUGAGUCACCAAGGUAGACUACUUCCUCAUUAUCCCCUAUAGGAGUAUAGGAGGAAAAUGCUUCUCGAUUUGCACAUAUGUGCCGAGUAGCCCCAGAGUCUACCACCCACUCUUUGACAUUGGCUGCAAUGUUCACUUGAGAGAUAACAGCAGCAAUUAUAUCAUUUCCUUCGGUUAAGUGCACCUUAGGAGGAUUACCAUUUGCUUUGUCACCUUUAUUAAGUCUGCAUUGGACUGCAUAAUGUCCUAGUUUUCCACAAUAAAAGCAAUUGCCUUUCUUCUUCUUAAAGUUGGGAUUGUUAGGCUUGAAAUUAAAUUUUUUGGGCUGUAAUUCUGGGAUUUAUUGGCGUACCUUUUAUUAUUGCUUUGCACCAGAUUGGCUUUGUAAGCCAUCUCCUUUGCCUUGGUAGCUCUCAACUCCCUUUUGCUUGAAUCCUCAAUGAGGAUGUGCUUCACGAGCUCAUCCAUGGUAUAAUUUUUCUCCUUGUGUUUCAAGUUGUUUUUAUAGUCGGCCCAUGAUUCCGGUAGCUUUUCAAUCAGCAUGCCUGCAGCGAAUUUCUCAGGUAGAUUGAUGUCUUCAUUUUUCAAGUCCUCUAGCAGCAUUUGAUACUUGGUGAUUUGAAUUUUCAUCUUCUUGUCAUCAGUCAUUUGCCAUUGGUUGUAUUUUCCUGCGACGAAUUUUUGUUUGGUUGCAUCUUCGGCAGUAAACUUUGUUACCAAGGCUUCCCAAAUUGCCUUGGCUUCUUUGCUGCUACAGUAGACAUCAAAUAAUUCAUUAGAGAGUGUUUGAAAGAUAGUGUGUCGGCAUACCUUAUUGGCGUAUUGCUAUGAUUCUUGAGUCUUGGCAUCCGCAGUUGCAGAAGGUUGAGAUUCAGUGAGCGCAUAAGCUACUCCAUGGAUGUCAAGUAGAGAGUGCACACGUUCUUGCCAUCUUUUAAAAUUUUCAUUGGCGAAAAUUUCGAUUUUGGAUACAUCUGGAAAGGGCUUGGCAAAUGGUAGUGCCACUGCAAUAGUUGCUGAUGAAGGCUGUGGGGCGCUAACAUUGUCAGAUGCCAUAGUUUCUUAGAUUGUUGGCAAAGUGGCAAAUAACAACGUUAGCAAUUAUAAUUUAGAUUGCUUGAGUCGUGCUAAAUAGCACUGUUCUAAGAAACUAUUUCAGGGUAUUGAAAUGUUUCUCCAGGAUUAAACAAGCCUUCCUCUUGUCGUCUGACAAGAAGGAUUAGAACCAGCAAAUCCUUUUAAAACCAGCAGUAGAAGAAGAAAAGAAAAAGAAUAAAGAGAUGAGAUGGGGUGGAGAAAUAUUGGAAGUCUAGUGUUCCGUGGUCACGAUGGCCUUGGUAGUGCUUGGUAUUUAUAGGCUUGAGAAGUGUACGUCAGAUGCAGGGAAACUUUAUCCAUUAAGUGGUUGAGAAAAUCUUGGGCUAACGGUUGAAGUCAGCAACCAGCUAAGGAAAUGUGCUUAGGUUUGGAGAUAAGAUAUGAUUUUCCACUAACAAAGGAAUCUGCUGGAGUCUUGCAAAAAAAUUAGGAAACGUGGAAAAAGUUGAUAGCUACAGAGAAGACUCUCAAUCAAGUCUUCUGACGUUGCUAACAGAUAAUAGGAUAUCUAUUGGCUUUAUCCCUUGAAGCUUGCAACGGAAAUAAGAAAACUCAUGAAACCAAUCAGGAGAUAACUUUUGAAAGAGUCAAACUUCUAACCAACCAAUAAUUCGUUUGAUGAAAAUCUGAUUCACUUUACUGUGCACAUAGAGCAAAGAAAACGUGGAAAAAAUAUGUUGAAAUAUUAUUUACAACAGUUAUGUCCAAUUGAUCAUACAAUGUUUCAAAGUAUGGGCUUAUAUCUUGUGAGUUGUGUUGUUUCUUUUUUUAUCUCAUUGAAGUUUACUUAAAAAUAGGCAGGAUUCUCAUUUAAUCCAUGUUCAAGCGUGCAGACACCAAAUUUUUAGUAUAGUUUUAUUUACUAUUUUUGUUUUCAUGUUAGUUUUUAUUUACUUUUAGUCUCUUAUUUUUUAUUUUAUUUUUAGUCAUUUUAGCAUAGAAUUUAUCGAAAAAAGAAAAUCAUUCACAAAAAUAUGUUUUAUUUCUUUUAGAUUCAAGUUUACGGUUUAUUAAUUGAAAAAAAAGGAAAAACAAAACAAAACAAAAUUUUUUUAAAAAAAAAAUUUAGCAUUUCAUUUUUAUCUUUUUAUGCCUAGUUUUGCUCAUUUUAUUCAAUUUUACUUAAGUUGUUAUUUUUCUAUAUAUUUUGUUUAUUAUUAAUUAACUGGAAAGAAAAAGAGAAAAAAAAAGGAAAAAAGAAGAAAAAGAAAAAGCUGUUUCAUGCAAGAAUCCAAUCGGAUGGCCAAGUGAGAAGGGCUGAGCUGAGGUUUACUGGUGACCAUUGAACUGAGGGUUUAGGGUCUUCCACUUGAUAUAAAAAGGCUGGGAAAAGAAACGCAGCCAGGGGGAUAGAAAAAAGGGUGACGGCAGGAAAAGAAAAAGGAGAACUAGAGAGAGAGCUGGGGGGGGUAGCGGCUGAAGGCCGAAGAGAGGCAACGGGGGAGUGAAUCGAGAGUGAGAGGAAGGACUGACGGCUAGAGAGAAACUAAGCAAAAGAAAGGAACUGAGGCUGGAGGAGGAUAGAACAACGGCGGAUGAAAAGAAUCUGGGGAACGACUGGAAAGAAAAAUAGAAAAAACGGAGAGGAAGAAAAGCUUCAAGUUGCGGAGGAAGAGCUUCAAGCAAGAAAAGGCUGAACGGAGGAAUCUCACUGUCAUCUGCGACUGUUCUCCGAAAAAUCACUGCUAGACCCUAUCAGAAAGUAGCUCUGUAAGAUUUCUUCUAGCCUUUUCCUACGGAUAACUUUGGUUAAUAAAUUAUGAGACCAUGAGAACUAUGGGUUUGUUUGAUGUCUGAUGAAUAUGUGUUAUCGCUUGGUUUGAGCCUGUGAAUAUGUUAAGAGUUGUAAUGGUUGUUCUUCACGUUGGUCCAUGGUCUACUACCCAAAGAUGUUGCCUUUAUACAUUAGAUCUUCUCGGUUUUAGCAGUGAUUCAUAAGGGUCGUAUGGAGUCUAAUGAAUGUCAAGUUCUUGUUUACAGUUUUUGUUUACCUGCUGCAAUUUUGUCCAUUCGGUUUGGCUGCCAAAGUUUCCGUUUCCUAGUUAUGCAUGUUCUGUAUCCAGAAUCCUUUGAGUGUGUGUCAAUCGUGAUAAAGUAGUGUUUUUCAUGCUUUGAAGUCGGAGAAAACGUAGCUAACGAGUCAUUUUGCUGCUGAAACUCAUGGUUUUGUUUUGAAUCCUAUGAUUUAUAUGAGGUCGGUCUGUGAUUUAGCUGGUCUGCCAUUCGAGUGAAAUAAGGUGUAGGGAUUUCCUUUGCAAAAAGAGGAUUUUCUUCAAAAACCAGAUCUUUUGAAGGAAUUCGAGCAUCUCAGUUCCUUUGUUCUUUAUCUUACAUUCAGUCAUGCUCUAGUUCUAACUCUCCCUCUUGAGUGUUUUGAGUUUCGUUGAUUGGGGAACUCCUGGACAAAAGCCAUUAGUUUACUUUCAUUCGUAAAACCAGAGGGAGGUGAGCGAAAUUGUUGCAAAUGUUCCUUUUACUUUGCUGCAUUUUAUGCUCGGAUGAUUUAAUUAGAUCUUUUGGGGUAUAGAUGAUUGUGGUUGAGUGAGGUUAAUAACAUGAGUUGAAGGUCUUGCAUUCAUUUUCGGUUUGUUGCAUUGAUAGACCUUACUUGGGCCCUUUCACACGAACAAACUUGGAGUGAAUAAUAAAACAUUUCUGCAGUUUCAAAUCCAUAAGAAGCUAACUGAAUCCAGAUUUCAGAAGUUCUGUGGCUGAGUUUUUUUUUUGGGUAGAAUGUUUAGCUCACGUUUUCACCAUUUCAAGAUGGGUUGUGUAUUGUGUCUUGAAUCAAAAGUUGAUGUUUUUUCCGGGACAUGUUCAAUUAGUUGUCAAAUGCUGCAUGUUGCAGAAUGAAGAAAAACAGAAAAUGCAGAAAUCUUCUUCGCAUGCAUGCAUUCAAAUCUUCAUAAAAAUUGCACUUGGCUCCCCUUAGUUUCUGUCCAUGCUACAAAAGCCCCAUUAUAUUCUAGUUUCUUGCAAUUAGGUUCUAGAGUAAUUACAUUUUGAACCAUUACUUGACCUUCUUAUUACUCUUGGAUCUUUGAAGUUCUCAAAAUGUUUUGAUUGGACUUGAGUGAUUGGUUAUGUUUUCAAUUGGGUCCUUAUUGGUUUCAACUUGAUGAAUAUGAGUUGUUUAGUUUAUUUGAAUGGUUUGAGUGAUUCAAUUUCAUGUUUAUUUCCAUUUCGUGUGAUUAUUUUGUUAAUCAAAGUGAUGCAUUGACAUUUUCUUUGUUUUUGGAGGGUAAAUAAGUAAAUUCAUUUCAUUAGGACACCAACUCAAGGGAGGUACACUCUAUCCCUUAUUUUUACUUUAUUUGACCCUACGUGUACUUAUGUGAUUUAUGUGUUUAAUUGCAUGCCUUUUGAAUGUUUUCAUUUUAUUUAUUUAUUUAUUCGCUUUAGUCGUCUUAAUUUCGUAUAUUUAUUUUAGUUCAUUUUGAUUAUUUAAAAGGCAUUUAAAGGCCAAGUUGUAAUAGUUAGGUUUAUUUUAUUUAUUUUCAUUUCCCCCGUUAGAUUGUAGUAGGGCCCCCUCAAAUGUAAUAGCUAGGGUUUUAUUUGCUUGUGUGAUUUGCAUGCCUAUGUGCUAUGUGUUACCACUUUCUUAGGGUCUUGCAUCUAGAUAAGCAUGCUUAUGUGCUACGUGCUAGGUGAAACUAUGUGUUUUGCAUGUCUAUUUGCUUUUAGUAUUAUAUCCGAUUAAGUAAAUGGAAUGCAUGUUACCGUGGCUAGUCCAAUGCUAGUCAUGGCCUUUCCCUCGAGCUCUUACAAGUCCAAUGCUUGUGAGAGAACGUUAGUUAAGGGCUAGUCCAACGCUAGACCCUUAGGAACCAUCCGCACGUUAGAUCAUGAUUGUGUGAUAAAAUUACUUCGUCUCAUGCAUAUCUUUACUUUCUAGGGCCUUUUUUACCAUGUUGCAUGACACUUUCCUUAUAUAUGCAUAUCCCUCCCUCCAUAUUUUCCCUUAUAUGUAUAUUACUUGCCCCCUUUGUAUGAAACAUGACAUUAGACUUGCAUUUCAUCUAAGCAUUAGAAUUAGGUUAGAUCAUUUGCUUGAUUAGGGAAUAACCCCUCGAAUAUGGGAUAUGGAUGAGUUUGGCUUUCUAUCCUUAGCACGCUCGUAUUCCCUCUAUUAAAGGGAAAAUUGAGUCACGAACAUUAGCCCCCCGUACCCGACAUGAUGCACUCCUUUAAGACAUGUAUAUUUGUAUAAUUAUUUUAUUUUCUUUUCUUUUCUUAGAAUCUCAUAUUUUUGCAUUAUUCGUGACUUUUUCGAAGAGUCUUCAUUGGGCGUCACAAUUAAUGUGAUUGGUACCAAAUAAGCUUUGAAGAUACAUUUCGACCCUCCGACACCCUCCUAGGUCUAGGGUUUGCAUUCAUAUAGUACUUCCAAAUGUGAUAAAUAUUUAGGUUAAAAAUAAGAAAAUCUUUGACUAAAUCACGCAACUAGCUUUGGUUAGGUCGAAAGGGUGCCUCGGAUUUUUAUCAUUGCCUUCCCUUUCUUCAAAUGUGACUCCCGAACCUUUUUCUUUGAUUUACGUAGACUAGGAGUCGUUUAAAAGGGGUUUUUCUAUGUUUUCCUUUGAAAAAUUCAUUUUAGGUGACUUGGUACACCUUAACUCUAUACCAAAUGACGACUCCGAUUUUUAUUUCAAAAACCCUUUUUAAACUAUAAUUUGGGCCCAAAUCGUCGCAUUACAAGUCCCAUUUAGGCCCAUUUUCUUUUUUAAAUCAAAAAUUCAUUUCUCAAAUCAAAAAUUCACUUUUUAAACCAUUUAUUUAUUUUAUUAAAAAUGGGGCGCGACAAAGCGUUAAAAAUGGUUUGUACUUCUAGCUUUGGAGGAUAUAGUUUAAUGCAUAAAGCGGUGCGUAGAGGUUUUUUUAAAGUUGGAAGUUAAACAUGUUAUCCUUGAUGACUAACGUGUCACUUUCCAUAUUUAGUACAACAAAAAGCUGCUUUGAGCUUCUUGAGGAACAAAAUGAAUUGAUGAUAGCUCCUUUCUUUUCGAAUCUUUUGGAUCAAAAGUAUUACAAGAAUUAUGAACCAUCAUUUUGGUACGGGGGGCCUUUUAAGGACUUGUAAGUCAUUGUGAUGUCGUAUGGCUUUGUAAUUAACCAUGUGCUUCCUUUCCAAUGUACAACAUGAAAACCGAGAAAUAUAAAGUUUUACAGAAUGCUAUAGAAUUAUAAUAAUCAUAAUUUCUUUUUCAUAUUUUUCAAUUGAUUUUACAUUUUUUAGUUGGUUUCCUGUUUGGCAAAAAAAGAAUGUAAAGAAGUUGGAAUGAACUUGAAGUGAACCAUUUGCACCUCAUUCCCUCAAGCUUAGUUGCCAAUCUGUCAUAAUAGUGGCAGGUUAAUCAUAUUACAAUGUUUUUCCAUUUAUUGCAUGAUUCGAGUGCUGUUCUGUCAUUGUCCUCUGGAUUUAAGAUUUGAAUCAUUUCAGUAUCUCAAUUGGGGUGGAUAUGCAGUAAAAGUUUAUUUGUUUUCUUUCAAUUGUAAUCAUGUUCUUCAAUAUGUGCUCUUUAAAUUUCAAAUUUAAGUUAGUAAAAAUACUGGUACAGCUCUUAUUCCACUAUACCAUGGUUUGUACCUGCUAAUGCUGUCCAUGUUGUGUAAUUCCUAAUCAUUUCCAAUUGUUACCAGUUUUAUUUUAAAAUUUUGCAUUAAAACUUUCUUCGACCACUUUUAAGGUUACACAACCACGUAUAUUGUUUUUCAUUUAACAUUCACAAUCAUUAAUAACAAUUUAGAAAUUAAUGGGGCGGUGGGCAACUUGUAAGUGCACAGGGUUCUACUCCUAGUCCCAGUUAGUGUUGCUAAGGUUGCCUACUUCUUUUUGUUGUCUUAUUCAGGAAAUUUGUUUUAUCUGCUCAAACUUUAGCGGAAUAGUUAAUAGGGAUAAUAUCAGAAAUUUCCCCUCAUGUUUCUCUUAGUAUCACCUAACAACGCUAAGGUUUUAAAGAUAUCACUUACCUCCAUUGUUUUUGUUAUUUGUGCAAUAAAAUUUCGAAAAACCUAAACUACCUUUUGCUCACUAAAUAAAAAUACUCCUAAACUACUUUGUUUACUUCAAGAAAACCAUCAUCUAAAAAAUGAUUUCCAGUAGUACUACCACGUUACAAUGCUAUAGUCCAUAGAAAUAUAAAUUUGAAAACAAAAAUGAUAUUUGCAAAGAAAUCCACUAACACCAAUUUAACUUUAUAUGGUCAAAACCAAUUUCAUGUGAACCUUAUAUAUAUUUUUUCAAUUUCUUCUCAACUUGUGUCCAAGCCCUUAAAUUGUACUGAUCAUUAUAAAAACCAACUCAAAAUAAAGAAAGAAAUCAUGUUGACAUACUAAAUCAAUCCUUUUCUAAAUUGUUAUUCAGCAGUGUUUUAGUCAAGUUUUAGUAAUUUUAUUGAAGUCAAGUUAUAGUAGUUUUAGUAGUCUGGAAUUGGUAAUUUAUUAGAAAAUUUCUUAUGGUUGUAAGACUUGUUUACCAAGUCAUCUAGUCUAUAAAUGGGGAGUCUUUUAUUGUUGUUAGUUGAUAAGAGCGAAAAUUUGAGAGACUGUUAUUAUGUGUGAUUAGUUGAUUUAUUCCUCUUCUCCUAUACAUAUUUUUACUAGCGUGAAUACCCGUGCUGCGCACGGUGCUUACGUUAUUGAAAUAAAUUAAAAGAUUAUACCAUUUUAAUUUGAAAAAAGUUAAAAAAUUAUACCAACAUAAUUAAAAUUUAAGAUUUGUCUAACAAUAAUUCAAAAUAUGACAAAAUCUGUAUAUCAUUCAAGAAUUGCAUUUUACGGAAGAUGGAUCUUAAAAUAAUAAUGAAAAUUUAUAUUAGAAAAUGAAUGAUAUAUGGAUAGAAAUAAAUGUAAUUGCAUGUUUUAUUUGAUUUCAAAAUGAAAUAUUUACAAACAUUAUGCAUUUGAUUUGAUAAUCUUGUACAAAGGUGCGGACACUUCUUACACCAACAACUUUUAGUAUGAAAAUUAAUAUUGGUGGUUUAAUUAAUUCUAUUGAAUUUUGUAGAGUUCGUACUACAAAAAAAAUGUUCAGUAAGACUUGUAUUUCUUGGAAGUGAACUUGCUGAAUCUUUUUAAAAUAUUUCAUUGGGAUCACUAUGGUAUGAGAUUCGUUUUGUGAUCAGUUUUUUUUUCUUUGUAAUCUUGCAGAUUUGGAAUUAAGAUGUCAUUGAAAUCAAUGAUGGAACCAAUGGGAGCUAAUGGAGGCCAUAGCCCUCCUCCCUAAAUUUUAAAAAUUUUAAUUCAUAUUAUGUAAAUAUUUGUGUAAAAUAAAGUUGGCCCUCAUAAUUUUUUACAAUUUUAGUUUAUCUUAUGAGAAUAUAUAUAUGUAUAUAUGUGUGCGCGUGUGUGUAAAUUAACUACAUUUGAAUUAAUUUUUUUAUUUAAAAAAGUUAUUUAUUUUUUAUAAUUAAAGUUAAUAAUUGAUAUUUUUAAAUGUCAUAUAUUUAAAUAGAUGAAAAUUACUUCAAAAUGAAAUACUUACAAACAUUAUGCAUUCGAUUUGAUAACUUUGUACAAAGAUGCGAACAUUUUUUACAUCAAUCAACUUUUAGUAUGAAAAUCCAUAUUUGUGGUUUAAUUAACUCUGUUGACUCUGUUGAAUUUUGUGGAGUUGAUACUAUAAAAAAAAUGUUCAAUGAGACCUGUAUUUUUUAGAAGUGAACUUGCUGAACCUUUUUAAAAUAUUUCAAUAGAAUCACCAUGGUGUAAAAUUCGUUUUGUGAUCAAUUGUUUUUUCCUUUGUAAUCUGGCAGGUUUGGAAUUAAGAUGCCAUUGAAAUCAAUGAUGGAACCAAUGGUGGCUAAUGGGGACCAUAGCUCCCCCCUUCCCCAAGUUUAAAAAAUUUAAUUCAUGUUGUGUAAAUAUUUGUGUAAAACAAAGUUAGUUCUCCUAAUUUUUUACAAUUUUAGUUUAUAUUAUGAGAAUAUAUAUAUAUAUGUAUAUAUGUGUGAGUGUGUGUGUGUGUGUGAAUUAACUACUUUUGAAUUAUUUUUUUCUUAAAAAGUUAUUUAUUUUUUACUUCCCUUUAUAAUUAAAAUUAAUAUUUGAUUUUUUAAAUGUCAUAUAUUUAAAUAAAUAAAAAUUAUUUUGAAUAUAACACAUAAAAAUAAUUUCAUGAUACUACAAAAAAGUGUUUAGUGAGACCUGUAUUCUUAGAAGUGAACUUGCUGAACCUUCUUAAAAUAUUUGAGUGGAAUCACCAUAGUGUAAAAUUCAUUUUGUGAUCAGUUGUUUUCUCUUUUGUAAUCUUGUAGGUUUGAAAUUAAGACGCCAUUAAAAUCAAUGAUGGAAUCAACAGGGGCUAAUGGGGGCCAUAGCUCCCCUCUCCCCCAACUUUUAAAAAUUUUAAUUCAUGUUGUGUAAAGAUUUGUGUAAAACAAAGUUAGCCCCCCACAUUUGAUAUUUUUAGAUGUCAUAUAUUUAAAUAGAUGAAAAUUAUUUUAAACAUAACACAUAAAAAUAAUUAUGUUAGGAAAAAGUUUAGCCCCUCUAGAAAAAAAUCUUGAUUUCAUCACUGAUUGAAAUGUUUGUAAGUGAGAUUUAUCCAUGGUGAAAGUAUGAUACAUAAUUUUUUUCACUGUAUUUAAUUUAUAUAAUGACAAAUGAAAUGGGUAAAUUGGAUUAGUGAUCAUCAGUUUUGUGAAUGAUUAUAAGACUAAAAUAUAUUAUAACAAUAAGAUACGUUGAAUUGUGAAAAUUGUAAUUUAUAAAGGCUCCUAAAUUUUCGAUAUGUGACUUUAAUAGUUGCGAAUUUCUUAAAUUAACAGUUAGUCAUUACUAUCAGUGAUGUGGUAAGUGUCAAUAGUAAAUGUGAGACGUGAAUUGGAAUUUGCAGAUAUCAUUUUACAUGGGUGAUUAUUACCUGUUAGUUAAAAUUUAGACGUUUUAAUUUUAUGGAUUAGCGGGGAAAACUGGGUAGAAAUGUGGGAAAAACGUGAUGAUGAUUAUAAGAUUUGUAGGAGCUGUUAUAGGAUUAGUUAAGAGAUAAACAUUUUUUAACUAUAAAAAUGUAAAAUUCUAUUAAAAUAGCAUUCAGACUUUUGACAAUUUUGGAAGCUCUUUAUCCAAAACCCCCUCUGUCAUAUAUAUAGAUAUAGAUGUGUGUAAAUUGCCUCCCCAUCUAAAUUGGUUUUAUGAAAUUUAUCUCCUAUAUAAUUUUUGUGAAAUUUUCUGGGUUCUACAAAUCAUACCCCACUCUAUCACAAUCACAAAAAGUAAAAAAAUAAACAAAAUUCAAUUUACUAUAAUUUAUAAAUUAAAAAAUCGCAUAGUCAUCCAAAAAAAAGAGUAGAGAAUGUUCAACAAAGGAGAAAGAGAAGAAAGUGACUUUUGUUUCUUCUUUUUAAAAUUUUUUGAGCUCCAUUUAUUCGGUAUGCAAAUUAUGUAUCAAGUGAGGGUUACUAUAGUUUUUUUACAAUUGUAAAGAGAGGUAAGUGAUAUUCUUAAAAGCUUAGGGUGUCAAGUGAUAUUAGGAGAAACCUCAAGAGACGUUUCUGAUAUUAUCUCUAACUAAUGAGAAUAGUAUACUGAAUAUUUAAUUACCGUCUAUAACUCUGUAUGAUGAACAUGCCUGGCACCCCUCCAAUUUAACUGUGAUUAAUUUAUAGUCUUAUAUCUUCGCAUAGGGCUUUUCGUUGCUCGGCUUUUUAACUAAUUCCAAGUUCAAGUUCUUCAAGUUCUGAAAUCAAAGAUUACAACUUCGAGAAAGAGUUGAAUCGGGCGACCAUGGCUACGGAUGAAGACAGGCUGCCAGAUUAUAAAACCCAAAAGAAAAAACCUACUUCUGAUGAAGAUAAAAGGUCAAAUAUUCUUCCGUUUCGUCUUUUCUUUCUCUAAUGGUCUGUUUGUUUAUAUUUAUUUAUUUAUUUAUCUAUUACCUUUGCUUAUUGCUGUGUAAUUUGUUAUUGCUUGUGUGUUGAUUUAGUAAUUCCUUAUGCAUAGGAAGAAGAAGAUUGUGCCGGGAAGUUUGAUGAAAGCUGUGAUAAGGCCAGGGGGCGGAGAAGUGACCCCUACUGACGGUGAUCAGGUUGGUGGAUUUUUUGUCUUGAAUAGUUUUGUUAGUUGGACGUCGUCUGGCUGUAACUUGCGAGUGCCAACAACCUAUUAAGUGUUCCUACACUACUUCCAUGACAAAACCAUGUCCCCCCUAUGAUGGUGCCAAAUGAUGCUUAAUAAAUUGUGCACCAAUAUGCAGGUCAUUUAUCAUUGCACAAUUCGCACCUUGGAUGGUGUUGUUAUCCAGUCAACAAGAAGAGAAUUUGGAGGUGAGUUCCAGCAUCAAUUCUGUCAUCUUACUGUGGUGGUAAAAUUAUGAUACAAGAUAGAAGUCUGGAAAGCAAAAGGGAAGGUUUUAGGAGAAAUUAAGAAUAGAGGGUUUUAGAACUCUGAUUUUUACUAGAACUAGUAUUGCAACUGAUGGGUCACCUGAAACCUCUUCAGUGCAUGUGUUUUUCAGAAGCUAGACUGUUCUCUGGGUUUACUCUAGUUUCUUGCUAUGUGAACUUGUCAUAACAGUUCUGCUGCUCCUUUGCUGUCUGAAUAUCCAUGCGGAUUAUUUUGCUACAUCUGGAAUGGGAGAGCAACGUUAUACUGGGCUUCUGGGAUAUCUUUCUGUUUUUGUUAACUUAAUGGUGCAGUUAUACCUGGAUGUUGUUAAGAUAUAGUGUUUCCCUUGGUAAUAAAACUACUUUCUACAUUCCUAUUGAUUAUGAAAGGCUUUUUGUCCUCUUUUGACAGGCAAUGGUGCUCCAAUUAGGCAUGUUUUGGGGAAAAGCAAGAUGAUAUUAGGACUGUUGGAAGGAAUCCCUACCAUGCUGACGGGUGAAGUUGCAAUGGUCUUUAUCUCAACCUUCUUUUGUAAAAUUGGGAUCGAAUGGUAUUACUGUUGUAGGCCCAAAAAGAUGUUUCAUUUUUUUGGGUUGGGCUGUAUGUUUUCAUUUGUUAAAGAUUUUUUAAUCUAUUGUUGCACACAUUGUACCAUUAUUAAUGAGUUCAACCAUAAUAGACUGUGAUGAUGUAAAAACUCGUAUAUCUGGGCUAUGACCACAAAGCAAUAUUUAAAAUUCUGCUUAUUUAUUUUGUUUCAUUCUUUAGUUGAAGACUUGGAAGCUUGUGUGGGAUGGAGCACUACAGAUGUCAUAUAGGAAAAAAAUGUUAAAUGACUGAGUUGCAAUAUUGAAACAUAUUUGCAUGUCAAACCUUUUUUAAAAGUGUAAAAUGCAGGUGUGUUCAGGAAAUUUGGAUUCUUAUGCAGUUGCCUGCUACUCCAUCUUCUUUUGUAAUCAUUUUUUAAAUUUUCAGGACAUUGGGAAUAUUUAAAUUUAAUUCAAUGACUUAGCUUAGCAAAAACAGAAAUCUGACUCAUGACAUCUGCAUUGUAAAGUGCCCAAGGGACGAGAAUAUUCCAGUUGUUGGCUAGGGCCUAAAAGUGUCCACUACUUUUGAAACAUCGUUUGGCUAAUCUUUUUAGUUGGAUUUGUGAUAUUGGCUUGCAGUUUAAGAUGAAACCUGAAAUGCAUUACGGGGAGGAGGAUUGCCCUGUCUCAGUGGAUGAUAGAUUCCCAAAGGAUUCUGAACUUCAUUUUGAGAUAGAGCUGAUAGAUUUCUCAAAAGUCAAGGCAAGCAUAUGUCCAUGAGUUGCUAUGUUGUAUCACUUUUAAAUGUACAAAACUUAUGCAUGUCACUCUGAUUUCUUGAUGUUUCAGCAAAGAAUUGUUGUAUUGAAUUGCUCUCAUAGUCCUCUCGUCAAUUACUGGUAUUAAGUGUGAGAAUAUCUUUCUGUACAAUGUCCUUAACCAUGGUAAUUUGCUGAUGGCUUCAUUAAUAUAUGCCUGUACUUGGUCUAGAAAACUCUUGUAGAAUAAGUUGUUCAUUUGAGCCGCCAAAUUCAAGACAAAUGAAACAAUACCUCAAUGGUUCGUUUUCCCAUGACAAGUCGGUUUCUGUAUUGUCUUCCAGUAUGUGUGUGCUUGUUUUUAUAUAAUAUUUCUCAAGUAAUACUCAAACCAAGUCUGGAUAUUGGUGUUUAAUCCUCGUGCAAUCUGUUAUUCUAUUGGAUAUUGUUGGUUAUUCUAUAAGUUUGACUGCACUGUUGGUUUUGAGUCCUUUCGGAUGAUUUAUAUAGAUGUUUUAGCAUUUCUUAUAGUAUAUUGAGGAUGAUAAUGAAGCCUAGAGAAUGGAUUAUAAAGUAAAAAGCACUUGGUCAACUAUUUUACCAAUGCGAUUUUAUAGUUAAAAGUUUCUCUAUGGAAUCCAACUAUAUUUUUGUUAGUGUGUUUGGGCAUUUGUGUCUUCUCGUCUCUCCUUUUGCUGUCUAAUAUCUUACACUUUGUUAUUUUCCUACAUGUCUUCUUCAGGAUAUAAGUAUGUGAUGUCUGGCCCUCAGAUCCCAUCUAAUUCUGCUAAGAUGUGCUCCAAUCUUUUGAAUUUUCAGGUAAUCAGCGAAGAUUUGGGAGUGUUGAAGAAGGUGAAAUUGGCAAUCAGCUUCAAAAUUUUGUAAAUUCUUCAAUGUUUCCAUUUUAGGUGCAGUUUGCAUCGUUAGUCAACAAAUAAUCUACUAAAGGCAUGGCAAUAGGAAAUGUAAAUAAUACUGCAAGAGAGAUAGCCUGUCGGGUUCAGUGUACUCACCACAUUUUGGAAAGGAUUAGUUGAAAGAGUGUGAUGGAGUUUUGCUAAUCAAGUACUCGAAAAAGAAAUAAAGAAAUACUUUUGUUCACCUGCUUUGCAAGCUAAGUGAAUAUAACAGCUCUCAAGGAUUUUUCUUUUACUAAAUGCUUAAGAACUUGCUCUAUUUGGAAUCAAGUAGUUGACAAGAACUUGCUCUAUUUAUGUUAAGCAAAACAAAAUCUUGCAGGAGUGGUGAAUGUCGGAGGAAAUUAGUUUAGAUGCUAACCAAAGUAGGUUAUUAAUAUUGGUUGUGUUAACAAACUUCAGGCGAUUGGGGUCGAAGUAGUUGGAAAAGCUUAUGGAAAGAAGUACAAAGCAAAUGAAACCAAAGUUGAUUUUUGUUAGUGCAUUUCACAAGUUUAGUGGUUUUUAUCUUCUUUUUCCUGACCAGGUUAUAGAUGAAGGACAGGGCUGGGAAACACCAAGGGAGCCAUAUGAAGUAAAAGCUUGGUAGGAAUUGAUUGUUGCCUUUCUUGAUUGCUAUGUGUGUCAUAUUCGUCUUUACCAUGAUCAUGUUGUAGUCGAUAUUUGAUAAUUGACAUUGGCGAAACUGGAAUAUUAUCUUUGUUUCUAGGAUUUCAGCAAGGUCAGGGGAAGGAAAAAUGGUCUUGUCACGUGCUAAGCAACCAGUGCAUUUUACUUUGGGAAAAUCUGAGGUGAGUUUUAUACCAUUUUGUUCCAUUUCUUUUCUUUAUGGUUCAUGCUUAAUUAUCUUGAUUCUUGUUCUUCCUGUGUAUCUAUUCCUAUGUCAUCUCUUUACAAAAUAAGCAUUUUACUGAGUUCUCCACAUUUGUGAAAUUACUAUCCUAGUUACUCAUUUCUUUUCUUUAUUUUCUUCCUAAAAUUUCAGUUCCUAUUUGCCUGUGUCAUGACAACUCACUCAAACUUAUUCUUAUAUUCUUGUGUAUUUUGACAUAGAUACCUAAAGGGCUUGAAAUGGGAAUAGGAACAAUGUCACGUGGUGAGAAGGCAGUAAUUUAUGUUACUGGUCAACAUAUAACGGAAACUCCUCUGAUUUCUGCUUUAGGAGGAGUGGAAGAAAUUUAUUUUGAGGUGGAACUUGUCCACUUUGUUCAGGUAGAAAUUGAGUUUCACAAACCUGUAGUCGUUUAAUAUAUUCAUUAGUUUGCCCAGAGCAUGCCGCGCAUGUUUGUUUUUUAACAUGUAUAUGUGUCGAUAAUCAUAUUUGUGUACUUGACUGUGGCUGAGAUGAUGUCUUCAAAUUUAAAUUUUAUAGGAGCCUUAAUCCCUUCUCUUUCCCCUCUGUUUUUCUUGGAGUUGUUCCAUGACGCUCCAGCAGUAGUACUUUGAUGUGUUUGAUUGAAUGUUAGUAUAUAAAUUUCUGAUAGUUGGAGUUUGAAAUGGUUAAAUUUUGCUCUUUUUUCAUUGAAUCAUGAAUGUCAUCCUUCUUGUCUAUGGGGAAUGACUAGGGACUUCUUGGAUCUUCAAAAAUUAAUUCUACUAAAUGGCAUUCCGAAUAAUCACAUUUCAUUAUGUCCAUGAAUCAUGGGAAAGCAUGCCUUGUUAAUGCGGUAUUGCAAUCUAUUAUGGUAGCGAAAUGACAGAGGAUGUUCUAACUUCUGGUUGUGGCAUUUGUAGGUCCGUGAUGUGCUUGGAGAUGGACGCCUUAUCAAGCGUCGCAUUCGUGAUGGAAGAGGUUUGCUUUUCCUUUUUCUACAUUUUGGAGAUCGGCAUUAUAUGUUUUUGCAUAUUUUGAACUUAGAACCUCUUAUGACAUAUUGUUAUUUGUCAAAUCCGAGAUCUGAUGAACUUUUAGACAAUUCAAAGACAUCCAUAGUUUCAUUUUGGGCCUGAAUGUUUACGCUCAUAUUUCCUGUGAAAUAUAGCGCUGAAUUUCUGACUGCUUAUCCUGUUAUAUUUCCUUUUUUUUUGUGUGCCUCCCUCCAACUAUCAAGUCUCUAUGUGUGUAAAUAUGCAUAUAAGCUACAAAUGAAUGGUUAAAAGGGUAUCUCGAUGACUUUGUCAUAUCUUUACAGGAGUUUCAAGGUUUUAUCUGAUUUUGACUAAAUAAUAACGUCUUAUGCUUUUCUUAACUCUUCAUGGUUAGGUGAAUUCCCCAUGGAUUGCCCUCUUCAUGAUAGCUUAUUACGUGUCCAUUACAAAGGCAUUCUUCUUAAUGGGGCAAAGACAGUUUUCUAUGAUACAAAAGUUGAUAAUCAUGGGCAGCCUCUGGAGUUCAGCUCUGGGGAAGGGCUUGUAAGUCAAGUUACUAUACACAAGCACACAUUUCAAAUGUCUCUUUUUCUAGUCUGUCCUUCCCCCACCCCUCUCCCCUCUACUAUCCUCAAAUCGGUUUAGGUAUCUAGUUCCAUGCCUUGCAUAGAUGCAAGGGAGGACACCGCACUGAGUUAUUGAUCUUAUGUUUAAGUCUGAUUGCAAAUUUCAUCUUCUGCAAUGUGUGUAGGUACCUGAAGGGUUUGAAAUGUGUGUUCGUCUGAUGUUGCCUGGAGAGUUAGCUCUUGUCACAUGUCCUCAUGAAUAUGCCUAUGACAAGUUUCAAAGGUUAUAACAAAUUUGCUUAGAAAAAAUGUUUUGCAUGAGAAUGAUAGUAGUCUUUACACAAAAGUAAAAUUACUCAAUGGGUAACCUCAGACUUCAUGGUAAAUAGAGAAGUUGCCUGUGUGGGGCUAAGGCCAUAAAAACCUAGGCACUCCCAGACCUCAUUGGCAGGAACCUCAAGCAUUGGGUUGGGCCUGCUAUGUAUAAUCUGAAAAUGCAUGGGUAGUCCUUAAUAUUUUAGCUUUAUGUCUUUCUUUCUGAAACUUCAUGCAUUAUUGCACAGCAUCCUUUUGACAUUUCUUCUAACAUUAUCAUUAGGCCAGCUAAUGUUCCUGAAGGUGCACAUAUCCAAUGGGAGAUUGAGCUUCUUGAAUUUGAGAUGCCAAAGGUAACUAAGUGAUACAUGUAUUCUUUUGUGAAAACUUAAAGAAGAAUCUUAUUACUAUAGAUGUAUGUUGUAUCAUGGAUUUAUGACAUUUCUAAGGAGCAUCUAGUUUCUGAGGAUUAGAUUGAAAAGAAUGAUUGGUCAUUCAUUGUAAAUUAACAGAAUUGUAGACCAUAAAAGCAAAUUGGAGAGUAUGGUAACUGCUACACUGGGGACUAGGGCUAUAAACGAAUUGAUUAAAUUGAACUUUAGCUCGAAUUUGAACUCUAAUCCUAUAUGAGCUCAAAAUCUAAGCUCAAGUUCUAUUUGAUUUAACAUUCAAUGGAUUUGAGCUCAAUUCGAGAGCUCGAAAAUUUAUUCAGUUCUUCAAUUUUUAUAUUAUCACGAAUACAUAUAUAAUAUCUAUAUGAUAAAAUAAUAAAUAUAUAAUUUUAUAAAAAUAUUAUUAAAUUAUUUUAUAUAAAAAUAUUAAAAAUUAUUUGAAUCAAAUCAAGCCUUAACAAGCUGAAUAUCUACGAGUUCGAGCUCGAUUUGAUACUAUAAAUGAAUCCUAAUUCCUAUUUGAAUUCGAGCUCGAGUUCGUUGAAAAUCGAACUCAAAUCAAACCCUAAACGAAUCAAGCCUGAACUGUUCGUUAAGGGCUUGGUUCGUUUACAGCCCUACUGAGGACAUGACCAGCAAAAAGAGUCAGGGUUCUAUGCUUUCUUCAUUUAAGUUUGGGUGGCAUUGUGAAACCUUAAGUAGCAGAUAGGUUAGUGGAGAAUGAAUAGACAGUUUUUUAUGGUCCAAAUGGGCUGACUUUCUGAUUAUAAACUUGUUGAUAGAGAACUCCUUUUUAGAGUUUUAUCUUUCUGUUGGGCAUAAGAAAGUUAAGGAAACGGGCAGUGGAGGACCCAUAGAUCAAUGCCUCUUUAGUUCCCUCUAUUAUGUUUCUAGAAUUAGUAACAUAAAAAUUUUAUCAUAUUUGGUUCAAUGAUGAUACCAACCAGUUAAGUUUUGGUGUAUGCAUCGAACAGGCUGACAGUCUCAUUUGACUUUAAUAUUUUCAUGUUUCUCAUUGUGCAUCCUCCUGUUGCAUUAAAUGAUUAAGUCUUAUUUGACAAGAUUUUUGGUUGCAGGACUGGACUGGUUUCAACUUCAGGCAGAUAAUGGAAGAUGUUGAGAAGAUCAAAGGCACGGUAUGAUUUUAAUCUAGUUGGACAGGUUCUGAGGAAUAUUAUUUUCAGCCUUUUCAGUACUAUUUGUUCAUAUUGUCUUUUUCCUUGUCAAUGUAUAUUAUUUGUUUUACCACUGCUGCUAUCCAUUAUUAUCAUCAUUUCUUGUGAUUAGCAUUGUAUGAGAAUUAUCAGUUGUCCUCAUCUGUCAUUGUGGUUAUUAGUUAAUAGAUGCCAUGCACUAUUCUAAGUGACUUUGACGGUCAUUUCAGUGUCCACAGUCGAAUUAUUAUUUCCACAUGGUCUAUUGAAGGGCCUCAUUUAAACAUGACUUCACUUAGAGUGAAUUUCUAUCUAUUAGGGCAGGCUUUUGAGACUUCUUGCAUGCAUAACAAUAUGUAUUGUCCAAAUGAAGCUCAUUUAUUCUGUAUACCCUUUUCAGGGUAACAGGCUUUUCAAAGAAGGAAAAUAUCAACUUGCCAAGGCAAAGUAUGAGAAGGCAUGUGGUAACUCAUUCAGUCUUGAUAACUUUAUGUUUUAUCAACUUAUAGAGCAUUCAUUGUUCAAAUAUAAGCUUGCAUUAUGUGUCUUGUUUAUUUGGAAAUCAGAUACUACUUUUGUUGGUUUUAUGCAACUAGUUUUGUUCUUCUGUCCCACCUUACGUAGUUGCAGUUCUUGCUGAUAAAAUCAGGAUAAAUAGCACGUGGUGACCCUUUUUUUCCUUAAAGUAGUUGCUAAGAAGUUAUGUUGAACUGAAUGAAGAUCUAGAACAGUGGUGUUGGGUUCUUUUUGGCAGGUACUGCGAGAAUUUAAGCAUGUUAAUCCUCAAGAUGAUGACGAGGGAAAAGAAUUUUCAGAUACAAGAGUAAGAGUGCUUAUAUCUGCUUGCUACUUUAAUAGACAUGUCUCUCUGGAUUGAUGACAUUUUCAACGCGUAGCUUUCACAUUAUCUAGAAUAGUCGGUCUCUAAUGGCGUUCUCUGGUUGAGUUGUUCCAGAAUCUGUUGCAUCUAAAUGUGGCUGCAUGCUUCUUGAAAAUGGGAGAUUGCAGGAAGUCUAUUGAGGAAUGCAACAAGGUAAAUAACUUGCCUCCGAAAUUAAAAGUUUCCCAGAUGUAUGAAAAAGAUGCGUGUUAGUGUUCUACUGAAACCUCUUAGUUUAAGUUUGAUCACUCUGGGUGAUUUCAUUCCAAGUCAAACUUUGCUCUGACAACUGAUUUGUAAUGCAGGUAUUGGAUGCAAAUCCUAUUCAUGUGAAAGCUCUCUAUCGACGUGGAAUGGCCUACAUGACAGCUGGAGAUUUUGAGGAGGCAAGAAAUGAUCUUAACAAGGUAAUUGUGUCUUCUAUGUUAAUAAUAGUUGGGUACCAUAGCUAUAUACCUCCUCAAGUUGCAUUUUGGAUUGCUAUGCAGAUGAUGAGUAUUGACAAGUCAUCUGAGCCUACUGCAAAAGCAGCUCUUCUCAAACUUAAAAAGGAAGAACAGGUUGGUUGAUUUACAAAUUGUGUGUUAACAUUGCUUUCUUAAAAUUUUAAUUGCAUACUUGGAUGCAAAGCAGGAAGUGCAUAGGCGGGCUAGCUACCAGUUUAAGGGACUCUUUGAUAAGAAUCCUGGAGAAAUUUCAGAAGCUGGAGUAGGAGAGAGAGAAGAAAUUGCUACUGAGAACAACAAUGAUGAACAUCAUCAUGAUUUAGUUAAUAAUAACGAGCAGGAUAUUGAGCAGGUUGCUGCUCCAACUCGUCUGAGUUUUAUGUUGGGAUUGUUGCCUAAAGUCAAAAGACUUUUCACUGCUGUGGGGCUCAACAGGUGUACAAUAUUGUGAGUUGUGAAUCUAAAUAUCUUGGGUGAGAGAUCUUCGUUUCUAUGGUUCCAGAUUUCCAUUGAAUUUUUACCCAUUUAUGCUUAACAGGACGCCUGAUCUAUCGAGGUCUUCUGGGAUUGGGUCAUGUCAAUCAACUGUUAUAAAUUAUUCAUUGUCCUUAGUGUCAUUAAUUGUUUAAUAUGAUGAAGAAAGGUAAACAAACUGCUUUGUGAGAGAGAGAGAGAGAGAGAGAGAGAGAUUGACGGACAUUAGCUAGCUUAUUCCGUGGAUAACUCUAAACUUGUAAUUUGUGUUCCUUCACUAAUAUUAGUAGCUUUCGCAAAGGCUUUUGUUUACUCAUGAGAUGAAAUUGGACUCUCAUUAUAGGCCAUUGCAUUAUUUUGUCGAGUAAACUUGAAUUUCGGAUCCAAAUCCAUAUCCUGACAGUCACCUAAGUAUCAAUUCGCAUUUAACAGUUCAUAAUCCAAUUCCUGACUGUCACCUUAGUAUCGGUCUGCAUUUAACAGUUUAUAGUCCCAUUUACGAUUUUUUGGGCGAGAAAAAUUGGAAAGGUACAGAAAUAUGUGAACGGGAACUCAAAGCGUUUCUUUUUGGCCCCUUCACAAUAAUAAUAAUGACUGACAAGUUGACGAUGAUGGUGGUGAUGAUAAUAAUAAAUUAAAUAAGUUGUAGCUUGAAUCUAAACUAAAGAUCUUCUUUUAUUGUAAGUUGUACCCUGCACCUGCAUUGUACGUGGGUAAAAUCAUUAGUAGUUUAAUUUUCAGGAUGAAGAAACAAAAAUUUGAAUUAGUUAUUUUUGAAAUAUGUGUAUUAUAAUGAUAUUUUGAAUUAGUUAUUUUUAAAGUAUAUAUGUAUAUUGAAAGAACAGAUUGUACCAUGAAAUGUAUUUGAUUUAAAUCAAUCAAAUGUAAAAAAAUUUAAAUCAGUUUUAAGAAGUGGAACUCUUGCUUCAACCUUUGAUCUUCAUUUUUAUUUUUGACUUUUUCCUAGAUACCAUUAAUCUUCUCAUCCAUAUUGCUUUUAAAUCAUAGCAUUACAUUAAUCACUUUGGAGUUUAUUAUGUAAAAUGACUUUCUAAUGUAUGAGCCUACAUUAAACAACUUUUGAAGAGGAGUAUGAUUUAUGUGAUAUACUUUUUUGAUGAAUUUGUGUGAGCAUUUAGAAUAAAAGCAAAGUCUAAAAUAAUGCAUAAAGAAGGAAAAUUAAAUAACUAAUAUGACAUGUAGAGAUGUGGAUUUCUUCCUUUUAUUUUAUUGUUAGGAAAAACUUAUUUGCGUUAAAAUGACAAACAUAUAUUAUAAAAAACUUAUUUGUGUUAUAUUUUAGGUAAUCUACUUUUUAUUCAUGAUCAACUUUAUACAUGAUAAUGCAUUGCUAAAAAUUACUUUAGUGCUUAGUAAUCAAUAUAAAAGAAAUCAUGCAUUUAGAAAUUUUGGGUGUUGCUCCUCUUCAUAAACUUUUUCCCCCUCUGUAUUACAUCUGACUUUAGUUAUAAUUUGGUAAUUCUUGAUGCAAUUUAGUCUUUGAUUCCAUAUCUUAAGAAGAUGUACAUGUCUUUUGUCUUUAUUAUUACUUUAGAAUUUCUGGUAUACAAUAUAUUUCAUAUUUUUAGUCAUCUUUAAUGAAUUAGAGUUACAUGGGCUGUUCUUAUCCGAAAUAAGCUUACCAAAUAAUAAUGUGAACUAUCUUCUUUGAUAUGUGAAUUGAUAAAGGAAACUUAAAAGGAAAAUUGAGAAAAAAAAUAUUGUGACUAAAUUGACAGCGUUGAUUUUGAACUCCAAACUCCAAAUGGAAAUAUCAUGCUACAAACUUUUAGAUUCAAUAGCUUGUCACUUUGAAAGUCUAUAGCUUAAAAGAAUUUGUGGGAAGUGAUUCAUAGUUUAAUUUUAGAUAAAAUCCAAAAAAGCUCCCGUGGUAUCCAAAAUUCAAGUGGUGCAUAGUUUAAUUCAUUCUUAUGAUUGUUCUACCCUUUUUAUUUGAAAUAACAUUUCUUAGACAAAGUCACCAUCUCAGCGAUUCAUUGCCAUCAUCUCUAUCACUAUCUUCAUCACUAAUCAACAGCUCUAGUUGCCUUCUCUCAGCCACUAAUCAGUAAUCACCACCACUAACACUACCAUCUCCACCACUAAUCAAUACCACUAACACCACAUACAAAUAUGAUUUCAAAAUUAAAAUUUCUCAAAUAGCAUAAAGAAUCCCAAUUGCAUAAAAGUCUAGGGUGCUUCUAUCAUUACCAAGUUCAAGUCCCAAUUUGAAUAAAAUUUUGAUAGGAAUAUAAAAACUAGACCCAUGGAUUUUGCUUGCUCAACCACCACCUCUACCACUCCUAUCACACUCAUUCUUUUCACCCCUACCACCCACCUUUCCUCCUUCUCCCCUUUUUUCCUAAUCUGCCCUCCCUUCCUUUACUUGUUGCUUCCCCUUCCCCCUUUUCUGAGCUAAUCUUGAUAAAAGGGGGAGUAGCAGGCAAAGGAGGUGAGAACAGAGAAAAAGGGCAAAGGAUGAAGAGAGAAGUUAGGAGAGGAGGUACUAGUUAGGGAAGGCAAGAGGAGCAGGAGAGAGGGGAAGGGAGGGUGGCGGGAGUUUGAAAUAGUGGUAGUGAGAGUGGUGAAGAGUAGAGUUUAUGGCAUUAGCAAAGAUGGCGGCGUGAUGGUUGGAGUGAUGGGGCAGAAGAAGAAGAAAAGGAAAAGGAAAUAAAGAAAAGAAAAGAAAAGAAAAAACUAGUUUUUGGAAGUAAAUAAAAAGGAAAAAAUUAUAAAGAAUAAAUAAAUAAAAUAUAUAUGUCCUGCUACCUAUGACGUAGUUGGUCAAAAAUCACCAUUACACUGAAUCAGAAGGGGGUUUUAUGGAAAUUUUUGAAUGAGACUUCCUAAAUUUUGGUGGUACCACAAAGGGGAUUUGUGGAUUUUACCCUUUAAUUUUUUACAGAUGUCUAGUAUAAUUCGGUUAUUUUGUAAAAAGUUAGAAUCAUACUUAAAAUGAUGCUGCAAGUUUUCAUAUGCAAGAUACAUGCUAGUCUACUAUGAUAGCCGAAAACUUAUGGACAUGAAAGAUUAUUCUAAAAUAUAACACAAUAGCUAGCAACAUUAAUGCAAACAAAAAUCUAGAAUAAAAAUAUUAUAAAACCUACUAAACUUUUAGUAUGUAAUGGUUAAAGUUUAGACUUAUUUUGUGUUCUUAUUCUACUCUUUUUUAUUUUAGGAUUUAAAAUAUUUCCUUUUAAUUUGUCAUAUUCUAGUUUGUACCUCAAUAUUAGUUUGAUAAAUUUCAAAACUAAGCACUAAUAUUUAGCAUCCUUUUUAAAUUUUUCACACUUCGGGAAUUAGUAGUAUUUAAUAAUUUUUUCCAGAUAGUUAUAAAGUACAAAAAUUAACAAUUAGUCAAAAGUUCAUUUGAAAUAUCAUGUGGUAGUUGACAAUAAAAUAUUUAAUUAUUCAUACUUAUCGACCCAAAGAGUUAUUGUCUUCAAGAAUUCCCUAGACAAUCACUGUAAUGAAGUUGAGCAAAUAGAUUAAUAAGAAUUUAUAGACCUGUUGAAAUAAAAUUUUGCAUGCUAAAAGUAUAGGUGGCAAACCAACCCACUUAACUAAAUUUACCUAUACCCGCCCAUAAAUAGGUGGGUAUGGGUAUGGGUAUCUUAAAUUUUUGUAUAUGGAUAUAAAUGAGUUAUCCAAUAAUACCCAUCAAACCCAAUUAACCCAUUUAGAAUUCUCUUCUCCUAAGUCUCUUCUCUUCCCCCACCUUUUUUUUUUUUCAAAUAUUUCAUUUUGUCAUGAUGUUAACUACUUUUGUUUUACUAUUAUUAUUAUUUGUUGGUUUUAUCUUAUUAUUUUAUUUUCUCUUAAUUUGUUAACUUGCUCACUUUUUAGCAUUACCAAUUUAUGAUAAGUUUUAGCUACUUUUCUUAUCUUUCUAAAAUGAAAUUUUAAAUUUAUAUAUGAAAAAAAUGUUAGGGGUUCAAAAUUUUUGGAUUAAGUUUUUAUAUUAACUUUUAUAGUACUUAGUUCAAUUUUUUUUAUUCUUAUUAUUCAAUUAUUAAAUAAUAUGUAAUUUUGCGACAUUGGUAAUUAGGCUUAUUGAACAUUAUAAGUAAAUAUUUAAAAUUAAUGGUGGGUACAAAGAGCGGUAUAAAUUGAUAACUUAGUUUGAAAAAAUAAAUUUAAAUGAGUUUACAAAAAAUUAAAAUAAAUGAAUUAUAAAUGGGUAAUUGGGUUACCCAAUUCAUUUUUUGACUUAUCCAUUUAUACCCAUCUAAUUAAAUGAGUCUAAAUUAGUUGACUCACUUAUAUCCAUUACCCAUUUUACCCAACCCAAACUUGCCCAAGUCACCCAUUUUACCCAACCCAAACUUGCCCAAGUCACCCAUUUUGACACCUCUAGCUAAAACAAAAGGAUCAUUUUCACGCAAAACUCUAAAGCCGAGGGAGAAAAGCCUGAGAGAUUUAUCACAUAGCUGAUGAGAGGACCAACAGCAAUAAUCUAAUUGAAAAAUCCUUCAAUUUGUCGUGCUUCUACAAAUGCCAAAAAAAAAAGCCUAUAAAAAAUAAACCUUUACUCAUCAUUUUAAAAUUGUACUUGAAUUUGAGCUGUUUAAUAGUUUAAUACCAUAAUUUGGCAGAGGCAUUAAAAAAGGUAGUUGGGAAUUUGACUAUAUCUACAUAGAUUUAGAAGUUGGUGAUAACAACUUUGACAGGAAAAGAAAAUAUUUUUAAUCUUUUAAUAGUAGAAGGAUAAAGCUUUAAUCACCGACAAAUUGGAUUUCAUUUAGUUCUUAAUCAGUGACUUUCUUUAUAAAGCAAUAAGGAAUCAGCAAAUUAACUCUAGCAUUUUGCACUACAGUUUAUAAAUCGCACAAUUUGCUAACAGUGGUCCAACGUACCUUUUUUUAUUUUUUGCCAAAGUCUAAUACUUAAGGAGGUUGACAACUUUCAAAGAUUUGCAAGAGUUAUUUAACGUGCGACAGAAUAGACUAAGGGGGUUCCAUAAUUGGCAAAAUUUUUAACAUCCCAGCACUAAAAUAUCUAUGCCUUUCAUUCAACCACCUCUCAAGAACUCUCUCUUCAACUAUGAGUUACAAGCUAAGCAAAUCUCGUGACACUCUAAUUGGAACAAAAUUCCCUAACCAGAGUAUGCCAAAUUCCAUGUCAAAUGCAUCAACGUCAUUGAUUGUGGGAUUCUCAAGUUCAAUCCCAGAGUCUAGGAAAUGAACUUCAUCACUUCCUUGUAGAUUCUUAAAAUAUUUAUUAAUGAUUGAUAAUCCUCUAAAUCGUCUUCUUCCCACCAAUUCUUAGCCUAAAACUUCUCCUGAGUUUUGAAGUGCUAGAGUUUGCAGACCAUAGGUAACAUUCCAACCCAAGUGAAAUGGGCAAUUUGUAUAGUUCUGACCUUAGAUGUAUCAACAAUUGAUUCCUUCAAAAAACAAGAAAUCACCUCUGUUCCUUUCUCCUAGAACCAAUUGCUCACCUGAAAAGGGUAAAAAAAAAGUUGCUUACUUGUCUUUUACUCCAUAUAAAUUGUUUAAGAAAAGAUUAUUGGCAGAAAGUAGGCAAUUUGAACAGUUAUAACCUAAAACCUAUUUUACGAUGUGCGGAUCCAUUAAAACAGCAAAGAAAUUACCUCUAUUCCUUUCUUUUGUAUUAUUUCCUCUACCCAAAAAGGGAAAAGAAAACACAAAAUUACCUCUGCUCCUCCUUUUACCAAAUCCUACUCCUUUGGCAUAUCAACUUUCUCAUUUAGGUAUUCUUGUAUGCAUGAGUUCUAGUUAAGGUUUUGCAAAAUAAUUUGUCGGCAAAAAUUAAGUGAUUAUGAUAGUGGUUCUCAAGAUUUUCUUCAAAAAGAUGCUACAUUUUUUCUCUUCUACAAGAAUGUUUACUUGCAGAAUUGUGCUUAUGUAAUAAGACGAACUCAUCAGGUAACUUGGAAUAUGUUAGAAUCAAGUAAACUGGAAUUGCUUGAAUGUAAUCAAUGGUAAAAUUCUAACUUUGAUGGUAAAUUGAAGCUUUUUGCGUGUUUAUGAGUGCUUCAAUUUGCUUGAUGUUACCCACAUUAUAGAGAUUGAAUUGCUAAAAUCUAUUUGUGGUUUCAAUAUAAUUAUUCUUACAUCCUCAAAGACCUUAAAAAGAUACGUUUUCAGGUUCAUUAGUCAAAAUUUAUGAUAUUGGUAUAUGAUUACUUGUUUUACAAUGCUAUUUAAAAAAACCCAUUUCCUUAAAAUUGGGUUCAUGAUUCUUUCAUAAAAAUUUUAAUAGCUAAAAGACAUUGAACAAAUAAUUCAAUUAAAUAUCCUCAUUGAGGUAAUCAAAAUAAAAUAUGACAUGGUUGCACGAAAGCUUUGAGCUUACAAAGAAUAUCAAGUAAGUAAUUCCUCAAGAAAUUGCUUUUUACCAAGCAAAAAAGAAAAAAAAGGAGAAAGAAAUAUUUUAAAAAAUGUACGACUUUUGUUAAACCACAUUAAAUUUGUAAAACUUAAAAUCCAAAAAUAAUUUAAUUCUGUAAUUGUAAAUGCUCAACAUGAUUAAGUUAUGAUAUUCAAGCAUAAAAUUAGAACAAAAAAAAAUCAAAAUCAUCAAGACAAAUGAGGCAUCUGAAAUUUAGAAAUUAUUUACAAUAAAAACGUUUGAGAUGUCACUGGCCAUAGCACAAAAUUGAUCAGAUCGUGUUCCAAGAUUUGGUAUUAACAAAGUUUUGUUGCGAGAAGGAAUUUCCUUCUCACUUGAGAGAAACUGAAGCACAAGUAGAUAGUCAAGAAAUUAAAAUUAGUUAUACUUAGACCCUGUUUGAUAACCCAAUUCAACACUUUAAUUUAAUGGAUUCAGAUCAUAACAUAUUUAGACCAUUUGAUAACUAAAAAUUGAAUAUUUGAAUUAAUUAAUUGACACUGAAUUUGCUAGGUUUGCUCCUAAAAUUAAGUAAUAAGUUAUUCACUUAUCACUGAAUAUGGUAUGCACUCAAAUAUAUUAGAUUUAAUACUUAACAAUUCAAUAACUUAAUGGAUUCAGAUUGCAAAUUUCAGAUUUCAAACUUUAAUUUUUAGAUUUCAAUUUUAUCAAACGCACCCUUAGUCUUAUGGUGGUUGGAGGAGUGUUCCAUAUUAUACGGUUUAUGUUAGCUGUGACUUUUGAUGUGCUAAUAAAAUUGGCAAAAAUUGAAGAAUUGUAGUUUCAAUAUGAUUGUGGCUAUUGUGUAGUAUUUGGCAGAUGAGGAAAUGGCAUGAAUUAAGAAACAUGUAGUAUGAAUAAGAUUAAUUGUGGGUACUCAAUAUGAGAAAUCUAAUUUUGGCAUCACAAAAAGAGGAAGAAAUAUGAUUAUAUAUAUUAUAAUUUAUGUUAGCUAUGACUUCUGAUGCGGGGAUAAAAUUGGGAAAAGUUGAGGAAUUGCAUUUUGAAUAGAAUUGUGGCUAUUGUGCAGUAUUUGGCGGGUGAGGAAUGGCAUGAAUUGAAAACUUGUCAUAUGAAUAUGAUUGUGACUGCUCAUAAUUGGCAAAUGGAAAAUCUAAUUAUUAAGGGUAUAUUUGACAUCACAAAAAAGGAAGAAACACAAUUUUAUAUUAUAGUAAUAGAUAUUACUUGCUAAUAUAAGUUUGGACAGCAUGUUACACAGAGAGGAGAACUCGUUGUUAUGGGAACUAGAAUAUGAUUGACAAUAGAGGCAGCGCAACCUUGCAAGUUCCAUUUCGAACAAGUUCAUGGCCAGGAUUAAAAGGUAAAGAUCAAUGGACAAGGUGAUAACACACAAGCAAUUUAAGUUUACCACCAAAACCACUUGUCUUCAUAUGGAAAAAGAAAACAAAAAAUAGACAAAAAAUAAGGAACGCCAUUGGCAUUCCGUUUUCCUCUGUGCACGGAAUCCUUCUCAAAUUGAAGACAUGAAAAACCCCCAUAUUUUCAGAGACAAAGUUCCCAAAAAUUAGUUCCAAUUGUGUGAGAUAUAGCUCUUCUUGUCUUUCGAUUUGUUCUUCUUCCAUGUCUCCAUUGGAAUGUGCAAAAUAUUUCUCUUUUUCUGCCCUUCUUUCGUCAAAUUGUUAAAAAAUGGAGGAAACAAUUGAAAGCAAGUUAUGAAAUUUAACUUCAAAAUAAUGAAAUUGAACUUCCAAACAAAGGACAGAAGCUUGAUCUAGAAAGUCCAAGAACAGAUCAUACUCGUUCCCUGGAUCAUAUACCUUUCUCCCUUAUUCAGUCAAUGUAUCUGAAACAUUCAAUUAAAAUAUUUGAAAUUCAAUCUGCCAUUAUUUUUUCUUUGUAUAUUAAAAAAUCAGUAAGAUUAAUUAAUGGUGCCAAGCUGGACUAUCAAUGGAGAUGUAUAAUCUACAAGCAUUAACUGAGAAAAAUUGCAAUUGAGGAUGGUAGAUUACUAUGCUUGGGUUAUGUAUUUGUGCAUCAGUAAAAUUCCAAUUGAGGAUGGUAGACUGAUAAAAAAAUUCUAUGACCAUUUUAGUGGUAUGAAAUAGUGAAUGCAGAGCAUGUUGUUGUAUGCACGUUUGGUUUGCCAAUUUCUAGUGUAGGACAAUUGGCAAUUGGAUUAAUGUAUAGGGACAAAGUGUAAUAUGGUAGAUACUGUGUGUAAUGCUGCAAGAUUAAUAAAAGAUAAUCAUAUUCUAGCAAAGAUUGAUCCCUUUUGUGUGCCCUUUUUUAAAUAGACAACUACUGUCCAGUGAAUUGAGAGUUAAGAAAAAAAUGGGGCGUAAUGAGAACUAAAUAAAAGUUAGUUUAGAAAUCAUUUGUAGAGGUGUAGUGACAUGGUGUAAAUUUGCAGUGGUUAAGUGUAAAUGAACAGUUAUUUCGUGUAAGAUGAACUGUAUAAAUAUCUUUGAUAGUCGAACUUAAGAGAAUGGUAACAAUGCACUUGGAAAUAAAAGGAGCAUUGACCACUUUAUAUUUAUUUAUAAAUUAGGGAGAUGGAGUUUGGCGAGGACAAGGGGAUGCAGUAGUUUAGUUGCAGCAUUCCAAGGUUGCGUAUAUCGUUUGACUCAGAAGAAGAUGCCUUCAAGUUUUGACAAUUCUUAUGCUACAGCUACGGGCAUUAGUGUGUGAAAGGAGGUUCAUGUGCAGCAAAAAAGGUAAAACACGAGCAGAUGCACGGGACAUAUAGACUGAAAAGCUCCGGGCAGAAACUAAAAUAGGAUAUGGUUCAAUGGGUAUCAUCUUGAAUAUUAAAUCGAACAAGUAUGUGGUUUCAAAUUUUGUUGUGGAACAAAAUCACCGGCUACUCUCCCAGAAUGUCGGUACUUGAUGGUAUCACAGAGAAAUGUAAAUGAGGCGCAAGCAAUUGAAGCCAAAGUUGCAGAAGACGUAGGUAUAUCAAUACCAAGAUGUAUGACUUGAUGGUGAAACAAGCAGGAGGAGCACACAAACUGGGAUGCAUACGAGCGGAUAUAAAGAGGCGCCUGUGAACGAGGGAGAAGAGUCUAAAGUAUGCCUAUUGCCCUGUGUCAUUGCAACCGAUGCCAAUUUUCGUGGUGUUUGAUGUAUGUGUUAAGGAUGUCGGCAUGUCGCAUUGCAACUGAUUCUCAUUUGCAUGGCACUCAAGAUAUAUAUGCCUAUUAUGGCGUGUAAAUACCAGUGCCUCAAAUUUGUAACUGAUUCUGGAUAAUCGUUAUACCACAUUUGAGCAUAGUUACACCUUAAUUUGGACAUAUUAUACCAAAUUGAAAUGUGUGCAUUCAAAUUCGAUAUGAAAAUUCAAAACCAUUGGACUGAUGAUUCAUGUUGGCUGAAUUUCGAUGGUUACUAAAGAUUCAGUUUUGGUCCCAAAGAUUUGGGGGCAAGGAAACUUAUAGUUACAUAAGUUUGGAUGAGGCAAAAGUAGUCUCAAACGUUGAUAUUUCUAAAGACAUUAAGUCCUAUGGAUGUUGGCAAGUCAUAGUAUACUUUCUAGCAGCGACUCUCUCUCUACUAUGAGAGCCUCUCUCUCUACUAUGAGAGCUAACCUCCCUUGUAUGGGAGUCUUCAAAAUUUAACGGCAACCUAAACCUUAGAGAGCUUUUGAACUUUCAAAACCAAAAAGCAUAGACUCUACCUUCAUUGUUUCACUUACAAGGCUCAUCGCUUAGCAUCAAAAGAUUUGUUCUUUGAGCUACACAUUCUGUUCUGCGUGUGAAAGAAACCAUGAUCCUUUAAACUUAGGAAGGAAGGAGUUAUCCGUUUGUGUUUUAGGUUGUUAAGUUGCAUCUGAGUGUGGUAGCAUUAGAUCGGGGUGAACCAAUAUUCUAUAUGGUGUUCUGGGUAGUUUUUAGAGUUAGUUAUUUCAACUAAUUCAGUGUAGUUUUUUCUUUUCUGCAGGUUUAAUCGAUCUGUAAUUCUAAGACGAGAAAUAGUGCCAAGGUAACUCAAGCAGUUUCUGGAAUUCUGGAAGGAUGGAAGAAGCACUAGAGCGUGCGUUUAGGAAGUUUGAUCUAUCUGAAACAGAGCUGGGAGGAAUAGAUCUCAGUAGUGAAGAUAUCAAGAAGGGAGUUCAGGAUUGUAGCGGAAGCCUAGUAGGUAAGUUAAUAGGAGAAAAGGUGGCAAAUUUCACAGGAGUGAAAAACUUUACCAACCAUGCCUGGGGUUACCCAAGAAACAUGAUUGUGACGGAGUUAGGACCAAAUAUAUUUCAGUUUCAACUGGAAAGAGAAGAGGACCGAGGAAAAAUCUUGCAAGGAGGCUCGUAGAUAAUGGAUAACUAGAUCCUUGUAGUAAAGGAAUGGAGAGCUGGGUGCGAACGGAACUCCAACCAUUUUAGGUUUACUCACCUGUGGAUACAAAUCUAGAAUCUUCCUGUCCACUGGAUGUGUAGAGCAGUGGGGUUCAAGUUGGGGAAAUUAUUUAGCUUUGUGAGGGAAGUGAUAGUCCCACCGGGAGGGGGGAAAGAAGGGAGACAUAUGAAGAUUUUUGCAGAAGUAGAUGUUCUCCGACCUCUACUGAGAGGAACUUCUGUGAAAAUGGAUGGAGCAAAUACAUGGGUUGAGUUUAGAUAUGAGAGGUGCUUGAAUUUCUGUUAUAACUGCGGGUUUAUAGGGCAUGGGGAUAAAUCCUGUACUGGGGAAAGGAGUGAGAGACAAAAUACCAAGGAAGGACAGUUUGGUGCAUGGAUACGCGCGGGGAACAUAAUGGUAUCACCACUGAGAGCCUGGAAAGGGUCUAGUAAAGAGGAUAAUCAGUGCCUAGUGGCGAUAACUAAAGGGAACAGCGUGACCGAGGCAGUAGCUGAGCAACAACACAGUCAAGGGUUUGAGAAUAGGGAUGGACAGAGAUGUAAAGGAAGCGACAAGGAGAAUAAAGAUAAGGACCAGAGGAAAAAUGAGAUUGAAAGGAAGUGGAGAGAAAUCCUAAGAGAAAACAAUGAUCAGAAGAAGGAGGUGGAAAAGGGGGAAAAAAUUGAUAGAAAAUGUGAGGAGGAAAAUUGCAGAGUGGAGGGGGGAAAAAUAGAGAAUAGGAAGGUAAUUGUGGAAUAGGGAAAUGGAAAUAGCAGAGUAGAGGACCAACAAACAGAAGACAUUGUGACAGCCCCACCUUCCCCUAAGGCGAACCAAAGAGUUUGGCGGACCGCCUGCUCAACUCUCGCCAGGACUCGAUCGCUCUCAUCAAGUGAAAUAAGAUAUAACCUCGAGACUAAGCAAAAAACAAUUCCCAAACUUGAAACAUAUACUUACAUUCAUAUCCAUCUCAAACAAAAAUACACUCCCAAUUAGAACGAAAGCUUUAAGUUCGUACUACAUCCAACCUUAUUCAAGCACUAGCAUGAGAACAAUAAAAAAAUAAAAUUUCAAAAAAACUAGAUCAAGCUAGCCUGCACAAGACUCACGCCCUCGCUCGCAUCCCCUGUAAAGAAAACAAAGCUAACGAAAUGAGCUAAAAGCCCAGUGAGGUUCCAUACACAUAGCCAAGUAAUUAAAUAAGGACAUUAAUCAUGUAAUAACAAGUAAUCCAGAAAACAUUUACAAUAUAAAGUAAUGAUAAUACAUUCAUUAAAAGGAUACAUGCUCACAUGGAGCCCUUCGUUCAUUCAUUCCACCAACAAUUUCCUUAUUCCUCCAGCAUUAAAAAUAAUUUCAUUUGUAAGUGAAAACCCCUCCAUUGUUCUUGCCAUUCAUUCAUUCAUUUCAUUUUCCCCAUACUAGACACUGGCCAGUCUCCACCAGACUUCGUGGUCAUACUCGAGUAUACCAAAUAUUAACCCAGGGUCACCAAUCGCCCGACCGAGUCCGCUUUUGGCUCGAGUCCGCUUUUGGCUCGAGUCGAUCGGCAAUGAAGGGCAAGGGCCCAGUUCAGCCAAAGGCUUACAUUCAUGUACAAGUAGUAUUUAAACAUUUAAUCAUUUAAUCAUUGUAAAUUUCACAUUCAUUUAGGUCGAGUGCGAUAAAGUACACACUCGCCUAGCAAAAUUCAUUUCUAAGAAAUCAUUGAAAACAUUUAACAUUUAAUCCAACAUUCACAAAUAGUCACAUAAUCACAACAAUUCACAUAGUCAUUGAAAACAUAACGUACAAAGAACACUCACCUAUUUAAGUAAAAUAACGUCCGAAGUUUCCUUCCGGAUAAUGCCCUCAAUCACCAAGGAACCCUAAUAAUAACCAAGAGAAAAUAUUACAGUUAAACCAUCCAAAGUUUAGGUAAACCAAAGAAAAUCUGAAUAACUACUAGUACAAAGUAUAAGUAUAGUUUUGGAAGUGAAAAAAGUACAUUAAACCAAAGGACAUGAGUAAAAUAUUUGUAAAACUUAUGCUCGCUCGUAAAACUUUGAAAUCUCCAUUUGAGUCGAAGAAACGAAGAAAAUGUAUUUCUAUUAGUCGUAAAUUUCAUUUUUCCAAGGGUACAAGUUACGGACAGAUUCUAACUUAUAUACCUCUAAUAAAGAAGACUUGAAUACCUUAGAUGAUUCAAGUUAGUUUCAUCCUCAACCUUUACUCAAGUCGCGAGUACAUCUACCUAGCCCUCGAGUGCAAAUUUGGGCAGCAUGCUCUUUGUAUUUAUCUAUUUUCCAGCCAUUUAUGGCUUAAUUAUUUUCCUCAAUCAGCCCCCAAAAUCACCCACAAAUAAUCUCAUUACAAUAUCCGUUCAAUAGGCUAAAAGUCAUUCCAUUACAGAACCAAGCUAGAAAAGUGACCGGAAAUAAGGUUUAAGGUAAAGAACAAAAUGAUAGGUUUGACGUCUCUUAGCGUAUCGGUCACAACCAAAGCUAUACUGAUAGGAUUGGAGUACAGUUUAUACCGUUUCAAAAUAAGACAAAAGACUACAAUUUUCAUGAAGACAACUCAGCUCGGUUCACAGUUUAUCCAGGUCUAAUUUACAGAUUACAGAACCAGAAUUUCACUGUCAAGUUGGAUAAGAGCACUGGGUUCAAAUGAUAAUAACUCAGGCUACACAAGUCCGAUUGAGGCGUUUUCAGAUGCCUUGGAAAGCUAAAACAUAAGACUACAACUUUUAUGUUUUGGCCAACUGCUGAUUUAAUACGGAUCAAGGUGAAAAAAUGAAGCCAGAAUGAUGAAAUGUCAAAACUGUCCGCAAAACUCUACCUAUGGCAGUCAAGGGUAUUUUUGUCAUUUCAGGUGAUACAGUACUCGGAUUGAGUUGAAAUUUUACAGGCAACUAUAAAAUACCAUUUUCUACAACUUUCAUGUUUCGACCUAAGCCUAAUUCGGCCUGUAACAUAGACGAACUAAGCAGGUCAGAACAGGGCAGAUUCAUCACUAUCCAUGCUGGAACUUUCUCUACUAAAGCUGGAAUUCUAGAACUAAAGCUGGAAAUUUCAACCAAAGCUAGAAAACCAUAUACCAAACCUUAAAAGUUCACAUCAAAGUUAAACCAUCUCAUAUCAAAACUAUCAAGUUCAUCUCAUGGUUGGAAAAUGCAUAUCAAGGCUUGAAAUUGAACAUUAAAGCUGGAAACUACAUGCUACCCUAGCCAAAACCAUAAAAUCUUUCAUAACCAUGCUUCUUUUAGCCUUAAUCAUACCUUAUCUUGAAUGAAUCUCAAGAGUCAAGUAAAAAGAUAUGUUUUCUAGAAAUUUUACCUCAAAACCCCAAGAUAACAAGCAACUCAAGAGCUUUCUUUCCCAAGUACUCUACCAAAAAUUUCUUCCUCCAAAAACUCUCCACCAAAGCUCCUCCUCCUACUUUAAAAUCAAUUUUUUGUGGAUUGUUUUGGAAGGUUGGAAUAAAACUCAAAUAUCAAGCAAGGUUUUUGGGUUGUAAAUGGAGUUUGCUCUCUCCUUUCUCUUGAGAGGAGGUUCGGCCAAGAGAAACAAACAAUGAGGGGAGUUUUAGUCCAAAAUUCUAAGAUAAAGACUAAAGAAGUCUUGGUCAAAAGUGAGGUAGUUAAUUUGACACUUGUGAAGGCAAGAAAUAAUGUCCAAAAUUAGACCAAAAUAUCUCUCUUUUUCUCCUUGCAACAUUCGGCCAAGACAAGCAAUAAAUGGAGGAAAAAUGGUGAUGGAAUGAUAUCUUAGUCUUGAUCAAUUCUUAGUCAAACUUUGUGGCUUGUCAUUGUCAACAAGAGAAAAAUAAUAGCUUAGUCUUAAUCAAGUCUUAGUCUAUCCCUUUUGUUUGGUCAAUAAUUUCAUCCACACUAGGAUAAUUAUUAGGGAAGGAUAAAUGAAAGAAAAAUAAGAAAAUUAGAGAAGAAAGUAUUAGUCAAGCGAUGCCUUUGACCUGUACAAACGGCGCGAGUCGGUUCAAGCUGUUUUUCCUUAACUUGCCCGUACUAGUAUUUUCACUUAUGAUUCACUCACUUAUUAUUAACACUUCUAAUCACACAUUUUUUUUAAUCUAAAACUCACUCUUAACUACCAAAUUUAGUACACACUCCGUACCGAGUAAUCAUACCACGAAAAGAUGUAAAAACCCUAAUUUACGCUAACAAGAAAACAAACAGAAAAACCCUUGAUUCUAUGUUUGUUUGCACUUAUUGUGGGGUGAAUGAGUAGUAAGGCUUUUAAAAAGUAAUAAAUGCCAAAUAAAAGGGCAUUUUAAGAAAAAUAUAAGGGAUUUUAUAAUUCCAUAGAUUAACAUUAGGGUUUCGACUAAAAUAUGAGAGAUUUAAGAAAACCUGUUAGUCACAAGUAAAACUAGGGUUUUGAGUACAAGUAGGGUUUCUAAUCUUUAAAACAAAACAAUGUCUUAAAACAAAAAUAAAAUAGAGAAACCACAAUAUCCUAAAAGUUGGGGUAUUACAGACAUGGCCAUAGAAGAAAUUUUAGACAAAGAACUGCCAAACAGGACUGAUAAAGGAAUUAUAGCACUUCAAGGGAGUGAAAUAGUGGCUAAUAAAUCUCAGACAUUAGCAUGUAGCAGCAUGUAAAGGGACAAGAAGCAAUGCAGAAAAAUCCUAAGAACCAGGCGAACCCUAUUAAGAGAUAUUACAGACAGAGAAAAUGCUGGGGGGCAAGGAGAGAAGAGAAAACUACUGGAAUCCCAGCAAGACCUAAACCUAAUGGAAGAGGAUACAACAGAAGCUCCUAGGCAAAAGGUAAUGAAAUUGGACAAUUCUGCUGGUUAUCACAUAGCGGAAUUAGAGGCUAGCCCCGAAAUGCCUCCACCUUUUCAAUGAAGGUUGUGGUGUGGAAUUGUCGAGGUGUGGGAGGCCCCUUGACAAUUCCCCAGCUGAAGGAGGUUUUAAACCUCCACUCUCCUAGCAUAGUUUUUUGAGUGAAACAAAAAACCUGAAAAAGUUUAUGAAACAGGUACAAAAAAGAAUUAGAUUUGAGAACAGCUUUGUGAUGAGCUCAAAGGGGAGAGCAAGGGGACUAACCCUAUUCUGGAAGGAUGAGCGUGUUUGCAGGAAGUGAAUGGUACUGACUGGUAUAUAGAAGCGAGCAUGCAUGUUAGAUCAGAUGAAUAAUAGCCACUGGUGGCUGAUAGGAAUCUAUGCAAGUACAGAGGAAAGUGUUAGAAAACAACAGUGGAAGGUUAUUGAGGAAAAAAAGAGGGACUGGUGGGAGACCUGGGUGCUAGUGGGGGAUUUUAAUGAUAUAUGUUCCAAUGAGGAAAAAUAGGGAGGGAGAGAGAGGCUAGAGGGAAGUUUUAGGCACUUCAAUAACUUCAUUAAAGGGAAUGAGCUUGUGGAUAUAGGGUUUAUGGGGGUACCAUGGACAUGGAGCAAUACUUGGGAGAGGGAGGGAGAAAUAAGGGAGAGAUUGGACAGAUGUUUGGGAAGUGUAAGCUGGGUGCAGAAAUUUGAAAAAGCAACUUAUGAACACGUUGAAAAGCAAACAUCUGAUCACUGCCUUCUGAUACUGGACACAAAUCCACAAAAAAUAAGAGUGAAGAGAAGGUUCUACUUCGAUCAGAGAUGGGCCAAGGAUAAAGAAUCAGAUACAAUAAUAAAAAAAGCAUGGGGAUUAGAACAACAUGGUUCAUGGAUGUAUAGAGUUGUCAGAAGCAUAAAGGAGUGCAGAUUAGCCCUGAUUGAAUGGAACAAAAGAGUGAGAAGUAAUGCAAAAGUAAAGAUCCAAGAGAUAAAGGAGAAAUCGAAAGUAGCAAGAGAGGGAGGUGAUCCAUGCAACAGAGGAGACAUUGCAUGCUUGAAAAGGCAGCUAAGUAAAGCUUACAAGGAUGAGGAGCGGUUUUGGAGUCAGAAGUCAAGAAGCAGAUGGCUUAAAGAAGGGGACAAGAAUAUAGCAUUUUUCCACAUAAGUGUAAUGACCAAAAGGAAAAGGAACAGGAUUAGUCUGCUACAAAAGUUGAAUGGGGACUGGUGCAGAAGUGACUAGGAAAUUGAAGAAGAAUUGUGCAAGCACUAUAGGGAACUCUUCACUUCUACAAAUCCUAAGGAAUUUGAUGAGGUUCUACAGGGAAUACCUCGUACUAUUUCCAAUCUAAUGAAUGAAUAGUUGAUUAAACAUGUGGAUGAGGCUGAAAUUCAGUAAGCUCUUUUCUCUACGUUCCCUAACAAAGCCCCAAGAGUAGAUGGUAUGUCCCCAUUGUUCUUUCAAAACUACUAGAACAUUAUUAAGGAUGAUGUUGUCAAUGCCAUUAGUAGUUUCUUUCAUACUGGGAAUUUGCUUAGAACUGUUAAUGAGACCAUCAUAUCUUUGAUUCCAAAAGUUGACAAUCUAGUGCUCUUGACUAAUUUCAGACCCAUUAGCUUGUGCACGGUGUUGUAUAAAACCAUUUCAAAAGUACUGGCUAAUAGAUUGAAAAAAGUUCUAAAGCACUGCAUUAGCCCCUCUCAAUCUGCUUUUGUCCCGGGGAGACAAAUUUUGGAUAAUGUUAUUAUUGCUCAUAAAUUUUGCAUUUUCUGAAAAAUAAGAGGACAGGCAAAGUAGGCUUCAUGACACUAAAGCUAGACAUGUCUAAGGCAUAUGAUAGGGUGGAAUGGAAUUUCUUAGGGAGACUAAUGAUGCACAUGGGAUUUUGCCCUACUUUUGUUAAAUGGAUCAUGGCUUGUAUUUCCACGGUUUCAUAUUCGUUUAAUCUGAAUGGAUAAAAGAUGGGAUAUAUAAGGCCUGCUAGAGGAAUACGGCAAGGAAAUCCUUUAUCUUCUUAUCUGUUUAUCAUCUGUACGGAAGGGCUAUCUAACUUAAUCAAGAAAACUGUGGACGGAAAUGAAGUAAUUGGCACAAAAGUCUGUAAAGAUAGCCCUAUGGUUUCUCACUUGUUCUUUGUAGAUGAUUCACUACUAUGCUGCAAAGCAAGUAAGCAGGAAGCAAUGAAGGUGAAGGAGAUCCUCCAGUAGUAUGGACAAGCAUCAGGACAAGUAGUCAAUUUUGACAAAUCUGCAAUGUUUUUCAGCAGGAACAUUGCAAACCAGACAAGAGUGGAGAUCAGUGAUGCAUUGGAUAGCAUGAGGGAGGCACACAAUGGAAAAUAUCUAGGCUUACCAAUGACUAUAGGGAGGUCAAAGAAUCAGAUGUUUGGAUAUCUGAAAAGCAAAAUAAACAGUAAGAUGCAAGGGUGGAAACAGAAGACACUCAGUUAGAGGUAUUGAUCAAAUCAGUACUCAUGGCAAUGCCAACGUAUAUUAUGUCAUGCUUUAAAUUACCCAAAGGACUGUGUAAGAAGAUAAGUGCUAGAAUUGCCAGAUUCUGGUAGGGGGGUGGGGACAAGGAAAUCAAGAUUCACUGGGUUAAAUAGAGUAAGCUAUCAGAAGUUAAAGAGAAAGGGGGAUUGGGUUUUAGAGAUCUGGAAGCUUUUAAUUUAGCUCUGCUUGCAAAACAAAUGUGGAGAAUGAUUACAACUCCAAAUUUGUUAGUAAGCAGGGUACUGAAAGCUAAAUAUAUGAAAGGGGAAGAGUGGCUAGAGAAGGAACCUCCCAAUUCUGCCUCUUGGUGUUGGAAAAGUAUCCACAAGGGAGAUGAGCUAUUACAGAAGGGACUAUGGAAAAGAGUGGGAGAUGGGAGGACAGUGAAGAUUUGGUAGGAUAGAUGGAUCCCUGGCACAGAAAAUGGAAGAGUAACAACAACAAUGCCUGAGGAAUGCCAAUUGAGUUUUGUUAAUGAAUUGAUAGAGGGAAGGAAAUGGAAGGCAGCUUGUUUGGAAAAAUGGUUCAGUGCAUAGGAUAUGGAGCACAUAACUAGCAUUCCCCUCAGUUUAUAUAGAAGAAAGGACAGACUUUACUGGAAACAUAACAAAUCUGGUAUGUAUACAGUGAAGUCAGGAUAUGCUGUAGCAAAAUUAGAAGGUGUACCUCAGAGUCGAAGGUAGGAACCUGGCUCAGAAACUAGCUGGGAAAUCAGAAAACACACUGUGUGGAAAACACUAUGGAGCCUUAACCUGAAGAUGAAGCUGAAACAUUUCUUAUGGAGAUGCCUGCACAAUAGCUUUCCAGUUAAUGAAGCCAUCUAUAAGAGAAUAGGGAAAGGAAUUAGCCUGUGCAGCUGCUGUGGUGAGGAAACUGAGACCAUUGAGCACAUCUUUUUCUUCUGUCUAAAGGCCCAAAUGGUGUGGAAGAUAGCUCCUGUUAGGUAGGAAGGGAUAACUGAGCUACAAAGUAACAUAUGGAGAUGGUGGGAUGCAGUGAUGCAAUCAGCUGACUAGGAGCAAGGACUGGAUAGGAUAAAGCUUACGGUCAAUAUCUUAUGGCAAAUCUGGAAGGCUAGAAACAGGAUGACAUUUCAUAGUGAGAACUUGAAUGCAAAACUGAUUGUGGAUAAAGCACAGCAGGAAUGGAUUGAGUAUGAAACUGAAACUGAAACAGGUGCAAGGACAAAUGCCUUCUCAGAUUUGGACAGAUAGAUGCAAUGUGGUUGGGAACCACCUAAAGAAGCUGUGAUCAAAAUAAACAUUGAUGCAGCAUUAUUAGCUAGAAUGGUAAGAACAGGACUGGGGAUAAUAGCUAGGAACUGGUGCAGAAUGAUAGUGGAAGCAAAAGGAAUCACUGAAUGCAAGAGAAGAGAAGCAGGCAAAGAGGAAGCACUAGCUAUAAGAAGUGCACUUGAAAUGGCAAAAGAUGCAGGAUGGACAAAUAUAGAAGUCCAAACAGACUGCAAAAGUGUUGUAGACCAAAUUAACACAAGCAAUGUUCAGGACAGUAGCAUAGAAACAGUCCUGGAGGACAUUGAUGACUUGAGAUAGGAUUUCGACUGUUGCAAAUUUUCUUUUAUUCCCAGGGAUGGAAAUGGCUGUAGCCAAUCUCUGGCUCAAUUUACUGUCUAGUUGAUUAGAAAUGUUGAAUGGGAAAACUCCUUCCUAAUAUGGCUAAUAGAUUUAGUUAGAAAAGAUAUGGGAGUAGUCACCCCUUUUUGUGAUUAGCUCUUGUAUUAUCAAGUGUUGAUAUCUAUAAAAUGUUGACGUUUGUUGGGAAAAAAAAAUAAGUCCCAUGGAUUGAUGUUUGUCAAUUGCUACCAAAAUCUAGUAACAUGCACUUAAUCUCGUCAAGGAAUAUGCAUCUCCUCCGCUAUGCUAAUCAACUUACACUUUGUUGGUCUAACAUUCUAAUAUUAAGGUGUAUCUAUGAAGACUAGAGGUAUAACUAGGGGUGCAUUCGGGUUGAGUCGAGUUCGAGUAGUGUGCUACUCGAGCCCCAAAUUGAAUUAAAGUAACCAAGCUUGUCAAAUUUUUAUUAUUUGAGCUCUAGUUUAAGCUCAACUUCAAUCACCUUACUCAAGUUUGAGCUUGAAUUUGAUUCUAAUCAAGCUUAAUUUAGUUUAAUCGAGUUCAAUCAAACUCACGUAAUAAAAAUUAAUAUUUUAUAUAUGAUUUUAAGUAAAGGAUAUAGUUGACAUUUUGCACUAAUAAAUAUAAAAACUAAUGUGUAUCUCUCUCUCUCAAGCUGAACUCGCACAUAUUAUUGAGAAGCUUGAGUUUGACUCCAGUUUGGUCACUAUCGAGCUCAAGUCAAAUAGUUGAUUAAGCUAUUCACAAGCUCUAAUUAAGUAGUUUGGUCAACUUGCAGCCCUAGGUAUAACUUUAGAAAAAGAUAUACUACAUUAUCAUUUAGAAUGAUAGGUAGUGUUCAUCAUAUGUUUGUAACACCCUAAAAUGAGAUGGUCUACAUCUUGCAUAAAAGUAAUCAAUAUACCUUAAAAUGAUAGGAUAAUUUUAUGUUGACGGGAUGAUUCUAAUUAGUGUCGGUCAUAGGCAUUUAAUCAUGUUGAUGAGUAAUUAUCUCUUAAUCUAUGCCAGUGAACUUACACUUUGUCAGCGUGACUUUAUGGAUUGAAGUGUAACUGUGACGCCCCCACUUCUCCCAAGGGCGAACCCAAGGGUAUCUGCGGGACGCCUGCUCAACUCUCGCCAGGACUCGGUACAAAUUCAAUUCAAACUUAAGAAUAAUCAAUCAGUACUAAAAGUCAAAAAUAUAAAGGAAGGUCAAUUCCUCAAUAAAUAUUCAAGUCUUAUAUCAUAAUCUACCCAAUUACUUUACAUUCCCAAAAUAUACAGCUUCCAAAAUUAAAUUCUAAACAAAUACAUUCACAAUUCUAAUCAAGUGAAGCAUCAAGUAAGCUUCUCCAGAAUUCCUCCCAUUUCAGCUCCUGUUAAGGAAAAACAAAUCUAACGGAGUGAGCGGACACUCGUGAGGCCAAGAAAACAUGCAAAGCAAGUUAUUCAAUAGUAAUAGCACUUACACAAUAGUGACAACUAUAACAUUCAAGGAAUUUCACAAUUUAUAAUAAACACCCUUGAGUAUGAUGCAGAAACUCUCCGGAGCUAAUGAUUUCUUAUUUUGUCCAAGUUCAAUUUUAAAUACCUUUUCGGGACGACACCCCGUCCCCCGGGUAGGUAAUUGAGUUCGUAGCCUUUCACGUAUUCCAUGUAUGUUUCUGAGACUAUGAGAGGUACCUCCCACCCAAAUUGGUGUGAUACUUACUAUCGUUCAGUUUAUAGUUCUGGGACGAUUCAAGAGGUACCUCCCAUCCGGAUCGGUAUGGUACUUACUAUCGUUCAGUUUAUAGUUCUGGGACGAUUCGAGAGGUACCUCCCACCCGGAUCGGUGUGGUACUUACUAUCGUCCAGAGGUCGAUGAGACACCGCUCCAAUCGACUUAGAAUGCUUAAUGGUUCUGAGACGAUUCGAGAGGUACCUCCCACCCGAAUCGGUGUGGUACUAGCUAUCGUUCAGAGGUUUAGGGUACUGAGACGACUCGAGAGGUACCUCCCACCAAAUUGGUGUGGUACUUACAAUCGUUCAGUGGUCGAUGAGCAACGUUCAAAUCGACGAUUCCAAAUAAAAAUCACAAAUACGAAUCACACGUACGAAUCACAAAUACGAAUGACAUGUACGAAUCACAAAUACGAAUCACAUCCACAUUACUAUGUACAAGUCGAAUAUGAAUUCACAUAGCACAAUAUGAAUAUAAUUUCGUUUGAAAUAGAACGAGUGGGGUAACGUACACACUCAUCUCAAAAUUUCCAAUUCACAUAACGGAUAAGAAACAGUUAACCACUUAGCAACAAAUUCAUGCACUUGACACUCACCAAGUAAACAAAGAAGAAAUGCCCACUUGAGGGUUCAGGCGUCCACCGUAAGAUCCUCUCGAAGGUUCUCUUGAGUGCCUGAGCAAUUAAUAAUUAAACUAUUACGCACUAUCGCUUAAAACCCCUAAUUAUCAAGAAAGAUUGUACACUUGUACAAUCUAAGAAAAUCUCGCAAGUACGAGCUUUAAUUACUCGUAAAUCGAGCCUCAAAAGUGGGGUUUUAAAACACAAACGAAAUCUGAUUUUCAUCUUUGAAAUCAAGUGUAAAAUGAUCAAGUAAUAUCGAAGGAAAAAGAUGAGUUCUAAAAACUCAAUUUCCUUUAAGUUAGGAAUUUUCAGGUUUAUUACACGUACUUUGAAAAAUCGUAUCUCACUCUCUACAAGUCCAAAAUUGGAAAACUUGGUACCGUUGAAAACUACUUCCAAAGUACUAAAAGUUCCUAGAAUACACUUUCCCAUGAUUCCUAACGGAAGGCAUUCAAAAAUUGGCUCAAAGUUACUGUUUUAGGCUUGCGAGACAGUUUUGAGGUUGGUUUUUCGCCAAUUUUUGAAAUUCGGCAAAAUUCACGGAAUUUAAACUAGUCUCUCAGGUUUGAAACUCAAUUAGAGUUGCAAUCAAAGUUUAAAACAAAACAAGCAGAACAAGAAUCGGAGUUUUGAGCACCAAGAUAUAGCAGCUCAAAGUUGGUCAAAAUCGAGAUUGUUAGGCAAUUUUCCAGAUUUGGAAGUAAAAUUUUGGUGACUUGUUUGUACGUCAAAACAGUCUUAGAAUGACACCAAAAUUGAUACAUUUCAACUUGCACAUGAGGAUUACUCCGCUACGAAAUUUCACUUAAAAAUUCACAAGGGAAGGUAGUUAACUAAACUACCAAAGUUCAAGGGAAUCCGAAGACAAAUCUGUCUUCAAGCUUCCGUUUUCCGUUUUUAAACAUUUGGCCAAUGAAAUCAUCUCAAAUCUGGUUCAUUUAUGUAGACAUUAUCUAAGAAACAUCCAAGAUACGUUUGGUAGGUGGUUAUCGCCAAGAAUUUCGAAUAAUAAGUCCCAAGUCAAGAUUUGCUAUAAACCAGUCCAAGGUAAGGGUUUUCAAAUCAUUGAGUCAGUUUCGGAUUUCCGCCACAACUCACUCAAUUCAACUUGGAAUCGUGGCGUUGAAAAAUAGAUUCAUAAAUCUACAAUUUCUCAGAAGAAAUCAUUUUCAAAAUCUGUCCACAGCUAGCUCAUAUUUGAGCAUCCAUUCGCUGCUCAAAACAGAGCUCCCAGUGUAGACGUGAAACAGAACAGUCAUGUUCAAAUGAUUGGUAUGGACUAUUCAGGUAGAAUCAGAACAUGAAUUUUAUACCGUUGGAAAUAUGGGAAUGUCUAGUUUCCAGUGCCACAAACAGCACUCGAUUUCGACAUCGGAGUAAAAAGUUAUAGCCGUUUGAAAAACACUGCCAGAGCAGUUACGGGAAAAAUUUCCAGUUUUGCUGAUUUCCGAAAACAUCACAUUUGGCCAACCAAAUCACGAAAUUUUUUGAUGAAACUUCAUACACAACUUAUAUUACACAUAUCCAUCAGAAAAAAGUCAUUAGAACCACCUAAAAUUGCACUAAAGGUCACGGAAGGAGCAAGGGCAGAAUGGUCCCUUUUUGCUCAACUCACUCCCUUGAGUUUUCCUUCAACAACACAACAUUUAUCCACUAGAUUAAGCACUAAACCAACAUUAAUAACAUCAAAACUCAUCAAAUCAGUCCACCAACCAUAGUGGGAGUUCAUAGAGCCCACACAUCAAGAUCUACAACAAUCCAAAGCUACCCACUUGAAGCUACAAGCUUCUAGGUGCAAUAUAACUUACAAAAACUAAGAUUCAAGGGCUUGAUCGUUGAUUACCUCCUUAGAUGAUCUUAAUCAGAAAUUUCGGCCCUUAGAGCUCCAAGAAAACCGUGGAUAAGCUGCUCCUCUCCUAGUCCAAGGUAGUCUCCAAGUUAUUUGCAAGUUGGAUGCAAAAUUUGAGAUGAAAUGGAGGAAGAUUGGUGCAAAAUUUGGAGUGAAAAUGGUGAAGCUUUUCUUCCUUCUUCCUUGCUGUUUUGGACGUCCAGAAUGAGAGAGAAUAGAGAGAGUGUUGUGAUGAAUAAAUCUUCUUGAGGAAGCUUGGUGGUUGGUGCCCUUUUUGGCACAAAAGUCAACUCUCACUUGUGCGUAUACGCGCGUUUCGCGCUCGAUUCCUCUCGAGUUUGUUUCACUUGUGCACUAAACCUCCAAUACACUUGUAUUCAUAUAAUUAUUGUUCACUCUUAAUGGUCUAAAAAUAAUGGUCUUAAAUCCCUCAAUUAAUCGCGCACGCGAAAACGCGUAUUUUCGAUUUUGCGCGAUAUAAUGAAACUUUUAAGAAAUUCUUAUAACGAUAAUAUAACUAACUAACAUUUAAACAUUUAAACAUAAAAAUACCUAUUUUAGGGCUAAUAUACAUGUCUCCAAUUUUCCAACUUCAUUGUACUCUUAAAUCGGUUAUUGUUCCCAAACGUGCAUUCACUAUUUUCACUUAUCGAACUUCGAAAAAUUAAUUUUUGAAACGAGCCACUCUAAAAAUAUAAGUAAGUCAUAGAUCAAUGUAAUUAGGUCUCAAGAGGCUAGAAAAUAAUAUUCGGAGUGAACGGGCAAUUAAAUAUUUAAAUAAGCUCGAAAUAAGAAUUUAAAAUAAGAAAAUUUGCGAGUCCUCACAGUAACUAUGAAAACUAAAGAUGUGACUUUAUAAAAGUGAUAGGGUAUUUUACUAUACUACAAAUUUUAAAACCUUAUUACCCUAUUUUUGGAAGUGCAAAUUUGUUUAUUAAAUAUAGGGAUAAUAGGUAUCGAUCUCACAGGGACUUAAAAAUUGGCAAUCACUUGAGUUUAAUCACUUACUUUAUUAUCUAGACAAUCAAAGUUUAAAGUGGUAAAAACAAAAAAAGUUAAUUAUGUGGUAAAACCGGCCAUGAAAGAUGUCAGUUUAGACAAUAUAACCGGCCAUAUAAAUUAAAAGUUAGUUAGGUGAUACAACCGGCCAUAGGAUAUGAGCAACAGAUGUAAAACCAGCCAUAAGAUGUUAAAACCAACCAUCUAGGUGGUAUGUUGUAAGAAAGUAAAUAAAAGUAAAAACUAGUUAGAUUAGAAUUGUUUAAAGUUAAGUGAGUGGAUCCUAGGGGAUUAGAAUCCCUUGUUAUGUCAAGAUUAGAAGUUAGUUAAGGUGAUUAUGCUUAUACUUCCAUGAAUUAUCAAGGAAUAACAUCCAAAUAUGUGUCCUUGCUUUCACCAAUGGACAUUUAAGAGAAAUUUCCUUGGCUAAUUUCUCUAGAAAUUGCUUUCGCCAAUUUCUUUAUUUCCUUGAAUCAUUCUUCACGUAUGUUCAUAGAGAAAAGGUAAGAAACAAGUUAAAUAAGUUCGAUGAAGUUAUUGAAUAAAUCCAACCAACCAUUAUCCACUACUUUUGUGAGAAUAAGGUUAAUGUUUAAGAACAUAGAUAUAUUUGAAAGCAACUUUCAUAGCUCAACAAUUAUCAAAUCAUUCAUAAUUGAUAGACAAUCAACUAUAAAGCAUAAGCACAAGUUCUCAAUCUAACAAAUCAUGAAAAAGCAUAAUCAUGUCUUAACUCCUUUAAAUCAAAACUAUAACAAAUUCAUCUUUACCCUAGGAUAUGAAAAGAAAGCUUAGUUAGAUAUCAUAUUCAAAACAUCUAAGUAUGAAACAAACUUGUAACAAAGCAUGGCAGAUAAGAACAGUUUAGGAAGAAGAAUUCUUAUUCAAUGUCUUGAAGUUUGAAUCCUUGAAUUCUUUCACAAGUUGAUCUUUUAAAUAAGUUUGAUAUAAGAGUGUUUUCACCUUCCUCUAGAAAGCUCUUAAACUAAUUUUGAAACUUACAAUAUGAAAGUAUUGUUAAAACUACUCCUAUCUCUACUUCUACUCUAUACUACAAGUUUUCAAGAUACUACAAGAACUACGUGAUCCUCAAAUGAAUGAGAUACAAAGGGUUUUAUUGAUAUUUUUGGACGAGAAGAUGUUCUCAUAAUGUAGUCACAAAGUUGUUUUUCACUUCUCCAAUUCAAUUUUUAGUUGGUUCCAGCUGGAUUUCUUGCAGACAAAUUGGUCAAAAGUUUAGUGUGAAUAGAAUGCAAGUUGCAGAAGUGAUUCAGGGAUCUUCUAGAUGAAAAUUUUCCCUUUUUUCUUGUUUCUCUCUCUCUCUCUCUCUCUCUCUCUCUCUCUAAUGCCUAGUUGACUUUCCUCACUUUUCUCCCUUCCCUAAAGACUGUCUCUUGGCCUUUGAAAUGAAACAAAACUGAUUAAAACCCUAAGAAGGAAGGCUGAGAUGAACCCAAGUUUUUGUGGGUUUUCUUGGUUCCUUUGAUUGAUUUUUGACUGCUGUUCUUGCUGGAUUUUGAAUAGAAUUUUACGUGAUAAGUUGUCCCUAUACGAACUAAUCUUGGGGGGUAAGAAAUAAGAAGCAAAAACAGAUCUAAAUUGCUUCAAAAUCUAGUUAUUUCCUUGUACUAUGGCUUGCUGAAAAACUGAAGUAGAAGGUCGUGUGCGUGCAGCGUGAAGCUGCAAAUAUUUUUUUUUUGAAAAAUGAAGAAAUGAGCUGAUGGGUCUUUUUCUUUUCUUUCUUUUCUAGACUUUUGUUGGGUUUUGCCUUGGGUUUUUGUUUGGAAUUUUGGGGGAUUUUGGUUUGGGUUUUGGUUGGAUUUUUGGCUGGGUUUAAAACCAAAAAAUCCUCUACUAUUUUCAUUUUCUUUUCUCCUUUUUCCUAUAAAAUAAUCACCAAAAUAAAAAUGAUUACUUAAUCAAUAAUAUAAAAUAAAGAUACAAUAAAAAUCAACAAAAUUUUUGGAAAAAAUUUGGUGUCUACAACAAGAUAUAGUGAACCUCCCCAGAUCUUUAAGUUUUGAUGGAAGUUUCUUUUGAACGCAUGUUGAACAUUCCUUCAUUAAUGCUAUUGUCUCAUGAUCUUCAAUUUUCUCUUUCUUGAAAUAAUAUCCUUCAAAAUUUUGGCAUAAGAGGGAAUUUGUAAAAUAGUAUCAACAAAAGGAAUAUUAAUUCUAAUGUGCUUAAAUAUUUGAACAAAUUUCUCAAAUUUCUUCUCCUUAUUGCUUUUCUUCAACCUAUCGGGAAAAGGAACGGAAUUAAUAGCAUUCUUAUGAGAAAUAUGAGAAGAAGGCAUAUCAAAUUCAUUUGGAAUAUGAUCCUUUUUAUCUUCUUGUUCAUUAUUACCCGCAUUUUAAUCAUUUUUCAUUUUUAGUGAGGUCAUUAGCCUCUAAUUGUUUACUACUCCUAAGAGUGAUUGCAUUCAUAUGUUCUCUAAGAUUCACCUCAGUUUUAUUUGAAAAUUUACCUAAUUGCCUCAAAUUAAUGGAAUUAGCAAUAUUAUCUAACUGGCCUUGCAUAUCUCUAAUCAUGGUCAUUAUAUUAUUCAUGUUUAUUUUAACAUCAUCAAAUCUUUCUUUUAUUUCAUGAACAUGUUUUUCAAAAUUAGCCUCCAAAGUUGAAAAACGUGACUCAAGUAACCUUGUUGAAAAAUCGGGUGGAUUGAUAGAUUUUUGUAAAGUUAAUUGGUAUCUCCACCCUAAAUUGAGGUGAUUCUUCCAGCCAAGAUUGUAAACGUUUGAAAAAGGAUUAUUUUGAGGUGGUUGAUUAUAGUUGUUAACAUUAUGAACUCGCUCCAAAUGAAAACAAUUAGUAUUAUCAUGAUUACCACCACAUAUUGAACAAUAAGCAACACUUAUAUAAGAAUUUGACCCAUUUCCCUCUUGUUUACUUAGCAACCUCUCAACGUUAUCCAAUGGAAAAUUAAACAUAUUUUCUAAUGUAGCAUUUAAAAAGUUGAGUGUCAAUUUCAUACAUACCAGUCACUCUUCUUGAGCAUCCUCGAUUGAUUUUCCCAUUAAAGUUCCAUUGACGGCAGCAUGUUAAUUUUGGUUGGAUAAUUGAGUCCAUUAUAGAAAAUUUGAACUAAAACAAUAAGGUGCAUUAUUGUUAUCCUUUAGAAUGAUAGGUAGUCUUAAUUGCACCGAUGCUUACACAUUUAAAUGGUAUGGUCUUAUAACUGUAAUUAAAUAAUCAAUGCACAGGUGUAGCAAGCAGUGUAACUACAACUUAAUAAGAUGAAAAUUAUGUCAUCAUUAAUUAGAAUGAUAGGUAGUGUUCAUCAUACAUUUGUAGCGCACUUAAAAAUAAGAGGAUCAUAUAUCUAUCAUAAAACUAUGGAAUUUAGAAUUAAACGGGGCUAAAAUUUUUCAUUGACGGGAGGACAAUUUCAAUAGUGGUCAUAUUCAUUCUUGUCAAUGCAUGAAUAUCUCUUUCGCUGUGCUAAUCAACUUAUACUUCCUUAGUGUAUUUAUAUAGUACAAAGAUGUAACUAUGAAAAUAAAAAGUGUAACUUUAUAAACGAUAAAGAUACAUUAUCGUUAUCAUUAAUAAUGACUAAUGGUCUUGAUUGCACCUAUGCUAAUACAUAAUAUUCCUACACCCAUGAUUAAACAAUUAAGGGAAAAUAACCAUUUUCAUCCCUUACAUUUCACAAAAAUAAUCUUUUCAUCCCUCAUUUUUAAAACAAAGCGAAUUCAUCCUUGACGUUUAAACUAAAACUAUUACAUUCCUAAAAUCAACUUUCAAUUUGAAUCAAACAAGCCUGCAACCCAAUUACAAAUUUGGGGGUAGAGUUGGUAGAUCUCUUGGUCAAAUAAAAUUAAUAUUCACGUGAAAUUUAAUGAACCAAAAAAUAGAAAGUAAAAAAUUAUAACAUAGAAAAGAAGGAUUAAUCUUUCUUACAUUGUCAAUAUAUAUACUUAUGGGUUUAGAUACCUACCACAUCAUUUUAAUUUAAAUUUAAAUACCAAAAUUUGCAUAUAUAGCAUACAUCUAAACUCAUAACUGUUUACACUGAUAAUGCAUGAAAAGAUUUACCCAAAAAGAAAUCCUACUAUUCCAACACAAAUAACAGAUUUUUUAUGUUAUAUUUUUUGUUUUUCCCUUUUUUGUUCAUUAAAUAUCACAUGAAUAUGAUGAGUUGAUCGAAUAAUCUAUCAAUUCUAUCACCAAAAUUUGUAACCGGGUUAUUAGGUUGGUUUUUUUUUUUGGCUAACCCCGGCCACCGGGGGGGGGGACACCAUGUGAGAAUUUGAGAAAUUACACAUAUAUAUAUAUAUAUAUAUAUAUAUAUUUAUCUUCAUAUAUUACCAAAGACAUUGCAUAUACCGUAUAAUCGAUCAAUUUAUAUGUUUAAUUGACUUUGUAUAAUUCAAUGUAUGGAGAUACCCUAGAUUAAUGCAUGAAAAUCUUUAUAGGUGUAAACCAAUAAGAACAAGAUAAUAUUUUGAGAUAACACAUGCAAUUAAUAAAAGUAUAGCUCCUUGGCAAGUAAAUAAACUAAAACCAAAUGACCAUUUAACCCUAGAACUUAAUUAAAUUUACCAUGCAACCGACCAGCUCCUCUUAUAUCUUGGAUUAAAAAACCGAAAGAGAAGAUUAGAGACUCUGCUUCCUUUGGAGUCAAUAACCGAGGGAAAAGUGAGGACUUAGCUCAUCUUCUUGCUUCACUUCAAGACCAACCGAGAGAGUGAGAGAGAGAACAUUUUCUGGUUCCAUUUUUUCCUUUCCAGCCAGAACCGAGUGAGUCAGAGGGUAAGGUAGAAAAAAAAAGGAAGCUUCGAGCAUUUCAUCAUAAGGAAUCGAAGGAGGAGAAGGAGGAGGAGGAAGGGGACUGCUUGCAUUUUUCUUCUUUUCUAGCUUUGAUUGUGAGGAAAAAGGAAGGUAAAAAUCAUUAUAAACAUCUUAUUCUUCUAAUAUCUUUGAUUAUUCAAGUUGCAUGUUAGAUUUUAGCUUAGAAAAGUGAGUUUUGGCUGAGGAAAAAUUCUGUUUAAUGACUAGCUAAAAGCUGGAAGUGUGACAGCCCCACCUUCUCCUAGGGCGUAUCCCAAAGGUUAGCGAAUUGCCUGCCCAACUCUCGCCAGGACUACUAAGCUAAAAAAAUGAUUACCAAACUAAAUGGGGCAAUAGAACUUCGAUUAACGCUCCAACGAACAAGCAAAAAGAACAGACGCCAAGUCAUAAUCCGGCCAAUAUUUGGCCGGAUUCAAGGCAGUGGGCGAAAUGAAAUUUUUUCAACUUCCCCUGACAAUCCGGCCAUGUAUCCGGCCAAGAUCUGGCCGGCUAUAUGGCCGGAUUUGUGGCAGAACAACUCCACUUCUCUCAUUCUGAUCAAGUUCCGCAUUCACCGGUUCCAAACCGGUUCUAGGAGAACUACUCAAACCCUAGAGACAUGCAUUCAACCAAAUACACUUGAGAUACAUGAGAUACAAGAAUAAACACUUAUAUAUAUACAUUAGAGUGUUUCACAAGUCAACUUGAAGUACAAGCCAAAAUAUCCCUUAAUGUAUCAAGUACAACUAGGGUUUACUAUUGCAGAGGAGCUUAAUCAAAAGAAUAUCUAUAAAUAGCUCUAUUCUUUUCUUCCAAAAAUCAUGGUUUCCAAAAUAUCGUCCCCCGUAAGGAAAACAAAGAUAACAGGGGUGAGCUUUCGCCCAAUGAGGUACCAACAGGUCAAGCAGUCAAGAAUCAUGAAAGUGUGAGAACUCAUGUUUUAUUUCUAAAAUGAUUAUUUUUAUAAUUAAUUACCCUAGUAUUAGUUAAUUAUAUUAUCGUUACAUGAAUUCCUUUUAAAUUUCGCCUUAUCGCGCCCGAAUUGGAAGUUCGUGUAUUUCGCGUCGAAUCGACUAAGUAGAGAUUUAAGAAGUUUAUAUUAGACUACUAAGAGUGAAUAAUUAUAGUGUUAAAGGAAUUACAUUUAAAGAUUAGUGCACUAGUGCAGCAAACAAGAGAGAAAAGUGGUAGUUAGGGACACUAUACGUGCACUAUUCCUAGUUGACUUUUGGACAAUUUUUGGCCACAAAUUCCUUAAGCUUCCAAAGGAAGCUUCACAACACAAAAUAGUCUCUCUCCUCACUCCAUAGUCUUGGCCGAACCUCCCAAGGAAGAAGGAAGAAAAGCUUCACUCCAUCUCACUUCAUCUUGCUUCCAUUUCCUUCACAAAUCACCACCCAACUCACAUAUCACUUGGAGAUUAACUUGAACUUAGAGAAAGGCUUAAUCUAGGGGGAUUUCUUGGAGGUUUUAGUGGUGAAAUUUUCUGGUUUCAUCAAGGUUCAAGAGGUAACCAUCAACUCCUUUAAUCUCUCUAUUUAAUUCAAGAUUUAUGGUUGGUUGUGCAAGGGUUUGAAACCCUAAGCAAAGAUAGGUAGAGGACUUGAGGAAAUCUAUUUUUCUUGCUUUAAACUCUAAGAUAGUGGACUUGGUGUGACCUUUAGGUAUCUGCCUUGAGGAUUAAAUGCUUGAUUAAUGUUGUUUAUAUGUUAAGUGAGUUGAUUAUGGUUAGAAAAGUGAAAGGAAAAUCAAAGGAAGUGGAGACUUGAGCUGGCCGAAAAUUUCUGGUCAUGUUGCUCUGUGAUAUUUUGAAAUUUUUGAUGAUUGUUGGCUGUGAAAUUGGUUGAUAUAUUUUUUUUAUUGUGUGUAGAAAGUGUCUAUGAAAAAUCAUUUGAUUUGAUUGAGCAAAACUUGAAUUUUCGAAUGGAAGAAAUCUGGAAAUGGGUUCUGGCUGUCCAAACAGUAACUCUUUGAUCGAAUAUAUCUCUUUGUACAAAAGUUGAAAUCAAGUGCCAUUUGUGGCAUUUGAAACUAGACAUUUGUAGCUUUCUAACGGUAUAAAAAUCACUUUCUAGUUCGAACCGAGUGAACUGUAGUGAUUCCCCAAAGUUUGCUGUCCGAGAGAAAGGUACAAGCUGCAUCUUGUGGCUCUAUUUUCUCUCACUUGUGAACUGAUUUUGAAAAUGAUUUGUUCUGAUGAAAUGUAGAUUUUUCAAUCUAGUUUCCAAAACCACCAACCAUUCUCAAUUCCAAGUUGUAUUGAGUGAGAUAUGGUUCAAUUUCCAAACUGUAACAAAGCUGGAAAUCUGGAAAUCUUUCUCUUCUUGCUAGCCGAAUGGUUAGGUUUGAUUUGGGAUGUUUUGUUUCGAAAAUUUUGGUGUCAAUUACCUACCUGAUAAGUGACUAAUUUACGUAAUAAUUGUAUGAUAUUUUAUAUUAUUUUUAGUCACUUUAGUUAUAUUAUUGGAAGAAAAUGAAUCAUUUUGGCUAUAAUUGGUGAAAAAUGCUUUUAAAUGAUUAAAUGAGGUUUUUAUCACUUUUUAGUGGGAUUUUGUGUAUUUUGACAGUUUUGAGACAUCUUCGUAUUUUGACUAUAACUUGAGCUACAGUGAUCGGAUUAAGAUGAUUUUUGAACCAAUUUGAAGAUAAGAGAUAGAUCUACAACUUUGGUGAAGACAUCUGAAUCCAGUUUGAAGGUUUUCCAAGUCAAAAAGCCGAAGUACAGUAGCCAAUUUCAUUUGGUCGAAGCUGAAACAGGGCAAUGAACAGUCAAGGGUAUUUCGGUCAUUUCUCAGACUACACAGAUCCAAAUGAGAUUAUUCUUAAUGCAUUGGAAAGCUAACUCAAAGGGCUACAAGUUUCAUGUUUUGAUCAAGAGCUAAAUCAGCUUUUAUCAUCAAGAAAAAUUCAGUGGAAGUUGAUGCAAAAUCGGAGCAGAGCUGGAAAUUGAACUAGAAGUGACCAAAUGGUCACUGUAGCAAUCCGGCCGGAAUUUGGCCGGAUUUGUGGCCGGAUUCCUGGCCGGAUUGUGGUCAGAAAAGGCUGCUUUGUACGCGUAAAACUCAAUUUCACCUCCACCAACUCACAUGCGUUGCUAGACAUGUGAGAAACAUCUCCAACUGUAAAAGGAAGGUGGAGGCCUCAUUUCUUGACCAUCUUUCAUCAUAAAAUAGCCAAGAUUGCAAGAUUGAAAGGGAUCCAACAAUAGAAUACAGUGAGCUACGGGAGAAAGCUUGAAGCUGCAGAAAUGUAGCUCUUUCAUCUCCCUAGUGUUAGUUUAGCUUAGUAUAGAGUAGUGUAGCUUUUCCAUUCUUGUUUAUUAUCUAGAUUAGGAUGAAGAUGGAGGAUGAAGAAGGCAAGGAAGAAAGCUCAUGUGACAAGGGUUGUAUUCCUUCCAAACUCUUUAUCUUUUGUAUUUGAUUCCAAGUUUAGUUAAUAUACAAGUUCUGGAUUUUGUGUUCAUUAUGUGUUUCUAAAGUUUAUACCUUGGGUUUGGUUGAACUUUCUAUGAUUGUUAGGGUUAAUUGUUUGGUUAUUUGAUUGCUACGAUUUGAGCAAGUUAUUUAGCACUUUGGCUCUUUAAAUCAUGAUUAAUCUGGUACCAUUAAUUAUGAUUAUCUAAGGUGUUGUUUCUGCAAUGAAAAUUGAGAUUUAACACUAGUUCAAGAAGUGCUAAACAUAGGGAGUACACUCACUAAAGUAGAGGUGCAUCUAUGUGGUUUUAGUGAUUCAUUUCAUGUAAUUUCACUGAAGAAAUGAACUUGUAGCUAAUUUCAUAACCAUGAGAAUAUGUAUGGAUUAGUUAUGAGUAUAAUUGAUUCACUACGAAAGUAGGUUUCACAUGUUUAAGGAAAUUACACCAUAACUAGCCUAGAUAGUAGUAUUUAAUAAUCCAAAUAUAGCACUUACAUGAGUAGUUAGGGAUACCACAACCUAAGGAGCUUUCAUUUGUCAUUUUGUAUAAUUUCAAUAGGUUAAAUUUGUUAUAAUUCAUUGAUAGUCUAAAUAAUAGAGAAGCUUUAGUAAUACCGGUAAUUGUUCACUCUUCCCUGUGGGAUCGACCCGAUAUAUACCCUAAACUACUAGUUGACCUGUAUACUUGCAGUGAACGGGUGUAAUUCGGUUUUUUAACUUGUACAUAUGUAAAAUACCCGUCACUACCAAUUGCUUAUUAGAUGUUCAUAGGACCUUGGUUUCAAAAAUGAACCAAAUUGGGACUGAUUUCAUGGUGCAAAAUGUUUGAAAAAGGAAAGAAAAGCAAGAGGACAGAUUUGCUUUGAAAAUUUCCUAAAUUUUGGUAUUUUUGUUAACUGCCUUCCCACGUGAUUUUUUGCAUGAAAUUUUAUAGAGAAGUAGUCCUCAUAUGGAAGUUUAAGUGUACCAAAUUUGGUGUUAUUCUAAGACUAUUUUGAUACCCAAAUGAUGUUCCAAAUUUUGCUUUUCAAAUCUGGAAAAUUCCUGAUCAGUGUUCAAAUUUCAGCCGACUUUAAGCUACUAUAUCUUUACGCUCAAAACUCUGAAUUUAGUUCUGUUUGUCCUGUUUAAAACUUUGUUAGGAACUCAUAUUGUGUUAUGAAUUUCAAAGGCUAGUUCACUUUCUGUGAAUUUUUCCGGAUUUCCAAAGAUUGUCGAAAAGCAUGACUGAAACUGCCUUGCUUGUUCAGAUCAGCCACUUUGAGUUGAAAAUUGAAUGCCUUCUAUUUAGAAUCUUGGAAAAGUGAACCUAGUUUCCAACGGUGAAAAUUUUUCCAUUUUUUGAUGUGCCAAACUCAAGAUUCGAUUUUCCAAAGAUUGUCAUGCAAAGCUGAAAUUUCCCGAGUUCUUAUGAAAAUGAGUUUUGAGAACUCGUUACUCUUUCUUGAUAUUGAUCGAUCGUUUUAAACUCAAUUUCGUGAAGGAAAUCAGUUUCUCUCGUGUUAUUAAACCCUCACUUUUGGAAUCUCGAUUUUCUUUAAUUUGAAAACGAACGUACAUUCUUCCUUGUUUGGCAAGGAGUUUGUGAGUAUUUAUGGGUAAUAGUUAAUUGCUAUGUUUCCAGGCGCUCAAGAGGAUCUUGAAGAGAAUCCCAGGGCCGACCAUUAAAGAUCUUUUGCACUUACUCCCUUAUUGUGAUUUGGUAAGUGUCAAGUGCAUGACUUGUUGCAAUUAUGUGAAUUGCUUCUUAUGGAUUGAAUGAUUGAUAAUUGUUGAGUCGAGUGUGUACGUUAUCGCACUUGUUCUCAUUUAACUGAUUGUAUAAUUGAAUUGCUCAUGACUGAAUUGUAAUUGAUUGACUGGAUAUUGUUUGGAGUGAAUCUCCUCGACCUAUAACUGAAUUGGGGGACGCCCAAAUCUCAAUUGGCUGACCUUGCGACUGUAAGCUCGGUGAACCAUGAGAUAACUGUAAGCUUGAUCUAUUAAGAGAUCUCGCUUGGCCUAUAGUAGUACCUUUUAUAGAAGUGCGGGCCCGGGACGGUUGAAAUGGUGGAUGGAACUGUGAAGAAAGUGGAGUUCUACGGAUUUAAUGCCGACCCGGUUGACGGAGUGUCAUCGCGAGGAGGUAUUUGUUGAGCCUUGGCAUACCAAGUGGAACCCAGCUCCUGAGAGCUCCUGUAUCCUUAUUGAAUGUGUUUAAUUCAAAAUUGUGAAUUGCUUGAAUGUUACAGCUUUAUGUCUUGCUUAAAUGCUAUUGCUAUUUUAACUAUGUGUUUGCAUGUUUUCUUGGCCUCACUGAGCGUUAGCUCAUCCCAUUAGAUUUGUUUUCCUUAGCAGGGGCCAAGAUGGAAAGAGUUAUGGAGAAACCGACUUGAGGCACUUUUGAAUAGGGUUUUUGAAUGUAUUUGACAAGACAUCAUUUGGAAGUUGUAUAUUUUGGGAAAGUGGUUGUAUUUUGAAGUUUGUGAUGUAAGAUUGAAUAUUCAUGUAUGGAAAUGACUUCUUGUCUUUAGUUCGACUUUCGUUAUUAAUCGUUAUCCUUUAAGUCUGAACUGGAAUUGUAUUGAGUCCUGGCGAGAGCUGGACAGGCGUCCCGCCGAUACCCUUUGGUUCGCCUUAGGGAGAAGUGGGGGCGUCACAGAAAGUACAUUUGUAAUCCCUCAAAUAUAGAAAUCAAAUAAAGAGGAAGGAACACCACAGUUAAACCGGAAGUCAAAGGAUAUAGAUGGCUCUCAAGUGCCAAUUUCCUCCUUUGCAUUUCUUGAUCAAAACCUGUUGACCCUCUGUCAAUGUUUAAAGACACGACCAAGACCGUAGACCCCACUUUACACCAAUUUCCGUCCACCAAACAUACCCCUUAUCGAGCCCAGACACCAAGCAGAAACAGUGGUGGGAAUACUCAAGUAUACCAAAUAUCAGAGGGUUUCAGUAUUCAGAUGAUCAGUAAUAGUAUCCUCAUGGUUCAUCAAUCUACCUCGACCAAGCCCCUUGCUGGCUCGAUUCGAUUAACUACCAAUGAGGUCGAGCUCAAAUUUCACAGUAAGGUCGUUGGAUACAAACCUCCAAACGGCAUCAAAUCAUGCACAAGUAACAGAACCAAAUUUAUACAGUAACCAGUCAAAUAGGCAAGAGAGAGACGAGUGUGAUAAAGUACACUCUCGUCUCAUUCAGAAUAAACAGAAGCUACAGUCAUUCACGUCACAAUUUCAAACACAAGUAAAUCAAUUAAGCAACAAGUCAUGCGAGUGGUAUACUCACCAGUUCAAGCAAAACAACUUCAAAAGUUUCCUCCCAAAGUACACCCUUCAUCACCGGCACAUCCUAAGAACAACCAAGGUAAACAAUUAUGGUUCCCACAUCCAAAACCUAGCGAACGGAAUUCACAAGUGAGACUCGACUACGAGUCGUAUGCCUAUCCAAGUUAACUACUAGUGCAAAGAUACGAAAAUGUGGCUUUGGAGUGAAAGGAAUUAGUUAUACCUAGGGCCAUGAACAACCAAAAGUCGUUCAUUUCCACCCUAAUCAACCCAAACUCGAAGGAGACAAGUAGCCCAAAAAAUUUGGACAGCACUUCCCUUUAAUUUCUUUACUUUUCCAUCCUAUAAUCAAUCACCAAAUUUUAUCCCAAACAGUCUCAAUCGCACACACAAAUCAUAAGCUAUUAAAUACACUGAUUAGGGCCACAACACCCUUCAAUUAUAGCCACUUGAUAACUCCAAAAACCAACUACAAUCAAGCUCAAUUUGGAAACCCUAAGCUGGAAUUUAUGCACACAAGCUGAAAUUUUCUUUAGGCAAGUUAAACUAGCAUAUAAAAGCUAGCUAAUUCUCAUAGCAAAGCUACCAAAACAUGAACAAUUCUUAAGCAUCAUAUAUGGAUAGAAAAUUCACCAUAAAACUGAAAAUUUCUCAAUCACUACUUCAACCAUGAAAUUUUCUCAUAAAACUACCCAUUUUGCAACCAUAAACCACUAAUAUGCAAGUAUUAGAAGUAGAGGAAAGUUUCUUGUCAAAGUUACCUUAGAACCUCAAGAAAGAUGGUAGUUUAGUACUUUUUCCUCCAAAAUCACUCCACCAACACCUCUACUCUUCCUUAGUUAGCACUUUGUAUGGAGUAAUUUGCAAAUUUGUUGGCUGGAACUCAAGAAUGAAGCAAGAAAUUGAAGUGGAAGAUGAACUCUCUCCUUGUUUUUUCUCCUCCCUUUGCUCGGCCAAGACAAGAAACAAAUAAGGAAAAUUUUGGUCAAUUUUGGUGUAGACACCAAAAUUUUAGUUUUUUUUAUUUAAUUUAGUUGAUUUUGUUUUAAUUUUUUUAAUUUUUAUCUUAUUUUAAUUUUGUUAAGAAAACCAUUUUUAUUAUUGAUUGGAAAGAAAAAAAAAUCAUCAAUCAAACACAAAAAUUUUAGCAUUUUUUAUAUCAUUUUUAGUUGAUUUUGUUUAAAUUUUUGUCUAUUUCCAUUUUUGUUAAAGAAAAUCAUUUCUUUUAUUCACUCACUGUAAACAAAAAAAAAGUAGAAAAAAAGGGGACAACACGCGCGCUGUUUCUUCUUUAGCAUGACAGCCGAAUGAAGCUAUACUGCAGAAUUGUAGCUGUGAAUUUCCAGCUCUUUUCCCACGUUUUUUUUUUGGUUUUUCUAGCUCCAUUGGAUCAUUUCAUCUCAAGCCACCUGGCUUUAAUCCCUACAUUAAGAGAAUCAUAGGACAAAAACCCAUCUAAUGGUUUAUAAACCAUCAUGGAAACAUCAGUUCAGCCGGCACCGUUUGAUGUUAGGGCUAGGGGAUCUUUGUAGCUAUAAAAGGAAGAGAAUUAGUAGAGUAAUUGGGAGUGGCGGCUAGGAUUAGAAAAAGGAGCAAGGGAGAUUGAGAGAGGCUAUGGGGUUGCAGGGAAGAGGAACCAGAAACCAGAAAAGUGACGAGAGAGCCGAGAAGGGGCUGGGCGACAGAAACGGGAAACUCAGGGAAGAAAAGUGAGCAAGAAAAAGCUGCUGAGAGGCUUCGGGUAGAAAAGAAAAGCUUGGGCUAGAGGAAAAGAGGAAGCUUGGGGGCAGUGACGGGCUGAGGGAGGAGGAGAAACAGCAAGCAAGGGAAAAAGAGAGGCGGAGAGAGAGCAAGACAGCAAGAAAGAAAAACCAGAAGGGGCUUUGACGGCUGAAGAGAAGAGACCUUGGAGUCUUCGGCUGAAGGAGAAAGAAAGCAAGGUAGAAAAAAGAUUAGAAGGGAGGUUUUCGGUUGAACAAAAAGGAAGAAACCGAGUGAGCAUGGAGAGGUGACGGCUGGAGAGAAUAGGGGAAUCUGGGCAGUAGGGAGAAAGCCAGGAAAAAGGGUUUGCGGCUGAGAAGAAAAGAAACCAAGAGAGUUGCGGUCAAUUCAGCCUUGCCCACGAAACCAUAAAUUUCUGCACAAACUCUAACAUUGGGAGAGAAAUUUCGUUCGGAAAUUUGGCAGAAAUGAUGCCUGGAACAUCUUCGAAUCUGGCUCUACAUUUGCCGACCCCAUUUCUGGUUCAUGCUCAAAGGGUCAACGAGUCGACUGCAGCUGCUUUCUUUGCUCGUUUCCUUGUUCAAGUUCGGUCAGAAGGCUUCAUCAGGUCCUCUUCUGAACUAAUCUUAUAGUUCCUCCCCUAGUCACUUGUUGGUUUAAACAUUUGCAGUUCUCUUUCGUUCCCUUUUGCUGCCAUUGGUUUGUAUUUUAUGUUCUGUCUUGAUUUCCUUUUUUUUUAUUUCCUUCAAAGCUGAUUUUAUAAGAAUAGGAUAUGAGGCAGCUAGAUGGUUUUGUAUGUUUAAGAAUUAUCGGACAUGUUGUUGAAGUUGAUAAAGGUCCAAACUUUGAGUCUCUGUUUGCUUGUUAUGGUGAUGCUAAGCUAGUUGCAGCCAUGUUGAUAGAGUCAUUUUUUUUUUUUUGGGUUGUUGAAGCUUUUGGUUUGCUUGAAGUUUGUGGUUUGCCAUGUACACGUUUGGAGUUGCGUACUUUCUUCUUGCUGCCUUUUCCAUUUGUUUCGUUUCUAGCACCUGGUUUCUUCAGAACUUGUUUCUUCUUUCUCAAAGGGUGGGGAGCAUUGUUGUUUGAUGUUUUUAUAUGAGGAUAAGAAUGAUUUAACAUGGGUUUUGCUCCUUCAAAAUAAUGUUUUGAUCUUAUGGUACGGCAAACCCAUUUUAUGAUACUUGCUAUGCUUGAUGCAAACUCAUUUUCGCAGAUUGUAUGAUGCUUGUUGUUGGGAUCUUUGGAUAGAUAAAUCUUGUUGGAAAUUGUUGAGAAAAUGGGAUGAAGUUUAGUGGUAAUUGGGUUGACGAAUUUAUGGUUUGUUCUUGUGAGUUUGCAAAUGAUUUGAUGCUAGAUAGAGUUGCAGAAAGCUGUGGAAUAUGAAUUGCAGAAACAUUCUUUUCGGCUGCUGAAUUAUGUUAUGCUUCGAACCAUGCAUGCAAUAGUUCCCAAAAAUUACAUUUUUACCCCUCAAACUUUCCCUUAUUCUACUAUGGCCCAAAUAUUUGGAAAAUUUAAUCAAUUUUGCCCCCUUUAACAUGUUAUUUUCCUUUGGUAUGCUCUAAUGUGAUUUUGACAGAUUGUUUAGAAAUUUUAGGAUGGAAUUUGAGGAUUUAAUGUUUUUUGAUAAAUUUUAGUUUUGAUUUGGAUUUUAGUGAAAAUUUUUGAAAUUUGUUAUUUAAUUAUAGCAAAUAGGUUUCAUUUAUUCAUUUAUUUUUUGUGAACUUUAUCAUUUGGUUGGGAUAGGUUUCACCUUAAGUCCUUAAUUUUAAUUUAUUUCCUUUAGGUCCUUAAUGUUUGUAAUAAUAAUAAAUUGAUCCCUCGAACCUCUUUAAUGGGUCCUUGUUGGUUUCAAUUUGAUAAAUAUGAGUUGUUUAGUUUAUUUGAAUGUUUUGAGUGAUUCAAUUUCGUGUUUAUUUCCAUUUUAUGUGGUUAUUUUUGUUAAUUAAAAUGAUGCCUUGACCUUUUCUUUGUUUUGGAACGUAAAUAAGUAAAUUUCAUUUCAUUAGGGCACCAAUUCAUGGGAGGUACACUCUACCGUUUUAUUUUGAUUUUUUACUUGAUCCAAUGUGCUCCUAUGUGAAUUUAUGUGUGAAAUUGCAUGCUUUUUUGAAUAUUUUUAUUUUAUUUAUUUAUUUAGUCACUUUAUUUGUUUUGAUUUAGUUUAUUUAUUUUAAUUUAAUUUUGAUUAUUUGAAAGGCAUUUAAAUGCCAAAAUUGUAAUAGUUAGGUAUUUCUUUUAUUUAUUUAUUUUAUUUUCCCUCUUAGAUUGUAGUUAGGGUCACCCCAAAUGUAAUAGUAGGGCUUUAUUCGCUUUAUUUGCUUUAUGUGUUUUGCAUGCUUAUGUGCUACGUGUUACUCACUUUCUUAGGGUCUUGCAUCUAGAUAUCAUGCUUAUGUGCUAUGUGCUCUAUGUGACUUAUGCUUUACUUGCUUUCACUACAAGAAAUUUGGCCUUUUGUGACAACAUUCUCUGUGACAAGAGAGAAAGUUGUCACAAUUGAAAACUUUAGUGACGACCUUUAAUGUCGUCAUACUUGAUCGUGGGUUCACCCGUCAACAGUGACAACAUAGAAUAAGUCGUCACAAUACGGAUGGCGCGCAACUAUCCAGUGUGGCAGGAGAUCACCAUUGUGACGACUGGAAAACAUGUUGUCACUGAAACUCGUCCUACAGUGACAACUUGAAAUAUCGUCACAAUAUGGUUGCCAGUUCUAAAUUAGUGACAACAACUAGUCGUCACUGUCCAAAGCAUUUAUUCCCAUCUCACUUUCACUAAUUCUACUAUGUCACCCUAAUUUUUUCAAUAUGGCCCAUUUGUUGUAAAUAAAUUUUAUUAAUUCUACUAUGACACCCUAACUUUUACAUUUUGACCCCAUAUACCACCUUAAUUUUUUUAAUAUGGCCCAUGUGUUGUAAAUAAAUUUUAUUGAUUUUACUAUGACACCCUAAAUUUUACAUUUUAACCCCAUAUACCACCUUAAUUUUUUCAAUAUGGCCCAUGUGUUGUAAAUAAAUUUUAUUAAUUCUACUAUGACACCCUAACUUUUACAUUUUAACCCCAUAUACCACCCUAAUUUUUUCUAUAUGGCCCAUAUGCUGCAAGUAAAUUUAAUUAAUUAUGUUAUGAUACCCGAACUUUUAUUUUUUAGCCCCUUAUUUGAUAAACUAAUCUCAUUAACUCUACCAUGACACCUUAUAUUUUGCAAUUUAGCCUCGUAUGUGAUAAAGAAAGGUUUUAUUAAUUCUAUUAUGGCACCCUAUGCUUUUACACUUUAGGUUGUGUUUAUCAUUAGCAAAAUGAGGAAGGUAUUGUAAAAAACAAUGUUUACCUAUUUUUUAAUUAUUCCAAACAUAGCUAAUACCUUGUUAUAAAGUUAAAAAAUAUCAUGAAUUCAUUAUUUAGUUCUCUUGACAACAUAUGGGAAAUUACUGAUUAACAUAGUGUGAAAAUAAUGGAAGAGAAUAAUAAAAUUGAAUAUGAAAUUAAGUAAAAAUCUUGACAAUUCCAUGACUGGAGUUUGUUAUGUAUUACAAUUUACAAUAAUCAAAUUGUUUAUGGUUUAUGAAUCAGUACAUGUAUCAAAUAGAUUUAGUGUUUCAUGCAUGUAUUAGUAAACCAUUUUGGUUAUUUGAUCAACUAGUUUAUUAUUAACUAGUAAACCAAUUGGAUGACUGGAGUUUAUUAUUAAUUACAAUAGUCACAUUGUUUAUGGUUUAUGAAUCGGUACUUGUACCAAAAACAUUUAGUGUGUCAUGCAUGUAUUAGCAAACUAUUUUGGUUAUUUGAUCAACUAAACAGAUUGUUAGGUCUUGUCAAACCAUAAUUCGUACAUAAUUCAUAAAAUUAUUAAAUUAAUACCAAAAAUAUUUACAUUAAAAGAUUUUUUUUGAAUCAUAAACAUAUUUUUAAUAAGCUUUAUAGUUUUUGGACAUUGAUUUUUUGUAGAGAUAAAAAAAACAUGUGUCAGUAAACAAAAUUAUCAAAAAACACUAAAUUUUCAUAUUCUAAAGUUUUAAUGCAACAAAUAAAGUUUUAAUACAACUUGUGAGCUAAAAACUCAAAAUAAUAAACAACUUUAAUUACACAAAGAUGGAGAAAAGAAAAGGAGAGAUACUAGAGAAGGCGUUGUUUUUGUAAAGAAAGGUCCAAAUAGUUAGUACAAAAGUCACUUGAAAGCGUUAUUUUUUGGCUGAAGCUAAAAUGGAAGUGGGAAGCUCAAAAUUGGAGUAGAGGCGGGGGAAGCUGAAAUUUGGAGUAGAGGCGGGGAAAGUUAAAAAUUGAACAAAAUUGUACGAGUAGAGACGGGUAAACAAAAGAAGCAAAAACGACGUCACGUUAGCAAGAGUUAAACAAAAACACUCAUAACACUUAGAAAAAUUUCGGAUAAAACUUGCUUUCCCCCUUCUUGCCAACUUCAUACACUACAUCUUCUCCUUCUCUCCACUAUCAUUUUGCUGAAAUUAUCCAGAAAAUUAUUUUAACCCACCAUUUUCAUCCGUAAUUUGAGUUACCCAAAAGAUUUGUGUAGAUUUAGUGGAGUUAUAGAUAGCAAAAAUCCCUAAUUCCGCCGCCGCUCUCCCUGUAGUUACCGUUAUCCCUCUUGAGAAUGAAAUGGAGGCCGACGCCAACUCCCUCCCUCUGCUUGACGUCAUGAAAGCCCCAAUCCGGCCAGACAUCCUUCAAGACGUUCAUCGCGCGACAUCUCCAAGAACUCUCGCCAACCUACGCCGUCUUUAGGUCCGCUGGCCACCAGACCUUUGUCGAGUCCUGGGGUACUAGUCGCACUGUUUCCUGUAUCUCUCGUGUUCCUGGCGGAGGCACUCACCAUGCAGGCCAGGGUGCCUAUGGCAACAUGUGCUGCGGUGGCCACAUGUUUGCUCCGACCAAGAUCUGGCGCCGUUGGCACCGCAAGGUCCCAGUCAACAAGAAACGGUAUGCCGUGGUUUCUGCCAUCGCCCCCUCUGUAGUGCCUUCACUUGUCAUGGCCUGCAGCCACCGCAUCGAGUCUGUCCUGCAAAUCCCCUGUGCGAUCUCCAAUUUUGCUGAGGCCAUGGAGAAAACCUCCAACGCUAUUAGUCUUCUCAAGAAAAUUGGGGCUUACCCUGAUGCUGAGAAGGCUAAAGACAGCCAGGGUAUCCGCCCAGGAAAGGGUAAGAUGCGUAACUGCCGCUACAUCUGCAGGAAAGGUCCUUUGGUUGUGUAUGGUACUGAAGGGGAUAAGCUCGUGUAGGCCUUUCGCAAGGGUAUCAGAUAUCAUAUUUAGUAAUUUCUUGUUAUAUUAGACUUCCUUUUCGGGUAUCAGAUCUUGAUUUUCAUCUCCAAAAGUUCUCUGGAGGUAAUCCCUCUCCUUUUAUUCGGCUCACCUGUACUUGCAUGCAAAAAAGAUAACAAAGAUAGAAAAAGAAUGCCCGCAGAUCAGAUGAUUUUUUAAAGAAAAAGUUGUUAGAGUUUGCCGUAGCUUUAAGAUCAUCAAUUGCUUGGAAGAAAUAUACAUGAAUCUUGAUACUCUGAAUCAUGGUAGCGUACACUGACCUUAAUUUCCUGAUGUGAUGAGGAGGUCGAGAGAGCUAUCCAAGUGGAGCAAGUGAAGGUGCCAUUGGGGCCUAUGACACGACCCCGCACAAAGAGAUUGAAUGAAGCACUACAAAUAUUGGUUCGUGCAGCCCGAGCGCCCAGUGGAGAGCCAAAGGCUAUUGAGGGCCUCAACGAAGCUAGAUAUGUGAUCUUACUCGCAGCCAUUCAAGAGGAUUAGCUACCCAAGAUUCGGCCAAGGGCCAUGGCCCAUCAUCAGUUAGUAGAGUAUAAUAAAGAGGUCCAACACGCCUAUGGGUUGGACCUUAGUCAUUGUCAGUCUUUGGCCAUAGGCUAGGCCAUGUGGGCCACCUUUGUAGUCCCUACGCUGAGCUGUUACGGGGGUCUCGCUGCCCGGUCAGCGAGUCGGGGGCCCAGGGGACGACACGCCCCUGGUGGGGGCUAGGGGGCAACGCCCCCGGAGCUUUUGGGCUAGUGGCGGCCCAAAGGGAAGCCCAAGGGCGGGCCGCCUUUCCUUCAACUCUUUACAAGCUUCGUUAGGUUUUUAGUUACGGCUACAAAUAGCCUUAAGUCGUUGUUUACACUCAAUUUUUUUUGAUGAUUAAUAAAAUUACAUUGAGAGUUCUCUCAAAGCUUCGUUGAAGCACCUUGAAUAUCUUAGAUUUGUAUCUUAGGUAUUCAAUUGACUUAUCAAUCUAGGACCGCGCUAGAUUGUGGCGUCUUCUACAAAUACCGAGGUUCGUUGACCACGUGAUCAACGGGUUUAGGUGAUCCGCUGCGUUCGUCGUCUUCAACGUGAGACUCUACCUUCUAGAUCCAAGCCUUUUUGUACGGGUUGCAUCACAAGGUUGGUGCCGUUCGUAUCAUGAUGGCAAUAUCAUGUCAUUUACAGUUUACACCAUAGACAAGUUCUUUGAUAUCUAUUUAUUCUACAAUGAGUAGCAGGUGUAGUUUGUUUAACCAACAUUUUCUAUCCUAAGCUGUUUUGCACACUAUCUGCAUUCAGAGAAGGCAUAUACCUUUUCUAUACUAAGCUAUUUUGCACGCUUGGAAUGUCUUGUGUUUCUUUCUUUGAUUUAGGAUAUCCCUUUGCAUGCAGUAAGUUUGCCUAUCUUGUAUGAUGGGGGUAGUACUGUAAUGAUUGUUGAAAUUGGUAGCUAUAAAUCCAUUGUUUGAUGAAAAUUGUGAUGUGCUUCAUCAUAGUACUAUAGUAGUGCAAACGUCCUCUAUGCCCUUCAGAAGGGGUAUGUUUUGCCCAUCCAGCCUUUCUGUUAGCUAGAAGAGCAUUAGCUUCAGCAACAUCAGCCUCUCUUUGAUUCUCAACAAAAGUUUGUUCAUCCAACUAGCAGCAUCAUCACCAUUUCAUGUUUAAACUGGUGGUCAGAGAAGCUUAAAUAACCAGUUCUCUUCUCCAUUUUCAGGUUAAGGAGAUUGCGAGAAGAUUAAUUGAAGAGCAGGAACAUAACUUAGAGGAUAUUUCACUUCGUUAGAAGGUGAUGCUUACUCUCUUUCAUAUGUUUCUUCCACAAAGAAUAUUAGAAAGUACAUGUUGAUUCCCUUACUCCCUUGUGCGUAAUAGCUUUGUUCACCUGGCUUUGUUGCAUCUUUUUCCAAUUUGGCAGGAACUUCUCACCCAUAGAGGUAACUUUCCUUUUCUUUUUAGAUCCAGCACCUUUCACUAUCGGAGUGCAACUAGUAGAUUUUGAAGUCUUUUAGUUAUUAAGUUAUUGUAGUUUACAUAUUCUAAUCGCUAUAAGGUUUUUAUAGUAGUAACUUUGAGAUUUUGGGCAGAAUUGCACUAAAAUUGCAUUUACACAAAAGAGGCCACCAUGUACAAUCAGCUUUCAUUAAUUUCUUGGCUAGUAUGAUACCAAAGAUAAAUACACUUGAGUCCCCUAUUUUUAUUUUGUAAAUUUUGUUGGAGAUUUGACAUUCAAUCGUUUGUUCAUUUAUUUUCAAGGACUAGAGACAAUUUUGUGAUAGUAAUGGUGCUAAAAAUUGGAAAAUACUGUAAAAUAAUUUUGAAUUUACAAAGUUUGUGUUCCUUUAAUAUUUACAAAGGUAAACAUCAACAACAACACAUGAAAUUAUACUUGGGUCUUGUUUCUGGGAUUUCUAUUUUAAAGAAGUUUUGAGUGUAUUUUGAUUAAGUCAAAUACUAUAAAGACUAUUAAUGCAAACAAAAUUGAAUUAUCUUGAACUUUAUUUUUUGUUAGAGAAGCGUCAAGUGGUAUGACAUGGGAGGAGGUACUUGUGAAUGGGGAGAAGAGAAGCAUAUUUUCUAUUUGGAAUUCUUUUCAAUAAGCAUGUAUUUAUAAUGUCGGUGUUUGAAAAACAUGACAUUUUCCAGUUUACUAUGAGAACUUAUAAUUUGCCUGGAUGCAAUGAGUUUGGGGUGCAGAUUCAAUACAAAAUUUACUAAGUUGGUGGGGUCAUUUUUUUAUUUAUAGAAGCCACUCUUUAAGCUUAAUUUGUCAAUUAUAUCAAGUUAAUUUUGGUUGAAAUAACCCUUAAUAGUAGAAUUGAAACAAACUUGACUUUAUUGAUUUCUAACGAGGUAUUUUGGGCAGAUUUUAUCUAUAUUCUAAUUAGUAUGUUUUGGUUGAAACUCUUGUUUGACUGAUUCUUUUAUCUCUUAUCAUAUUGACUUAAUUGGAUUUUUGUUCAGUAUGACUAUUCAUUCAAAUUCAAUAGUGUAUGCUUGUAAUGGCAAAUUUUUUGACUGAAAUCGAUUCUAAUGCGUAUGAUACUUUUCUUUCAAUGCAGUACAAUGCUAUUAAAUGCUCUUGAGGAGAUGAAAAAGGUUGGCUUUUGGAUAUGCUCAUGAAGAUGACUUCAGUUUGACACAAAUUGCUGCUUUAGUCUAUGUUUUUGUUUGGAAAGAGUACUUUGUUUUUUUUUGGAUGUGUAAUGGCUGUUACUAGUUGAACUGAUGUGAACUUAGUACUCUAUUGUUUGGAUGGAUAAUGGCUGUUAGUACUUGAACUAAUGUGGACUUUGGAACCCAUUUUGGUUAAUGUGUGUUUUGAUGAAUUUAGAGAUGUUUAUAACCAUAUAUAUAUAUUUGAGGGUUCAUUGUACAUUAAUUACUAUCAUUUUUUGCAUUAGUCGAGCCACAAUUUUCUGCUAUGGCUGUUGAAAAUGCAAUAGAAGUAGGCUUUUUAUGGCAAAUUUCAAACAUUUUAAACAAAGUUCAGUGACUACAUCAGGGAAGGUUGUCACUAGCUACAAGUUCAACCAAUGACAACAAUUCUUGUCACUAAUGAACAGGAUUAUAAGUGACAUGUAAAAGUCAUCAUUGUAGAUAUGAAAUUUGUGACGACUUUUACAUUAUCUAUGACAAAAAUACAGUUGAAGCAAUGACAAGAAAAGUCGUCACAAAAUGGUUUUAGUUAGUUACGAGUUUUUCUUUGUCAUAGAAUAAUAUGAUUCUGUGACGACUUAUCUAAAGUUGUUACAUGGACUCAUUUGUGACAUAGAAUCUGUGACAACCACGUGACAACAGAAAAAGUCGUCACUGUCUCUUUAUAAUGACAACUUUUUGAUUUUUAAUGACGACAUUUGGUUCUCACAAAAGCCUGAUUUUCUUGUAGUGUUUUUAUUAGCUUUAUAUGAUUUGUUGAGUUCUAAUAAAUGUAUGACGUCACCACACUAGUCCAACGCUAGUUGUAGCCCCUUUCCCGUCACCACACUAGUCCAAUGCUAGUUGUGGCCCUUUGUUCCGAUUUCUCACUAGUCCAAUGCUAGUGAGAAUUUGUAGACAUGGGUUAGUCCAAUGCUAGACCCUUAGGAACCAUUCACACGCUAGAUCAUGUUUGUGUAACUACACUACAUUUUCAUGCAUAUUUUUCACUUUCUAGGUUUUUUUAUCAUUUUUGCAUGACAUCCCCCCUUAUACGUAUACACAUCCCUUAUCCCAUAUUUCCCCUAUAUGUAUAUCCCUUACCCCUACGUAUGAGACAUGACAUUAGACUUGCAUUUCAUAUAAGGAAAACUAGAGAUAGGUUAGUACAUUUGCCUGAUUAGAUUAGGAAAUACCCCUCAAGUAUGGGGUAUGGACGAGUUUGGCUUCCUAUCCUUAGCACGCUCAUAUUCCCUCUACAAAAGGGAAAAUUGAAGUCACGGUCAUAGCCCCCGCACCCAUUAUGAUGCAUUCCUUUAGGUCAUGUGUAUUUGUAUAUUAUUAUUUCCUAUCUUUUCUUCGAGUCUCAUAUUUUUGCAUAUUCGUGACCUCUUCAGAUAAUCACUUUUGGGCGUCGCAAUUAAUGCGAUUUGCACCAAUUAAAAUUCGAAGAGACAUAUUGAGCCCCCGAUAUCCUCCUAGGUUUAGGGUUUGCAUUCAUAUAGUAUAUCCAAAUGUGAUAAAUUCUUAGGUUAAAAUAAGAAAAAUUUUGACUAAAUCACGCAACUAACUUUGGCUAGAUUGAAAGGGUGCCUUGGAUUUUAUCCUUGCCUUCCCUUUCUUCAAAUGUGACUCCCGAACACUUUUCUCUGAUUUCGAAAACUUGGAGUCGUUUAAAAAGGGUUUUUCUACUUUUUUUAUUCAAAAUUCAUUUUAGGUGACUUGGUACACCUUAACUCAAUACCAAGUGACGACUCCUAUUUUUAUUAAAAACCCUUUUUAAACUAUUCUUUUGGGUCAAAAUCGUCGCACUUAUUAAACCCCAUUUUAGGCCCAUCAUUUUCUUUAUUUAUUUUUUCUAAAAAUCAAAAACUUAUUUUUACAAACCCGUUAUUUAUUUUUAUUUAAAAAUGGGGCACGGCAUUUGGUUUUAGGAAAGUUAAGACAACCUUGGUCAAAGUCCAACUUCCAAUGGUUUCACGACAAAUGGCGCCUUAGGGUUUUGUUCUCAUCUUCUUGUCUUCCAAAGCUAAUUUAUCUAGUUAACCUCUAAUUAUCUCCUAGCACUUUGUAAAAUACUAUCCCUUUAUGCAAAACUUCACCUAGUCGUCAAAAAUUUAUCACACUUACCACACUAGCGGGUCCCACAUCCAUAAUGCACUUCAAACUUAAUAUGAACUAACUUAUACCGGGAAAAUGAUUUAAAACUAUACUCACUUAUAAAAAUAUCUAGGAAAUUAAGAUAAUAAAGUAAAGUAAAGAAAAUGUAUGCACGGAAAUAAAAUAAAUAAAAUAAUGAAAAUUUUUGGGUCCCCACAGGAAGAAAACUGUGUGAUGGCCAAGAGAGUGGAACUGGAAUUGUAGCUUGUUAUCAGAGCUUUCUUAGGAGAAUAAUGCUAGGAAAUGCAUGCAAUAUAUUUAUCUUAAGUCUUAUAAGAUAUUUAGCUGUGAAACUCAUGAAAUGUUGGUAGAUUUGGCUAGAAAUGUUAAAAGAAAGCUGCUGGAAAUUUCCAGUUUUAGGAGAGAGGAAAUAGAGCAUUGUCCAGCUUUUCUCUUCGACUCUUUGGCUGCAAAUUUUACAUUGCAGCUUAAAAUACCUCGUAGCAUGAUAAUCGCCAUCUGCAUGCUGAGUUUGAGUGAAAAAAUAUGAAGAGAUUGUGGAGAAAACUUGUUUUCCAAACUACUAACUUGCUGGAAAUUCUGUUUAGCUGAUGACAGAUUUACUUGAGGUUUCUUGGUGGAAUUAUUUGCUGAAAUUAUAUGCUAUUUGCUUUAUUUCAUGAUGGAUAGAAUGUAUGUUGUGUGUGUGGUGUUUAAGUGAGUAAAAGGUGGGAACUUUGUUGAAAAUUUUGAAGUAACAUUGCUGGAAAAUCUGUUUUGCUGGCCAAGAGAGUGGGGGUUGAAAUUUUCAUGUUAUUUUCAAAAAAUUCCAUGAUAAUUGGCUAUAAUCUCAAGUAAAAAAUCUUGUAACAUCUUGUCCUUGAUUUUCAUGUACAUUUUAUUGAUUUUAACACUUGAAAAGCUGGUGAAAUCUGAGAAAAAAAAAUUAAACAACAAGCUAACUGGUUUGGCCUGGAGGGAACAAAUGAAAAAUUACUAGCUUAAUCUUUGAAUUUUGGAUUGAAAAUGGUUUAAUCUUGGCCUAAACACCACACAAGACCUUAAUUUUUGGGUACGUAUGUAUUUCCCUUGUUUUGAGUUGAUAAACUUGAUGAAUCUUGAAGAGAAAUGUAAGAAAGGUUUGCUAGAAUUUCACCUCUUGUUUGAUAAGCUAAGGAACUUGGUUUCUAGUAAUUUAAACCUUAAAUUGGUGAGUGAUUAGUGGCCAGAAAUAAAGUUAAAUGGUUAAAAUGGACGGGAAAGGUUGCUAUACCAACUAUAGGAGUCUAGAGAGCCUUAAAAUUUAUAUGAAAAGAUAUUCAACUAAAACAUGAUUUAAGUCGCUUUAUACGAAUUGUAUAUUCACCUUAGGGUAAUAAACUAGUUUUGCUCAUGAUCUUAAUUAAUAAAAAGGGGUUUAUGGGACAAGAAAAUACCUUCAAGGUAGUUACUUCUAAAACUUACCUUAUUAAAAGUUAAUGUUGAGUUCUAGUACAUUAAAUCUAAAGCUAUAAAAGAAGUGAAGUGAAAUUGCUGUUUUUAUUUUAAAAACUUCACCAAAGAGUAGUUGAAUAAUUAUAGUAUUUAUAAACUUGUAUCAAGGGACAACAGUGAGCCAGGAAGCAACUCCGAGAUUCAAGUGUAACUUAUAUUGGCUACAGUGAGUGUUCUUAAGCUGUUUGUACUUGUUUAUUUGGUGACUUGCUUGUGUACUGUUAAAUGAUGCGAAUUGAAUGAAUGACAUAAGACUUUGCUUGGUUUUGAAAUUUUACUGAUAAAAGGCUAGAGCGUACUUAUCGCUACUGCCUUAAUGAACUGAAAUGUAUAUCAUAGUGAUUAUUGACGGGAUUGUGCAUGAAUGAUUGUAGGCCAUUGUGUACUUUAUCACAUCGGCUGAAUCGGGUCCUAUGCCUUGGCAAGUUGAUCUAGUUGAGCCGGUAAAGGACUUGGUAGAUUAGGUUGGCUACCAUGAGCAAUUGAAUGGUAUACUCGAGUUUUACCUUGAAGAUUGGAGAUCAAUGAACUGUUUAUUGAAUGUCAGGGAUUGUUUAUUGUUUUGGAGGUUAUAAGGGGAAAGAAUGGUGGAGUGAGAAGAAUUCAUAUCCUUUUAAGUGAAUGUUUACCUUAUUGAAUUUGUUCUCUUGAUUGGUUAUGUUUAAGGAAUGUCUUAUAUUGAUAUUUGGUUUUACACAUUUAAACUUCACUAAACUUUAACUCAACCUUUUAGUUUUGUUUUCCUUACAGGAGUUGAAGUUUGAAGAAUGAACAAGUUGGGUUAGAAUGUUUUGGGAGGUCCAUUUUUGUGUGUAUAUAUAUAUAUAUAUCACUGUUAAGAUUUAUUUUUGUAUUUUGUAAUGGACAAAGCUUUUGUCUUACUAGUUGGAGAAGUAUUAAGAAUGAAUGUUUUGGAUGUUUAAUUAGAAAUGUUAUCUCUAAAGUUAAUGGAAGUGAAUGAGCCAUGCCAAGAGCUAGGCAGGCAGUCCGCAAACCUUUAGGGUACGCCCUAGGGGAAGUGGGGUUGUCACACGCCAACCUUUUUAUAUUAUAUAAAUCACCAAGAAAGAUGAGUGUGACUACAACUUAUUGUGCAGCAAUGGGAAAUAGAGAACUACUCCCUUACAUGCUUAUGCGGAAUCUUCCUAAUAGAUGCAAUGUCUAACCUAUCUAGACACAUGGCUCCUCUAGCUAGCGGUGGAAUCGAUGAUAAUGCCGAUUAAAUCUCCUCUCCAGCAUGAGAACACCUUACAUUCGAUAAAACAUCAGCAACUUGGUUCGACUGACGAAAGCAAUGACUAAUCUGCAGAAAGUGAGCCGAAAAGGCAAAUAACUACUGCACUCUUUGUAAAUACUUCAUGGACAACUAGAUUUCUCAUUUAAAAUGAGAACUAGUAUUAAUGAAUCUAGUUCAACUUCAAACCGAAAGUUGGUUAAUUUAGAUCGAAAGUUGGCUUUAUGGAUGUAAUAGUUUCUGUGACGGCCCCAUCCCCCCCUAAGGCGUACCAAAGGGUUCAGCGGGUCGCCAGCCCAGCUCUCGUCGGGACUCAGUCAUACCUCAAUCAAAUCCGAAAUAAAACCCCAAGAUCAAACAAAAUAACAAUCCAAAACUUAAAGUGAAACUUAUAUACAUAACUGCCUUAAAAGGGAGUACAAACAUCGGAUAUACAAAGGUUCUCAAUCCUUCAUACAUCCAGCCUGUGCCGAAAGGUAGGGCGAGAACCAUUACAAAAAUUUAAAACUAGUCUAGGCUAGUCUAUACCGAGCUCUCGUCUUGGCUCGCCGUCCCCUGUUAAGGAAAACAAAACUAAAGGAAUGAGCUAAAAGCUCAGUGAGGUUCCGAACACAUAAUCAAAUAAUCAAUCCAAUACAUUAAACAUAGAGUAUCAAUAGUUCAAGAAAUAUUUACAAUGGAAAGCGAUAAUAACACAUUCAUUAAAAGGAUACGGGCUCACAAGGAGCCAUUCGUUCGUUCGUUCGUUCAUUCUCCUGUCAUUCCCCUUAUUUCUCCAAUUAUUUGAAAAUGCAUUUUUGUAAGUAAAACCCUCGUUUGCAUUGACAUUCGUUCGUUCAUUUCAUUCACCCCUUCCUGGACGUUGGCCAGGCUCCACCCGACAACAAGGUAAUACUCGAGUAUACCAAACGUUCACACCCAGGGUCACCAUAUCGCCCGACCGAGUCCGCUUUUGGCUCGAGUCGAUCGGUAAUGAAGGGCAGGGCCCAGUUCAGCCAAAAGGCUUACAUCAUGCGCAACUAGCAUUUCAUUAUUUAAUCAUUGAAAAUUUCACAUUCAUUUAGGUCGAGUGCGAUAAAGUGCACACUCGCCUAGAAAACUCAUUUAAAGCAAUCAUUGAAAACAUUUAACAUGUUAUCAUUCGUUCAUAACAAAUCAUAUAAUCAAGAACAAGCCACAUAGUCAAUGAAAAUAUAACAAACAAGGAACACUCACCUAUUUACGCAAAAUAACGUCCAAAAUAUCCUUCUGGAUAACACCCUCAAUCAUCAAGGAAUCCUAAUAUAAUAAAAAGAACACAUUAUGUUUCAACCAUCAAAGAUGUAAGUGAUUCAAAGAAAAUUCGAAUACGUACUAGUACAAAGUAUAAAUAUGGUUUUGGUAGUGAAAAGAGUACAUUUAAACCAAAGGACAUAAGUAAAAUAUUUGUAAAACUUAUACUCACGUGUAAAACUUUAAAAUCGCUAGUUGAGUCGAAGUGGCAAAGAAAACAUAAAUACCCUAGAUGGUUCACGUGGUAUUCGCUCUCGAGCCUUACUCAAGUGGCAAGUAUAUCGACCUAGUUCUCGAGCGUAAAUUUGGGCAGCACGCCCUUUGUAUUUACCUAUUUUCCAGCCAUUUAUGGCUUCAUUCUUUUCCUCAAUCAAACCCAAAGUCAUACACAAAAUCAUCUCAUUUCAAUAGCCAUUCCAUAGGCUCCAAGUCAUACAAGUACACAAUCAAGCUAGGAGCAUGUGCGGAAAUAAAGUUUAGCAAAAGACAGAUUUGAUGUUGUUUUGCGUAACGGACACAACCGAAGCUACGCUUAUCGAAUUGGGGUGAAAUUUAUACCAUUUCGAAGCUAAGAUAAAGUCCUACAAUUAUGUUGUUUCGCACUAACUUGAAAACGAAAAGGAAAAACCCUUAAUUGUAUAUUCAUUUGCACUUAUUGUGAGGUGAUUGGGUAGUAGGGCCAUUAUAAAGUAAUAAUUUCCAAAUAAAAGGGUAUUUUUAAGAAAAUAUAAGGAAUUUUACGGGUCCUCACAUCAUAAUGCGUUUCAAAUUUAACGUAUACUAACUCAUACUAGGAAAAUGAAUUUAAAACUGUACUUGCUUGUAAAAAUGCAAAGAAAGUUUAAUAUUUCCAAGGAAAGUAUAAAAUGUAGGCAAAGGAAUAAAAUAAUGCUGAGAAAAUGUGAAAAUUUUGGGUUCUCACAGUUUCGUUCUUUAAAUAUCAGGACAAAUUUGUUUCAUUUUGAAAGUAAGAAAUGAAAAGAAUAGUUUUACAAAAUUUGAGGGAUAAAACAGAUAAUUUUCUCAACAAUUAAUGUGCCUUCGUAGCAAAUGAUGUAAUUUCAACUUAAUAAGACGAAGAUUAUGUCAUCAUUAAGUACAAUGCAUUGCUGCUCUUUAUCAUACGUUUGUAACACCCUUAAAUGAGAUGAUCUCAUGUUUGUCAUAAAACUAUUCCAUUUAGAAUUAAAUGAGACAAAACCUUUACACCGAUAGGAUGACAAUUUUAGUGUUAGACAUGUGCAUUUCAUCAUGUCCAUGCAUGCAUAUCUUUUUCUAUGCUAGCUGACUUAUACUUUGUCAGUGUAGCUUUAUAGUAUUAAAAUGUAACUCUAAUAACUAAUGGUGUGACUUUAUAAUUGAUAAAAAUAUAUUAUCAUUUUCCUUUAAAAUGAUAGGUAAUCUUGAUCACAACUAUGAUAGUAGGUAAUAUUCCUGUCGCGCCCCACUUUUUGAUGCGUAAUGUGUGGUGUGAAGUGUGAGUGUGUAGUGUGUGUGUGUACGUGUGCAAAAUGAAAAUAAAGGCCAUGGGACUUGAUAAUGCGACGGUUUGGCCAUAUAAAGUUCAAAAAGGGUUUUUUGUAUCAAAAAUGGAGUCGCCACUUGGUAUAGAGUUAGGGUGUACCAAGUCACCCAAAAAUGAUUUUUGUUUUUGAAUGAAAAAGUAAAUAAACCCUUUUAGAGAACUUUUGGGUCUACGUAACCAAAAGAGGGAUCGGGGGUCACAUUUGACGAAGGGGAAGGCAAGGAUAAAAAUCCAAGGCACCCCUUCGUCCUAGCCAAGGCUAGUUGCGUGACUUAAACCAAUUUUCCCUAAUUUUUCUACCCAGGGUAUGUAUCGCGUGUUGGAUAUGUCUUUAUGAAUGCAAAAACCUAGACCUAGGGGGACAUGGGGGAAAUUUCUCUUCAAAGGUUGAGUGGUGCCAAUCACAUUAAUUGUGAAGCCCAAUAAUGAUCCUUUGGAGAGGUCACACGUAAUCCUAAAUGACGUAAAAAUGAGUGGAAUGCAUGCCAUGUGAAAGUGUGAGUUUGUGUGAAGUGAGAAAAAUGAUAAAAAUACGAUAUAAGUGGAGGUGUGCAAAUGUCUUUGAAUGCAAAUAUAUAUACUCCAAGUGCAAGUGGGCAAAAAUGCAUGUAUGCAAUUUAAAGAAAAGUGCGAAAGUGUCGGUGUGCAAAUGAAGAUGAAAGUACUCGUGUGCGAGUGAAGAUAAAAGUGUUCGUGUGCAAGUGAAGAUAAAAGUGUUCGUGUGCAAGUGAAAGUGAUAAAAAGGUGCAUGUGUGCAAAUGAGACAAAAGUGAAAGUGUGAUGAUAGAGUGGAUUGAGAAUGCAUGAGCCUAGGGAAUUCAUGCAUAUUGGGUACGGGGAGACCUAAAUCGUGACUCAAUUUGCCCUUUUAUAGAGAGGAUACAAGCGUGCUAAGGCUUUAGAAAAAGCCACACUCGUCUAUAUCCCAUAUUUAAGGGGACUCUCCAGGUAAAUGAACCCUAUAACUAGUAUGAGAUGCAAAAAAAUCCUAAAUUGAGGGGAAAAGGGGUUCGAGGAGCAUGCCAAAUGAUAAAACUAAGAAAAAUGCAUGACAUGUAGUGAACAUGCAAAUAUGCACUAUCGAAAGGGAAAUCCUAAGGGUCUAGCGUUGGACUAGCCCAUCUAUGAAUUCCGACUAGCGUUGGACUAGCGGAAACGUACAUUCAUCCAUCACAUUCAUUCAUGGUUAUGAAAGCAAGUAGACAUGCCAAAACACUCGUAAACACGUAGCACAUAACAUUUAGCAUGCUCGACUAGAUGCAAGGCCCUAACAAAGCAAAUUAACAUGUAACAACUAAGCAGGCAAGACACAUAAGGCAAUUAAAGCCCUAACUAUUACAUUUGCUAGCUAGGCACACGUCUUCGAUAGGUCUUCAUCGAAUGCUCCUCCAAGCCCUAUCUAUUACAAGCCAAGAGGUGUACACAUACCCCAUAAUGAAUACCUUAGACAAAGGGGGAAAGGGAAAAUGGACAAGAAAGCUCGCCAAGCCCUAUCUAUUACAAGCCAAGAGGUGUACACAUACCCCAUAAUGAAUAACUUAAAUAAAAGUAAAGUAAAUGAAAUAAACGCAAGGAAUUAAAGGGAAGCAAGUAAAGCGAAGUAGACAUGCAUAUUCACAUAACACGUUGGAUCACAUAGGAGAAAUGAAAAUCAAGGAGAUAGAGGUUACCUCCCUUGCAAUUGGGGCCCAGAUGAAAGAAAAAUGACUUCAAAACAAUAAAACGGUCAAGGUACCACUUUAUUUGGGAAAAACAAAGAAAAUAGGCAAACACAAGCUCACUUGGCCAUAAAGCCCCUAAAGUCAUGAAUUAAGUGCGAUUGAAGCGAAGCAUAGUAGUCAAUUGAAACAAACAAGCAAUGAAGUUGUAAAAUUAAAGGCUACCAAGGACCAAACUGAGGAGAUCAUUCAAUUGAUUGGGCCAUAGUAGGACAAGGGGAGACUUGGGGGAUUGAAGAGCAAUUUUCAGAAUUUAUUUCAUGCAUGCAACAUAUGCGGAAGAGAAGUUUUCUGCAAUUUUCAUGGCUGCGGCUUCCAUUUCAUCGCGCAGACCAGGUUUUCAAUCCAAAAACACAGCUUUGAUCAAAUGUUUUUCAGCCCAACAUCACAACUCUGAACUAAGUAACAAACUACCUGGUAAUCACAAUCCAAAUGACCAGAAAACUUGGGAAAAGAUCAUGCAAAACUUCUGAGAAAGAAAACAAAACUGGUUCGACAAAAAUGGUUGCAAAUUUCAGCAAAGCAUUCGAACAUGAUUCAGACACUUCAGUCCCCAAACAUGCAUACCCAACACCAAAUCAUUCCAUUCCUUCCCCCAACACAAGAUCAAACAUGACUGAAGUGCAAAACUCAACCACUAACGAAGGGAAAGGAAACGCAGCAGAGAAAAGAAAGAAAAAAAAUGUAGCAGCUUUCCCUUGCUGCAUUUUUAAACCCCAGAUUUCAGAAAAAACCAGCACAAUCCUCAGCCAAACUCUCUCAAUCCAAUGUAUAAACUUUGAGUUAAACAAACAACACACAACUUCAACAUCAACAAGUAAAGACUUAAACAGAAACUGAUGCAAAAAUCACGAAGAAACUCAUGCGUGUCUGCAAACCCCAACCACCAUUCCUUCUUCGAUAUCUCCCUCUCGGCUAAAACUCAUCUAUUGCCCAUGAAGCCUAUCAAUUUUACCCUCUUAACUCAAGUACUACAACUCUUAAACCAUGUCGUUAACAAAUAAUCUAAACCAAAAUGAAUGGGUAGAGAUGCAGCAAAAGAAAGGAUGACACUUGCAGCCAAAUUUCAGUCACGGUCUUUCUUUCCAUGAAGACCAGAUUUUGAUUCAAAUGCACAACUUUGAUUAGAUAUUCUUCAUCUCAACAUCACAACCUUAAAACCAAGCAACAAAACUUCAUGAUGAUCACCAUCCAAUGACCCGAAAUUUGGGAAAGAUAUUGUACAAAAAUUCUGGAAAAAAAACGCAGAAAAGGAAGAGCAAAGACUGCUAUAACUCUCUUAUCAACACAAGCCGAAUAUCAGAAUUUUAGUUUAGGUAUGCAUAUGAUGUACGAGCUGAGCAACAAAUCCCAGAAUUCAAUCGAAACAAAGAGUUCCAACAACAACCAAGACAAAGGCUCCAACAUCCGAACCAAACCAGACAAUAAGAAACUAAACAAGGCGUCGACAGGCCAUGCGAAUAGUCUUUUCAAAGCUAGGAACUUGCUACUGACUUUCAAUCUAUGAACAAACACCAAAUGGGUCUCCGACUUUCCCCACUGAACGUGCAAAGGUAACGACAGACAUAAAAAUGACAGCUUUGACGCUAAGAAGAUGAGCAAGGCAACGUGGGACUCACAGAUUCGUAUACACGCUUGGAAAGCUUAAGGAAUCAGCACUUAAACUUAAAGUUUAGAGGGGAGAAUGGCUUACAGUGGCCUUCUUUUGAUUGAAGGAACUGAUCUGAAAACAGCAGAAGGCGGUGGCAGCAGCUCCUCGCUUCGGUCAAAACCUCCUGGCUUGGCCCUCUCACUUUUCUUUCCGCCGUUGCUUCGCUCUUCCCUCUCUUCACCUCGCUUCUUCCGCAGCUCUCCCACUCAACCCGUCAACACCAGAACUCUCCUUGCUCUCUCUAUCUAUCCAACUCUCUGUAAUCUCUCCCUCACUUAGUUUCCAGCCGCCGUCAACUUAGCUCUUCUGAUUUUUCUUUUGCCGUUAUUUCCCCCUUGCUCUCGGCUCUCCAACUCUCAGCUGCCCAUUCUCUGUUUUUUCCUUCAGCCCCCAGCCCAGCCGAAACCUUCCUCCGUUUCUUUCUUUUCCCGUAAGCCUUUCUAUCUCUCUCCCAAAACCGAGCUCCCUCUGUUUCCUUUUUGCCUUUGCUGUUUUUUUUCCCUAUCUCCCCGACUCCCCUUCCGGCUACCCUCAAAUGCAAAACACCUUCUCCAAAACCUCCAUCCUACGGCCCCCCUUUGCUGUCCAAAACCUAGUCAUCUACUUCUAGAAUCCUCUUCCCCCCCUCCAGGUGUCCUAGACACCUGGCCUUUGUAGCUAAAAUUUGCCUCCCAAGGACCUCCCGCAAUCCCCCUUGCAAGCUGCGGCAAAAAACGCAGCUUUCUGCAUUUUUUUUUUUUAAGAAUAAUAUAAAUAACAAUAAAAACAAUAAUAAUUCAAACAAACUUAAACUUAAGCAAUAAAAAAAAACUAAGAUUUUCCUCUUUUCUUCUUUUUUCCAUUUUCAUUCAUUUUUCUUCUUUUUCUUUUUCCAAGAAAUUGUAUGCUAAAAACUUAAAAAUAAAAAUAAAACUAGAAACUAAAAACUAAAAAUCGAAUAAAACUAACACGACAAAUAAAAAACUAAAAAUAAACAGUAAAUGAAAUUACACCAAAAAUUUGGUGUCUACAAUUCCUACACCUAUGAUUAAAUAAUUAAUGUGUCUCUAUAGCAAGUGGCAUAAUUUUAACUUAAUAAGAUAAAGAUUAUGUCAUUAUCAAAUAGAAUGAUAGAUAGUUUUCAUCGUAUGUUCAUAACAACUUUAAACGAGACAAUCUCACCUCUCCUAUAAAUCUAUUCGAUGUACCUUUAAAAGAAAGGAUAAUUUUCAAUCAACGAGAGCAUAAUAUGCAUAUUUGGUACAUGCAGUUAAUUAUGUCAAUGAAUAUCUAUCUCUUCAUCUAUACCAGUCAACUCACACAUUGUCGAAAUGUCUAACCUUAAAGUAUCAAGUAUGAAAAUUAACGCUGUAAUUUCAUAAAGAAUAAGAUUCAUUAUCGUUAACCUUUAUAAGAGUACGUAAUCUUGAUUGCUCCUAUGCUAACAUGUUUAUAACACCCUUAAAUGAGGCAAUCUCAUGUCUCUCAAUAUUCAAUUCAGAAUUAAACGAGAUGGAAAUUUUACAUUGACGGGAGGACAAUUUUAGUGUUGGUCACAUGUAUUGAAUCAUGUCGAUGCACGUAUAUCUCUUUCCCUAUGCUAGUCGAUAUAUACUUUGUCCGCAUAACUUUAUAAUAUUAAAGUAUAACUAUGAAGCCUAUCGAUAUAACAGUAUAAAUGAUAAAGAUACAUUAUCAUUAUUCUUUUAGAAUGAUAGAUGGUCUUAAUUAUACCUAUGCUAAUGCGUGAUUGCCCUAACCAAUGAUUAAACAAGCAAUGUACCUCUACAGCAAGUGGCAUAAUUUCAGCUUUAACAAGAUGAAGUUUAAGUCAUCAUCAAGUAGAUUGAUACGUAGAAUUCAUUGUACGUCUGUGGCAUCCUUAAAAAUGAGAUGAUCUUACAUCUAUCAUAAAAUUAUUCAACUUAAAAUUACACAAGACAAAAAUUUUACAUCAAUAGGAGGACAAUUUUAGUAUUGGUGUAGAAAUUUAAUCAUGUAAAUGCAUGCGUAUCUCUUCCUUAUGCUAGUCAACUUAUACUUCAUUAAUGUAACUUCAUAGUGUUCUUUUUUGGAUGUAGCUAUGAAGAUUAAAGGUUUAACUUUAUAAAUGAUAAAUAUGUAUUACCAUUAUCUUUUACAACAACAGGUAGUUUUAAUUGCACUUAUGCUUACACUUUUGAUUGGGACAGUCUUAUUCCCAAAAUUGAACAAUUAAUUUGCCUCUGGAGCAAGGGGCGUAAUUCCAGCUCAGUAAGAUAAAGAUUAUGUCACCAUCAAAUAGAAUGAUUCGUAUUCAUCACACGUUUGUUACAUCCUUGAAAUAAGAUGAUCUUACAUCUCUCACAAAACUAUUCAAUUUAGAUUAAAUCGAGACAAAAAUUUUACACCUACGGGAGGACAAUUGUACAUAGACAUCCGUGUUCAUCGCGUGCCUGUCAACUUCCAAUUCGUUUGUGUAACCUCUUAGAAGUUCGAUGUUACAAUGAAGGCUAGCGAAUAGGUUCUUUAGAAAGAUAAAGAAACAUUAUCAUUUAUCUUUUCAAUGAUAAGUAGUUUUUAUUGCUCCUAUACUAAUACAUUUAAAUGGGAAGGUCUUACAUACAGCUAACAAUUUCAAUUUGCAAUAUUUGCUCACUUGAGCGACACUAAAUUUAGCCACCAAAACUAUAUUAAUUUCUUACAAGAAAAAUAUUAAAUGGUGGUGGUGGCUGCCGCCAGGAACAUUCUCCUUCAUUUGCAUCAUGCAUACAUUUUUUCCCUCAUCCGGGCCUUCUCACAUUUUUAGCAACUCUUUUGCGUGUACAAGCCAUAAUCUAUUGUCAGAAACCCAAACACUACGCACUUACAAACAUUUAGUAACAUCAUUUGAAUCCGAGGACUAUGGUUCAAGUUUAGGAAUUGGAAUUGUAAUUGGAAUCAUAUUAAAAAAUUUAGUAUGGGAUUUGAUUGGGUUUUGGUCAAAGGUAUCAAUACAAUAACAAGCGUUUGGUAGAUCUUUGUCAGGAAUGGAUAUUACAUUAAAAUUUGAAUAUUUUAUCAUUUUUUAAUUUCUUUUUCUUUUAAAUUUCUUUUAUUCUCUCCUUUUUGUUCUUAAUCCAAUUGCAGAACAUCCUUCUAACCCAAUUGCAGAACUUCAUAGCGACCAUUGAUGGAUCAACUGGUAUUUUUCUUCGACUUCAAGGUCACAAAUUCUAUUUUCGUAAAUCCUACUUGUAACUUGAAGAUCAUUAGAUCUAGUUUCUAAACAACUUAUUUUAAAAAAAAGAAAGAAAGAGAGCAUGGGUUUUUGCAGCCCCUCACUCCACCACCUCAACUCCUCCUCCAUUGCUGCCAUACAACCCCCAAAAAAAAUGAACAACAACUAUUUUAUGGAGAUUAGAACUAGAAAAGAGAACAAUUUUGUCUUAAUUUGAAAAGCCAAUCAAGAUGAGACUCUUUGGCCAACAAAAAUUACUCACAUUUCAAGAGCCGUCGUCAGCUAUGGAAGGGGAAGUGAAAAAAGAGGCCUACUACACCGGUAGGAGAGUAAUUAGAAGAUUGGAAUAAGUGGGAUAGAGGGAAGGGAAACAUCUAAUAUGGAGAAGUAAGUAAAUAGGAGAAUGCGAUGGGAAUAGAAGAGAGAUGGUGAAGUAACGAGUGAAAUGAAAUAAAAAAUAUUACUAUUAAUUAGCUUUGGAAUCAGACGUGGGAUUUCACAUAACCUUCCAACUUGGUCAGGAAUUGAGGGUUGCCAUUUUCUUAGCAUUCAUUCCAAAAUCUUGAAUCCGAUACCUAUAACCCAAGCACUAACAAUGGACUUGAUUCAAAUCCUUGAUUCUAAUUUGUGAAAUAAAGUAAUGAUUGAACUUACACCAAAUGAUUGAAAUGUUACACCAAAUGAUUAAACUGUUACACCUUAGUGCUAUUCAAAUUUGUUACACCUAAGAAUUGUUACACCAAAUGAUUUAGGUGUUAUACCAAAUGAUUGAAUUGUUACACCUAAGUGCUAAUCUAAUUUGUUGCAGUGGUGAUCAAUAAAAUCACUAAACAAGAAUAAUUAGACAAUUCUUUUUGGAAUACCCUUCUGCUCAAUUCAUAAGAAAUGUUGAAAAUUUUUAAGCCGCAAUACUAAAAUGGUAAAUCUUAAGUGUUAAUAAAAUGAAACCCCACAAAAAUAUUAGUUGUGUUUAUGGAUAUAACUGGCAAAAAAAAAAAAGCAUAACAAUAGGUAUGAUAUUAGUUUCUCGAAAAAAUUGGUUAGGUUCUACGCUGCUAGGGUUUGGCUGCUAGGGUUCGACUACUACCAUGGCGGCAGAGGUUGCCCUCCCGCCUGGAGGGAGGGCAACCUGCAUCUUCGUCUCCCUCUUUCAGGAAGAAGGCCUUCUCGGAGCUAUUCGCUAACGUCGCUUCGUCGCAGACAUCGCAGGUUCAAGCGACUAUGUCGACGCAUAUGGGGGAGCCAGCAGUGGUUUUCAAGGCUGCUGAUAUGUCAGCAGUAGCGUCUCAAUUCCGGUUCAUACUGGUUGGGAAGUUCUCGAAGGGCAGGCCGGCCCUGCUAGAGUUGAGAAAAUUGUUCAAUACAUUGGACUUGAAAGAUACGGUUACGGUUGGACUUUUGGACGGCAGGCAUGUCUUGAUCACACUCAACAACGAGGCAGAUUUCCUACGGGUUUGGUCAAGAAGUAUUUGGUAUGUUUAUGGUUGUCCCAUGAGAGUCUUCAAAUGGACACCAAAAUUUCAUGUAGACAGAGAAUCCUCUUUGGUUCCGAUUUGGUUUAGGUUGCCUAAGUUGCCCAUAUAUUUGUUUGAUAAGCAAUGCCUUUUUCAUGUUGUUUCUUGUCUGGGGACUCCCCUUUUUGCGGACGCAGCAACCGCUUCUUACUCUUUGCCGAAUGUAGCCAGAGUGUGCGUGGAGAUAGAUUUGAUGAAGGCGUUACCAUCAAGAGUGUGGUUGGAUAUGGGAGAUGGAGAUGGUUUCUGGCAAUCUUUACUGCCUGAAAAUCCUCCCAAGUAUUGUAUUCACUGUUAUAGGCAGGGACAUGAUGAGGGUGAAUGUCAUGUGAAGAACCCAGAGUCAAGAAAAUCGCAAGGGGAGUCGCGGAACAGGGAAGCCUUGGAGAUGACUAAGGCUGUGCAUAAGUCACAGGCCACGAGAGUGAAUGUAACCCAACAGUCGUCCAAACCGCAGGCUUUUCUUGAGGCGAGGCAGAUUUGCGAGGUGGAGUGUGAGCUGACGGUGGAGGUGGGCGGAUCUGACGAUGGAGGUGGGAGAGCUGUCCAGUUGCAGUAGACUACUGUUCGGCAUGCUGCGGCUGGGGAGGUGGAGUAGGUGGGGCUGGAGGAUGGGGAGCAGUCUAUGGCAGUUGCGGAAGCAGGGCCUGGCCUUGCUAGUGCUGCCCAGUGCACAGUGCCAGUGGCAGUAGAGGCAAUGGUCGACGUCAAUGGAGCCUACGCUGGUCUUAGCUGCAGCAUGGAGGGUGCGGCUGUUUUGAAAGAGGGUGGGCAGCGUGUUGAAGAAAGUGCGGAGAGGGACGGUUGCCGCAUGACAGGUAGGCUACAAGUGGUUUUACCAAUUUCGGACGCACAAGAGCAGUUCCUCCCUUUUGGGGAGCUGAGAGGGGGGGAGUUUCACGGAAGGGUGGAGAGGGAAGUGGUAGAGGAAAUUCAGCAGGUCUCCACGCCAAAGGGUGGGUAAGGGUAGUAAUGCGGACUCGUCGUCGGUGUUGGAUAAUUUCAACCUGGACCCCGUAAUCUAGCGCGUACAACACAAUGUGCAGAGCAGCGAGGGUUUUCACUUGGUGGGUCCACACAAGACGAAGGGGAUUUGGGCACAGUUUCCUUUAGAUCGUUCUUUACGCUCCAAGAGUAAGUCAUCCAAUAACUCUUUCUCAAUUUUGUCAAAUGUUUAAUUAUCUCUUUUGGAAAAUACGGGGUGUUUCACGCCCUCCUAAUUUUCAUAGAUUGAAACAUCUAAUUCGAUAUCAUUCUUUGCAGCUUGUGGCUCUGUAUGAGCCUAAAUUGCCUGUUAGUCCUGCAAAUAUCCAAUCCAUUCGGCUAAGACUUCACAUGGACUCGGCUUGGAUAAAUAGUACGGGGUCAGUUUGGGUGUUUUCUCAAGUUCAGUCUCCUGCACUUUUGUGGGUGAGUCGGACCAACACUUGUCCAUAAAAAUUACUUCCCAGCUACUGCCUACACCUAUGAUUUUUUCUUUUGUGCAUGCUAAAUGUACCAUGGCUGAGCAAGAGGGCCUUUGGGCCGGGUUGCGCAAUGAUAAGGAGGCGUCUUUGCCUUGGUUUAUUGUAGGGGAUUUUAACGUGGUUACGGGAGAGGAGGAAAAAAAGGGGGUUGCCAUUUCGGCCUUGGGAAGGGGUAGAGUUGCUAUCGUUUAUGACUAUGGCUAGGUUGGUGGACACGGGUUUCUUGGGGUCCAACUUUACGUGGUGCAAUAAUAGACAAGGUCGAGCACGCAUUUGGAAGAGCUUAGAUAGGCUGCUUAGUGAUUGUUCAGCGGAGGAGUUGGGUAUCAAUUUCAGGGUCCAGCAUUUGGGUAGGGCGCCUUCUGAUCAUGCCCCCUUGAUAUUGUCGACAGUCACUCGCUUGGAUAACUCCCCAAACUAUUUCAUUUUUUGAACUGUUGGACUGCAGGAGUCUUUCCUGGAUGUAGUUCGGUUGAACUAGCAUGUGGAGUUUACGGGAGACCCUCUGUACGUAUUGGCAGCUAAAUUGGGCCGGGUUAAAAGGGCGCUUAAGGCAUGGUCAAGGGAGUCUUUUUGGGAUAUCUUCGAGAAGGUGAAAAAGACGGAGGAGGAAGUGGUCUAGGCUGAACGUUGCUUCGACGAGGACCCGUCAGAGACGUACCAGGUGUGUCUAAAUGAGAGACGAGCUUUGCUCACCCAUAUGCAGGUGAUCAAAGACAUGUUUUGGCGCCAGAAAACUAGGGCGGUGUGGUUAACAGAUGGGGAUAAGAAUACUCGAUUCUUUCAUGCUUGUGUUUCGGAGCGGAGGAGGAAGUCUGUGAUCCAUCGGAUAAAAUCACAAGGUGAGGAGUGGCUGGAAAGGGAGGACGAUAUUGCUAAGGAGGCAGUUUCCUUUUUUCAAUACCUAUUCUCUGAUCAGUUAGGGUUGGGUUUCCCUCCGGUGCCGGAUGUGAUCCCCAGAUUGCUCUCUGAGCAGGAUAACCUCGAGUUGGAGCGUCACCCCUCUCUUGAGGAGGUUAAGGACGUGCUGUUCUCCUUGGAUCCCAAUAGUGCCGCUGGGCCUGAUGGUUUCUCGAGGAGGUUUUUUACUUUUGCAUGGGAGGUUGUUAGGAAGGAUGUUUUUGAGGCGGUAGGUAGUUUCUUCUCUAGAUCGGAGCUACCGAGGAGCAUAACGGCUACUUCUAUCGUCCUCAUUCCCAAGAUGGGUUCUCCUCAGGAUUUCUCGCAAUACCGCCCGAUUAGUCUCUGUACGUUUGUGAAUAAAAUUAUAUCUAAACUGCUUGCGAGGAGACUGGCGAGAGUUUUGCUGCUCUUGAUUUCGGAUAACCAGAGCGACUUUGUUCAGGGUCGUCAGAUUUUGAAUAACUUUCUGUUGGCCCAAGAGUUAGUUUUCGGUAUUCGGAGGCCGAAUAGAUGAGGUAAUGUGGUCCUUAAGCUAGAUAUGACAAAGGCAUAUGACAGGGUAUCUUGGAAUUUUCUGAUGCAGGUGUUGCACAAGUUUGGUUUCGGGGAGAGGUGGAUUGAUAUGGUGGCGGUUAGUGGCUAAUGUGUGGUUUUCUGUGCUUGUUAAUGGGGAGCCGAAGGGGUUCUUCCCAUCUUCCAGGGGGCUACGCCAAGGGGACCCCAUAUCACUAGCGUUGUUUAUUUUGAGGGUGGAGGUUCUAUCUCGUUCAAUGAAUGCAUUGCUAGCAGAUGGGGGGUUUGUUCCCGUUCAAGGUUCCUAGAGAUUGCCCUAACAUUUCUCACAUUGCUUACUCAGAUGAUGUAAUGGUUUUCAGUAGCGGGUUGAAGAGGUCCUUAAAGCUGGUCAUGCGAUCUUUGGGAGCUUACUGUAGCGUGUCGGGGCAAUAGGUGAACCUCCAGAAAAGUUGUUUUUUAGUGCAUCAGAGGCUUAACGAGUCGAGGAAACAUAUCAUCUCUCAGGUUACGGGUUUCAAAGAGCAGUCUUUCCCCAUUAGGUAUCUGGGCUGCCCGCUAUAUGUCGGGAGGGGCAAGCUGACCUACUUCUCUGGGAUUGCAGAAUCGGUGUCCAAGCAGGUGUUUGCGUGGAGUAGUAAGCUGUUGUCGUACGGUGGGAAGCUGACUCUUAUUAAGAGUGUGCUUACAUCGAUCCCAGUUCAUUUAUUGGCAGUCACUACUCCCACAAGGGGUUUCUUGCGAAGUCUGGAAAAGAUCUUUGGAGGAUUCCUAUGGGGCAAUCCAAAAUACGGGUUACGGUUUCAUUGGAUAAAAUGGAGUUCCUUUUGUAAGCCGGUGGAGGAGGGUGCUGUGGGGAUACGGUCGGUACAAGCUAUCCAUGAUGCUUUCUCUAUGAAGUUGUGGUGGUCGUUCAGACAAAAUGUGUCCUUAUGGGCACGUUUUAUGUGGGGGAAAUAUUUGAGUGAGGGUCACCCGUGCGAAGCUAACCAUAUUCGGGGGCAAUCGCCCACAUGGCGUAGGAUGGUGAUGGUCAAGGACCAAACGGAACAGCAUAUUCGAUGAGUUUUGGGGAAUGAGGAAGUGGAUUUUUAGCAUGAAAAUUGGUUGGGGACUAGGCCUGUGUGCGAUACAGUAGAGAAUUUUGGGGUGCAUUUAGUGGCGAAUUUUGCUGAGCAAGGCCGGUGGAGUAUAAGUUUGUUACAGCAAUGAUUACCUUCAACCAUUUAAUACCUGCUUUUUGCUUCCAAAAGUCACAUUCAAUAACUAGCUGUCGCAUAUAUUUUGCCCGUGCUUCUUGCAAUCGAACCUUAGAUAUCUCGUCACAACACAAAUCAAAUUUUGAUUGCCUUUGGUUAUACACCUCCUCUACAGCUUUGACACAAGAGAAAAUACUCCCAAACACCUUCCUACUCCAUGAAUUCAAACACUUCCUAACCCGCACACCUCAGACACUGGCUGUUGCCACUCCUCUUUGAUGACCUCCAAAAAUAAAGGAUGAGUUCGCCAAACAUUCAAAAAAUGGAAUCCUCCUAUCCUUGAAAUUCCUGGGCUGCAUUUAAUUAACAACGGCGCAUGAUCGAGCGACCUCUUGCCAAAUGAGAUACCCGAGUGAUGGGGUAACCAUCCAUCUAGUGGGAAUUAGAUAGUGCCCUAUCUAACCUCUGUCACAUGUGAGCAUUAGUCCAUGUGAACGGGUGACCAUCGAAAUCCACCAUAGACAGCCCACACUUAAAUAUGGAAGAGUUAAAUUCUUCCAUAUUAGUAAUAUUUGCUAGCGAACCACCUAUACUUUCAUCAACCGAAGAGACAAUGUUAAAGCUCCCAGCUACCAGCCACGGAAGAUUCAAGCCCUCACAAACAUUCUCCAAAUUUUGCCAGAGAGACCGCCUCCCUACCCUAGUGCAUUUGCAUAGAUCCCCGCUGAAAACAAACGAGACACCCCAGCAAAAUACUAUGGAAGUGUGUGUGGUGACCCCACCUCUCCCUGAGGCGAACCAAAGGGUUCAGUGGGCCACCUGCCCAACUCUUGUCAAGACUCAAGCACUAGCUAAAUAACAAGUCCUUUCGAAAUAAAAGUCACAUUCACAUGGCCAAUACAAAAGAUCCCUAGCUAAAUACAGUAGAUUGUGAUCGAUACAAUCUUGAAAUAUGCUACUAGCUCAACUUACAAAAGUUAAGUUCCCAACUUACAAAAACAACACUAAAGUUGGUACAACUAAGCUACAGCAAAAGAUUCCAACAAGACCUGGCCCUUCCUAAUCACUCGCCCAGGUGCUCCCUAUAAGGAAAACAAAUCUCAACGGUGAGUUUUCGCCCCGUGAGGUUCCAAGAAAGUCAUGCAACAACACCCACAUAACCAUAGUUCACAAACCAUGCAAGUACACGUCAGGUACCCGACAAUUAAGAAUUUGCAUUUCCUAUAAAAGGAUACGGGCGCUCUCAACAGCAUAUUCAAGCACCUUGAUCAAAAUUUCGUUGACACUCCGUCAAAAUCUUUUCCAAAAUACUAACAAUUAUUUUACCACUUCACGUCAUUCUCCAACCACCAUUCAACCCCCUACUGGGCCCGCAUGUCAAAAUUUAAGAACUCGAAGAUACCAGUUCAAAUUCAAGAGCUCAAGUACAAGUUCAAGUUCAUGUGACAAGUGACGAGACCUAUGAUUCGUCAAUCAUGCCAACCAAACCCUUACUGGCUCGACCCGACCAACUAACCAAUGGGGUUUGGGGCCCCAAGCAUGCAAGAAAGUCGAUGGAAUAAUCACGCAAUCAACCAACAAGUCAAGUACAAGCAAAGCAAUUCAUCUCAUAUCAAUAUCAAGUCACAAAGGAGCGAAUAUGAUAAAGUACAUCAUCAUCCCAAUUUUAACAGUUCAAGAGUAACAAGAGCAAGUAUUUCAAACAAGCGAACAUGUCAUUCAAGUAAGAGACAUUGCACGAAAGCACUUUACAUACACUUAGAACACUCACCACGGCAACCAGUUCAAGUGUUAGUCUUGGGUGCAUUUCCGAUCUCACUUCCCUAUCCUAAAAUCACAUAUAUAAAGUGCCAUGAAAUUCACUAUGCCAAGUCACAUUAUUCAAAAGAAAAUCAAGCUCAAAUUGGUUGGACAACUCCAACUUGAAGUUGGAAAUGAAAGUAAUAACAGUUUUAGGAAAACAGAAUUUUUUCCAAUUUUGCGCGACGCUAUUUGAAAAAUCAUAUCUCAAGCUUCUCAAGUCCAAAAUUUAUAAAAUUUAUACCAUUGGAAAAUAGACUCAAAGGGUUACAAUUUCCCAGAAGAACCUUCGUAUGAUUCUGUCCCCAAAUCAGUCAAAAUCCAAUCUCAAGUGGCUGCUUUAUCCAGUAGAAAGAUAGAGCAGGUAUGUUAGAUUCAUCCUCAACCCUUACUCAAGUAGCGAGUACAUCUACCUAACCCUCGAGUGCAAAUUUGGGCAGCACGCCCUUUGUAUUUACCUAUUUUUCAACCAUUUAUGACUUCAUUAUUUUCCUCAAUCAGUCCAAAGUCACACACAGAUAAUCUCAUUACAAUAGCCGUUCAAUAGACUCAAUGUCAUACAAUUACAAAACCAAGCUAUAAAAGUGACCGGAAAUAAGGUUUAAGACAUAGAACAAAAGACAGGUUCGAUAUCUCUUAGCGUAUUGAUCACAAUUGAAGCUACGCUUAUCGGAUUGGGGUAAAUUUUAUACCGUUUCGAAGCUAAACCAAAGGGCUACAACUUUUAUGAAGACAACUCAGCCCGGUUCAUAGUUUAUCUAGGUUGAAUUUACAGAUUACAGAACCAGAAUUUCACUGUCAGGCUGGAUAAUAGCACUGGCUUCAAAUGACAAUAAAUCAGACUUCACAAGUCCGAUUGAGGCGUUUUCAGAUGCGUUGGAAAGCUAAAACAUAAGACUAAAACUUUUGGGUCUUAGCCAACUGCUAAUUUAAUACGGAUCAAGGUGAAAAAUGAAGCAAUAAUGAUAAAAUGUCAAAACUGUCCGCAAAACUCUACCUAUGGCAGUCAAGGGUAUUUUUGUCAUUUCACAUUUUACAGUGCUCGGUUUGAGGUGAAAUUUUACAAACAACUAUAAAACAUCAUUUCCUAUAACUUUCAUGUUUUAAGCUAACCCCAAUUCAGCCUCCAUCAUGGCCGAAUGGAACUGGUCAAAAUAGGGCAGUGUAAGAACUCAAAUCUGGAAUUUAAUGAAUUUAAAGUGUAAACUUCACAUUUCUAGCUUGAACCACUACUUCAACCUCCUAUACAAGAUUAUAGACACCAUAUGCCAUCUAAACAACAAGAUAUACAAUUGAGCAAUUCAAAACUCUAACUCACAAAUCCACCACCACAAUUAUCAAAACUAGAAUAACUAUCAUUAAUCAAGAAUCUAAGUUGCUACAAAACUUAAGCAAGAUUAAGGGAAAGAAAUAGGAUGAGCAGCCAUACUACCUCACUAAGAUGCUUGCAAGAGAUAUCCCUCACCUAUCCUUCCCAAACUUUAGCACCCCAAGCUUCUUAAGCUCCCAAUUUAGAAGUUAAUCGGUUUAGAUUUCUUGAUUCUUCACUUAAAUAAGCUAAACUCAAGAUGAAAAUGGAAUUUUCUUCCCUUGUUUUCUCCCUCAAUGUCACGGUUGGAAUGGCAGAAAUAAGGAGCAAUUGAAGUGAUUUUUGGUGAUAAAUAUGAAAGAAAUUGGUUGGUCAACAACCUUGGGAUGGCCGCCACUUGUCACCAUGAGAUUAACUUUCAAAAUUUUUUCUUUUCCUUGGUUUUUCUAGUCAAUAUUUUCGGCCAACAAGAGCUGAUUAAGCGGCUGAUAUUUUGCAUUAAUAUCAAUGAUAUUUUAUGGUAAGAAAGUGGUGGUCAAAUGGUGUGUUCAAUCGGGUAGUGAACGAUACCCGUCGGUUCAAGCCGAUUUUCCUUAAAUCGUGUAUACUAGGGUUUUAACUUAUAAUUAACUAAUUUAUUAUUAUCACUUCUAAUCACACACUUAACAUCAUCUAAAACUCACUCUUAAUCACUAAAUUUGAUACACACUCCGUACCGAAUAAUCAUAUUACGAAAAGGCGUAAAAAUUCUAAUUUAUGAUAACGAGAAAACGAAAUAAAAAAUCCUUGAUUCUAUGUUUAUUUGCACUUAUUAUAGGGGUGAAUGAGUAGUAGGGUUAUUAUAAAGUAAUAAAUUCCAAAAUAAAAGGGAAUUUUAAGGAAAAUAUAUAGAAUUUUAAAAGUCCUCACACUCUUUCCCCCUUAAGAGAAUUUCGACCUCAAAAUUCAUACCUUCCGUUGCCUUAGAUGACUCCGGCGCUUGUUGCUUGUCUAAGACAUAUACCUUUGCUGGUACUUUUGUUCGGUUCCCUCUUUCAUUCACUUGUUUCGAUUUGGUUCAAUUCACUUGUUGGGCACUAUUCUCUCUCGGGCUAUUUUUUUGGGCAAUUGCCAAUUUGAUGAUUGCCACUCCCACAAAUCAAACACUUUCGCCCUUUCCUCCAGCAAUCAUUUUCAGUGUGAUUUGCCUUCCCACAGUAUCCACAGGCCACGUGGGAUGCCACUGUUUGGCCUUCUCGAGAAAUCCCCUCAUGUUCUCUUUGACUUUCUUUUGUAGAUCCUUCAUCUAGUGCUCCUAAUGUCCAUGGUGGAUGAGGUAAAUGGUUCAUUUUUUGCACUUUGGAGGGUGUUAUCUUUUCUCUAGGUUCUUCAGGUAUGCUACUAGAUGCACCUCUUUUUCGUGUUUGAAAAGAUUUUACUUGUGCUUUCGCAUCCUCAAUUCUCUGCGCUUUCUCGAGAGAUUCCGUAAAAGUAUUAACUUGAACCGCCGCUAAAGCUUCCUGGAUUUUCAAAUUCAAGCCUUGUAUGAAUCGUCUUACUCUCCUUCGCUCUGUAACCACUAAUUCGGAAGCGAACUUAGACAGUUUAGUAAAUUUAGUCUCAUAUUCGGCCACAUUCUGGGUUCCCUGACUCAAUCCAAUGAACUCAUCCUCUCUCCUUUCUUGGACCAAAGGUGGGAGGUAGUUCUCGUUAAAUUCCCUUAUAAAGUUCACCCAUGUCCAUGCAGUCUGUUCUCUCUCCCACUUUGCCCUAAUAACAUUCCACCAUAUUCGGGGUCCUUCGAAUUGGAAUACAGCAAAGUUCACCUAUCUUUGCACCGUGUAGUUCAAGGCUGCGAAGAUGUUAAUCAUUGCUCUAACCACUGUUCAGUUACAUCUGGAUCAGGCCCUCCAAGGAAUUUAGGAGGUACAAAUUUUUAAAACCGCUCCAUAACCCUAUCCUCUCCUAUCUCGGUAUUCUGGGGUUGAUUCACUGGCAUUUGACCUUGUUGAUCUACAAUUGCCCUAGAAUAUUUGUCAUUUGUUGGAUCGCCGUCGCUACUUGGUCUCCUGCCUUAACCCCGGCCCACGAUCUUGCUCAGCUGCUGUUUCUUUUUCAUUUCUUCGUUCUUGAGCUUGCCUAACCCCACGGUCCGAAUAGCUCCACGUCCGCAACUACGCCUCCCCUCCAUACCCUUUUUCUCUCUCUUUUUUUUUUCAAAAGGUGAUUUAGUAUUUAACAAAGUAAAUUGACUAAAACAACAAGAUAUAACACACCAAAUUCACAAAGUUACAUAUCAAGUUGAACAAAAACAAAAUCAAGUACGGCAAAUACUAUACACGUUAGUAUUAAUAUGCCACAAGCCAAAUACAUACGAUAACAAUACAGAGGUAAAACAAAAGAAAACACGACAUACCGUUCCACACUCGAUUAAAAUAUUCCCCAUCCCAUCUCUCACUUCUCUUACCAUCCGAACUAGACGUCCGUUAACCCCUAGCACUUACUCUCACCAAACAUUAGCCAAUUCCUGUUCCCCGCAAUAAAGAUCGCAAGUCUUUAGUAUUGCCCUCAACUCUCGCUUACUCGGGUACAAGAAUUCGAGAUAAUUCACCACUCGAGUUGGCCAGUCCCAAGAGUAAACUAUCUACAAUCGAGAUUCCUACCUGACGUACAUAUCUAUUGUUUUCAAGUACCAUGAGAGAGAUUUAAGACCUAUAACAAUUCAUGAUUCAUAAUUUAUGCUCAAAAGAGCACUUAAUCCUUCAUACUUAUUCACGAAAUCAGAACCAUAACACCACUUGGCCCAAACUCACUCCGCGCAGAGAUCACGCGAAGUGGCUCUGAUACCACUUGUGACAGCUCCAUCUUCCCCUAAGGUGAACCAAAGGAUUUGGCGGACCGCCAGCCCAUCUCUCGCUAGGACUCGAUCGCUCUCAUCAAGUGAAAUAAGAUAUAACCUCGAGACUAAACGAAAAAUAAUUCUCAAACUUGAAACAUAUACUUACAUUCAUAUCCAUCUCAAACAGAAAUACAAUCCCAAUUAGAACAAAAGGUUUAAGUUCUUACUACAUCCAACCUUAUCCAAGCACUAGCACGAGAACAAUAAAAAAAUUAAAAUUUCAAAAAACUAGACCAAGCUAGUCUGCACAGGACUCACGCCCUCGCUCACAUCCCCUGUAAGGAAAACAAGCUAACGGAAUGAGCUAAAAGUCCAAUGAGGUUCCAUAUACAUAGCCAAAUAAUUAAACUAGAACAUUAAUCAUGUAAUAACAAGUAAUCUAGAAAAUAUUUACAAUAUAAAAUAAUGAUAAUACAUUCAUUAAAAAGAUACAUGCUCACAUGGAGCCCUUCAUUCAUUCAUUCCCAACCAUUUCCUUAUUCCUCCAGCACUAAAAAUAAUUUCAUUUGUAAGUGAAAAUCUCUCCAUUGUUCUUGCCAUUCAUUCAUUUAUUUCAUUUUCCCCCUAUUGGACACUGGCCAGUCUCCACCAGAUUUCGUGAUUAUACUCGAGUAUACCAAACAUUAACCCAGACUCACUAAUCGCCCCAAAUCCGCUUCUGGCUCGAGUCGACCGGCAACGAAAGGCAAGGGUCCAGUUCAGCCAAAAGGCUUACAUUCAUGUACAAGUAGUAUUUAAACAUUUAAUCAUUCAAUCAUUGUAAAUUUCACAUUCAUUUAGGUCGAGUGCGAUAAAGUACACACUCGCCUAGCAAAAUUCAUUUUUAGAAAUCAUUGAAAACAUUUAACAUUUAAUCCAACAUUCACAAAUAGUCACAUAGUCACAACAAUCCACAUAGUCAUUGGAAACAUAACGUAUAAAGAACACUCACCUAUUUAAGCAAAAUAACGUCCAAAGUUUCCUUCCGGAUAAUACUCUCAAUCACUAAGGAACCCUAAUAAUAACCAAGAGAAAAUAUUACAGUUAAACCAUCUAAAGUUUAGGUGAACCAAAGAAAAUCCGAAUAACUACUAGUACAAAAUAUAAGUAUAGUUUUGGAAGUGAAAAGAGUAUAUUUAAACCAAAGGACAUGAGUAAAAUAUUUGUAAAACUUGUGCUCACUCGUAAAACUUUGAAAUCUCCAUUUGAGUCGAAGAAAUGGAGAAACGUAUUUCUAUUAGUCGUAAAUUUCAUUUUUUCAAGGGUACAAGUUUCGGUCAGAUUCUAACUUUUAUACCUCUAAGAAAGAAGACUUGAAUACCUUAGAUGAUUCAAGUUAGUUUCAUCCUCAACCCUUACUCAAGUCGCGAGUACAUCUACCUAGCUCUCGAGUGUAAAUUUGGGCAGCACGCCCUUUGUAUUUACCUAUUUUCCAGCCAUUUAUGGCUUCUUUAUUUUCCUCAAUCAGUCCCAAAGUCACACACAGAUAGUCUCGUUAUAAUAGCCGUUCAAUAGGCUCAAUGUCAUACAAUUACAAAAUCAAGAUAGAAAAGUGAUCGGAAAUAAGGUUUAAGACAUAGAACAAAAAACAGGUUCGACGUCUCUUAGCGUAUUGGUCACAACCGAAGCUACGCUUAUCGGAUUGGGGUAAAAUUUAUACUAUUUCGAAGCUAAGCCAAAGGCCUACAACUUUUAUGAAGACAACUCAGCCCGGUUCAUAGUUUAUCUAGGUCGAAUUUACAGAUUACAGAACCAGAAUUUCACUGUCAGGCUGGAUAACAGCACUGGGUUCAAAUGACAAUAAAUCAGGCUACACAAAUCCGAUUGAGGUGUUUUCAGAUGCGUUGGAAAGCUAAAACAUAAGACUAAAAUUUUGUGUUUUGGAUAACUGCUAAUUUAAUACAGAUCUAGGUGAAAAAUGAAGCCAGAAUGAUGAAAUGUCAAAACUGUCCGCAAAACUCUACCUAUGGCAGUCAAGGGUAUUUUUAUCAUUUCACAUUUUACAGUGCUCGAAUUGAGCUAUAAUUUUACAAACAGUUAUAAAACAUCAUUUCCUACAACUUUCAUGUUUUAAGCUAAGCCCAAUUCGGCCUCCAUCAUGGCCGAAUAGAACUGGUCAGAACAGGGCAGUGUAAGAACUCAAAUCUGGAAUUUAAUGAAUUUAAGGUGUAAACUUCACAUUUCUAGCUUGAACCACUACUUCAACCUCCGAUACAAGAUUAUAGACACCAUAUGCCAUCUAAACAAUAAGAUAUACAAUUGAGCAAUUCAAAACUCUAACUCACAAAUCCACCACCAUAAUUAUCAAAACUACUAAAAUAGCUAUCAUUAAUCAAGAAUCUAAGUUGCUACACAACUUAAGCAAGAUUAAGGGAAAGAAAUAGGAUGAGCAGCCAUACUAUCUCACUAAGAUGCUUGCAAGAGAUACCUUCACCUUUCCUUCCCAAACUUUAGCACCCCAAGCUUCAUAAACUCUCAAUUUAGAAGUUAAUCGGUUUAGAUUUCUUGAUUCUUACUUAAAUAAGCUAAACUCAAGAUGAAAAUGGAAUUUUCUUCCCCUUGUUUUCUCCUCAAUGUCACGGUUGGAAUGGCAGAAAUAAGGAGCAAUUGAAGUGAUUUUUGGUGAUAAAUAUGAAAGAAAUUGGUUGGUCAACAACCUUGGGAUGGGCACUUGUCACCAUGAGAUUAACUUUCAAAAAUUUUUUCUUUUCCUUGGUUUUUCUAGUCAAUAUUUCGGCCAACAAGAGCUGAUUAAGGGGCUGAUAUUUUGCACUAAUAUCAAUGAUAUUUUAAUGGUAAAAAGUGGUGGUCAAGUGGUGUGUUCAAUCAGUAGUGAAUGAUACCCGUCGCUUCAAGCCGAUUUUCCUUAAAUCGCGUAUACUAGGGUUUUAACUUAUAAUUCACUAACUUAUUGUUAUCACUCCUAAUCACACACUUAACAUCAUCUAAAACUCACUCUUAAUCACUAAAUUUGAUACACACUCCGUACCAAAUAAUCACACUACGAAAAGGUGUAAAAUCCUAAUUUACGAUAACGAGAAAACGAAAUGAAAAACCCUUGAUUCUAUGUUUAUUUGCACUUAUUAUGGGGGUGAAUGAGUAGUAAAACUAUUAUAAAGUAAUAAAUUCCAAAUAAAGAGAAUUUUAAGGAAAAUAUAAAGAAUUUUACAAGUCCUCACAGUAUCAUAACUUGAUUAGUUUUUUAAAUAACCUAAUUUACCCUCUCUUAGAUUGUUUUCGAUCCUUAUAAUAUUAAUCGAUAAUGAAAAGAUAAUGAAAAAAUUAUAAAGAGAUUGAAUCAGAAAACUUACAUUAUUAAUUUUGAAUCCUUGAUUCAAAAUCUCUUUUAAAGAUGGAGUACAAAGAAAUUAAUUUUGUGAAAGAAACUUAGAAAAGAAACUUCUUAAGGAAACAACUCUCUCAAAUUCACUUUGUUUCUCCUUUGAAUCUAUUGAGUAUUUAUAGAACAAUAAAUUAAACUAAAGUUUCAUUUCAUCUAGAUUUUGAGAAUAUUUUUUCAUUUAAAUUUCAUUUGAGUGUGGCUCCUAUUUGCUUUUGCCUAAUAUCUCUAUUUUUUUUAAAAAGUUUGAGUGCUAUCGCUUUUCUCAUUCACAUAGGUCUUGAAUGUUGUCAUCUUUUGUCGGUCAUUAAAUUUCACAUGGGUCUUGAGCACAAGAUCCUCUAAAGAAUCCAUUAUAGAACCUACAAAAGAUUUUGAUUGUUCUUUGUCUUUUAGUUUUGUCUUUAGAAAUUCCACAUAUUGCUAUAGUACGUCAAGAUUUUCCAUCAUUUUGAAUAAGGUGCAAAAGCAAAUUAUAAGUGUAAAAUCAUGAAACUAUUUUACAAAACUACUUAUCCAAAUGUGCGACAUAUAGGGCAAAAAAGCAAAUUUGUACUCUAUAUUUUGCAUAUAUUUGCAAAAUUGCACACUGAAGAAGGAGAUACUAUCAUUUGAGAAUAAGAAGUUGAUGGCUGUUCUGUGACGACCCCAUCUCCCCUUAAAGCGUACCAAGGGUUUGGCGGACCGUCUGCCCAACUCUCACCAGGACUCACUUACACUGUCACGAAAUUACAAAGUAACAACCUCAACAAUAAGAGCAAUAUUAAUUACAACCCUAAACAUAUACAAUCGUGACAUCAAAUGCCCAUACAACCUGUAAAUACAACCGAGGAGUUAAACUUAUAAAAUAAAAUCAAACAAGCCUGCGAGAGAGUUAAGAAGUGCCUACGCUAGUAACUAACAAAACUUAGACAAAGUCUAUGUCUUCUCUAAUUCCCACUCUUACGUUUUUACCCCUAUAAGGAAAAAAAUUUGGAAUGAUAUCAUUCACAGGAUAUUAAGAAAAAGUUAAACCCGAAUAGAUCAUGACCUAAUAUAUAUAUAGUAAAGUAGGUAAUCAGAUAGAUCAUGCAAUUGUGUAUGGUAAAGAACACGUUCAUGUCAAAAAGAUAUAGUCUGCUCUCAGGAGCAGGUUCUACAGCAGUUUGUCCAGGGUCCGUUGACUCUUCAUCAAUCACGAAAUUAUAAUGUCCAUAGGUUACCACUAAACGUCAAUCUCCGUCCACCAAUCAUUCUCCUACCUGAUCCGAAUGCCAAUCAAGUACCCAAGAUUUGUUAAUCUUCUAGACCAAAUCCUUGUCAGUUCGAUUCGACCAACUAGCCAUGGGUUAGGCUAUAGCCCCAAGUAUUCAAGUAUUCAUAAUCUAGGUUUCAAGUAUUCAAGAUCUAGGUUUCAAGUAUUCAAAUAUUCAUGAUUUGGGUUUAAAGCCUAAAUAUUCAAGUAUUCACGAGUGGAGUCGUUGCUGUGAUCUAACGCUCACGCAAGUAAAAAAUUGGAGACGUUAGCUGUCACCUAACGCUCUGUAUUCAAGCAUGUCACGAGUUCAAGUCAUAAAUUUCAAGUCACGAGUAAACAGGUUAGGAAUUUCGUCUCACCUAAGGUUGCCCAACUUACCUGACUGCUCUAACACUGGUCUCAACAAGAGGUCCAAUGAGGGCUCAGUUCAGUAGUUACCGACCUACAUUCACGCAUAUGCAUAAGUAACUCAAGUUCCAAUUACCCGACGUCUCGGAUAAGGGUCCAAAGGCCUAGUUCAACCGCUGCAGAAGAUAUACAGCCAGUCUACAUCAUGCACAUGUACAUGCAACAAGAUUAAGUAUUUCAAUCGAUAUAGGUCUUGUAAAUCAAAUUUCUUGUAUAUGCAUGAACAGACAUCAGAAGUUUAGUCGAGUUAGGUUAAGUACGAUAAAGUACACACUAGAUUAGAAAUGAAAUCAAGUGUCUUACAAUUUUAGCAACAGGUAGCAUGGAACAUGCAGUUGGAACACUCACGAUUCAAAAUAGAGCAACGUUAAACAUUCGUUUCCGAGUUACGCUCGUGUUCACCGCCAUACCCUAAGCAACUAGGAUAAAAAUAUUAUUGUCUAACCAUCCAAAGCUUAGGUGAACCAGUUCACAUUUGGACUCAACUAUGAGUCAUACACCUAUCAAGUUGGUCUCUUAAAUUCACAAGGGUUCAAAAACAAAUUUGAAGGUGCAAAUCAAGAAAAAAAUCCAAGUAUACAAUAGGGCAAUGAUUCAACUAUGGUUUUGGAGUAAAAGGAAUGCAUUUGGACCCAAAAACGUGAGCAGCCAAAGAGUUCCACAUUUCAUUUCAUUGCUGGAAAUGUAUCAUACGAUCCUCCAAACAAGAAGUCCAGCCACAAAAGUCGAGAUUUUCACCAUAAAAACUCACAUUCUUGCUAAGAUUAAAGUGUUUUAAGAUAUAUGGAGUCAAGAUAUAUCAAUAUAUAGCCAAAGUUUUAGAUGUAAUGUUCGAAACAUCUCAGCUUCUCUCCUACGAGUUCUAACAAAAAAUUCCAGCAAGCAUCAUUCCUUUGAAAAAUCAUACCUUGAGUUAUAAAUAUCAAAAAAUCAUACAACUUGCCCAUUAAAACUAGACUCGAAGCACUAACAAUCUUUGGAAGACACCUCAAAGAGAUUCAAUUCAUAAAUUGGUCCAAAUUGAGCCGCAAUCUACUACACACAUUUCCAGUUUUAUACUUGUGCAGGGCAAAAUUUUCAGUCAACUUUGUCAAUUUUCUGGGUGUAUAUAUAAAAUGAACCUAGCUCAAAUUUAAAAUGUUAGAAAUCUCUUGAGUUUAGUUUCAAACGCAAGAAAUGAAAUUCAAUUUCAACUUUUCUAUACGAAAUUAUAGCAAAUUUUCCAAAACUGCGCAGAGCUUCCUGCGAAAUUUCCAGAUUGCUAAUAAUGGUGAGAAAAUGCUGCUUUCACUAACAAAACCUCACUCCCUUGACUCAAGUUCAACAUACACUUGUAGUAUAAAGUCUCAUAAGGUGUUUUAAGUAAAAUUGAACUUUAAAUCAUCAUGAAAUUUUGGAAAUCAAGUCUAAACAUUCAGCCUCUAUUUUCGGCCAGCAAGCACAUGGUUUCUUAAUUGUUUUUUCAAUCAUUUCCUCAACCAAUUUAAAAGCUUAAUUUCAAGGCAAAAUAAUCUCAAUCAAAAUACAUGUUAUAGGGAACAAAUGAUACAUGUUCUAAGUCACAAUAGCUCAUCAAAUUUAACAUAUAUAUGGUGCAUAACCAACUAUGUCAAGGCUAGAAAUUUUUUUACCCUAAGUUGAAAAUUACAACUAAAGUUGGAAAAGUCUAUAACAAAGCUAAAAAUUUGUACUAAAACUGGAAAUUUCUCAAGGCAUGACUAAAGUUUCAUAACAAAGCUGGAAAUAAUAUCUCAAAGCUGGAAAUUUCCAAUAAAAGAUGGAAAUAACAAACUACUACAAAAAACUAUAAAAUCUUCCAUAAAAUUUACUACAAACAAGUCAUAAUCUCAUUCAAAUGCAGGAUUAAAGAGAAAGAGAAGUUCCUUGCCAAGAGUACCUUCAAACCUUAAGGUGAAUAGCAAACUAUAGCUUUUCUUUCCCCAAAAUCAUUCCACACCAGCCACCUUCGUUCCUUGUUGCAGUCUCCUAUAGAUUGGUUUAGGGUUCUAAGUUGAUUCUCGCACAAAAUCUUCUUGGAAUCAAGAUGAAACUUGAAGAAGUUUUUCCUCUCUUCUCUCUUCUCUCUCUCGGCCAAACUAGCAGAAAAUGAAGUGUUUGUUUGGGUAAAAAUGGAAGAUAAAUGUUAAGGAAGUCUUGGUCAAGGUUGGCCUUGAUUGCCGACACUUGGCACCUAACGAUUUCUCCCUUUUUUGUUUUUCUUUCCUCUCUCUCUUUGUUCCUUAAAUUCGGCCAUGAUGAUGAAAAAUGGAAGGAUAAAUGGUUAAAUUUGUAGGAUAACUACUAAGAAAAGUCUUGGUCAAGAUUGACUAAAAGUGUGACACUUGGCGGCAUGAGGUUUCAUUCCUAUCCUUGGUCUCUCUUGUGCUUCUAAUAACUAAUCCAUCUUGUUCCUCUAAUUCACUCUUAACACUUCUAAUCACAUAAUUCUUCUAGUACCACAUCCAUUCUCAUCCACCAAAUAUAAUGUGCACACCUCACUAAUCGGUCACACUAUCUUAAUGUACUACGAAACUUAACAUGUACCAAAUUAUAAAAGAAAAGAUAAAACUCUCAACUCUAUCAUUAAAGUAUCUAAGAAAUUAAUGCAAGUGAUUUAAACCAAAAGAAAAUAUAAAUUAGCUUAUUGAAAAAUAAGAGAAAUUAUAAGAAAAAUAUAAAAUAAUUUUCGGAUCUCACAUGUUCUCUAUAAGAAUAGAAUCAAAGAAGUAUAAAACCAUUAGGGUCAUGUAUUAUUUAAGUAACUUCUUGUCUUGCUAAAUUUUGCGGUGGUUGUGGAUCUUGAAAUUGAAAUUGUUGAGGGAUAGUUAUUUCAUUCCAUUUGGGUCUUUUAGAUGUAGAUACAGUAGACGUUCAAUUUCAAUAUGUAAUAAAAUAGUUUCAUCUUUUGAAGUGGGAGUCAUAUUAAACUUUGGAUUUAACUGAGAAGAUAAUAAUCUAAAAUAAACUCGAUAAAUAAUAGCAAAUUUUUUAAUCUUUCGAGUUUUUCUCUUUGUAAAUGCAUAUCUAAUACUAAUGAAUCAUUUAUUAAAGGGUCUGUAAAAUCAACAGAAAAAUUUAGAGCAGCAUUAAAAUAGAUUGGACCAUUAUAAACAUUUUGUUUGAAUUAUAGCAAGCAAUAAAGAUUUAUAUUUUUUAAGUCUUUUAUCUCUUAAGGCCAAAUAAAUAGGAGCGUCUAAUCCCAUACAAACUAGUGGCUUUAUAGCUACUUGAAUUAGGCCAAAAUGAAUAUAUCUAAAUCCUUUAUUAAUAUAUUUUUGUGAUGACAUUUCACAAAACAAAGCAAUUUAUUGAAAUUCUUCUUGAAUCGAAAUGGUUUCUUCUUGAGUUUUUGUUAAAAAUGUUGUUUUUGAAAUCUAAUGAUCCUAUUUUAUAUAUAGUUUCUACUCUUUCUUCUGGUAUAGACCAAUUUGGAUAAUUAAUUGGCAAAUGAAUUUCAUUACUCUGAACUAUAUUUGAUUCUUUGAAUUAGAUCCUAAAAGCAUUCUUCUAAUCUUUGCAGCCGUAAUCAAUUGCUUAUUAUAUUAGAUUACAUAUGCAGUCAUGUUCUAAUUGGAACAACGGGAACACUAUGUUUGGAACACCCUAUUUCAUAAGGGCUUACCAAGGGCCUUACAAAUUUAUCAAUGUUUUACCAACAUUAAAUCAUGCAAAUAGUAUGCAAUGCUAAUAAAAAUAAACAUGAUUGAAUAUAGAGGCAAAUUUCUAAAGGAAUGUAACCCAACUAUUUUUCGAUUCUAACUUGACUUUGAUACCAAGUCGAGUCUAGUAGAUGAUGAUGACAUUUUAAUGGAUAAUGGAAUGAUAAUGAAAAUAACGUAUAAAGAGAUUGAAUCAAAAAACUUACUUCAUUAAUCUUGAAUCCUUGAUACAAAAUCUCUUUUGAAGCUUGAGUACAAAGAAAUUAACUUUGUGAAAGAAACUUAGAAAGAAAACUUCUUACAGGAAACAACUUUCUCAAAUUCACUCUGUUUCUCUCUUUGAAUCUAUUAACUAUUUAUACAACUAUGAAUUACAACUGAAUUUUCAUUUCACCAGCAUUUCAUCUGAAUUUCAACAGUAUAUUUCAUUUAAAUUUCAUUUGAACGUGACUUUUAUUUGUUUUUGUUUGAUAUCUCUGCUUUUUCAAAAGUUUGAGUGUCGUCACUUUUAUUGUUCACAUGGGUCUUGAAUUUUGUCAAUCAUUAAAUUUUACAUGGUCUUGAGCACAUGGUCCUCCAAAAGAUCCGAUUUGAACCUGCUGAAGAUUCUGCUUGUUCUUUAUCUUUUUAUUUUAUCUUUAGAAAUUCUACAUAUUGCUAUAAUAUGUCAAGGUUUUCCAACAUUUUGAAUAAGGUACAAAAGCAUGAAUCUAUAUCACAAAACCAUAUGAAUAAGCAAAUUAUUAGUGUAAAAGCAUCAACUUCUUAUUCGUUUGGAUACCAACUACUCCUGUCAAAGAAGACCCAAGGUGUAAAAGCAUCAAUUUCUUUAUACUCAAACUACCUGCUCUUGAAUUCUUAUUUAAAAUGAUGGAAAACCCUAACAUAUUAUAGCACUAUGUAAAAUUUCUAAAGACAAAACAAAAAAAUAAAGAACAAGUAGAAUCUUCAACAGGUUCCACCUCGAAUCCUUUUGGAAGACCAUGUGUUCAAGACCCAUGUUAAAUUUAAUGGGCGACAAAAGGUGAUAGCCUCAAGACCCAUAUGAACGACAAGAGCAAUAAUUCUCAAACUUUUGAAAAAGAAAUUUUGUAGGAUAUAUAUUUUAAUACAUAAUGUAAAUCAAGCAAUACUCAGAAUUAAAAUUAUCAUUUCAUAUGUGUGGUUUUCAUAUAAGACCUAUUAUAGAAAAAAAAAUUAUACAUGAGUCAAUCUUAAAAUGAUUAAUAAAAAAAUGAUCAAAAUGUCUAAAAAUUCCCUAUGCUAUUUUCUUAGCAAAGAUAAUGUCCAUUAUUAGCAAUAGUUGUAUUUCUACAAAAUUACUCAUUAUUGCAUUUAUAACUACUCAUAUUUUUACAUUUACUUUUUUACUUUAUUUUUUUAUAUUGUUGUAAGCAUCAUAAAUAGGAAAACAUAAGGUUAAGAUUGGAACUAAAAUUUUAUCCCUCUUGCUCUUCCUCAAUACAGACUAAAAUGUUACAAAAUGUCAAUUUAAGGUAGGUAAAUGAGAUUUUGAAAACUUUGGAAGAAUUAAGUGAUAUUAUGAUAGAGCCAAAGGAGGUUUCAGAAAUUAGGUAUUUCUUAUUAAAAAUUACUCAUCAUAAGAAAUUAAAAAGUACAUAUUUAUUUUAAGUAAUUACUAUUUUAUUAACAAAAUCUUGUUAUGCAUUAAUUGUUACAAAAAAAAAUUAAUAUUUAGAAUAAAUAUUUUACUUAUAUUUUCUCUUUUUCUUUUUCUUCUUUUUUAUGCUUAGUAAUAAUUUAUUUGACACUUAAAUAUAUAUUGUUAUUUUUUAUAUAAUAUUUAAAUAUCAUAAAUUUUUAUAAGAAACUAAAAAAUGUAUACUCAGUAAUAGCAUUUUAUGUAAUUUCAAUUCUUGCUAACAAUUAGUGCAUCAUAAAUAUCUUAAAAAUAAUCAAUGCAUACUAGUGCAACUUCAACAUUUUAUCAACAACUAAUGCACAGCAAGAAGCGGUUAAAAAAAUGGAAACUAAUUAAGUUACUUGUAUUUAAUAUACACUUUCUCAAUUCGUAUAAUAAUUAUGAUAAUUAAAUAUUUUACAUAACUAAAAAAUGAUAGAUAUAUUUAUGAAUAAAAAAUUGAUUACAAGAAAACAACAAUGCAUGUUAAACCACAAAAAGAAAUUCUUUAGCAUAUCAUUAUCAAAAUUUAAAUAUCAUAGUCGAUAUGGAGGAAGAGUAAAAAGAAAUCUAUACAUAAUAGGGAAAAAGAUAAAGAAGAAUAGGAAAAGAAACAAGAUAACCUGAGAAUGUCUAAUAAUGAAGGCAUACUGUAUUUUUUUUGCUAGAUACAUACAUUUAGUUGUUGGUGAGGGACAAUAGGUUUUGUGAAUACGGGGUAAUUUGCUACUUGAACUUAAUUACACGGGGUACUUUGCUGUUUGACCCUAAUUACUAGAGUGAGUUGGAACUCUUUUUUUAUUUUUAUUUUUUGAGGUCGACCUCAAGUACUUCUAUAUAUUAAUUGAGUCGAAUUCGUGAUACGAAUCGUAGGAGGUGUUCGUGCUCUAUUUCUAAAUCUAAUAAUGAUUCGUUGGGGUCUAAUGAAUAGAGUUAAAAACAAAUCAUUUGAAAUUCUAGACUUGCUUCCUAACCAUGGCUUAAAACCCACUUGAAGGUCACAGAAUCUUAUAUGUUUUAGUCUUAGUGUUUUAGUCCAUUUUAGUAAGUUGUUUGUUGGUCCAAUUAGCUCAUGUUGAGCAUAGGUCCAUUUAGUAGCUUGAUUAUCUGUUAAGUUUGAUUGGCUAAUUGGUUAUUUGAUUAGUUGGUUAGUUAAUUAUGCUAUUUAGUUAAUUAUCUAGUAGGUCUAGAAGUCAUGUUUGAUCAGUUUAGAUUUCUAUCAGUUUCCUUAUUCUUUUAGGUUUCUAAGUUGAGUCUUUGUAAGCCUAUAAAGAGGCAUCCUUUUUUUUUAUUCAAUAAGGAAUAAGAUGGGUAGGCGAAUUUUCAGAAAUAUUUAUGUGUGAUUGAGAGAGUUUUUCUCUUGACUUCUUUGAAACGACCUUGAACACCUUAAAGUUGAUCUCGAUGGUUCAAUCCGACUUAUCAAUCAAAGAAUACGUUUGAUUGUGGCGUCGUUCUACCAAAUUCUAAUAAUUCUUGAAUGAUCCAAGAUUGAUUACAAAUUCCAUCCCUAAACAUUGAUCCUAAUCUAGGUCCAGGGCUUGUGGCUCAUGUUCUUGAUUCGUCUUGGCGUAUUGAGAAUUGUAUCAGUUGGUAUUAGAGUUUUGGCUCUUGAUCUAGGUUAAUAUCCUUUUCUUUUCCUAUUUUCCCCUUUGUUCUUCUACCAAAUCCUAUCGAAUUCAAAAAAAAAAAGUCUUGUUCAUCAUUCUGGAGUUUGAAUUUUGUGUGAUUAUUUUGUGUCAUUUGUUUUGUUCCUAUUUUUUCAAGUGUCGUUUGUCUCCCUGAUCAGAUUCGUGUGUGUCUUUGUCAUGUCAAAAAAAGAGAGUACUGUAGCAGUACUGUUCGUCGUUACUGUAGAUGUACUGUUCAUCCGAGUCUAGUUUCAUCUAAGGUUUCAUUUUCAUGUUUCUUGUGUUAUUGAGUCAUACAAAAAAAUUCUAUUUGUUAUGUCUUGAAGCAAUUCGAAAUUACCUCUAGGGUUUCUUGGAGUUUCGUUUGGAUUCUUGAAAAUUUGUGGGUUGUCCAAUUUGUUGUGUAUUGUUUCUUGAAGUUCUUAAUUGCCACAACAACAAUCUUGAAGUUUCUUGGAAUCAUAAAUUUGUUUCUUGGAAGUUGUUGAAAGAAACUUGGGAAUCCUUGAUUGUCCACACAUUGUGGAAGAAAGUUAUUGAACAUUCUUAUCUAUUCUUGAAAUUUUUGUUAAAAUAGAAAAUUUUUGGAAAAAAAAAUCUUGAAUAUCUUGCUGGGUUCUUGGGUUCUUGAACACAACUAACCACUACAAGUUAAAUUUUCUAAUCAGAAUGGAAAGCAAGUCUAACCAAUCCUAGUUUCCAAAUCCGUGGCUGCCUUGUUCUUGCGAAAAAAAGAAAAAAAAUUUGCAGCCUUGAACAUUGAAUGUCCAACAUCUUAACCUUCAAGUUUUGAUUCAGUUUUGAGGAGUGGAAUGACUGAACAAAUAAAAGAAACCAGCCACUGCAUCAAAAUUCUUGUCCAAAUUGGAUUCCUUGUCCAACACAGACAUUUCUUGUCCAACACAGAGACGUGUGUUUCCUUGUUGUUGCUGCCUAGUCCAAAUUUGCCUUGGAAAAACGGCCAAUUGGAAAAUCAAUUCCUUGUUCAUUUUGGAAAAGGUUAAUUUCCAAAAUCUUGAGGUCCAUUCCAGCCGCACUUACAAAUUCCUUAUUGUCUAGAAUUUUUUUUGCAUCAGGUAGUAGUCAGUCAUAUUGUUUCUUGCCUAGAAAAUUUUCCAACUUUUAUUUUCCUCUUGAGUUGUUAAUUCCAAUAGAUUUGUAGCCAUAAAUUUAGUCUUUUUUCUGGACUGAAAGUUCAGUUUAAUUGAGUCCUUGUUGAGUCCAAGUUGGGUGAAUUUUAGUGUUGUCAGUUAAGACAUUGUUCUUUCUUUUCUUUUUGUCGUUUGUUUCCAUAUUGUAGUUUGCUAUAAUCCCUCAAAUUCGUGAGCUUCUUUGCUAUACUUACGUGGGUUUUAAUUGACAAGUUGGUUGCGAUUCUUGAGUAAAUUCUAAUUUAUUCAAGGAACGUGAAUAAAAGGACUUGGGAAAUUUGGUGAGAUCAUUAUAGUGUUGUACACUUGAGUGAAAAUAUGAGGAUCGAAUUUUUACUUACUUUAAUUUUAUUUUACUGGCUUAAUUAAUUAUUUAUUCACCCAUUUUCUCCGAAUAAUUUAUUUCAAUCAUUUUAAAUCUAUUUAUAUGGAACAAUGCCUUACUUAUAUAUUUUUUAAAAAAAGUCCCGUUAGCAAAAUUAAUUUUCUGCGACUCGUUUAGCCAGAAAAAAGUGAAUGCACAUUUUUUGAGGUAAUAUUCGGUCCAAGAGUGCAAUAAUCUUGGAGAAUUAAGAAUGAUCAAUAGUAGACUAAGAAAAGUUAAUUGAGAGAUUAGAUGUGAGUUAGUUAAUUAUAUUUUAGUUGCAUGAAAUGCCCUUAAAUUGCCGCGCGUUGCAAAUUUUCGAAAGUCACACCACGCGACUAAUUAGAGAUUUGAAAAAUUAAUAUUAGACUAGUAAGAGUGAGUAAUUAUAGUAUUAAAGGAAUUACAUUGAGGAUUUGUGCAUGAGUGUAACAAACCCGAGAGAAAUUGGUGGUACGAAACCCUAUUACGGCAACUAUUCAAAGUUGACUUUGGCAAGCUUAAUGCCUACUUUUUCCUCCAAUCUUCCAAGACAAGCCGUAACACUCAAACACUCAUUUCCCUUUCUCCAUUUUCGGCCAGCCCUCAAGGAAGAACAAAGGGAAGGAAAAACUUCAUCUUCUAGCUUCCAUUUCACUCACAAAUCCUCCACCAAAUCACUCACAACUUGGAGUACCACUCUAACUAGAAGCAAGGAGCAAUCUUGUGGAUUUUCUUGGAGAAUUUUCGGUGUGAAAAAUUUGCUAUUCAUCUAGGGUUCCAAGGGUAAUCACUUUCUCUCUUUAAUCUUUCCAUUUCUCCAAAGUUUAGCGGUUAAUCUUCAUGGGUUUGAAACCCUAAUCGUGUUGUAGGCUAGCGGACUUGGGGAAACCAUUUAUUUCGCUUUAAAUCAUAGGAUAGCUGUCUUGAUGAGGCCUUUAGGUAGCUGAAUUGAUGCUUUAAUGUUUGAUUAUGGUUGUUUAUGUGAUGAAUGAGAUGAUUUCGGUUAGAAAGUGGAGAGAAAUCGAAGGAAAGUUGUGAAGGCAAGCUGGCCGAAAAUUCUGUCCAUGUUGUUCUAUUUUUAUUUCGAAAUUUUGAUGCUUGGUUGGCUGUGAAAUUGAUGGAUAUAUGUUGUAUAUUGUGUGUACAUAGUGCCUUUCAAAAAUCGUAUUGAAUGGUUGUGCAAAACUUGAGUUUUGGUAAAGAUUCAAAUCUGGAAAACACAUAAACGAGUACUCGGACAGUGCUUCUUUGUCCGAACAUAAAUCUUUGUACAAAAGUCGAAAUUGAGUGCCUUUUGUGGCAUUCAAAACUAGACAUUCAUAACUUUUCAACAGUAUAAAAAUCCCUGCUAGUUCAUUUUGAGUGAACCGUAGUGAAUUGGCAAAUUUGGCUGUUCUGUUUUGACUGUCUAUUCGAAUGAAACUGGGAAGCUGCAUCUUGUGGCUCGAUUUUGUCCCAUUUGUGAAAUGAUUUUUGAAACGAUGUCUUCUGAUAAAUUGUAGCAUUUUGAACCUAGUUUCCAAUGCCAUAAACCAUUCUCAAUUUGGAGUUAUACAAAGCUAGAUAUGGUUUGAUUUCGAAAAUGCGACAAAGCUAGAAAUUGGAAACUUUUCCUUCCUUGCUGACCGAAUGGUCAAACCUGUUUUGGGAUGUUAUAUUUCAAAAAUUUUAGUGUCAUUUAACCAUAAAUUACUUAUUAAAUGUUUCUGGGAUCUUGGUUUAAAAAAUGGAGCGAAUUGGAGCUGAUUUCGUUGGACAAAACGUUUGAAAAGAAAGAGAAGUAGGAUGGCAGAUUAGCUUUGAACCGUUUUACAAACUUUGGUCGUUUCGUUAACUGCCUUCCCGUACGAGUUUCUAUCUAAAAUUUGAUAGAGAUAUAGUCCAUAUGUGGAGGUUUAAGUGUACCAAAUUUGUGUGUAAUUUCAAUACCAUUUUGAUGCCCAAAUAAUGCCCAAAGAUUGCUCUUCAAAUCUGGAAAUUCACUGCUCAGGUCGUGAAAAUCAACCGACUUUAAACUGUUAUAACUUGUUGCUCAAAACUCCAAAUUUUUUUUCGUUUGUUGUGUUUGAAACUUUGUUUGGGACUCUUAUUGUGUUAUAAAUUUCAGAGACUGAUUCAUUUUCUGUGAAUUUUGCCGAAUUUUCAAAUAUCGCCGAAAACCAAGACUGGUUCUGUCUCGCCUUCUUGAAUCAGCAACUUUGAACUGAAAAAUGAAUGCUUUCUGUUUGGAACCUUGAAAAAGUUCUUCUGGAACUUUUAGUACUUUGAAUCUAGUUUCCAACGUAUAAAGUUCUCUAUUUUUGGACGUACCAAACUCAAUAUCUGAUUUUACCAAGUUUAUCGCGCAAAGCUAAAAAUUCAUGAUUUCUUGGGAAAUGAGUUUUUGAGAACCUUUCAUUGUCUUUCGAUAUUGAUCAUCUGUUUUAAACUCAUUUUCAUGGAGGAUGCAAGUUUUUUUUGUGAUUUUAAAUCCUCACUUUUGAAUCUCGAUUUUCGAGAUAUUAAAACUCUUUUAAGACAUUGUCUUAGUGUUACGCCUUUGUACAUUCUUCCUUGUUUGGCAAGGGGUUUGUAAGUAAUUGUGAGUGAUAGUUAAUUGUUAUUUCUUUAGCGCUCAAGAGGAUCUUGAAGAGAAUCUCGGAGCCGACCACUAAAGAUCUUAUUUGCACUUGCUCACUUAUUUGAAUUGGUGAGUGUCAAGUGCAUGAAUAGUUGCCAAUUAUGUGAAUUGCUUCUUAUUGAUUAAGUGAUUUACAAUUGUCGAGUCGAGUGUGUACUUUAUCGCACUCGUUCUCUUUAAUUGAUUAUACAAUUGAAUUGCUCAUAGUUGAAUUUAUAUUUGUGAUUGAACAUGCCGAUUGGAGUGAAUCUCAGUAGCAUAUAAUUGUAUUUGUCGAUUGAGUGAAUUUCAUUGACUUAUAAUUGUUAUUGGGGGACGCCCAAAUCUCAAUUGGCUGACCUUACGAUUCGAGCUAGCAUGGGUUUGGUCGAGAAAUUCGGUGAAUCAUGAGAUAAUCAAAAACUUGAUCUAUUAAGAGAUCUCGCUUGGCAUACUCGUGGAGUAGUGCCUUUAUAAAAGAAAGUGCGGGCCCGGAGCAGGGGGUGUAAUGUGAACAGGAGAGAAGAGUAAGUGGAGUUCUACGGACUUAAUACCUACCCGGUUGACGGAGUGUCAUCGCGGGGAAGUAUUUGAUCGAACCUUGGUGAAGCAAGUGGAAUCUAGCUCCUGAGAGCUUAUGCAUCCUUAUUGAAUGUGUGUUAUUAUUAUUUGUGAAUUAUUUGAACUUUCUUGUUUUAAUUCUCGUACAAAUGCCAUGGUUAUAUGAACUAUGUGUUUGCAUGUUUUCUUGGCCUCACUGAACGUCAGCUUACCCCAUUAGUUUGUUUUCCUUAACAGGGGCUUGAAAUGGAAAGAAUUUGAAGAACCCGACUUAAUUACUUUUGAUUAGAAUCUUGGAAUAUAAUUGAUUAGUCGACUCCUAGUGGUUGCAUUUUGGGAAAAGUUGAUGUUUUGGUGACUUAUGAUGUAAGAUUUGAAUAUUCCAUUAAGGAAGCGACUUUUCUACAUUUCGACUUUUAUUAUUGGUUGUGUACUUUAAGUUUAAGUUUAACUUGUAUCGAGUCCUGGCGAGAGUUGGACAGGCGUUCCGCGGAUACCCUUGGGUUCGCCCUUGAGAGAAGUGGGGGUGUCACAGAAAACAUGAGUGUUGAGUGUAAACACUAAAGGAGUACGCGAGAAAUUUCUUUUGUUCCACUAAUCAUUUUUUUGCAAGUUACCUCAAAAUGUCAAAUCAAUGUGUAAGGAGUUUCCAAUAAGCUGAAUUUCAUCUUAACAUGAACGAUAUGCUGGGUGAGCUUAAACAAAUUUUGCAUGAGGUUUUCGAGUCCUUGACCGAUUAGAGAAUAAGGAAUUUAACGGGAGGGAUUCUACAUGAUUUAGUUUCGUGCAAUCUAUCUCUUCAAAACCAACUUAUUCAAGGAGUGAUAAGAAGGUUCAUUCAACAUCUUCUAGGCUUAACUUAGAGUUGAACCAUCUCAUGGGGAGUCAUUUUGGGAGAUAUAUCAACGUCUUCUACGUAAAAAAUAAAUGGAGUCAAAUAGAUGCCAUCAUUGUGAGUCUUCUAAGAAGAGGUAGUUGAGUCUAUUCCUAAUGAAGGAGCAUCGCAUUCCAUUAAACCAUUUGUUGAGGAGGUUGGCAAUGAAUUGAAGUCGAGCAAUGAACAUGCGCUUGAAAAUCUUGGGCCACAUCCACAUUAUAUUCUAGUCAUGAACUAGUUAGGAAAGUAUGUGAUUGUUGUAACAUAUGAGAGUGUGAGCAAUGUUGUAGAGCUUGAACAUGAAAUAAAAACCGAGGGUAUUGAGUUAGAAAAAGAGAUGAAAAAUUCUGAUGAUAUGAGUGCAAAAUCGAGUUAACUUUGAGUGAGAAUUUGAGAGCUUAUUGUUUUCCUAACAAGUUUACCUUUGCUUUAUUUGGUGUUUUUCCUUUUGUGCAGAUUAAGUGAAGUCGAGUGGAGUUAGUCAUGCAAUGUUCCAUUCCAAACUCACUUGUAUAAUUCACUGGUUUCCAUGGAGUGUGUCUUCUAGGAGUUAAAUUUAUUCAGUGUCAAUUCAAGGAACAAUUUCAAUUCAAAUCUAUCCACACUAAUGGAGAAUUAAUUAGAACUUAUCAUGAAGGGAGAAUUCCAGAUUUUGAUUCUUGUUUGUUAACUUUGGUUAUUCAUCAUCUUUACCCUAUUUUGAGCAUAAUUUCAGUCCUAAUUCUUGUAUUUCUUAUGUGAAUUUUGAUGGAGAGUGUGACGAACCAGCAAUGACUAAUCUAGUUGAAUCAGUUGAUGGAAGGAAUAAUGAAGUGUCAAAGGGAGUUUAACAUUUAAAUCUUGUUCUAAACCUUCUUGCCACUUAACUAAUGAUGUUCCAUUGCUUAUAUAUUUAAUUUCUAGUUCAAAUUAAGCUGAGGUUUAUUUUGUUUAUGUUGGUUGUAAAGUUGUCCGUGAACUUCUAGCUAUGAUUAAAGGUGCAACUUGAUUUUAUGAUUGUUCCAGUCGCAUAUGAGGAUCCCAAACCAGCUACAAUCCACGGCUUUUUCAGUCUCAAUCAGUCAGUGGAUUUGAGUAGUCUUCCUUUACCCUUGAAAUCUUCAUUGUUUGCCUGUUCAUAUGAACAACUGAUUGCUGAUUCUAUCAUGUUGCUACCAACAAAAGUUGAGUCUUACGCCAAUUGAGUUCGUGAGCAUCAAGAGGUUGUCUAAACAUCAUGCGACUAGGAUCGUAAUCAUUCACGUAUUUCCAUCAUUGUUGCAAUUUAAGCAAUCCAAUGAUUUGGGGAAUGAUACGAAUCUUAGGAGGUGUUCUUGUUCUAUUUUUAGAUCCAAAAAUGAUUCGUUGGAGGUCCAAUGAAUACAAUUAAAACAAACCAUCCGAAAUUCUGGACUUGCUUCCUAAUCGUGGCUUAAAACCCACUUGAAGGUCACCGAUUCUUAUAUGUUUUAGUCUGUUUUAGUAAGUUAUUUGUAUGUCUAACUAGCUCAUGUUGAGCAUAGGUCCACUUAGUAGCUUGAUUAUUUAUUAAGUUUGAUUGGCCAGUUGGUUAGUUGAUUAUGCUGUUUAGUUAAUCAUCUACUAGGUUGAGAAGUUAUGUUCAGCUAGUUUAGUUUUCCAUUAGUUUCCUUAUUCUUUUAAGUUUUUAAGUUGAGUCUUUGUAAGCCUAUAAAGAGGCAUCUUUUUUUUCGCUCAAUAAGGAAUAAGAUGGGUAGACGAAUUUUUUAGAAACACUCAAUGUGUGAUUGAGAGAGUUUUUCUCUUGACUUCUUUGAAGCGACCUUGAACAUCUUAGAGUUGAUCUCGAGCGUUCAAUCCAACUUAUCAAUCAAAGAACAACCUUUCUACUAACCUUAAUUCGUUUUUGAGCAGUUCCCUGAUCGAAUUAGGUUCCAUUUCUUAUAACGAGAUUUGUUGUUCAUGCGAACAACGAGUUGAGAUCCUCUUGUAUCCAUAAUCUGAUCAAAAUAGAUCCUUCCGUUAAUUGAUCAAUUUGGUAUUUUAAGACAGUUUUUGCCAAGUUCAGUGUCAGUUCAGAGUAGUGUUGUAGAUUACACCUAUACUAAUUAUUACAAGGGAAAAACAUGUAAUUAAGCCUUUUGUAGAAAAUACCCUUGGUAUGGACAGAAAAAUUCCCAUUGAUCCUGCCAACGUAAGGUAUGUGAAUCAGAAUCGAAAUCGGUAAUUCAAAACUUUAAAAUCCAAAAUUUUUCAAAAUUUUGGCAUCAAAUUUUCGAUCGAAUUCGAUUUCGAAUUCACCACUCCGAAUUUGAAUUCAUUCCGAAUUCAAUUCAGAAUUCGUAAAUUCUUAUUUCACCGAAUUCAGGAAUAUAAAAUUAUUAUUAUAAUAUAAACGUUUUAUUAAUAUAUAUAAAUAAUAUAUAUGUGAAAAACAAAUUUGAAAUCAAAUAGGAAUUCCGAAUCAUCAAAUUCAGGAAUAUAAAAAUCAUUAUUAUAAUAAAAUGUUAUAUUCUAUAUAUAUAAAUUAUAUAUAUGAAAAAUGAAUUUGAAAUCCAAAUAGGAAUUCCGAAAUGCAAUUUGAAAAAUCCCAUUAUCGAAUUUGAGCCAAAUUCACAUAAUUCGAAAUCAAAAAAUUGAAUUUCAAUUCUAAAUUUAAAUUUUAAAUAUAUUAAUUUCAAAAAUUCCAAAUUCAUUUCGAAUUCAAUCGACAAAUCGAAACUUUUCGAUUUUGCAUGCUCCUGUGCCAACGUGACAAAACGGCAACAUAGCUGUGAAGUUAGGAGCGGUUUUUAGUAUAGGGAGGAAAAAGCCAAAAAAAAGAAGAAAAGAAAAGAAAAGAAAAGAAAAAGAACAACGAUUAAAAACACACAUAUAGAAGCCCCUUUCUUUCCUCUGGUCGUUUCUGUUUCUCCUUAUCGUUCUUCAUGCCAACCUAACCCAAAUCUGACUCGACAAAACUCCUAAAUCUGUUGGAAUGAUAAGGGACUAGAGCGAGAAAGGCUCGGAUUCAGCUUUUGGAGAGGAUCGCAGCCGAGAAAUUGAAGUUUUUAGAAGAAGAAAUUAGGAAUUGAAUACGAGGUUUAGUAUUGAUUUAUUAAUUCUAUGCUUUUAGCUUAUAGUUUGUGGUGAAAGUGAGGGAUUUUGGUUUUCAUAGUUGCCAUAAUGGCGGUUGUCAUCUUCUGCCGUGUGUUUGGUGAAAUUUUUUACUGAAAACGAUGGGUGUUGACUUAUAUUUUUCAUUUUAUUUCAUUUCUCCAUGAUUUGUUUAAGUUGUGUACUAUGCAGUAUUUCAAGGUAUGGUGUUCAGUUUAGAGUUUCUUUGUUCUGUGCAUGUCUCGUUACUGAUACUCGAGUAAAGUUUCAUGAUUUAGAGUUGUUUUCUGCGGGAUUAAAAUGGUAUCUUGUAUCCUUGUUUGUAAGUUGUAACAGAAUAAUGUCUUUGGCUUUCCAAACAUGUGUUAGAGGUGCAUCAUGGAGGGCAUUUUUUUUUUGUUCCGGAACCACCGCUACAUUAUGUUUUUUUCCCGGAAGGGGGGGGGGUUGAUGUGUUUGAGAGGAUGUCAACCCUGAUUUAAUGUUGAUAUUUGAGCUGAGCUAGGGUUUGAGGGAACUGAAUAUUCCAGAUUAACUCCCUUUAUACUACAAGAGAGGUUGUACUGAUUUUCAAGUUGGUCUUAUAUUGUUGUAUAGUGACCAGACUGUGGUACAGAUGCUUGAGAUGAACAGAAAUCAUAGCUCCAUAGAACUUUAUGUCGGUGAACUUCCUCAACUAGUUAAUGAUGCUGGUGAGCUUCAUGUUGCUCCUUGGCGAGUUUGAAUUUCGCCAUGAGUUAGCCCUAUAAUCUUUGAAGUUCUUUGAGAGUUCCAUGAAUAUUUAAGAGAUGGAAAUAGUUAUCAGUAAUUGCAUAAACUGCUAAACUAGAAUUUUAUUUCCCCUUAAUGCCUUUGAAGUGCUACAAAGAUGCUUCGAGAUUUAACAAUGUAGAGUUACAUAUUUCCCACAUAUUCCUUGUUAUCAAUUUGUACUUUCGAUUUUAUGGUAACAAUCUUUCUUCUCUCCAGGAUUAUAAAGAAAAAACAUCUUAUUAGGAAGGAUGAGCGACGAUGACUUUAAUGGGCAGACUUUGGCUGAGAAGUUGGCUAAACUUAACAGUUCACAGCAAAGCAUUGAGUGUAUCCUUCUUCAGUGUUUAUAACCCCUUUAAUUUUAGGUGUAUACAUAUAUUCAAAUAGCAAACACAUUUAUUUCCUUGUGAUUUUUGUUUGGAGCCCUUGUUACGCUGCUUGGAAGACAAUUAUAGAUGCAAUGGUACACAUUUGUUCUAACUUUUAUUCUAGAAGCUAAGAUGAUUGGUCUAUGUACCUAUUUAUUGUUGCUGAGGCUAGGGAAAAAAGGUCAACUAUUGUUGAUGAUGAGUUUCCAUGUGCAGGCUUAUUUGAAGGACUUGUUCAUUUCUUUUCUUUGGUUUAAUCAUUUUUUUUAUAGUUAUUAACUGUAUGUUGAAUUAAUCUGAAUCUCAAUAUACAGUUGAACAUUUAUUUAUUACUGCUGCACAAUUCAAUAGCAGAACCAGUCAGACCUUGGUUUAUUGGCUUUUUUUUUUUAAAAAUUACGUUUAUGUCUAUAUUACACUAUAUUCUCUUAACUCAUGCUCAGCAUUGUCUCGUUGGUGCAUUACUCACCGGAAGAAAGCUAAACAAAUUGUUGAAACAUGGGAAAAAAUUUUCAAAUCUGCACCUCGGGAGCAGCAUGUUUCAUUUCUAUAUUUGGCCAAUGAUAUUCUGCAAAAUAGUAGGCGCAAGGGCAGUGAGUUUGUAAAUGAAUUUUGGAAGUUCCUUCCUGCAGCUCUCAAACACGUCUAUGAGGGUGGUGAUGAAAAUGGAAAGAAAGCAGCCUCCAGGCUGGUUAGUUUUCAUCCAUAUGGAAGAUCAUAUUUGGUAUUUUGUUUUUGACUUUAGUUUUACCAGCACAUUACGAAGUGAUGCUUUACCCAGACAAGAUUGAAAAAGUGAUCUCAUUUAAUCAUAUCCUUUUGGCUCACCAUUCCCAAAAAAAAAAAAAAAAAGAAGAAGUAUGAUUGACUGCCUGUAUCCAUAGUACACAGAUUAACAAGAAAAUUCUGCAUAUGGUUGAGUUGAGCGAUCAAUCUUGAUUUGUCUUCCUGAAACUAGAUCGCCAAGUUUCUCCUCCUUUUUUUUAUUUUUUUUAAAAAGAAAGUUUUUAUCUUCAUUUUAUGUGCAUGUUUUUAGGUCUGUAAGCCAUCAUGUUCCCCAAUUUUUUGCAGUUGCAUAUAGGCUCUUUAAGACUCAUUGGAUGAGUUAUGGAACGAACAGUUAUUUUAUUCCUGAUUUGAAAUUUCUCUGUUUUUGCAGUUAUUUUAAUUCCUAAGGUGAAUAGCUAUCACAGUGUCUUCUGUGCUGGAGCUAAAUUUCUUCAUUGCUUUUGCUAACCUUAUUUGUUUUUGUCUUUUUAUUAGUUUUUCGAUUCUUACUUUUGUUCCUAAUCUGAUUGCUGUUUUGAAUGUCUUUUGUGGUAGAGCUAAGAUUAUGUUCUUUUUUUUUUCCCAAAUUGUUUUGAUGAACAACUUGAUCGUCAUCCGAGAGUGCAUGUAAUGGGAACUUGUUUGCUCAUAAUAUCAGUGGCAAAUGUUACACCUUUUGCGUCACAAAGUCCAUCUUAACCUGGGUUAGAGAAAAUUUUCCCCUUUCUGUAAAUGGUGAACAACAGGAAAGAACAAUCAAUUAAAAGUAAAUCCUCUUCAUCCUGCUUACAUGAGGGGUUGCUUUGUUUAAUGUAGAAAACCAUUUAUUUUGCAUGGCCUUUUGCUCAUUUUUCAUAUUGCUAUUUGCUUCUGAUGUUGGGAUCCAGAAAUUACAUGUUGGUAACGUUGAUGCUAAUGUCUGAAUUGUUUUCCCCAUAAUUUCUUCACUUUAUGACAUCUUUUAUAUACACUGUUUGUGAAACUGCUGUUGAUUGAUGCUUUCUGCAUUUGUGGAACUUUUAUCUUCUGAGAGUUUCUGUAAUUUGAAUAAAGCUCUGCAUCUCAACUUUGAUUGUCAUAUAUCGUAAGCUUGAAGUAGAUGGCUCAAACGUGCAAGUGAUGUAUUAACUUGUCAAGUCCCGCUUAAGUAUGUUCUGUACUAAAAUCAUGUUUGUAGUAGAAAGUUCAUUUAUUUGGUUUUGUACCAAAAACAUGAUUUCACUGAGAAAGAUUUGCUGAGAUGAUUCACUUCUUUACUUCAAGGACAGUGGAAACACAUUAACUUGUUUCUUGCUUCUAUGUUCAAUGAUGGAUGAGAAUGUACUUUCAAGUUGAACUGUGGUGAUAAACCAUCUGGUACUGUAGACUUUGGGUUUACUGGGAAACAUUUGCCUAGCAUCUUAUUUGUUGCUGUAAUCGUAAUCUAAGAAAAUUCUUUGCUCUCAAUUACAGGCAAUUAAUAUGGAGGAUUACAAUGUGGCCUGCUCCAUUAGUCUCUGUUUAUCUUUUCCGUUUUAACUUUUAGCAUUUCAUUGGAGAAAACUGCAUGAGAUUAAUAUUAAUACUGUCUGAUAAGUAGCGACGACUCUGCUACUAUGCACAUUUUACUCAUGCUGCUUUUGGAUUUUUGCUGCUCUGCUUCAUCCCCAUGUAUUUGUUUCCCUGUCUUUGAGGGUUGAUUGGAUAUGCUCCUUACACUAGGUUGACAUUUGGGAAGAAAGAAAAGUUUUUGGAUCUAGAGGUCAGAGUCUUAAAGAUGAAAUACUGGGAAAGAAUCCUACUCCCACAACUGCCAGCAAUGGAAAGAGCUCAAACCCUAUCAGAGUCGUGAAGAGAGAUGCUCAAUCAUUAAGAAUUGUAAGUCUUAAGUCCAUGUUGUUGCUUGCUUUAGUUUUGCUUAUAUUGCAAACUCUCUGAUGACAGUGAUGUUUAUUUUGAUAAUUGUCGUCUCUUUUUCUUGAAACAUCAGAAACUGGCUGUUGGGGGUUUGCCAGAAAGGAUAAUAUCCGCAUUCCAUUUGGUCCAUGAAGAAAGUGUCAAUGAAGAAGCUGCUUUUAGCAAGUCCAAAAGUGCUGUUUCCUGGUUUAAAGAACUUGGAAAAGACAUUGAAAGCUCUUCACAUGCGGGUAAGAUGUGAAACCAGACUUGAAACCAGUAUCUAAUAGACUGAAAAAUUAAGUGGUAGAAGUAUGUCUUUGAGACUAUUGCUUGAAAUAUUCAUUUUGGCAUUAUUCAUGAGUAAAAUUUUGGUUCUUCUUGGUGGAUGCAUCUGAAAAGUAUGAAGAGAGUGUAGGAUUUUGAAUUUGUAGGUGGUGUUGGCUGGUUUAGUGGUGUAAAGCAUUAUCUGAUGAAUUGAAUUGAAAGUUCUGGAGAUAAAUAUUCCAUUCAUUCAUUAGAUGGUCUUUAUUACUGCCCACCUGUUUAUCUUUCAUUUAGUGGUUAGUCGUGCUGCCAGAAUCAUUACAUAUGAUGAAAUGGAUUGCUUAGGAGUCAUACCUAAAUUUAUUUAAUGGUGAAAUGGAUACGUAAUCCUUCUAUCUCAAAAAUUAAGGGCAAAUGCAUACUUUUGGAAUUGUUUUUUUCCCCCACCUCCUGGCAUUACAUCCACAUCCAUCCACUCUUGGGCUUUUGCAAUCCAUAUCCAGUGACCAUCAAAGGGUACUUUGCCCAUAUCUAUACACUUUUUUGCUGUUUCCUUUGAUGUAAAUCUGCUUAAGAUACUCAAGUGUCUAAAAAUGAUAUGAUAUUUUCCUUUAACAAAAGAUACAAAAUAUUCUUCCCACAUUAUGUUUCUAAUUUUCUUAUAACGUAACUAAUCCCCUUUGUGGACUUUCAUCUACUUACGGGCUAUCCAAUAAGAAAAAACUUGAUGAAUUUGGCAAUUGGGUACUAAACAAUCAUUGAUUUUCAUCCAUUGAUAAUUUUGGCUUUUUCUCCUUCAGUGAAGAUAUUUUGUGGGCAGAACUUCGGUAUUCCUCUUAUUAAGUUUUUACUGGAUAUAAGGGUUGAACGGUGUCUAUGCAACUUGGCAAAUUGAGAAAGUUUGCAGCUUUAAGCACAUGGGAUCAAAUUUAAGCUUCCUAGUCCAACUAAAACUCCUGGUUUGGUAUGUCCUACGGCUGCAAAUGCUUGUUGUCAAACUUUAUGUUUCCAAGUUAACUUUUGUUGCCUAUCAUUUUAGCUUUUAGUUUUGUUUACCUAUGAAGUUUGCUUGGUCCUUGAGAAAUCUUGGUGUGAGUGGGAUGGAAGUAUGUUGAGCUUGGUGAUGGUUGUUUCUGUAUUUCUAGAUUUGCUAGCUUGUCUUGCUAGAUCUUUCUUGUGCUGAUAUAGGUUGGAUUCCUAGGCUAUCUAAGUUCUGCUUCUAUUUUUUUUACCUUCUCUGUCAAUGUUUGGGUGUUUGAUAGCACCAAAUCAGCAACUAGCUUCAUUAAUCUUCUGCUGGUAACUGAUGGAGAUUUUUUUUUAGUAGUUAAAUUCGUUCUGCAUCAAUCAGUCUCCUGACAAGAGGAGGUGAAUACAUGCGCAAGCUACAUAAUUUUGUUGAAAAUGAGUUUGUCUAGGGCGAAGCUAGAGAAAAGUAAUCAGUUAAUUUGCAUAAAAGUAGAAAGAGCUGGAGAGCUGGUGUGGGAGGACAUCAUUUAUUUGUGACGUGGAGAGCAUUUUAAUGCACUUUGAGAGUGGUAAAGUAGACUCUGUUUGUUAGUUUAAUGUGAUGUCAUUUAAGCCCAGCGUAGUCUUCAUUACAGAAAGGUGUUUCUAUGUGCUUGAGACAAGUUUUGUGGGUCCUCCGUCAUUUAAAUUAAUCCCACCUCUAGUUUCUUAGUAUUGACUCCUAAGGUUAGGUAGCUUUUAAUACUAAAAUGUACAACAAAAUAUCAUAGACGUAAGAUUGUUUGUUCCGUUCCAUUCCCAUUGAACGUGAUAUGAUUGAUUGUGUAUUGUAAAUUAUAAGCUAAGUUAUGGAGAGGACUGAGCAAACUUUACAGCAUAAGCUUAAGGAUAACAAAAUAUAGAUGAACUCCUGAGGUAAAGGUAGCUUUUAAUAUUUAAAGCACAACAAAACAUCACAAACUUUAACAUUGUUUCCUUCCUUUCCCAAUGAAUAUGUCACAACUGACGUGUAUUAAGACUUAUAAGCUAACUGAUUUAUAGGACAGAAAACUUUACAGCUUAGAAAGCUUAACAAUAAGAAAGCUAAAAGGGUGUGCAAAAUUAUCUGAAAUAGUUUAUAUUCGUUGAAUCUUAUCAGCCUUUUUGAAAAUUCGAUCCAGCAGAUUUUAACAAUGGGGGUGGUGGAUCAUAUAGGAGCAGCAGAUUGGGCACGGAUCAUAACUCCUGUUAUCCUGCAUCUAGAAUGCCACUGGGUAUGUUUGGUUAUCAAAAUUUGCAAAAAAAAAAAAUUUCGAAUUUGUUCUGCUUACAUCAUAAACACAAUUUCCAACUACCUUUUUAUCUCACAUAUAUCACAUCACAAAAAGUGCUACAGUAAUUAUUUCAAAUAAAUAUUUCAAAUAACCUCCUAUCCAAACAGACUCACUAAUUAUCUGUUUCUUCAGUACCUCCUUGUUCCCCUGACACAUGGCCUAGCCCAAGUCAAACUCUCCUUGCAGCCAGGAAGAAGCUAUGUGAGAAAAAACUGUGUCCUACACCCAAGUUAUGCUUUUAAUCAGCUCAUUCUCUUAUGUUUUAAUCAGCUGAUCAUAUGCUCGUUAAGUUACCGGCUAUUUUAAGAUGUUUUCAACUGAUAUUGGCUUCAGCAUUUUUCUUAGUUUAAGUUGAAAUAAGCUGAUUUGAGAUGUAGAACUGGGUUGCUUUUAAAACAGCUUUUUAACCAAUCCAUGCUUUCAUUUUUGCCUACAAAACUUUCACUAAUCAGCUUAGGAAAGCAGAGCAGAUUAGUCAUUUAGAGCUUUGUACUCUUCUUAAAGAUUGACACAAGAAUAACAAGAAAAUAGGAUCACUUUUUUAGAUGGUUGAGUGAUGCAUAUUGUUAUCGAAUAGGGGAGUGCCUAUAUUGAUACAGUUAGUGGUUUAUGGUGUUAUUGGCAGUAUGUUUUAGAUGUUGUUUUACAGGUGUGAAGUAAUAAGAAUUACGAACGAGGAAAGAUUCAGAAAGGGAAAAAACAGAGAAGAUGAGAGAACUGAGCCAAUGGUUUAAUUUAGUUAGUGCAUCCACGCUUGCAUCUCUCGGGUAUCAUUUUUAUUUCAUUUCUCGGAAAAUGUAUUCUUCUUUACUUUUGAACCAGAUAUCUGGCAUAUCCAAUACUCUCGAACAGAUAUCUGAACAAGUGGAUAUCCAUUUCCGAAGUAGGAUACCAGAUCAGCAAAUAACUGGCUGGAUGGUUGGAUUUCAACGCUUAAAAGUUUUUCUUGACUCCGUAACUCUUCCCUGGCUAACAUGAUGAUGCAGACAAUAAAUGGCUGAAGGAAAUCCGAAGUCAAGGAUUUACAGAAUUUCGCUUAAGCUUAAAAUAGGCACACCUUCAAAGGGGCUAUUGUCAUAAUUUAGUUUGAGUCUUAAAGAGGCUUUAUAGUCAGUUUGAGUCAGUCAUUAGUGGUCUAUUGUUCUUCAGAUUCUCUGGUUUGGUAUUUGGGGGUAUUUUAGUAAUUUUGCUUCUCACAGGAAUGCUUACAUUUUGGUAAUUUUUGAUUUUUUUUAGUUUUCUAUUUGGUAAUUACUCAUUUUAGUUGUCAGUCUUAGGGUCAACAAGGAAGUUUUCUUCCUAGUCUAUUCUAGUUGAGAGUCUUAAAUAGAGUUGGAGUUGAAUUUGUUUUAGGAAUCUAAAAUGUUGUACUUCUCCACAAAGGGAUCACAGAUUUCCUUUGUUAAUAAGAUCCCUGCAGACUUUUGUCUUAUUGAGAUUGUCUGAUGCAAUCUAGCCUUGGGUGUUUCCAGGAGUGAUUUCUUGAUUGUCCUAAUUUGAUUCACUCUUAUUUGCAUGUUUUCUCUGUUUUUUUCCAAGUUCUUUGAUCUGACUUUUAGUGAAUUUUGGUACCUGCUAUUUGCCUAUAAUUUUGCUAUUGACUGCGAGUUUUAAAGCCCUAGGCCUAUCUGGCCUCCAAGCUAUUGUGCUGUGUCAUGUGACUUUAUGUGCCUGUAGGACUAUCUAUUCAGCAUUUGCUGCAAUAAUAUAAAUGUCCUUUGAAUCCUGGAAUUCUAAGAAGACAUGGCACUAGAAUUAUUAUUUUAGAAUUUAAGAAUACAUCAAAUUUAUAAGUGAAACUGCAUGAAAAUCCAUAAAAUCCACCAUUCCAAAUCGUCAAACUUAAUUAUUCGGAUUUAUGUACUCUGCACAAUUUGCUAAUUAAACAGGUUGGAGUAGUGUAUCUGUCUGGAUGCAAAACUGGUGAUAAAGAAUUACUUCCUGUAGGUUAACUUAAUGACUGCCAUUACUGUGUUGUAUGCUCUGUUUUGAGGAACUAAUAGCUUGUUAGUAAUAUAUUUGACAAAAUGAUGAUUAGGUUGAAUAGUUGGAAUAUUGUUCAUUUGUUAUCAUUUUAUAAUGUCCAAGUUUGAUUACAUCUUGUUACAUGGUAAGUACUUGUAACACUUUUAAAUUGAGGACAAUUUUAUUCCAUUAUACUCAUUUAAACUUUAAUCCUAGAGUAACUGGUUUUUAGAAUCGAUCUUAACAUUAUUUUAUAAUGUAGUGUUAUAGUUCCUUUUGGGUUUCUAUUCUUACACUAGUAAGGUUUGGAUGGGCACAGAGUUGUAUGUUGGUCAUGUAAAUCUUAUAAAGAAGUUUUUGGAAUGUAUUUUAAAGUAAAAGUUCUAUGUGUAUGGGAACUUGAAUGGGUUCUGGGAAUUGUGGAAGACUCAAUAUGGAACGAGUGAACCCCUUGAGUUCAAGUGGUAAAAUGGAGAAAUGAUACCCUACAUCUACAAAUUAUUUGAAAGUACAAUUGAAAAAAUCUAGGCCCAGAAAAGUUGGUAGAACAUCAUGAUCCUUAGGGUUACAGAAAGGAACUUAUUGGUGAUCUUUGAACAAUUCCUAUAAUGCACGUAGUCAGGCUUCUGGCCUCUGCAUUGCUAUUUGAUAAUCCUGUGGGAAGUGGUUUAAACUUUUCCUGAUCUUCCUACAGUUUGAACCGGUAAAGUAUCUAAUUUUUUGUAAGCUCUUUUACUUGAGCCUGUUGACCAACUUCCUUGCCUGUUUAAUGUUGUUCUUAGUUACCUUCAGUUGUUGAAAAUUCUCGAUUUGACACAGCACUAUGACAAUACUACAACAAUGUGCUUGUCGCAGACCAGCUUCCUCGUCGUUUAAUGUGGCUAAAUGAAACUGACCUACCAAAGGAUUCCGUUCUCUCUCUCCCACUCUCUCUUCCUCUCUCCCCCUCUUGCCAAUAUAACCUUUUACCACAAUAAUGAAGUUGAUAGUUAUUCCACCAUCAUAAGGGGAAUGGCAAAGGCAUCCUUGCAGCUUUUUCAGCAGCAAUGAGAACAAGUGCCAAAUUUGUGAACUACACUUAUUUGAAGCCGUAAAGGCCAAACAACAUUAGGGCCCAAAAUUUGUUUGGCAUAUGCUAAGCUCAAGUCAAUUGGGCACAUGCAAUGAUUGGAUCAUCCAAGGUCCAAAUCCAUCAUAUUCCAAGAAACACUUAUAUUGUAAAUGAGUUGAAUAUUUUUUUGGAAAUUCAUUUAGUCCUGACUGUGAAUCAGUUAAAUUUUUUAUGGUUACAUCCUUUUGGAUGCCUACAUAGGAAGAGGAAGACUUCUGGGAGUGAUUGGUCAUGCAUCACUGUUUACUCAGUGUGACACCAAUGAGUUGUGUUUAUCAGUUUUUGACAUUCAAUUUUUUUGUUCUAUUUUUGUACUAAUUUGACUUUUCUGAGUGCACUUAAGAGGGUUGAUUAAGUACAUGUUGAGGAUUUGAGUUUCAUGCACAAUCUAGAAAGUGGGUACGUGGUGUUACGAGUUUUCAGACUGCUCUCUUGUUUGGUUGCGAUUCUGCAAGGUUUCAAUUAUUCUUUUCCCUUCUGGUUUCUGGUCAAAAACUGAUCUAGUGUGUAUUGAAUAUAAUUAUGGUAGUUAGGUUACACAGGCAUCGUAAUGCGUACCUUUCCCUUAUCAAGCAACGGAAAUAUUUGCUUGGUGUGCUUCUGGCAUGGUUAAGAAAAUCUUGCUAGUUGGAGUUACACCUGAAAGAGCUGAAAGUAAAUGCGUGCCUUGUGAAUUUCCACAUGUAUGUUCCCAUUGUGUAUCUUUUGGAAACUAAGGAGAGAGGUAAAAUACAUUUUUCUAUGGCGACCAUCAAAAUUAGGAACAACGCAAAUGUCAACUCUGGCCCUUACCUUUGGACUACUCAGCUUAUAGUAUACCUUUUGUUUUAGAUGGGGCUCAUAAUGUGUAAGAAGAUUACUAGUUUAUCUUUAACUGUACCCUCGUGGUGCAUCUUAAACAUAUCAUUAACUUCUCCAAAAAAAAAAAACACUGGUAGGUUUUUCACCAAAUAACUGAAGUUGUUAGGAGGUUACCAAACACUGCUUCUGAUCAUUUCCGUGACAAGAACAGGUACACUUUGAAGCUUUAGCUGCGCUAGCAAUUUAGCUGUCAUACUACUGUGGAUGGCUAUGUGGUGCUUUGUAUGGGCACGAAACUUGGCCUUUACUUUUGUUUGGCCAGUUUGCUUCUUUUGGUGAUUAUCGCGUCCUGAUCUACUGGUUUUUCUGGAUAUACUUCAUAAUCCAAUUCCGAUUAUAUAAUGAUUAUCUUUUCUCUAUAUGAAGCUUAACUUUCUGGAAAAAGAUUAGAAAAGGGGAAGUUGGAUUAGUGUGAUCAAGGUUGCCUUCCUUUUUUAUUUUUUUAUUUUUACUUUUACCUCUUUUACUCAUUUUUUACAUGUUCGGGACCCCUGGAGCUGUGGCUAAAAAAGAAUCAGAAGCUGAAAGCUUGCAUUUGUGAAGAACCAAAUGGUAGUUGCAAGUAACAUUUGAUUAUCAAUUAGCAAGCACCAGUGCUUAGAAUCAUGGAGGAUUAUGGGUUAGAGAAUGUUGUAGUUAUCAACCAAGACUUCACCAAGACAUGGUUUGUCAGGUUCCUUCAGGGAGGAAGUCAGAAGUCAUUUCUAGUUUUAAGUAUGAAGUAUGAAGAAUGAGAAGUCAGGUUUACAAAUCCAUCAGUGGAAUCUAGGUGUCGCAGUGCAGAUAAAGUAUGUCAUGCAAGAUGAAGGAAUUGAAUGAACUUGUCGUUUGGAUUAUGGGACAGUGUUUAGCAGAGUUUCAGUAUCACAGGAUAUCCAGGAUAAGAAUUCCUGAUAUGAUGGUAUAGGAGAAGUGACUGGAUUGUGGCAUCCCAUGUUUGAAAGAGAGUUUGAUAGUGAUGGAAGGAAUCUGAAUUUGCGAUCAGUGCUAGAUUCAGUGGCAGUCCACUGAUCAACUGCUGUAGAUUUUGGAGUUAGGGGUUUUUGGAUUGUUUAGAACAUGUGAUUACAUGAUAUCAUGGACAACAUUUGUGCGAGUGACAGUCAAAGAUUUCUUAUGCUAGAUUUCCUAUAGAAGGAAAGAAAAAAGAUGCAAAAGGUGCACCUCUCUGAUGUUGAAAAUACUAGAAAAGAAACUGUGUUUUUUUUUUUUUUUUUUUUUUGGGGGGGGGGAAGGGGGAGGAGGAGGAGGUCACAGCUCAGGUGUUGAAGGCAUUUUGUCUAAGCAGCUAACUUAUAUUUGUGGAUGACCUGAGUCCUUUUGAGGGGCUUUGUCUAAGCAGCUAAAUUACAUGGACAUAGCUUCUGACUGAUUUGACAAUCCUCUUUGCUCAUUGAAGAACAAGAAAAUUCAUAAGUUGUUGAAUUUUGUUAACGUUUACUCUCUACCUUUGUGCCUAUUCUUUUUCAAUCUUUUUAUUAAAUCCUAAAUUAUGAAACUGUUAACCAUUUCUCUAAUACAUCAUCUAUUAAGUAUGCUAUGCCAUAAGCCAAAACAAAAUCUCAGAAUUUCUUUCCACUUGGAAUGUUCAUAGCUGAUAUUUUUAUUAUUCGGUUUCUGAUGUGGGAGGUGCAAGUUUGCAAAUUGAUUCAUAGUGGAUCCGGACUUUGACAUGUUGGCAUUAAAUAUAAUGAAUUACAGAUCUUCAUGUAAAAUACAAAUGGGGAGCAAAUUAGCCACAAAUCCUAAGGAAAAUAUCAGUUAUUCCUACUGUCAUUAGGCUGGGGUGAAGCUAACAUACUGCUGUAGCAGCUGAGAACUCAUCCUAAUAGUGUUAGGGGCUGAUUUGAACUUAAUUAUGGGCUUGAAACUGUAAGCAUAGAUGAACUUUAGCAAAGCAUGUGUUGUCAGCAGGUAGAGAAAACUAGAAGAUUUCUGCCAUAUUUAUGCUACCAUAUUUCGUUUUGGCAUAUAAAUAUCUCAACAUAAAUUCCAUUAAAUUUCAUAACAUUCUAAAGUAGUAAACAUGUUCGUACAUGACCAGAAUGGAUUUUUAAUGAUGUUGUUGGUGAUUCAAAGUGUCAAAAUGUUGUUGGUGAUUCAAAGUGUCAAAAUCUAAACUUGACUAGCAUAUGAAAAUGAAAUAACCACGAGGGUACUCUUUUAAUCAUCAAGGUCGAUCCCUCUAGACAAAAUAGAGUUUCAUGCUUGUCAUUAAGCUUCUGUUUUGGGCUUUGAAUGACUUGCAAGAUGUUGCUGAGCCAGUUGAUAGCUAUUGCAUUGUGUGAAAUGUGAAAUCUAGUCUAGAUUGUACAGAGGAUCUUUUUUUGCAUCUUAAAGUAUUGUAGCUUCACCAUUAUAGCUCUAAAUUACAUAUAUCUGCAAAGUGUGUAUCAGCUUAUCAAUAGAAAUUAGAUGUACCAAUCAACUGGCAACUUGUUCACUGUUGAUAAAAUUUGACUAUCUUGCAUCUGUUUUUCUGUAUUGGACAGGAAGCCUGCAAGGUUCAGAGUUGGUAGAAAAGAUGCAAGAACACGAGAAUGCCCUUAGGCAUUGUGUUACUCAACUAGAAAAUUUUGAAACUACUAGGCUUGCAUUGGUUUCACAGCUUAAUGAAGCACUUCGAGAUCAAGUAUGCCUUUUAUAGUUGUCUAGUGUCAUUGGAGUGUAAUAUUUCCUGACUGCUUGUUGCUUUUCAGGAAUCAAAGCUGGAGCUGAUACGCAAUGAAUUGGAGGUAAGACUCCCUGUUACUUCCUAAGCUGGGUUUUGUUACUAGGUCUUCCUUUAUUCUCCUAUCUGAAAAUCAGUUUAUUUAAUUAUACUCUUGACAACCAAUAUUUUCUCCUAUAUUCGGCAAAUCUGUUUUUAUCUCUAAAUCCAACUAAUGGCUGCAUCAUGUUGUUGGGGUGUCUCUUAAAGGAGGAAUUAAUAUUUUUUUGGGUGGUCCAGAAUUUUUUUUCUACAUAUUUGUGAAUCAAGCUUGUCUUCUGUACGAGUCAAUAAACUGAAUUUCAGAAAAAUAAAAGAGGAAGAGGGGUGUGGAUGAAAUGUUAUAAUCUGGUAAAUUGGAUUUAACAUUACCUUAUGACCCCAACCCCCCCCCCCCUUCCCCCUCCCCGAAAAAAAAGGUAGUGGGUUAGAUGAAUUACUUCGAUGUUCUGCGCUAGCUAAAUAGUGAUGUUCCACUUUUUAAGUUUGUGAAUUGCUCUUUUAUAUUUGUCUCGUUUUUGUUUAGCUACUGAUCGUCAAAUUUCUCUAGUUUCUGUGACAUGGUUUCUAGUUUAAAUUGGGAGUGCAUCAUCUAUUUGAUUGGGUGGUGGUUUUGUUGGUUAACUACUAUUUUUUCUAUAAGAUUUAUAUUUGAAAAAUGUUUAGAACAUUAAAGUUCUCGUAACCUACACACCUAUAAUGAGUAUUUACAAGUCAAUAUUGGGAAGAAUUGGAUUGGUGGGGCAGGUACAUGUAUUAUGGUUGUUCACUGCCGUUGUUUUUUUUUUUUAUUUUUUAAUCUAAACUGACCUUUGACAUCUGCAAGUGUAACAGAAAAUGUACAUAUGGUUGAAAAUUCAUCAUGUUGUGUGUAUGAUAGUGCUCAUAUUAAAGAAAAAUUGAAAAUUACUAAAAUGCUGAUUGCCUAUAUUUUAGAGCAUUCCCUAGGUUACAUUUUGGCUGACACCUCCUGUGCUGCUCAAAACUUCUAUUCAGCUGAGUGGUAUAACAUGUUUUUGUUGAAUGGAGGUAACAUGUUCUGUUAAGUGAUAUAGUUUAGUUAUCAUGCAAUAUUCAACAAAAAAUUGGCUGUUCAUUUUUGGUAUUCUAGUGACAGUUGUAUUUCACAUACAGGUGGCCCGCAGUCAGAUAGAGCAAACUUUAUGUGUAAAGCAGAAGCUGGUAUCAUCAUCUUAUCUGGCUUCCCAAUCUAAUGCUGGUAGCCAACUUAUGGAGGCUGCAAGGGUUGCUGAAGCAAACUUGCCUUUGACCCAGUUAUCAAGCAUGCCUAUCCUUCCGCCAACCCCUCUAUAACUUUUACUUCUUCAAAACUCAAUGAAGAGGAGAAUAAGAAGGCAGCAGCAGCUGCUGUCGUGGCAAAACUUGCUGCUUCCACAUCCUCUGCACAGAUGCUUACUUCUGUUCUUUCAUCCCUUGUUGCAGAAGAGGUUGCCUCUAUGAGUAAUGGUUUAACUUCAACUGGAUUCUCUUCUAGUUUACCUUUUGGAUCCCCAGAGAAAAGGCCAAAGUUAGAGAACCUGUGCGUUUUUCUGAGGUGAAUCAUUCUGAUGGCAGUCAUGCUGCAUUCUUUGCUUCUGCACAGCAGACAGUAAGUAACAUGCCGGUUGGUGCAGCCAAUGGGAUGCAGCUUAUGUCCCAGGGAAACCAACUUCAGGCAACAUUCCCACAACCCCCACCGCCGCCGCCGCCACCGCCCAAUCUGUAACUCCUGGAAAUUCUUCUGCAACUCAGUUAGGCCAAUCUGCUGCAAUGAUGAUAGGGGUUCCCUAUGGAUAUGGUUCAAGCAACCUUCCACCUCCACCUUUACCUCCACAUAUGCCAAUGGGAUUUGCUAGGCCAGCUCCUUUACCAACUCAGCAACCACCUCCUCAGCAGCUUCAGAACCAGCAGUCUCAGCAGCAGCAGCA
Molecule: long non-coding RNA, 224224 nt
Filed under: Coffea arabica (coffee)
Lineage: Eukaryota; Viridiplantae; Streptophyta; Magnoliopsida; Gentianales; Rubiaceae
Description: long non-coding RNA (CARA_LNC005384)
Rfam family: Small nucleolar RNA R12 (bases 39913-39997)
Source: RNAcentral